GACUAGGAACCUGAACCUGAAAACCACAUCCUUAUGUACAUAUAUACACUUUAGGUCUAACAUCUAUUCACAUGCACACAAGGUUUGACAAGACAGGACGGGAUCUCAAUCCUCAUCCGGGUCGUACUCGGGGUUAUCCUCGGGGUCCUCCUCCACGUACUCCUCUUCAGGUUCCUCAACAGGGAUCUCAUCAUCAGAUUCAUGCUCCUUAGGCUCCUCAUCCAGGUCCUGAAAUGAUUAUUCAAUAAUCACUGAGACAACGUCUCAGCAAGUUCUACCUCCUAAGACCCGAUUAGUAAACUAAUACACCUUAGGGCUGCCUAUGCACAACAUGAGUCAAAGGACUUACCUUGGCCUCAGAUUCCACCUGCAUAUUAGCACAAAUCAAAUAGGCACUCAAGCAAUAACAUCACAGAUCGAAGCAUCGAUCUAAUCGACUUAAUCGAUUACACGCCAACAAGACCACUCACGGUCAUUUCCAUUCAAUCAAUCAAUUCGCAACANNNNNNNNNNNNNNNNNNNNNNNNNNNNNNNNNNNNNNNNNNNNNNNNNNNNNNNNNNNNNNNNNNNNNNNNNNNNNNNNNNNNNNNNNNNNNNNNNNNNAGCUAUCCAUCACCACUCCAUCCCACAUAACCUCCAAUAGUACACUUAGUCACAGAGCUCCAUCAAUGCUCUCGGGCGUCGUUUUCGCCAAGGUGACAUAAGUAUCAGACGGUCUACGUGCGUUCUUUAAGGCGCCGUUUUCACACAGUGAUAUUCCUCAUCACCGAACCACGCCCGUCACAGGUCACAAAUCACUGACAGUCUACGUGCGUUCUUUAAGGCGCCGUUUUCACACAGUGAUGUCUUUCAUCACCGAACCACGCCUGUCAUGAUUCAUAGGUAGUCUACGUGCGUUCUUUAAGGCGCCAUUUUCGCACAGUGAUAUCCUUAAUCAUUGAACCACGCCUACCAUAAGUCAUAGACAGUCUACGUGCGUUCUUUAAGGCGCCGUUUUCGCACAGUGAUGUACUUUAUCACCGAACCACGCCUGUCUAUACUUCGUACUUGAUCGGUCUCAACCAAUAGAAUUCUCAGUUAGUUCUCAUCACUCUCUCCACUUACAGCUCAACAAGGCAGUACAAAUGCUAACUAGCCAUACUCGGCCAUUUACCAAUCAAUCAUUCAGUUUCACUCAAUUUCAAUCAAUUCGGGGUAAAUCCCUAAAAUAUCACAAUUUAUUUAAUUUCAUACAACGUAUAGCUCGAAUAAAUAAACGGACUGCGCCACGACAAUCAGCACGAAAUUCCGGUCGACAGUCACCUCAGCAUUAAUUUCCGAAGAAUAAUUUAAUAAUUAAUUAAUUUCGAAAAUUAAUUAAUAAAUAUUAAAAUUCAAUUUAGCUCAAAAUAAAGCCCGAUUAAAUAAACGGACUUCACCACGGUCAUCAGCAUAAUAUUCCGGCCAUUGGCCAUCCAAGUUGAAUUUUCGGAAAAUAAAUAAUUAAAUAAUUAAUUUCGAAAAUUAAUAUUUCAUUCCUAAAAAUUCCAAUUAAGCCCGAAUCGCCUAAUUAACACCCGAUAAGGGACGGGAAAAAUCCCAAGAAGCAUCCAAUAAAUACUACAGGCAAUUCUCUAUCUAAUUACACUAAUCACACAACUAAUAUGCAAAGCAAUUAACUAAUAAACACUAAUCAAUUCUAAUCUAACCACCUAAUUACACUUAAUUAACACUAAUCAACCUUUAAGUAUAAUUAGCGCACUAAGAAGACAUUAGUGAGUAAAACUCACUCAAAACGACGGGCUUGACGCGAUGAUCGACUUUCCUCAAAGCGGGCCGAGCAUCUGGGCUCAGGAAGGCGGCCAAAACGGGCCAAAACCCACUGUCAUACCCAUUUUCUGCAACCCUCUGUUCGCUGCUGGUUGGGGCAGAUUCGGGGCUGGUUGAGGCGGCCAAGGGCGGCUGAGGACGAGGCGGAGCUCCGGCGAGGUUGACGGUGGCCGGAGGUAGUUGGGCGGCGGCCGUAGGUGGCCGAACGGGACCGAACAGAGGCGGCAAGAGCUGGACAGCAGCUCUGGACGUCGGCCAAGCUAGGGACGACGCGACUGAAGGCGGAGACGCGCGGGCGCCGCUCGACGACAACUUCAGCUCCGGUUGGAGGGAACUUGUUGCUUCGGCUUGCUCUGAUCUUCACCCGACCAGGGCAUCGAACAGCAGAAAGAGGACAGAGGAGAGAAGCGGAGGUGCGUGCGGGUGGGGCGAAGCAGCGACGGCGGCGGCGCGGCAGCUCCGGUGGCUUCCGGGCACGCGACGACGGCGGCGAGAGGCGGCGAUGGCAGCUCGGUCUUCGCUGGUCUUCGGCUCCCAUGGAGUUUUGAAGAAAAAAAAGAAGAAGAUGGGGGAGGAUCCGUCGACGGAGGAGAGAGAGGAGAAAGAGAAAUUCAAUUUUUCCUCUUCCUGUCACACACUCUCUCUCUUAGGUCAUCACACAUGGGCCACCAUGACAUCAUGUGAUGUCACCUUCCACCCACAAUUUCUUGACAAAUUUGCCCCUUCUAGAAGCAUUUAGGUAGGCCAAAGUGUGGGGGUAGAGGUGGCAUACGAAUUUUGCUACAAUUGGCUUCUAUUAAUCACUUGAUUUACUUUAAAUCCAUCUUAAUUGGCCUCAUAAGAUCUCAAUAAAUCCAAGUGAUGCCUCAAUGCUUCCAUUAAAUAUUCUCCUCAUCCAAUAGCUCAUCUCGCAUCUCAAUUUUGUAUUCCAUUUUAAUCCCCGGCUCCAAUUGCAUAGAAAUGACCUGAUUAAUUCAAUUAAAAUUAAUACCGAAAAUUCUGGAUGUCACACAUUGAGGAUUGGGAUGAUUUGCAAGAUGCAGAAUCAGAAGCUUGUGAGAUUUGACUGAUAUGUUUGGCCAAGAUACCCCUAAUGACGGCGAAUGCAAUGUUGUGCAUGAUGUUAACAUUAUAGAGGAUUCUCCACAACCUGAGAAAAAUCAAACAUUUCUUGAGGUGGAUUCCUCUACUGAAAGUGAAGACAAAGAUGAUAUAUUUGGUAGUACUCUGAGCAAUUCGUCCACUCAACUUUUGACCAGACGAUUUUUAGAAUCCAUGGUAUGCUUCUGAAAACUGUGAAGUUGUCUCACUCCUUUCUGUCCUAACUAGUUUGAAGGGAUUAAGGAAAAAGAAAAAAAGAAAAGCAUGGUGGCUUGGCAUGUUUUUUCCCAUGCCCAAAAGUAAUUUGGUUGAUAGUUGUUAAGUUUGUAGCUUAAGUUUUUUUAUCCAUGGACCUAGAUUUGUCUUGGGAUUAGCCUAUGUAAUUGCUUGGACCAAAUGUGUGGCUUGAAGAAUGUCUCAGUAUUUUACAGGGUUUCCCGUUUAGUGAAGAAACUAUGGGCACCUGAAGAAGACACAAUAGUUACCAAGCAAAUCCCAUGAGUCUGGCCACAAUGGUCCAGUUGUUUAGGAGGUUGACAAAAAGUUGGCAGAUCUCUGCAUGACCUUUUAUUGUUUUAACAAUAAUUCUGCACCCGUACUUUUAUAUAUUUUUGUUGCUGAGGUAUAUUGGGGUGUCAACAAGGAAAACAAGAAGAAUUGAGAACAGAUUAUCUUGGUUUUUGAUCAGGAGAUUAUAGUGUCCUCAGAAAACUCUUGGGAAACACUUUCCACUUGUCUCAUUUGUUUUUGAUUGACUCUUGCAAUUGGGGUUUUGGUUAGUGAGAAAUUGAUUUAUUUCUUAUUGUAGUUCUCUCCUAAUCACUGUUAAACAACUCAUCCCCUUAAAUUAGUGUGUCACUGUUCUUUCCUCUUCAACUUAUGUCUUUCCUUGAUCAUUUCCAGUUUGCUUGCAAUUCUGCUCAGCAACAAACCUUACGCGGUAUGCCUGUACAAAAACAUUUAGUAAAUUGCUUAUGAGGGCUCUCAUCUAAUCAAAUGUAUGAUAGACACUCCUAACUUGCCAGUUACUUCUACAGUCUAUAAGAUCUAAAAUGAUUUAUAUGAGAAUUGUUUGGUCAAUAAAAACAGUUCAUUCUUGUUUUGGAUAUGUAACAAUACCUAUACUUCUCAUGUAUUAUGAGAGUAUGGUACAUCAUCCAAGCGUUGAACUUAGCAUCCAGCAUCUUUGACAGGUGUGUUUUGCAAAAUGAAGGCUUGGAAUUUCUUUGUGCACGAUUUUCAUUUUCCAUCACCACAUGUCAAAAAUUAUUUAUGGUGCUGAAGAGGCUUAUUUGUGUUGAAGGACUGUAAGAGCACGGAUACUCAUGGUUUGAUAUCAUCAGUUUCAAGUAAAAGACAUCACUCUCAGAUUUCAACAUGCAAACAAGGAACUCUUGAGUAAUGAGGAAUUGCAAGCCUUGGAUGACAUAGAAUUGGCAAAUGUUGUAAUAUUCGAAAACAAGGCAUUUCGACCAAUGCAGCAUCAGGCUUGUAAAACUUAUGUAGCCAAGCAAGAUUGCUUCAUUCUCACGCCCACUGGAGGUGGUAAAAGUUUACGUACCAAGUUAGUGAAUGUUAACAUCAUUUCAUUUGUGUAAUGAUCGAACGUUGAAGUAUGUGUGGAGAGUUUAGAGCACAAGCACAGUGCACUUUGCUGAAUGGUUCCACCAAUUAUAUGCUAGACAAGUAGACCUGUAUAUUGAAAUUUAAGCUAUAAAAUGAUCUUGCAAUCUGCUUUGUUAGGACUGUUGAGAAGUUUGUGUUGAAAUACAGGACAUUCUCGUUUUACCUUCACCCAUCUCUAUCCGUUCUGUAAUUUCUAGAAUUUGAGGUUUGUGCUCUGCUUCUAGGAACUUCUAAUUACUUACUGGAAAAUUUAUCUUGUUUUUGCAUGUAAGUGUUGUCGUCAGUCAUGUUUCAAGUCCAAUUCAAUAGGAUUAUUAAGUCAAAGAGGAAUAAGUUUUCAAAUUACUUGCACCAAAUACAGAUUGUACAUGUCUAUAUUUCCUAUGUACAUAUGUGCUAUGUUAUUGUCUCAACUAGGGGUGAUCAUUUCCAUAAUUGGUUUGAAAUGGAUAUCCUUUCAUAUAAGAUGGAUCUUGGGAGCAUGCAAAAUAUUGGAUCCACUGAAUUACGAAGGAAGAAAUUAAUCUGAAUUUAUUAAGUUGAAUCUCCAUCAUGAUGAUGGCUAUGGAUAUGGAAUCGUCUAGUUUGGAUUUUACAAACCCAAAUCGCAUUUUUUUUUAUUCCCUUGCCCGUAAUGCUUAACCAAAAACAGAAUUAAUUAAGAAUUAGAUAAGAUUCCAUUUUCGUGUCACCAUAGAUUUUCAACUCCCAUUUUCAUUCAAUUUAGAUCACCAUGCUUCUAAAUAGGCGUCUAAUUUUCAAAGAAAUUUAAGGGUGCUCUUAGAUGGUCUGCAUUGACUAAACUAACUUAGACUUAAUCGAUCGAACAUCACGUUAUUUUCGGGCGAUCUCCUUUACAUUGCUAGGCCUCGUUGACGUCUUAUUCUCAUGGCCAUCGUGUUAGGACGGUAACCUUCUGUUGGCUUAUGGAGUCUUGAUUUAUUCUUCCAGAUAUGAGACCUUUCAUUUCGUUACCUGCGUGGCUACCUCAGCGGUAUACUCUCCUAGCAACAUGAAAUUGACAUUUAACUUAUUGUGUUCGGGUAACGUUGACCAUUACAUUGGCGAUUUGGGCAAGUCGAGGUCAACACACGUAGAGGCACAUUGACCAAAUUGGUUAGAUAUUAAGCUCAGAAGUUGCGGGUCUGGAUCUUUGAACUCGUGAUCUGGCUUCACGACCGUGGGUGGCUACUUCUGCAGCCACGACGUUUGCAUUUUCAACUUGCAGGAAAAAGGUAUGACAGAAACUUGGCCUUCAAAGUACAGCUCGAGGAAUCACUCUACCUCGCAUUCAUCAAAUUUCAUUCACGCACCGUACCCUCGUGUAGUCAGCGGCAGCCUCAACACGGACUCCACAGGCAAGAUGCUCUCGCUCAGGUCCUGCGAGAAGUUUGCUCUCCGCACAAGUCACAAAUGACCUAACCUGCAAUAUCGUAAAACAAAAUUUUCACCGAUGCACCGCCCGUGGGUAUUAACCUAAAAACAUGCGCACCAAAUGCAAAAUGUUCUGAUGAUUGAAUUUAGUUCAUGGAGCUGAUUAAAAUUGUCUGAUCCGCUCAUCUCUCCUCUUUUUUAGUAAGCUCUUUUCUAGUAAAUUUGAUGCUGAUUGCAAAACCAGAUGAAUACUUAGUAUCCGGUAGGAUUGACGUUUCGAUCUAUUUUGGGGUCGAUUAUGUUGGCAACGACUUGUUUUGGCCAAUGAUGUUUACGCCUCAUUUCUGGGGUUCUUUAACCCCCUAGUUUCUUCAAUUUGUCUAUUUCAAUUCCUCUUUGUUGUACGAUUCAUCAUAUGGCAACAUAUACUUCCGAAGCUAGAUAAUCUAAAAACGCCUUGUGCCAAUGUUAAACAAACUGAAAGGCUUUCCAUAGUUCUAGUUUGAUUUGAGGACAGUUUUCAUAUCUCUAGUAUCGUCCCGUCAAGCUUGAAUCUACAAAAAUAAGGAUAACUGAGAAGCCUGAAACGAAUCCUUUUUAAUUCUAUCAAAACUUUUUGGGCACAAUGUAAUUUUCAUUUUGUUAUCAUAAUUUCUGUAAGUCCUAUCAUUUGUAAUAUUCUAUUAAAAAUAGUAAUCUGCCUAAGUUUAUAGUAAAUUUCUCCUAAUGAAUCUUAACUUUCCUUCAGGCAUAUGUAAUCAUCCUUACUAUCUAUAAAAUAUCCUUUAGUAAUUUUUCUUAGGAGGAUUUAAUUUUUGUUUGGAGGGCGUAGAUUCUCUGGAACCUAUGAUUCUCCAUAUUCCAUAAAAACAAUAUUUUAUUCACUUAACGGUAACUUUUUUUUUUAAAACUUUAGUGAAAUAUUCAAUUCGAUAGUAACUUCCUUUUCACUUUGUAAGUUUUGAGACUUAUAUGUUGGUAAACUUCCUUACUCAUCAUAACUUUUUUAAUGGAAUAUAAAUUUGAUUAUUUUACGGUUGUCACUUUCAUUUAAUGUCCGCAAACUUAUGACUUAAUAGAUUUGGUGGACCAACUUUUCCCCCAUUCUUAUCCAGUGGUCCACAUUGAAUGCGGGACCAAUUUUCUAAAAGAGAGCUUUUUUUUUUUUUUUUGGGUCAGUCCUACUCUAUUCCUACUCUACACUCACUCUCAGACUUUUGCCAUGCCUCUUGCAGGGCGUGGGAGUCGAAACCCACUCCUGAAACUUACGCGUCCCCACCCCAUCCCCCCUAAGAAGGUGGGGAUUUGAAUCCCUCACCUCCCCCUUCUAUAUUGAAAGGAUGGCCACUAAGGUGAAUCCCAGUGGUUUUCUAAAAGAGAACUUUGACUUGUGGAAUUUUCGUCACCAACAAGAAGUUUUUAGUGAGAUAAAGUAGUGAUUUUUCUUUUGCCAAACAGUACAGUAGUGUUGAAAUUGCGACCAAGUUUAGUGGUCUCAUUUCACAUCGGUCGGCAAGCCCUUCAUAGGAAUUCCCACAUUUGGAAAAAUACAUAUGUCCACCUUAACUUUCUCUUUUUCAUAUUCUAAGAUCCGAAUCUUCACGUUGUUCAUCCUCGAAUCGCGACCAUUUUUAACGCUCUUCUAUCUCUCUGUCUCUCCCAGCAUUCUUUGGUAUGUUCUGAUUCUCAAUGUGACUCCGAUGGUGAAGUCAAUUGGGAUGCUUGUAUCAUAUGUCGCCAUCGCGCUUGUUGGUCUGCUUUUCUUAUCUUUGGGUUUUUACCAUACGGGCCACGUGCAAAACGAAGGAACUCAGCAGCGACAGGAGAAGAAAGAAACGGGUCGCUCUUCCAAAUCUGUUGCCGUAAAUCAUCAUCAUCGCCCAACUUCAGCCCUUCAAAAAGCAGUAGACUCGCUGGAGGUUUGUGCCCACUGCAAGCCCCCCCCAUCCCCAUCCCAUUCAGUUCAAUCACGGUCGCUCCAUUAGUGGGCGCGGUUGCUGCCGCCCGCCCUUAUCCCAAGAUCAAUUUUUGAAAGGAGAGGUUAGAUCCCUGUCACCACACCACCCCCGCCCAUCACAAACGACAAAUUUGCCUCCACUGGAGCUGCGGUUAAGUGAGUGAUCCCCCAACCGCCCCUAGCAUAACUCAAACACAUGUUUUUGCCAAUAUCAACUGGGCCGACCCCAUUGGGCAAUUAGGCUUUCUAGGCCCAUGCUUGUCUUCGUAUACCUUGAGUUUCAUUUGCUUUGAUGAUCCGGCUCAUGAUGCUGAGUCUUAAGAAAACCCGCAUUCCCCAAAAAAGCAAAAUAAGAAUGUUCAACAUAGACCCGUCAAUAACAUAACCAUCCAAACUUUAUAAUUCAGUUGAAGAAAAAGAAAAAAAAAACUUUAUAAGUUUGACACGCAAAGUCUUCUCUUUGCAGAGGAAAAAAACAUAGAAAAGAGAAAGACGUCAGUAUUUUACGCAAGAGUUAAGUAUACCAUCGACGUGAGGGGGUGUUUAUGUAAUUUGAGAUCAGGUGUAAGGUCCAUGGAUUUAGAAAUUCAACAUAUAAAGAAAAUAAAGAACGUCUUUGGCAAAUAAGAAAAAGAAAUGACAACCCUAAAAGAACAAGAAAAAAAAAACGUGACAAAGAAAGGAGAGANNNNNNNNNNNNNNNNNNNNNNNNNNNNNNNNNNNNNNNNNNNNNNNNNNNNNNNNNNNNNNNNNNNNNNNNNNNNNNNNNNNNNNNNNNNNNNNNNNNNNNNNNNNNNNNNNNNNNNNNNNNNNNNNNNNNNNNNNNNNNNNNNNNNNNNNNNNNNNNNNNNNNNNNNNNNNNNNNNNNNNNNNNNNNNNNNNNNNNNNNNNNNNNNNNNNNNNNNNNNNNNNNNNNNNNNNNNNNNNNNNNNNNNNNNNNNNNNNNNNNNNNNNNNNNNNNNNNNNNNNNNNNNNNNNNNNNNNNNNNNNNNNNNNNNNNNNNNNNNNNNNNNNNNNNNNNNNNNNNNNNNNNNNNNNNNNNNNNNNNNNNNNNNNNNNNNNNNNNNNNNNNNNNNNNNNNNNNNNNNNNNNNNNNNNNNNNNNNNNNNNNNNNNNNNNNNNNNNNNNNNNNNNNNNNNNNNNNNNNNNNNNNNNNNNNNNNNNNNNNNNNNNNNNNNNNNNNNNNNNNNNNNNNNNNNNNNNNNNNNNNNNNNNNNNNNNNNNNNNNNNNNNNNNNNNNNNNNNNNNNNNNNNNNNNNNNNNNNNNNNNNNNNNNNNNNNNNNNNNNNNNNNNNNNNNNNNNNNNNNNNNNNNNNNNNNNNNNNNNNNNNNNNNNNNNNNNNNNNNNNNNNNNNNNNNNNNNNNNACGAUGAAUGCAAAGUUAUACACGAUGUCCAUUUAUAGAAGAUUCUUCCCAACCUGAGAAAAACCAAACUUUUCUGAGGUGAGGAUUCCUCUACUGAUAGUGAUGACGAAGGCAGAUAUUUGGCAGUAAAAUGGGCAGGAAAUCUACAUGCUAUGUUCUUGACUAAAGCAAUACUUCGAGUGAUUCUUCCACUCGACUUCUGGCUAGACGAUCUUUAGAAUCCAUAGUAUGCUUAAACCAUGGACAUAGCCAAGACAUGCCAAACCACUUAAAUCACUGUGUCACUGUUAUGUUCUCGUAUAAUUUAUUCUUUGCUUGAUCAUUUGCAUUUUGCUUGUGAUUUUGCACACGGCAAAGGACCUACACGAUGUACAUGUACAAAAGCAUUUAGUAAAUUGCUUAUGGGGCCUCUCAUCCAAUGAAAUGUCCAAUAGACAGUUGUAACUUUUGCCAAUUACUUCCACAAUCUUCAAGAUCCAAAAUGACAUAUUGGACCUCUUUGGUCGAUAUAGAAGUUGACUUUAGUUUGGAUGAUGUAUGAGUACCAAUUUUCUCAAAAUACUUUGAGAGUAUAGCAGAUCAUCAAAGUGUGGAACUUAGCGAUCCAUCGUCUUUGAUAGGAAUGUGUUGCAUAAAUGAAGGCUCGUGAUCUUUGUGCACAUUUUUCAUUUUCCGUGACAAUCUAUGUCAGAAACUAUUACGGUGCUGAAGAAGCUUAUUUCUGUUGAAGGACUAUAAGAGCACUGUCACUCAAUGUUCAAUAUCGUCAGUUUCAAUAAAACCGGCAAACAUUGUCUCGGAAACAACAUCCGGCAUGUAAAGCUUCUGUAGCCAAGCAAGAUUGCUUCAUUUUCAUGCCCACUGGAGGUGGUAAAAGUUUAUGUUGCCAGUUUAGUGAAUGUUAAAAUUGUCACAAUGUGAUGAUUGUAUGUAGAAGAAAGUGGAGACAAUGUUUAGAGCACAAGCCCUGUGCACUUUGCUUAAUGGUUCCACUGUUUAAAUACUAGAUGGAUAGACCUGUAUAUUGAAAUUUAAGCUUUAAAAUGAUCUUGGAAUAUGCUUUGUUGGCACUCUUACAAAGUUUGUGCUCAAACUUAAGGAUACAAAUGUUUUCCAAAUGCAAAUUAAGCUAUAAGAAGUUAUUCAACUACAGAACCAUGGGUUCCAAUGUACAGGAUCUGACUAAGUAGGAAAAGAAUAUUAUGCAAGACAUUCUUGUUCUACCUUCGCACAGUUCUAUCUAUUCUGUGAUUUCUAGAAUUCGAGGUUUGUGCUAUGCUUCUAGGACCUUCUAAUUACUUAUUGGAAAAUUUAUCUUGUUUUUGCAUGUAAGUGUUGUUGUCAGUCAUAGUUCAGGUCCAAUUCAAAAGGGUUAUUAAGUCAAAGAGGAGUAAGUUUUCAACUUACUUGCACCAAAUACAGAUUGUAAAUGUCUAUAUCUCCUGCAGGUAUGUGCUAUGUCAUCAUCUUUACCAGGGUGAUCAUAUAAUGGAUCUUGGUAGCAUGCGAAUAUUUGGUCUACUGAAUCUCAAAGGAAGUUAUUAUUCCGAAUUUAUUAAGUUUAGUUAUCCUAAAGUGUUUUUUGUUCAGUCUUGAAAUAGUUUAUAUAUGUUUCUAGCUAAAGUAAAUAUAAUACAAAUAUUAACAACCAGUGCUUUCUGAUCAGCUGAAGGUGAAUGAAAGGAUAAUUCCCUCAUCCCACCUUUUCUUCAUGUGUUCUUCUGAUGUUUUUACCCUUCGUUUCAGCUGCCAGCAACUCUUAAAGACUUAAACUAGGUGUCAGUCAUUAUAUGUCCCGUUCUAUCAAUCAUCCAGGAUCAAAUAAUUACUCUAGCCCUCAAGUGCGGAAUAUCGUCUACUUUCUUGAAGUCUCAGCAUACUGCUGCCCAAGCAUCGGCUGCCCUCCAAGAUCUUAGGCAAGGUUUAGCUCUCUCCCCCUCCCCUCUCUCUCUCUGUCUCUCCCUCCUCCCUCUCUCUCCUUGUCUGUCUGUCUGUCUGUUUGUCUGAAUGUGUUCCUUCUGAGAAGUAUAUCUUACCAUACGAUCUUUAUCCCGCCAUAAAAUGGCUAUGCUCCAUAUGUUGCAAUGAAUGCACAUCUUUUAUGUAGUUAAUGAAAAGAUUCAUGCCCAAGAUGUUUGCCUUAAAAAUAAAUAUUAGGAUCUUAGUGUUCCUAGAGAAGCAUAUCAUACCAUACGAUCAUUAUUUUGCCAUAAAAUGUUGGGCUAUAAUUGUUGCUAUGGGUUCUCUCUCUCUCUCUCUCUCUCUCUCUCUCUCUCUCUCUCUCUCUCUCUCUGUUCCUAGAGAAGUAUAUCUUACCAUACGAUCUUUAUCCUGCCAUAAAUGCUAUGCUCCAUAUGUUGAAAUGAAUGCACAUUUUUCAUGUAGUUAAUGAGAAGAUUCAUGCCUAAGAUGUUCGCCUUAAAAAUAAAUUUUAGGAUCUUAGUGUUCCUAGAGAAGUACAUCAUACCAUACAAUCAUCAUUUUGCCAUAAAAUGUUGGGCUAUAAUUGUUGCUAUGGGGUUUCUAUCGGACUUCUAAUUUUUAUUUUUUUUGCUGAGUGUUGUGAUUAUCAAGUCAUUAAUCUCCACUUUUUCGCUUGCCUUUUCAGGAAAAUCCAUCUUGCAAGCUAUUGUACGUAACUCCUGAAAGGAUUGUGGGAAACCCAUCAUUUCUCGAGAUAUUGAAAUGCUUGCAUAGAAAGGUAUUAUUUUUAAUAAACUGUAACUUUUUUGAAAGUUUCUUUUUAACUUUUUGAUACUUGAUUGUCGUGCAUUGCAGGCACGACUAGCUGGUUUUGUUGUUGAUGAGGCACAUUGUGUGAGGUAUGCUCUUUGGCAUCCUUGCAUCUGAAGCAAAGUUCAUGCUAGAANNNNNNNNNNNNNNNNNNNNNNNNNNNNNNNNNNNNNNNNNNNNNNNNNNNNNNNNNNNNNNNNNNNNNNNNNNNNNNNNNNNNNNNNNNNNNNNNNNNNNNNNNNNNNNNNNNNNNNNNNNNNNNNNNNNNNNNNNNNNNNNNNNNNNNNNNNNNNNNNNNNNNNNNNNNNNNNNNNNNNNNNNNNNNNNNNNNNNNNNNNNNNNNNNNNNNNNNNNNNNNNNNNNNNNNNNNNNNNNNNNNNNNNNNNNNNNNNNNNNNNNNNNNNNNNNNNNNNNNNNNNNNNNNNNNNNNNNNNNNNNNNNNNNNNNNNNNNNNNNNNNNNNNNNNNNNNNNNNNNNNNNNNNNNNNNNNNNNNNNNNNNNNNNNNNNNNNNNNNNNNNNNNNNNNNNNNNNNNNNNNNNNNNNNNNNNNNNNNNNNNNNNNNNNNNNNNNNNNNNNNNNNNNNNNNNNNNNNNNNNNNNNNNNNNNNNNNNNNNNNNNNNNNNNNNNNNNNNNNNNNNNNNNNNNNNNNNNNNNNNNNNNNNNNNNNNNNNNNNNNNNNNNNNNNNNNNNNNNNNNNNNNNNNNNNNNNNNNNNNNNNNNNNNNNNNNNNNNNNNNNNNNNNNNNNNNNNNNNNNNNNNNNNNNNNNNNNNNNNNNNNNNNNNNNNNNNNNNNNNNNNNNNNNNNNNNNNNNNNNNNNNNNNNNNNNNNNNNNNNNNNNNNNNNNNNNNNNNNNNNNNNNNNNNNNNNNNNNNNNNNNNNNNNNNNNNNNNNNNNNNNNNNNNNNNNNNNNNNNNNNNNNNNNNNNNNNNNNNNNNNNNNNNNNNNNNNNNNNNNNNNNNNNNNNNNNNNNNNNNNNNNNNNNNNNNNNNNNNNNNNNNNNNNNNNNNNNNNNNNNNNNNNNNNNNNNNNNNNNNNNNNNNNNNNNNNNNNNNNNNNNNNNNNNNNNNNNNNNNNNNNNNNNNNNNNNNNNNNNNNNNNNNNNNNNNNNNNNNNNNNNNNNNNNNNNNNNNNNNNNNNNNNNNNNNNNNNNNNNNNNNNNNNNNNNNNNNNNNNNNNNNNNNNNNNNNNNNNNNNNNNNNNNNNNNNNNNNNNNNNNNNNNNNNNNNNNNNNNNNNNNNNNNNNNNNNNNNNNNNNNNNNNNNNNNNNNNNNNNNNNNNNNNNNNNNNNNNNNNNNNNNNNNNNNNNNNNNNNNNNNNNNNNNNNNNNNNNNNNNNNNNNNNNNNNNNNNNNNNNNNNNNNNNNNNNNNNNNNNNNNNNNNNNNNNNNNNNNNNNNNNNNNNNNNNNNNNNNNNNNNNNNNNNNNNNNNNNNNNNNNNNNNNNNNNNNNNNNNNNNNNNNNNNNNNNNNNNNNNNNNNNNNNNNNNNNNNNNNNNNNNNNNNNNNNNNNNNNNNNNNNNNNNNNNNNNNNNNNNNNNNNNNNNNNNNNNNNNNNNNNNNNNNNNNNNNNNNNNNNNNNNNNNNNNNNNNNNNNNNNNNNNNNNNNNNNNNNNNNNNNNNNNNNNNNNNNNNNNNNNNNNNNNNNNNNNNNNNNNNNNNNNNNNNNNNNNNNNNNNNNNNNNNNNNNNNNNNNNNNNNNNNNNNNNNNNNNNNNNNNNNNNNNNNNNNNNNNNNNNNNNNNNNNNNNNNNNNNNNNNNNNNNNNNNNNNNNNNNNNNNNNNNNNNNNNNNNNNNNNNNNNNNNNNNNNNNNNNNNNNNNNNNNNNNNNNNNNNNNNNNNNNNNNNNNNNNNNNNNNNNNNNNNNNNNNNNNNNNNNNNNNNNNNNNNNNNNNNNNNNNNNNNNNNNNNNNNNNNNNNNNNNNNNNNNNNNNNNNNNNNNNNNNNNNNNNNNNNNNNNNNNNNNNNNNNNNNNNNNNNNNNNNNNNNNNNNNNNNNNNNNNNNNNNNNNNNNNNNNNNNNNNNNNNNNNNNNNNNNNNNNNNNNNNNNNNNNNNNNNNNNNNNNNNNNNNNNNNNNNNNNNNNNNNNNNNNNNNNNNNNNNNNNNNNNNNNNNNNNNNNNNNNNNNNNNNNNNNNNNNNNNNNNNNNNNNNNNNNNNNNNNNNNNNNNNNNNNNNNNNNNNNNNNNNNNNNNNNNNNNNNNNNNNNNNNNNNNNNNNNNNNNNNNNNNNNNNNNNNNNNNNNNNNNNNNNNNNNNNNNNNNNNNNNNNNNNNNNNNNNNNNNNNNNNNNNNNNNNNNNNNNNNNNNNNNNNNNNNNNNNNNNNNNNNNNNNNNNNNNNNNNNNNNNNNNNNNNNNNNNNNNNNNNNNNNNNNNNNNNNNNNNNNNNNNNNNNNNNNNNNNNNNNNNNNNNNNNNNNNNNNNNNNNNNNNNNNNNNNNNNNNNNNNNNNNNNNNNNNNNNNNNNNNNNNNNNNNNNNNNNNNNNNNNNNNNNNNNNNNNNNNNNNNNNNNNNNNNNNNNNNNNNNNNNNNNNNNNNNNNNNNNNNNNNNNNNNNNNNNNNNNNNNNNNNNNNNNNNNNNNNNNNNNNNNNNNNNNNNNNNNNNNNNNNNNNNNNNNNNNNNNNNNNNNNNNNNNNNNNNNNNNNNNNNNNNNNNNNNNNNNNNNNNNNNNNNNNNNNNNNNNNNNNNNNNNNNNNNNNNNNNNNNNNNNNNNNNNNNNNNNNNNNNNNNNNNNNNNNNNNNNNNNNNNGAGUUCGCCCGGCCCCCGACGGCAUCGCCGGCCCUGCCGAGGCCGGCGACCGGCCGAGAAAAAGAAGAAAAAUAGAGAAAGAGAGAAAAAAUAAAGAAGAAAGAGUGUUUCUAAAAUGUGUUUCAGAAACAAGAAACAACUUUUUUUUUGUUUCUUGUUUCUGUUCCAGAUGUGUUUCUGGGAACAAAAAAACAAUUUUGGAACAAAAACGCACCCAAACGCGUUUCUGUUCCUUUUUUGUUCCCCAAGAACAAAAAAACAGAAAAUUUUGUUCCUGGGAACAGAAACAUGUGGCAAACAAAUGCACCCUUACUUGCUGACUGGACUCUUUGGCGAGCCACAUCAGUGUAAAAAAUUAAUAAAAAAAGGCCACGUUGGAUUUCAGGCGGUUCAGAUCGGCAUUGGCACCAAAGUGAGCGUUUUUCAAAUUUUUUGGCACUUAAGUGAUCCGAUGGAAACUUUUGGCAGCAAAGUGAGCGCCGUACACAACUUAUGGCACCAUUAGUGUACUUAUCCCUUUUUUUUUGGCAUAGUAUAUUGCCUCUCAAACAGUAAAUGUGAUGUUGCAAAAUACUUGAAUGAUAAGUGUGGUAUAAGGAUGGUGUACUAUCAUGCUGGAUUAGCAGCCCGUCAAAGAGUAGCUGUUCAAAAGAAAUGGCACACUUGAGAGGUCCAGGUUGUACAUGCUACCAUUGUUUUUGGCAUGGGAAUAGACAAACCUGAUGUUGUAAGCUGAAAUGGAUUCUGCACCUUUGUCUAUUUUUAGUUUUAGAAUCGAACUGACAUGCUGGCAAAUACUCGAUUAAUCCACUUUUCUUCAAAUGUUUAAGUAUCACUAAUUGGUUUCUUAAUGUGCUUUAAAGUAAACUUUGCUAGUUCCAUGGUCGAGUGGCCUGCUAAAUUGUCAUUCUUGGCUAUUUUUCUAGCCAAAUUCUUUAUUCCAAGCAUGGAACUUUGGUGUGCUGAAAUUAAGUUCAACUAGGAUAAAGUUCUUUUCUUUACUGUAAAAGUGGCAAAUGACUCUAAUCUAACUUGACCUUCAGUUAUAAUGUUUUUGUCAUAUUUCUACUUCUUUUUUUAUUGGUUCAGUAAUUAUAUUUUAUGGCAUGUGGUCAGCAUUUUGUCAUCCGCAACACAAUGUCCAAGUCAAUCGAAAGUUAUUACCAAGAAUCAGGGAGGGCAGGAAGAGAUAAGGUACCGGCUAUUUUUCCACUCAACUUCUGGCCAGACAAUCUUUAGAGUCCAUGGUAUGGUUCAAGCAUGGACAUAGCCAAUACUUGCCAAACCACUUAAAUCACUGUGUCACUGUUGUGUUCUCAUAUAAUUUAUUCUCUGCUUGGUCAGUUCCAAUUUUGCUUGUGAUUCUGCACACAGCAAAGGAUAUACACAAUGUACAUGUCCAAAAGCAUUUAAUAAAUUGCUUAUACAGCUUCUCAUCUAAUCAAAUGUCCAAUAGACAAUCUUAACUUUUGCCAAUUUCUUCCACACUCUUCAAGAUCCAAAAUGACAUAUUAGAACUCUUUGGUCAAUAGAGAAGUUGCCAUAAAUUUUGGAUGAAGGUACCAAAUACCCAUAUUUCUUCAAAUACUUUGAGUACAGCAGAUUGUCAAAGUGUGGAUUAGCAAUCUAGCGUCUUUGAUAGGAAUUUUUUGCAUAAACGAAGGCUUUUGAUUUAUGCUGAGUAUUGUGAUUGUUAAAUUAUUAAUCUCCACUUCUGCUUUGCCUGCCUUUUCAGAAAAGUUAAACCAUCAUGCAAGCUAUUGUAUGUAACUAGUGAAAGGAUUGUGGGAAACCCAUCAUUUCUUGAGAUAUUGAAAUGCUUGCAUAGAAAGGGAUUGUUUCUGAUGCAUCAUUACUUUUUUCUAAAAGGUUCCUUUGUAAAUGUAUUAUAUUCGACCAUCAUGCAUUGCAAGCACAACUAGCUGGUUUUGUUAUUGAUGAGGCACAUUGCGUGAGGUAUACGUAAUAUUUAGCAUGCCUUGUACAUGAAGAAAGGCCAUGCUAGAGCUACUUCAAAAGGAAUAAUUAUUUGUGAUGUUGCCAUUGCAAAACUGUUGUUCUUGUUCCCGAUAAGUAUAAGCAAGUUGACUUUUAUAUAUGCUGACUUGAACUAUUUUUCCGAACUUUUCUGCAUUUUCUGGGUUUCUAGCCUAAAUAAAAUCGUUAGUGUUACACUAGACCUUCCGAAGCCUAGAACCAUGUGAAGUUCUAAUAUAACAGAAUGCAGUGUUCCUUGUUUGAUGAAAAGAUUUAGGUUUUGUCAUUUUGGAACACUCAGUGGCACAUCAUUCAUUAUAUUGAGUAAAGAGGACACAACUUAAAUAAGCUCCAAUGGAAAUUACUUCCUAGAGUAAUUGGAUUCGGCAUAAGCUUGGAUAAGGAUCCAAUCACCUCUCUAUAUUCGGGAGAAUACUCAGUCUCUUAAGCUGGUUCUCGUAUCCCUAUUUAUUCCAUUAAUGCUUAUACUAUGUUAACAACUUGAGAAAGCAAAGGUUCAACCAUGUGAUCAUUGAUUGUGUUUCCUACAAGGUCUUAACGGGAUUUGCUCUGUCAGUUUGAUUUCUUGAAAGGAACGGACUGCUGAUUUGAGCUUUUCUUGUACUUGUGACUGAUUAACGUUGAAAGCUCAUUGAUUGUCACUUUGUGGUUGUCAUUAAUGUAGUCUAUGGGGACACGAUUCUCAUCCAAAUUAUGGGCUGGUAUGUCUCAAGCCUAACUUUGCAUAUGACCCAGUGAUGGCCUUAGCUGAAACUGCCACUCACUCAAUUCGCGAGGUACUAAACUUAUAUAUUAAUCUCCUUAUUAUGUUGAAAUAAUCUGUUCAUUCUGAUUGAAUUAUCCAUCCAUUGUAAGAUAUCCUAAAAUCUUUUGGGAUUCCCCAUGCUCUUGUUCUUGAGACAAGCUUUGACAGACUAAGUCUAAAAUAUGAGGUCAUAGCUAAGACCAAGGAACCACUGAAGCAGCUUGGAGAGCUGCUAAAGAAUUAUUUUGCUAAUUUUUGUGGCAUAGUAUAUUGCCUUGCAAAGAGCGAAUGCGUUGAUGUCGCAAAAUACUUGAAUAAGAAGUGAUGUAUAAAGACAUUGUACUAUCAUGCUGGAUUAGUAGCCUGUCAAGAAAUGGCAUACUGUGGAGGUCUAGAUUGUAUGCUAUAAAAGGAAAUGGCAUACUAUCAUUCUUGUGUUAUUGAGUAGCUAUGUUAUAAAUUAUAUAAUCAAUACAUUGACUUUACUUGCGACUUUUCUCGUGUUAUAUAUAAUCAAUAUGCUCAAAAUUAGAUUAUUUUGUGUUUAAUAUAUUUAACUAAUGUUUUGACUCGUUCGUGCGGCCCGCAUUAUGUAUGAUUUAGUGCUUAAAGAUUCAAACUUGGCUUAACAAGUUACUUGGCCUUGUCUCAAGCUCCGGAAAGUAUUGAGUUAAAGUUCUAGUAGACAAUGACUGAAUCGGAAUAUAUGAUUAUCUUGUGAGUAUCUUUUAACUACUAAAGUUCCACCAAUGUAAUGUAGUACGAUGAAGAGGAACAUCUGAGAGUACUAGCCCCAAAAAAAUUGGUUCGAUUGAAACUUGAAUGCAUGACCAACUACUACAAUUUGGAAGUAGAGUCCAAGUACUAACCAAGUAGACGACCAUUCAAUGGUUUGGUCCAAACCAAAUAAGUAUAAAUUUUGGGAGGGACUUCUUUCACCCUUCCAAAGAUUUUUCUUAACAUUUUUUUUUUAAUCAGUCUUCAACUGUAGCCAAUGCCAAAGAAAAUUUGGUUUCAAGUAUGAAAAUGAAUGGCUGUGUCCACUCUGCUUUAUAGACUCAUGCUCAAAAGGAAUCAAGUUUGAGAUCCAGGAGCUGAUUGUACACUAACGGACACUUUUAUUUUGUUCUCAAAAUUCUUCUAAAUGAAAAACUAGAGCUGAUUGUACACUAACGAACACUUUUUUUUUUUGUGCUCAAAUUUCUUCUGAAUGAAAAACUACUAUCUUUCGGGAAGCUUUUUACUGAAAAUCUAGCUUGCAGUUGACAGAUUAUUUACUGAUUCCAUGACAUUCGCUUUUUCCAUGAAAGAAGUCUCUCGCAUUCACAAAAUUGUAGCUUGAAGUGGACAUCUAAACAGUGAUCUUGUUGACAAACAUGAUUUUAUGCUUAACUUCACAUCUAGAACCACCUGCACAUGCAGCAUUCCUGCAAGCAUUUGGAAAUUCAACCUUUGCUAAAUAAUAGCAUGAUAUCAAAGAUUGCAAAGGACUACUGCAUCACAUUAGAAGAGGUCCCUUUAUAUCAAAAACCCUAUCAAAGAUGAUCAGCAUGGAGCACAUUAUAAGCACCUUUUGCAAAGAACUUUGGAAUGCCUUUCCUUAACGUCUCAUGACCUAUCUCAUUCCGGUCCACAUCUUCGUCCAGUGAUGUUUGGGAAUGUUCUCCGAAUUUUAUGAAAUGCAGCUUGAAUCGACACAAGAAGGAUAGGAUUUACUAAUUAUCAAUAAAUGGAGAUAAUUGAGAUCGGAGCAUCACAAUUUACAUUAUGAGAGAUAAGGUACAAAUGCACAAGCAUCAUUGCACCAAUUGCAAUUGGACCACAAUGAACAGAGACUUCAUGAGCUGGCCCAUGAAAAAGAAAACAACAGGCUUGGGAGAAGUAGCAAUUAGCAACACUACUCUUGUUUGUGUUUAAGAACACAAUUGAUGUCAAUAAAAAUAUGCUGGAAGGCAAAGUGCUUAAACUACAGAGCAGAAAGAUGAAUUUAUUACUUGAUUAUUUUGCAAUAUCCCGUUAGCAAAAUCAGCAAUACAAGAUAGUUGGCUAGGAGGUGAAUUUCUACUUUACAAAGUUGACGUUGCAUGAGAAUUGAGCUUAGCAAAUUACUAAAAUCAGAAACCUAUAUGACAACAUUCAAAGGAUAGUAUCACAUUGAUAAACUGAUAGAAAUGAAGGAGAUCGUCCUCAUGCAUACGUGCAUAUUGAUUUUCAGGUGCAAUCCCACAGCUCAUAUAGUAUAAGCACACAGGUUAUUUUUUUCAUUUUAUGGCAUGACUAGUAGUGCAUGCCUCCCUCUGCAAAGCCUUUUUGAGUUCAGAAGUGAUAACAUUAGAAUGCAACAACAUCAAACACAUAUGCAUCAGAGUGACAUAAAAAAAUAUCAGUAUCUAUGUAUUUGAUUAACAGAGAGGUUGAACCUCAUGAGCAUACAAAAAGCAGACUCAACUCAAAAUACAACAUCAAAAUCAUUCAAGUAUGUGCAGUCAAGACCAGAUAAAGUGUUUUGGAUCCUCACAAGCAUCAAAACUUCCUCAAGUAACAUAGAGAAUCUCAAGCGAAGACAAGUCGCCAAUUUCACUUGGAAUUGCUCUUUUAGAUUACAGCAUGAUAGGAGACUUAUAGUGCACAGAUUUUUGAACCUUCCUAUAGCACUAGGAUGCUUUUCAAUGCCAGAACCACUAAUGUCCAUAUGUUGCAAAUUUUGUAAGUCCCAAGUUGAGCUAGCAAUGUCUCUAAGUGACUCACAAUAGCUGGCACUCGGUUUCUCCAGUUUCCUCAAAGAACCGACAGGUGUGGGAAUCUUAGUAAUAUCAGCAAAAUCUUAUAUAAGUACUUCUAAUUCGAUAGAUUCACCUCCUUUCAGUUCUAACUCACAUAUCCAUCUGCUCUUGUCCUAGUCCAUUGCCACAUUCUUCUUCCACGAUCAAAUUUCUUGUGGAUCCUAAGAUUGCCACUCUCUCCAAUUUCAACUUGGUGAUCCAGCCGAACGCUGAGAUGCACCUUCUCCCAUCUUGGCUUUGAUAUGAUCUUCUUUGCUUUCUUCUCCUCUUUUCUGCAAUAAACACAUUCAUUCAAUAAAUCUUAUAGCUUCUACCAAUAGCCUUCGUCCUUGUCCAAGCAACUUAAACAACAAUUUUCACUUGAACUACCGAUUCAUUCUUUGUCAUUUAACACCACAUUCAAAGAGAAACCUCAAAAUCAAGACGACGUCAAAUAAUCAAUGCUACUAGCGUUUAUUGCGAGAAGAACUCGGAAGAAGAAUAGAAUAACUAUUUUUUCUGCACAGAUUCUCCUUCAAGAAAUAGACCCCACAUAAACUCCAUACACACUAGAGACUUAGACAAACCUUUGAUCGAGAAUUGCAUAAAACAACCAAAUACUUCACUCUAGACCCCAGUGCUUGCUUGAUCUGAGAGAGAGAGAGAGAGAGAGAGAGAGAGAGAGAGAGAGAGAGAGAGAGAGACUCGAUUUUAGGGGUGGAAAUGCCACGAACAACCGUGGAGGAGCGACUCUGAGUGGCAUAAGCUCCAUGCGUCCACAUGAGAGAAUCUCGAAGGGGAAAAGUAGUACUGCUCUUCAAGAACAAAUUGGUCACUCUACUUGGUUUUAGGUAUGAAAAUGUACAUGGCUGCGUCUCUUCUGCUUUUUAAUUCAUGCUUAAAUAAAUCAAGUUUUAGGUUAUAAAACCAAAGUGAUUGCAAAAAGCCUGCAUAUGAAUUUUCAAACGUAACCAUACAAGAGAUGAUUUUACACUAAUGAUGGCAUUUAUUUUGUGUUCAAAAUUUUUCCAAAUGAGAAACUACAGUCUUCUUGGAAACCUUUUCAUUGAAACUGGGUGCAAUUGACAGAUUAUUUGUUUUUUCCACAAAAAAGUCUUUCCCGGUCACAAAACUGUAGCUUGAGGUGGAAAUCUAACUGGUAAUCCUGUUAACAAAUCUUAUUUUAUGCUUGACUUCACAUAUAAAACCACUUGCACAUGCGGUCUUCCUCCAAGAGAUUUGUGAUGCAGCCUUUGCUAAAGAAUAGCACAAUUUCAAAGCUUGCAAAGGACUACUACACCACAUGAGAAGAGAUCGCCUUUAUCAAGAAUCCUUCUUAACAACAUGGAGCAAAUGAUAAACGCCAAUUGCAAAUGACUUCGGAAUGCCUUUCCAUACUGACAUAGCUCAUUCUUACCUAUAUCUCCAACCCGUGGUGUUUUGGGAGUUUCUUCAAGUUUCAUCAAGUUUCAUCAAAUGCAACUUUAAUAUGAAUCUGCACAAGGAAGAUAGCACUGACUAAUUAUCAAUAAAUGAAGAUAUCCAAGAUCGUAGCAUCAGAAUUUACCCCACGAUAGAUAAGGUAAAAUUGCAUAAACAUUGACACCAAUUGGAGUUGGACCACAAUGAACAGAUACUUCAUUAGUUGGCCGAUGAAAAAGAAACCAGCAGGUCUAAAAGAAGUAAGCAAUUUAGCAACACUUUCCCUAUGUGUGUCUAGGAACAUAAUUGAAGUUAAAAAAUUAUGCUAAAAAGGUGAAGUGCCUACACUACAGGACAAUAAGAUGUAUUUGCCACCGGUUAUUUUGCAAGAUCCAAUUAGCAAAAUCAGUAAUAUAGGAUAAUUUGCGAGGAGGUCAAUUUCAACUUCACAAAUCCAGUGCCGCAUACAUGAGAACUGAGCUUAUCAAAUCAUAUAUGAACAUGACCUCCAAGAACGCCAAAUUAUCAUGGCCUUGAAUUUCAACUAGGCUAUCGCAAUGCUCAGACGAAUCAAUUGACAAAUGUCCAAUCUUUCGAUGGAACUACACUUUUCUAUUGAAAGCUCUUCCAAGUACAUGAAUCCAUUGAGCCUAAGCAAUAUCAGCUCGUCACACUCCUCAACACAGAGUUUCAAGGGUCUUGAGGAAAGCUUGGGAUGUGUUCAAGUAGAUGGCAUACCUGAAGAUGGAGUUCUUACAAUUGGGGGCUUUGACAGAUAUGUUAAGCCUGAAGGAAGCUCUGGCAGCGAUCGAAGCUCAUCAUAGCCCGAUAGGUCAAGGUGUUGGAGAGAAGAAAGAUUCCGAAUGCUUUCUGGCAAGUCAUAUAUUGGUGUGAAAUCAAUAUUGAGAAUCUUGAGGAAAGGCAAGUUACCGAUUUCACUUGGAAUUGCCCCUUUCAGAUUAUCACACCAUGAGAGAUUUAGAGUUCGCAGAUUUUUCAACUUUCCAAUAGCAUUGGGAAGCUUUUCAAUCGCAGAAUGACUCAAGUGAAGCUGUCGCAAAUUUUGUAAAUACCCAAUUGAGUUAGGGAUUUCUCUCAGUGACCCACAAUAGAAGGCACUCAGUUUCUCCAGCUUUCUCAAAAAACCGAUAGACAUAGGAAUCUUUGUAAUACCAGAAGAAUCUAAUUUAAGUUCUUCUAAAUCUUUUAAUUCACCCACCUCCUCUAGUAGCUCCUUGAGACGUCCACAGAAACUCAAAUCCAAGGAAACAAGGCUCAUGAGUUUGCCAAUAGAAGGGUGGAGACGCUCUAGUCCGCCACAAUGGCUCAAGAUGAGAACCUUCAACUGGGUGAAUGCCGAGAGAUAAGGAGUACAUCUUAAAUUAGGACAACAUUCAAGGUUGAGAACUUUCAGUUGCUUUGAUGCCUAAUACAAAAGAAGAAUAAGCUGUCAAAGAAUGAGUUGAUCGGCUAAACAAGAACAAAACCCUAAAAUCGCAAAAAGGAUAUCUUCUUUUUUCAAUCUUACAGUGAAUGAACUCCAUCCUCGCCAAUUCUCUGUGAUGUUGCUAUAUGAUAAAUUCAGUAUCGAUAAUUUCGGUAGAUGCAAAUUAAUCAUCCAAAGAGACAAAUCACUUUGCUCGACCAUCCACUGAAGCCAUCUCACUUCAUAAAGGAGAUCGUCAUUGGAGUUCCCGCUUGAAUCCGCCCGUAAAAUGUCGCAGAACCAGGAGAGGCGUCUCCGCAAAAUUUUGCGGAACCAUCAGGGGCAUCUCUGCAAGUUUUUUUUUUUUAAACUUUUUAGAUUUUUCUUUUCUUAAAUCUCAGAUUUUGCACGAUUUGUAACCUCCCUAUCCUUCCCAGUGUACACAUACGGACACGUGAAGUCACAUUUAAUUUUUUCUUCAUGACCUUUCGAAAAUUAAACAAAUGACGUUAAAAUAAAGAAAAAAUGGUUAUUGCUCUAAAACAACUAAAGCAAAUGCAACUCAAUGUUUUAUUUUUUUUCUUCUUCUUUUUUUCAAAUUUUGUAGCAUGUGCACUUUGACUUCUAUUUAAUACAAAAUACAUGAAACCAUUUUACCACAUACAAAUGUUUAUUUGUAAAUUUUAAUGACUUUCGUAUAAUUUUUGGAAAGAAUUUGUUAAGGAGUGUCAGUGGGCCACCUGUAAGUAGCUAUGGAAACACCUGAUUUUCAUUUCAUUAGUUAAAUAUAAUAAUGUCGAAGAGAAAAAAUGGGGAAUUUUCAAUAUAUUUCUAUAUAUAGAAGAGAUUACAUUGAGAGCCUAUUUAUAAACUCUAUUACAGACUAUCUAAGGAAAUCAAAGAAAAUCAAAUCAGAUAUGAUCAAAAUACAUAUAGAAACUCAGAGAAAAUAUCAUAAAUAUCUCUAGAAGAUAUUUACAUAUCUUUAACAUCAUUAUCUAUUGUUGUGAAGUGUUUAAUCAUUUUUUUUGAAAACUGAAACUUUUUUUUUUGUUAAGUCUGUUUAACAAGUGACAUGGUGAUAUUGGACAAUAGUGUAUAAAUAAUAUCAUGAGGCAGCCUAAAUGGAUAAUAUAUAAUAAUAAGAUGACAUGAACAUUGUUAAUUUAACUAAAAUAUUGGCUUCAUGCUGAGCAUCAUUAUACUCAAAGGUAUGGAUAUAAUAAUAAGUAUGGCAUUUCCUCUAAUUAGCCGUUUUCAUGGAAUUUUUAUUUAUUACAGAUGGUUUUAUGUGCUAUAAGUAACUUAGAGUGGAUACAAAUGUUUGUUAUAAGGAAAUCCACUAUUUAUCGUACACCUAACCUAAUCCAUGAAAUGAGCAAGGUCAACGUGACAAAACCUUAAAAAAAGUAAGAUUUUCCUAUAAAACUUUUAAGGGAAUUUUCGCUAUCUUAUCUAUUAAAAGGAAAUAAGAAUUAAAAGAGAUAGAUAUAACUAGUAGAGCAGAGGGACAAGUAUUUUCCAAAUCAAAAUGGAGAAAAAAGAUAUCAAUACAUUUGGCCACACUAGUAAGCAAGAACAUGUGAUAAGUGUGAAAUUUUUUCCAAUCUUAUAAUUUUGAAUUAAUUAUUAGUUAUUAUUUUUGGCACAUGCUAUCUUUUGUUUUUUUUUUUAAUCAAGAAAUCUUCAUUUAUUUGAUCUAUGAUGUUUAUUGUCACGCCCCGAUCCUCGAGCGCGCGCACAUCCUUCUACUUGGUCGAUUUUAGAAUGCGAUAUCCCAUGACUAUGUAUCGCCGACCCUUUCUAGUUAUUAAGCACAUGCGGAAGCAGUUAUAAAUCCCCAAACAAUAAAACAAUGGGAUAGGAAAGUAGGCCAUAUUUUUUCAUAUUGAAAUUCAUAACCACACUUUCAUUAACAGCACAACUCAUAGUAUAUUUACAACACUAUUCACAACAUACUUGUCUCACACCUAUCUAUACUAAGACAGGGUUCACAAAAGGGAUGGGAUCUCAAUCCACAUCCAGGUUAUAUUCAAGAUCCCUCUCUGGAUCUUCUUCUUCUUCUUCAAAAGUCUUUCUCCCCUUCAGGUUCCCCUUCCUUAGCUUUUCCUCAGGGUCCUGAAAUGGUUAUUCAAUAACCAAUGAGACCACGUCUCAGCGAGUCCUACCCACUAAGACUCGAUUAAUAAACUAAUACGCCAUACGGUUGCCUAAGCACAACACGAGUCAGAGGACUUACCUUAGCCUCAGUUCCAACCUGCAAUUCAAGGUUAAACAUAGAUAUUCAAACAAUUCACGACAUCCGAUCAAGCAUUGAUCAAUCGACUAAGUCGAUUACAUGUCAGCCACACCCUUUCUAGGUCAUUCCCACUUAUACCACGAAUUUCCAGUGGUGUACUCAUUCACCAAAUCACAUGUGUUUCUCGGGCGUCGUUUUCGCCAAUGACAUACCGAUCACCGACACCGUGCGUUCUUUAAGGCGCCGUUUUCACCAGUGAUAACCUUGAUCACCGAACGCGUGUCCUUUCAAGGGCGCCGUUUUCGCUCAGUGACAUCGGCUAUAGACAACAUCGNNNNNNNNNNNNNNNNNNNNNNNNNNNNNNNNNNNNNNNNNNNNNNNNNNNNNNNNNNNNNNNNNNNNNNNNNNNNNNNNNNNNNNNNNNNNNNNNNNNNNNNNNNNNNNNNNNNNNNNNNNNNNNNNNNNNNNNNNNNNNNNNNNNNNNNNNNNNNNNNNNNNNNNNNNNNNNNNNNNNNNNNNNNNNNNNNNNNNNNNNNNNNNNNNNNNNNNNNNNNNNNNNNNNNNNNNNNNNNNNNNNNNNNNNNNNNNNNNNNNNNNNNNNNNNNNNNNNNAAUAAAUUCAAUUCCACAUAACGUAGAGCUCAAAUAAAUAAACGGUCUGCACCACGACAAUCGGCACGAAAUUCCGGUCACCGGCCAUCUCGGUUGAAUUUCCGGAAAAAUAAUUAAUUAAAUAAAUAAAUUUCGAAAAUAAUUAAUUAAACAUUAAAAAUCCAAUUUAGGCCUAUAUUGCCUUAUUGGAGCCCGAAACGGGUCGGGAAAAAUCCCGAGAUACAUUCAAUAAAUAAUCAAACAUUUCUACUUGCUAAUAGCUAGGUCUAACCACCUAACAUGCAUUAUUAAGUCACUAAAUUAAUUGUUCUAACCUAAUCUAACCACCUAAGUGCACGUAAUUAAAUCUAACCAACCCUAAGACAUAAUUAGCAAACUAAUAAAGCAUUAGUGAGUAAAACUCACUUGACAAAAGCGGGAAUCGAAUCACCGCAACGGCGACGCGACGGCGGCCGAAAUCGGACUUUCGACGACACCGGCGGACUUGGACCGGGCCUUAAGCUUAGGCCCAACAAAUCUCAGCCCAAAUUGAGAUUUGUUCUUGCUUUUGGGCUGGACCCAAAUUGGGUUGGGCUUGCUGAAUUUUCUGGACUGACUUCACUUGGGCUUCAAAUUUCUUUGCUGAAAAUUGGGCUUGGCCAAUUAACUCACAUGGACUGGACUGGGCUGCAGCUGAGAUAAUUCGACCGGGCUUGAAACUAAGCUGAAAAUGGGCUGAUCUCUUGGGUUGAAAAACUGCUGGCUUUGCUGGGCUUCGGAGCUGAAUCUGCUGGGCCUGAUUUGCGGCCCAAAUGACCUACAAAGGCUGAACUGGACUGCACGUUGGACUGAAUUUGGUUGGGCCCGAAAGUGAAGAGAUGGGCCACGAACGAAGAAAACGGAAGCAGCUUGUGUCUCUGGUGGCGCCUCGGACGUGUGGAGGAAGAAAUCAACUUCGGUGGAGCUGGCCACGCGGAUGAAGAGAGAGAAGAUGGCGUUCGCUGGAGUCUUCGUGAGUGGAGGGGCGACGUGCGCGCUUAAGGAGCUGCGGGCGUGAGAUCAGGUCUUCGGUGGAUGCAAUGUUGACCGAAGAAGGGCAGGUGGCAGCGGCUUGGCUGAAUCAGCUUCGGUGGAAAAGAAGUUGACUGGAGGAGACACGAAGUAGUGGAGAUGGGCGCUGCUUCAGAGGUCAACAAACGGUGGAGGAAAGGGCGCCGUUGACUGGAUCGUGGGCGCGUGAAGUGGAUUAAAUCAACAGGGGCUUCGGUGGAGUCUUCGGUCAGCAAGGCUUCGUGCGCGGCAGCUGGAAGACUCGGUGGUCUUCAAAUUGCUGAAGACGAGGAAGCAAGGGCGUUGAUGCCACGAGGAAACGUGGGAGCUUCGGUCAACCAGCGCUUAUGUGAUUCUGGUUGUUGACUGAAGAGGACGCGUGGAGAGGCUGGCCGAAACGGUGGAGGAAACCUUGCAUGAGCUGCAGGGAAUUUGCUCGGUCUUCUUCAGCGGCUGUUGGAGAUGUCGCACCAAAAAUGAAAAGGGGAGGGAGAGUCCGAUCGGUUGAGGAGGUGAGGGAAAGAGAUGGAUAGAGAUGAGUGAGAAUUGGGCUCCACUUGGGUGGAUAUUUCACAAAAUAUCUUCCAAAAUCACUCUUGGCCAUGUAAAAAUACUUGGCCUUCAAUAGGCCAUCAAAACACCCUCUUCUAGAAGGCAAAGUGGUCCAAAGGUUGUGGCUUUGUGGGGUAUACGAAUUUUGGCACAAGCCCUCCUCAAUUGGACAUCGAACUUCUCGAUUUAAUUUCAUUUGACCUCUACAAAAAUCAAUUGGCAUUUCAAUGCCUCAAUUGACAAUUUUCCUCAUCCAAUAAUCCCUCACGCUUCUCAAUUUCGCAAUCGAAAACCACCUUCGGCAUUUUCUGCACUAAAACAACCCGGUGACAACUUUUUCCCAAAAAGUGUCGGUUGUCAGAAAAAUCUUCUGACACUCAAAGACUCAGUCUGGAAGUCCAAUUUUCUAUCAAUUUAGCCAAUCUGAACUUUUGCCAAAUUUUCGCGACGUCCGAACCUAAUUUCUGUAAAAUUUCCCGAAUCUCCGAAAAAUCUUCUGAGACUGAGUUGACGUUCCUAAAAUAGCUUGUGACAUCACUGAAUUUUCGAUUUCUGAAAUCUGACUCAAAUUGACGGUUAAUUUCACUCCGGCGUGCUUUUAGUGUGACCUAGACUACCGGGUAGUUUUCAGAACUUUUUAGGGCAAUUGACUCGUGGUCGAUUUUCUUCGAGCCACAAUGAACCCACUCGACACAUUGGCGACUCUCAAUUGUCGUGAAAAUCUCGAGGGCUCGACUACCAACACAGGGUACCAAAACGACAGAAAAUCAAAUUAGUGCCGGUCGACGAGAAUUUUCCAAUUUAGUGGAGUCACCCACGAUCGGCCACACAUCUCAGUCGAACCGACCUAUCUCUGAUCUCAAUUCGAUCUUUAACUGUGCAGUAAUGACCUCUAAAGAUGAACACGGUCGAGAAGCCGCUUCCUGGUCGAAUUCUCAAGUCUAUUGCCUUAAUAUUCUUUAAUGGCGUACCCAGCUAGACUAGUUAUCUCGAGAGUGAUCAGCUCUGAGAACAACCCUAUAGACACGUCAAUGAAAUGCCCGAUUAAUUUAAUAGAAAACAAUACUGAAAAUUCUGGAUGUCACAUUUAUACUUCAUCUUCAUUCAUUAUUGUAGUCCUUUAGAUUAUCAAUAUUUUCAACUAGAUAUGAUACAUGCUUUUAGUGAACGAAAUUUAUAGUGUAAAUUGUAGUUAAAGGAUCUUAAAUUGAUUGUCAACCAAAUCUUUACAAAUGUAAUUUAUAUCAAUAAAAUUGAAUGAAAUGGUAUAACUUUUUCAUCCUUUAGAUACUUAUAAUCAUUUAGCUGUCACAAUAAAUCUAAGAUGGACAUAAGUGGAUGUUUACUCCAAGAAAGUAAGAGCACAUGUCAAUCCUAGAUAAAAUAUUAGAAUAGAUUAGAUUAAAUAUAUGAAAAUAGUGGGGAGAAAUAAAGAAAGGAGUGCCAUAUUUUACCAAUCCAAAACGUAGUACUCUUGAGACUCUCUUGUAGUCGUAGUCCCAUGGUCCGCUACGUUUCUCAAGUGGUUGUCCUUGGCAAAAAAUGCUCCUUCUAAGAUCUCUCAAUUGGUCAUGCAUCUCAAACCGACCAUCAUCUCUAAUUUUAAUUAAGCACCUCAACUUUAACUCUUCAAUACCUUUACUUGGAUAAAGCCCACAGUCCUCCCACAUGUACAUGGCGAAUCUUCUCUCUUUGCCUAAUAAAGAAACAAACAAUAUCGAGAAAAAUUUGCUUAUUUCCAUCUUCUAAUGCAUUAUAACUGAUUCACAAUAUCUUUUGGACAUCUCUAUGUGGUUCAUUUUUUAAUUGCUCCCGCACGUCUUCCCAUACCUGUCGAUUUGUUUUUUUAUACAAGUAUGAACCUACAAUUUGAAGUGCCAAGGGAAGCCCACCCAUGUUGGAUAUGAUAUCACAAGAUAUACCCUCAAACUCCCUCAGAGAAUGGUCCAUACGAAAUGCAUGUCUAUUGAACAAAAGAAAAGUUUGCACCUUAUCCAAUUCUUUCAAUUCAUACUUGUAGUCUACCUCAAAUUUAGAUUGAUCAAGAAUGGCUUUGUUUCUAGUUGUAACAAUGAUCACACUUCCUACCAUAAACCAAUGACGCUCGCCAACGCAUCUAGUUGACUCUUGUGAUCUAUAUCAUCUAGAAGAAUGAGAACCUUUUUCCCUUUGAAUCUAGAUUUGAUUAUACUGAUUCCAUCAUCAAUUCUAGACACUUCACUUUUGUUUUGUAGUAUAUCUGAUAUUAGUUGACUCUGUAGAUAUGUAAUACCGUGGCGCCUGGUAGUUUCUCGAACAUCUGGAAGGAAGCUAACAUGCACAAAUUUAUUUGAGAGUUGAUUGUAGAUGCACUUGGCAAGAGUUGUCUUGCCUAUCCCGCCCAUGCCAUAAAUUCCAAUCAUUCGAGCAUUGAUGGAAGGAUUGUCGAUCCAAUUCAUAAUUUCCUUCAUACGAUCAUCAAGUCCAACUAGUUGCUCAGGCAUAUCUAGCUGAAAAUCUUCCCGUAACUUGCUUAUAAUAGUUUCAACCACAUGUUCUAUUAAUUUGCCUUCAUGCCUGUCAAACAACAAAAACAAUGAGAAGUUAUGAACCUAGACAUAGUCUAUGUGAAGCAUUCUAUCCUUAUCAACUGAGUCAACCCUUGUUGGCUAUAGGAGGUUGAUUUUAUCUAGUGGUGAUCAAGCUUUGAAGACCAAGCAUUGUAGUCAUUUGGAGGCCUAUUGUUUAGUGAUUGAUACUAUUGGUUGGACGUAUUGUCAUUUCUUUGUUUUUUUUUUUUUUUGGCUCUAUACUGGAGGAAAAUGUAAAUUCUUGGGCACUAUGGGAUGCUUUGGUUUUAGGUGUCAUUGGUUUGGUUUUCAGGGACUAUUGGAGCGUACUGGAGUUUGUUGUCUUCGAGUCAUUUUGGUUGUUUAUUUUGGGGAUCUUUUUUGAGCUUGCAAUGAAAGUAAUUCAUCUACAUGUCCUCGGUUUUGUGAGAAGAAGAAAACUUAUGAAAAGUUUAGUAAAGUACCCAUCCGCGAUUUUCUGAGAUUCCCAUCCAUUUAAGUAACUAACUUCAUUAAGUGCUCGUUGCCCUUCCUGGAUAUCCUUCUCAUCAAAAUGCUCCCGACUCGAAUGGAAGGCAUUUCCAAAAUUUCCUUUUAGAUGCCGCACAUCCGAUGGAGCAACUUUGUAAAAUAUAGGCAACACUAUGUGUGAUGCGCUCUUCUUAUAGUUCAUGAUAUGAAUGAGCUCGCAGAGGCACCAUUUGCUUGAAGCAUAAUUUUCAGAGAUGACAGGGAUUGAAAUCUUAGACCGUACAAUGGUAUCGAGAAUCUUUGAACCAAAUUCCUCUCCAAUCGGGAUGCUGUUCUCGUCCCUAAACACGCAAAACGGUACAGUUCCUACCUUGAAUAGACUGUGGUAGAGGUGAUCGGUGAAUGUCUUGCGAGUAUCUGAGCCGUUAAAGCUCAAGAACACAUCAUAUUGAUCACUACAUAAAUUUGUGGCUUCUGAAGAGAUGGAUGAAGAAGAGGAUGCUCCCUGAGUGCUCUCUUCCUCUACUCUCUUUCUCUGACUCUGCUCUUUGUCCAUGGUGAUCUAAGAGGGGAAAGUUGACAAGAAAGAUGCUUAUCUUUUGCUUAAAAGGAUUGAUGAACGACGAAAGAUGCUUUUGCAAAUGAUUGUUGGCUUGGUCCUCUCUCUCUCUCCCUCUCUCUCCUUCCCUCCUUCCCUCCCUCUCCUAUGAUCUUUUCUCUUUUUGUGUGAAUGUUGUUUCUCUAUUCGUUUCGGGUCUCUUGCUUCACUUCUUUAAUGUUUUGGUUCAAAUUUGAUGAUUUCAUUUUUUUAAAAUUUUAUUUAAAAUCGCCAUAUUCUUAUUGAAGUUGGAAAUGCGAGGUAGAGAUGAACAAAUGAUUUUUGUCAUUUCUCUCUUAUUUAUUUCAUGCUAGCCCCACAUGCCAAUAUUUCUACAUAAGACCCGAGCUAUUCACUUUUAACUCUUAAAUUUAAAUUAUAGAUUGAUAUACUAUCUGCGCUAUAAUUUGUUAUAUGACACCAAAUGAGCAUAAUGCGUUAGUAUCAAGUUACUAAUGACAAAUGAAAUACUUGUACACUGUCCUUUAGUUCUUUUCCGGGUCAUUUUUUUGUUACUAUUUUGUUGGCAUAUCAUUCAGCUCUUGAAAAGUCAAUAAUCCACUGAAAAAAGAAGUAUGUGAAAUAUUAAAAAAAAAAGAUAAUUUAGGAAAAAGCAUAGAAAAGAAGGGAAUGGUAUGUUUAGGCCUACUUUUAGAAGGAAGUAGCGAUAUUUAGAGGUAACAUCCAAAAGGCUUUUGAAUUAUGAAUUCAUGACACGUGGAAAACUUCAUGAACACGAAUUAAAAGCAAAAAAGGGAAUGAAAGAUGCAUGGCAAUAUGAGGGCAAAAGUUGGAAUGAAAGAUGCUUUUCUGCUGGAUAAAAGGAUCGAUGAACUAAUCUCUAUGAACAAGUAUGAGCAUGAAUCUGUUACCAUGCAAGAAAAAACGAACAUGAAAACUUUAAAUAAUUGGUAAUUGAUUGACUAGGAGCAGUUGUAGAUGCUCUUAGUGCUCACCUUAUCUUCUUUUGGACCUCAUUCUAUUCAAGUCAAAACUUGUUGGCUUGAUCCACUCAUAAGUAAUAUGUACGUUAAUUUUUCAAUUGGGCCAUAAAGAACUAUAAUAUGUGCACAAGCAUAUUGCAUUCACUUAAAAAUAUAAUCAUCCGUUCAGUUUUUUAUUUGGUUAUUGAAAACCAUAAUUUGAUAAACCAUUUGAAAGUUAAUAAUUGAGUUGGAGCAGAAUUAGAGAUUUGUGAAAGACAUCAAGAAAAGACCGAGCUACUAAUUGUCAAUGUGAUUUUAUAUUUUAAUUUUGUUUAAAAUUGCAAUAUUCUUAAUGAAGUUGGAAAUGUGAGGCAGAGAUAAACAAAUGCUCGUGGUUAUUUAUCUUUCAUCUAUUCCCUGCCGACACCACAUGCUACAAUUCCAUUUAAAAUGAAUUUAUUUUGAACUAGUGUGUUAUCAUUGAGCCUUUUAUUUCAAAUUUUCAAAUCUAAAAGUUGAUUGAUAUCUUGACUGUAAAAUAGAGAUAUAAUUUGUUAGGUGGCACCAAAAGAUGGAGCGGACGCUCCCUCAGUACUCUCUUUUUAUGCACUCUUUUCUUUCUCCAUGUUAGUCUGAACGAUUAGAAAUUAGGUACCGAUUCAAUGGAAGAAGGAGAAAAAGAGAAGAAAGAAAGAAAGCAGAAGUUGCUGAGGAAAAUUCAGAGACAACCAAGAUUUGAAACAAUAGCGUUGAGUGCUUCUCCCCAUUUUCGUUGGAGGGCCCACCUUGAGAAUAUCACCAAAAAGAUUUUUUAUCCAAUAAAAUGGAAGUAGAAUAAGAUUAUCGGCUAAAUUUGAAAUAUGUCAGGUUAAAUGGAUUAAUCACAUAUCUGAAGAACGGAUUUAUUCUUUGCAACAAAAGAGGUGUAAGAAAUGAGUGAUAUAAAGCAGGGUGAAUCUCCUAGCAUGUGCAUAUGGCUCGACUUAUUUAAUUGUUUUCCUGCGUGUGUCAUAAGAUCGAACUAGUUUUUUUUUUUCUUACUAUUAGAUAUCAUGUAAAAAAUUAAGAAGUAUCAUGCUAUGGAUUUUGGUAUGUUUUAUGUUGUGAUGAUUGAAACUAUCAUUACUUGAGAGCAGGUGAAAAGUAGCGAUAUGGUUAAAAUGCACAAACUUUCCCCACACUUUUUUAUUACUCAUUUACUUUUAUUUUUUCCAAGUAAAGAAUCGAUCAAUUUUUAAAGCUUUGAAGGGAGAAAAUGAUUUUUUCUUUCUUUCUUUCUUUUCUUGCUAAAAAUGGAGAAAAUGAGUUAGAGGUGAAAGGGAACAUACGUUAUAGGAUUAAUGGUCCAACAAUUCGAGGAAAACAUAAUUACUCAUCUAGAGUGUUCUAUAGGAAGGUAAAAUUGUCGGAUGAAAUAUCUUAAGAGAAGAGUUACUCUUAGGAUGAUCGGUUUUGAGAUGAGUAGAUUCUAAACUCAAAAUCAGGUUAUUUUGUAAUAUCAAUUCUCUUUUUUUGUAACCGAGAACCAAACUAGUUGACCUUGAACCAGCUUACUUUUAUUUUUCUGAUUUAUUUUUCCUUAAAUUGAUCUAGGACCUUCAAACACUGAAAAACCUCAUAGCGGAUAAAAAACAUGGCCUCUGGAUUCAAGCGAAAUGUGGCAAUUUUCCAUGCAAUAGAGUCUAGUGCGCUUGCAGAACUACUUGUUCUAGUUCAACAAAAGAUCAAUGCUAAGUUACAAUGCAACUAACAAUUAGACAGCAAGGGCAUCAUAGGAUUAGCCACAUCUAAAGUCGAAAAUAAAGGCUUUCCUUUUUCAUCGAAGUUUAAUAGGCAACAUCGAUUCCAAAAGAGAGAAUAAAAGACCCUCCUCUCUACUCAGCAGCCACCCCACAUCCCCAAUAGACAAAAAGGGCCCGGAACACUUUUAGUUCAGUCAAUUAUUCUAAUAACAAGGCGACGAAUCAAUAUAAACGACAAGCUAAUAAGAGAUGAAAAAGCAAUUACCUCCCGCGAGCUGAGAUGCGAGGACAGGCUGAGAACGGAGAGAGAGGAGAUUGUAAAAAAGCCUAGGCGAGAACUUUCAAGAGGGAAAGAAUAGAGAAAGCGAGUGAGGACUAAACAGUAGAUGAUAAUCUCGAAUUGUUCUGCAAGAGAGAGGCCGAAUGCAAAAGCUAAAGUAAGAGAUGAGAGAGAGAGAGAGAGGACCAAUCAGUAGUAGAUGAUAGUGUCACGCCCCGAUCCUCGGACGCGCACACAUCCUUCUACUUGGUCGAUUUUAGAAUGCGAUAUCCCAGAAUUAUGUAUCGCCGACCCCUUUCAAUUCAUUAAGCACAUGCGGAAGCAUUUAUAAAUCCCCAGACAAUAAAACAAUAGGAUAGGAAAGCAGGCCAUAUUUUUUAUAUUGAAAUUCACAACCACACUUUCAUUAACAACGCAACUCAUAGUAUAUUUACAAUACUAUUCACAACAUACUUGUCUCCCACCUAUCUAUGCUAAGACAGGGUAUACAAAAGGAAUGGGAUCUCAGUCUACAUCCGGGUUAUACUCAAGAUCCCUCUCUGGAUCCUCUUCUUCUUCAAAAGUCUUUCCUCCCUUCAGGUUCCUCAUCCUCAGCUUCUCCUUAGGGUCCUGAAAUGGUUAUUCAAUAACCAAUGAGAUCACAUCUCAGCGAGUCCUACCCCCUAAGGCUCGAUUAGAAAGCCAAUACACUAUAGGCUGCCUAAACACGGCACGAGUUGGAGGACUUACCUUGGCCUCAGAUUCCAUCUGCAUAUUAGUACAGUUCAAUAGGCAUUCAAACAAUCAUAUCACCGAUCGAAGCAUCGAUCAAAUCGACUUAGUCGAUUUCAUGUCAGUCAGACCAUUCUAGGUCAUUCAUCCUACACCAAGCAAUUCCUUAGAUUUAGUGGCUUUACGGUCCCACCCGACCCUCUCAAGAUUUAGUGGCUUUACGGUCUCACCCGACCCUCUCAACAUUUAGUGGCUUUACGGUCCCACCCGACCCUCUCAAGAUCUAGUGGCUUUACGGUCCCACCCGACCCUCUCAACAUUUAGUGGCUUUACGGUCCCACCCGACCCUCUCAAGAUUUAAUUUAGGAAUAAAUCUUCAAUUCACUUCUAAACUACUUUAGCACCAAAUAAAGCUCAAAUAAAUAAACGGACUGCACCACGACAAUCAGCACGAAAUUCCGGUCACCGGCCAUCCCGGUUGAAUUUCCGGAAAAAUAAAUAAUUAAAUAAUUAAUUCGAAAAUUAAAUAAAUAAUUAUUUAAAAAAAUCCAAUUUAGGCUCAUAAUGCCGAAUUGGACGCCGAGACGAGCCCGGAAAAUUACCGAGACUCGUUCCAUAAAUAACAUGGCAUGUCUACUUGCUAAUGUCUAUUUCUAACCACCUAACAUGCAUCAUUAAGUCUCUAAUUUAAUUGACCUAAACUAAUCUAACCACCUAAUUGCAUUUAAUUAAAUCUAACCAACCUUAAGUAUAAUUAGCAAACUAAGGAAGCUUUAGUGAGUAAAACUCACUUGACAAAAGCGGAGACCGAAUCACCGUGACGGCGACGCGACGGUGGCCGAAAUUGGACUUUCGACAACACCGGCGGACUUGGACCGGGCCUUAAGCUUAGGCCCAACAAAUCUCAGCCCAACUGAGAUUUGUUCUUGCUUUAGGGCCAGACCCAAGUUGAAUUGGGCCUGCUGAAAUUCUUGACUGAACUAACUUGGUCUUCAAAUUGUGGACUGAAAUUGGGCCUCAAUCCUACGGGCUUGAAGACUGAAAUUGCUGGCCCAUUUGAAAUUAAACUGAAAUUGGGCUGCUCUCUUUGGGCUGAAAUAAGCCAAAUUUGCUGGGCUGAUGCUGCUGAAGAUGGACCGAAGAUUUUUGGCUUCGCUGGGCUGUAGAGUUGGGCCGCAAUCCACGAGGAGAAAUUUGCGUGGGCUGCUUCGGUCUUCGCUGGAGGGUGCUGCGACUUCAGCCAGUCAAUUGCUUCGGCAAUUGAGUUACACGAAGGAGAAAUGGAGGCGACGUGAACGAGGCAGCAAGCGGGGAAUUCAAUGAAGUCAACAGUGGAGGAAAAUCUUGCAUGAGCUGCAGGGGGGUUUGCUCGGUUGACUCAGAAUUGGAAGGAGCGGACGCGUAGAGAUCUCUUCUUCUUCGGUGGGUUGUUGUUCACGCGGAUGGACGGACGAAGAACCGUGGAGAUGUCCGCUUGAAUUUCUUGCCGUGUGGAGAGGAGGGCACCGAUUGUUGACUUACGGCCAAAUGGCAGCAACACAGAAGAAACUGCUUCGGUGGAGGCUUCGCUCGGUGGAGUUUCGCUGGCUCAACUUGGCAGCAGCUCGGUCAACAAUUGAAGAGAAGAAGGCUUGGAGUUGACUGGCGGAGCAGCUGGCAGGCGCUGGAUCUUCGAGAGACGUUGCUGCAGGGUGGAGAUGGCUUCGUUCUUGCUGGUGUUGACCGAGAGAUGUUGGUUGAUGGACAAGUGGCGAGGAUGAGGGGAAUUCGGUGGAUGGGCAGCAGCUGGUCUUCGCCUUCCGCUGGUUCCUGGGUUGCUGUGGCGUGCGAAAUGGAGAAAGUCUCGCACGAAGUGAGAGGGAGAGAGAGGAGAAGUAAUCCACGGCGGCUUGGGGAAGAGGAUGAGGAAGAGGCGGGGGCCUUUUGGCUUGAUAUUUUACAAAAUAUCUUACACAAAUCAAUCUAGGCCAUGCAUAUAUACUUGGUCUUCAAUGAUCCAUCAUGACACCCUCUUCUAGAAGCCAAAAUGGUCCAAAUGUUGUGGCUAGGUGGGGGUACACGAAUUUGGGGGAGAUGGCUUAAAUUGCACAACCAUUCUCUCUUGAUUCCAUCUCAAUUUGAUUCUCACAAAUUCAAUUGAUCAUUCAUUGAUCAUCUCUGCAUUUUUCCUCAUUCAAGAAUCCACCAAAAAAUCCAAAUUGAUACCAAUGUUGCACACCCCAUCUUAAGAUUCGAUUUUUAACUAAGUUCGAACUAAAUUUCAAUUUCAAUCUCUCCAAAUUGAGAUCCAAUUUUGAUGUAGAAAAAUCCCAAGAAAUUUUCUAUAAAUCUCCGACACACACAAGCUCAACCCGGAAGUCAAAUUUCCCAUUAAUUUAGCCAAUCUGAACUUCUGCCAAAUUUCCGCGACGUCCGAACCCAAUUUCCGUAAAAUUUCCCGAAUCUCCGAAAAAUCUUCUGAGACUGAGUUGAUGCUCCUAAAAUUUAUUGUGACGUGGCCAAAACUUCAAUUUCUGAAAUCGGACUCGAAUUGGCGGUUAAUUUUCAUUCGGCGCGUUUUUAGCGUGACCUAGACUAUCGGGUAGUUUUCAGAACUUUUUAAGGCAAAUCACCCGUGGUCAAUUUUCUUCGAGCCACUAUGAACUCACUCGACUCAAUGGCGACUCUUGAUUGUUGUGAAAAUCUCCAGGAUUCAAUUACGGACACAGGGUACCAAAACAAUAAGAAAAUCAGUCUAGUGUCGGCCGACGAGAAUUUUCUAAUUCAGUGGUGUCACCCACGAUUAGUCACAUAUCUCUAUCGAUCCAGUCUAUCUCUGAUUUCAAAUCGAUUUUUAACUGUGCCGUAGUGACCUCUAAAGAUAGACAUGGUCAAGAAGCUGAUUCAUGAUCGAGUUCUCAAGUCUAAUUGCUUUAAAAUUCCUAAUAAUUUCCCCAGAUAGUCUAGUUAUCUCAAGAAUGAUCAGUUCUGAGAAUAGCCCUAUAGACGCGUCAACGAAAUGCCCGAUUUAUUCAGUAGAAGACAGGGUUGAAAAAUCUAGAUGUCACAGAUAGUCUCAAAUUAUUAUUGAUCGAUUGGUAGAUGAUAUGCUGAUUGACCGUAGCUAUUAAAUUGAUUUCAGAUGGCAAGCCUAGUCAAGCCACACAAUUUGGAAUAGAGUACGGAAUGGCCACUUCUGUUCAUAUCCACUUAAAACUAUUUUGUUAUACAGAUAAAUGUGGCUCUAACCGGCUUGUUAAUCUUCCAUUAUGUUAUAAUCAAAGACGUUUUUAGUCCUGUAAAUGCUGCAUUCUCCUGCCACCCCAAAUAUGCAUAAAUCAUAUUGUCAAAUCCAUCAUGGGUCAAUAAUUUUCUACGCUAUAUAUACGUAAAAGUCAUGUCAUUGCUAUAAGCAGUAAAAUCGCACGAAAACCAUACUUUAUGAUGAGUUUCUCUAAUUUAAUCCGCAAAGACAAAGUCCACCUAAAAAUUGUCCACAUAAUAAAUACAUGCAAGUGCAUUGAAACCAGCAGCUUCGCUGACUUUCAAGUUUUCCAUUGGAACCAGCACAAAACAAAGAAAAGAAAAGAACGUACAAUCGUGAAUUUUUCAUAAUUUCUGGAAAGCAUUUGAAUUUUCUGUCAUUUUUCCAGAAAUUACGAAAAUUGCCAAUAUAAUGGAAAUCGGUUUUAUGGACAUCCAUCAAUUUUCUAGCUAGUUUGAUCUAUUCAGAUAAUUUUUUGUUCUUGACAAUUCUAAUUCGUAGCCUAUGAAAGGUUUUGUGCAAUUAUUGAAGGGAAUAGACUUGCACGAUCGAUAUUUGGAAAAAUCUAGUUUUUUAAUAUUUUUCAAGAAAAAAAGAAUUAUUUCUACAAAAACUGAUUAUUUUGGAUGUUUCAGGGUUUAAGUAAUUUGGGACAAUUGGGGUAUGUAUAGGGCCAAUGAACCCAAAAUCGGGUCUAGAAUGGUAUUUUUGCAAUUUUUGUUGAGCAAACUUUUUGUCCCAAGGGAGUUCGGUCAAUCAACAAUGUUUUGAAAACAACAUCAGGAUAAGGGCCGGCAUGCAAUUCCACCGGAUUCAACUGGUCUAACCAUACAUAACCGAUUUUUUUAUGGUCAAAAUAAUUGAUUAGUUCAAAUGAGAAGAUUGAAGUAAGAAAAAUUAGCAAUAUAUGUGAUGAUGAUUUUUAAAAAGUCGAGGGAAUUUCACAAGUAACAUUUUGUAUGCCUUAAAGGAUGUUAGGUGUUAUGCCAUGAGUAAUAAUCAAAUGUGUUUUUGUCCUAUCAAUUGUAAUAGACUAGAGAAUGAAGGUUAGGCUUACCUCGAGGAGUGAUUUAGAGAUGAAAUUACUAUGAUGGGUUUCAGUAUUUGAGGAGAAGUUGCCUUGAAGCAAAUCAAGUUGUGUCAGAAUCUUGAAAGUCAAUGCAAUUCAAGGUUCACCUUCAUGCUUCAACCUAGAUAUCUCAUAACAAAAACGAGCCUCUCGGUGAUUUUUGGUGAUUGGCAUUUCUCCUCUUCAAGCACAAGCACUUGGGACUUUAUACAAAGCUUUACUUCUUCUCUUGCCCCAAAGGAGACGUGCAAUCUUGUGGCAAAUGGUGUUUCUUAGACGAGGCAAUUGUACUUCUUUUGAUUCUAACCUUUUUGACCAUGAGCGCCAAAACAAUCCCCUCCUUGAAAUUGGAAAGACGACCCCCUGUAGACUUGACUUGUUAGUUCCUUUUGUUAUUAGAGCCCGUGGCUAAGCAAAUCACAGAGGAAAUUAACUUUUGGAAGAUUGGCGAUACUUUUUUGCUUUAUCCUCAACUUUUCACAAUGGCUCCACAUGGCCACUCAAAUUAUUGAUUGACUGGCAACUGUAUUGCUAAUCGACGCAACAAUUAGAUUGUAAUUGGAUGGCGUGGUCACUCAAAUCAAAUUGAAGAUGGGUGAUACUUUUUUCUUUGUCCUUGCCCUUUGCUUUACCUACCCCAUCAACCAGUAAAUAGAUACGUUUAUGCUGAAGUCAAGGUGUUCACAAUGGAAAUUAGUUUUCACAUGAUACUAUGUCAAAAGAGCCUUGCAAUCAUCUCCUUUAAUUGACUACUUUUACAAGGUGUUGAUAUUGGAAAUUACUUUUUCUCUUGCCUCAAUAGAUGAGCCAAAUGUGCUUGGGAUACAAACAAUCCUACCGUGGAUUUGUGCAUCUUCAAUGAGGACAUUUAUUUCUUUAACCAACUAACUCUCACCUUUUGUUAGUUCCCUCCGUGAUGGGAUCACAUGACCACGCAAAUCAAAGUGAAGAUUGACAACAUUUUCCUUUCUCUUCCCGUUGUCACUCAUAUUUGGUGACCUAUAUCAUAUAUGGAUUAACUCAAGAACAAAUAUGUUGUUGUCGCAGUUAAGGGCAACAUCAAAUUGGGUCAAUGGGAUAUUUCUUCUUACAUAGCAUGCUCAUGCCAGUAUUUGCAUUCUGCAAAAGAAAUCUUUAUCAUGAAAAAAAAAUACUUUUUUGAAGAUUCUAUAUCAAAUUUUCUAUGAAAUCGAGUUGAUUACCUUUUAGAAAAUUCUGUGGUAAGGGAAAGCAUGUCAAAUUCUUCCACCAUCUUAGUUACUUAGUUGCAAAGAAAGUGAUGAGGCAAAAGCCAACAAGACCUACUAAAAGAAAGGGGGGAAAUAGGACGAGCGAGAAAAAACAAGUCAAAAUCUUCCACCGUCUUGCUUGCUUAGUUGCAAAGAAAGUGAUUAGGGAAAAACCAACAAGACUUACUCAAAAGAAAGGGGGGAAAAGGACGGGGGAGAAAAAGUAAGUCAAAGUCUUCCACCAUCUUGCUUGCUUAGUUGCCAAGAAAGGGAUAAGGUAAAAGCCAACGUGGCCUACUCAAAGGAAAAAGGGGAAAAAAAGAUUCUUGUGAUUGAAUGCAAGUCAAAGUCUUCCAUCAUCUUGCUUGCUUAGUUGCAUUAGGAGACAAGAGACCAUUAUUUAUCAUGAAAAUAUUGUACAAAUUUAUUUUAUAAAUGAUGCAAUGGAAAAAACCAAUUGCAAUAUAAUAAUUAUAUUGAAAUUUUCAUUUUAUGAUGGGGCUUUUUAUGGGGUCUGCACAGUUUUUCUUAAGUAUUUUAAUAAAAUCUAGAUGUCCAGUAAUGCUAUGUAAGUACAUUAUAAAUCAAACUCUUCAAUUUGCCUGUUAACUCUAAAUAACUAAUAUUGAUGUGAUAGCAUACGUGGUAAUGUUAUUUUUCUAUAAUUAUACUCUUUUUCCCUUAAAUUGACUAGAGUGAGCCAACACAAAUCAUUGUCCACGAAUGUGAACUCAUGAAAAUGCAAUACCUAUAAUCUUGACACUAGUCUAUUACCGAGUGUUUGAGGAGAGUUGAAAUUGACAUGUGAAAGCUAUAUGUUACUUGAAAUAUACAUCAACCUAGUCAAGAGCAGAUACCUUAUAAAGUUUGUCAAAUUUCCAUCUUUAUUUAAAUUUAUGAAAUCCAUUUUCUUCUCCCCUGCUUCCUUUGCUUAUGCUGAUCGUGAAUUUUUUUUUCUUUUGAGAUUUCCAUUCGAUCCCACAUUCUUUUUUGGUCCAGAUACAAUUCAACACAUCUAUUAGAUUUAUAGAAUAAAGGCUCCGUGUUAUAAGAAUGCCAUUAAAAGGAGUCACACGUAAAACUAGUAAGAUUUUUGCCUUUUGCUGAGGAACAUACUUGUCGUUUUCUGGCUCAACAGAUAAUGGAUCGUUAAACUGAUCCGAAAAAUCUGAUUUUGUCAGCUAUCAAUAGUCAUAAACCACAGGAAUCAAAGGUAUAUUGGUUCUCUCUAAGUGUAUUCCAGAGCAAUAGUAAGACAAAGGGAAUAACAUUGGAUCUUUGACUCUUCCCUCUUUCAUCCAUUGAUUGAGAUGAGACAUAAGUCGCCCAAAAUGGAAAAGAACAAAAAGGAAUAAAUUCAUUCACACCCAUCAACUCAGUACCACCAAAUUUAAGACUUCAAAACGAGGUUAAAAAUCUAGGGUUCUGCUGCGCAGUAAACAAAAGCAAAGGAUCAACACAGGACGAGAACAAAGAAGAUUGUUUACAUCCACCAGCCAAAAGAUUGCAAGGUCAACAGCAAAUGCAGGAAAGAAAUUCAGAAGAAAACCAUACGAAACUGUUUUACAAGCAUAUACUAUCCUGGUAACAAUAUGCGUGUCAUUGAUGGGAAGACCUGAAAGUUUGUCUUCAAUACAAAAUAACUGUAGUCGUUCGUCAUCUUUUAACAUGUAAAAGCAAAAAUUUCAUUUGGCAAAAUUUGCUAACCCCUGUCAUGAAGAACGUGAUAUCCGAAAAGCACAUCACUCCCAAAUGUAUCUUUCAUGCACAUGGCAAGGUGCUAAGUGUUGCAACACUGAAAAAUUGACUUGAUCCCAACAUGAAAUUAGCAAUUUUGGCAAGAUGGACUCCAUUGAUAAAUUGUCAAAAGGUUCAGGACUCAAUUGGCAAAUUGAAUGACUUAAAGCUGAAUUGGUAAAUUGUUAAAAGGUAAACAUAAGGGAGAAAAGAUCAUAAGUUCCUCAAAUUGGAGAGUUGAAAGCUGACGAGGACAUUUAAGGGAUCACAUUACCUUUAGCCACUAAUCAUGCGUGAAAGACAACCAAAUGUCAUGUGAAUCAGCGACAACUGUCCUAUUACGUUGUACUAACAUUUCAGCCUUCUCAUUAUUGAGAUGAAGAGCACGGAGAAUCAUAAUGAAAUGAGAGAAAGCAGUGUCCAAUGAUAUACUCUUCAAUCGGUCAUCAUAUGUGUCAAGCAGAACCAUUUAACACUCCAUUGCCUUCAAUAUCAGAUCACCAAGUUUUGUAUCUUCAAGCUAACUUUGAAUGUUUAGUUGCAGAUCACUUCUUUUAGGAACACUAUUGGGGAAAUCUAACAAAGUGAACAUCCAAAUAUCCAGCAUUACCCUGCAGCAAUAUAUCCAGCAAUCUGGUCAUCCGAUUUGGGUAAAUUAGGUGACGUUGGAAAGCUCUACAAUGCACUGCAGACUACUGUUGGCAGAGGUUAUGUAGGUAUUUCUCGUCCCGCAAUGAUGAUGGCUGUGGAAUAGUUUGCUCUAGGUUUGAAUAGAACACUUUUUGUGCUAGUCAGGGUUGCAGAGGUUGUGUAGGUCCUUCUGGAAGUCUACUUUAGGUUUGAAUAGAUCGGAGCUGGUUUAGCGAAGUAGUCUUCCUGACGAACAAAUAGUCUGGUGCUGUUCCAGUUUGAUGUGUUUAGGUUGCUUUGGAUGGUGGCUUUUCUGGGUUAUUAGCCGAUCCGCGUGGUAUCUGGUGAUUAGGGAAUCACGUAGUUGCUGUAAUUGCUUGUGUUGUGAAGAUAAUUUGUCAUUGAUCGAUUGUGCAAUCGUAGAGGAGGAGAUUUAUUGCUGUCAGUCGUCACUCUGAUGAUGGCUAUGGAAUACUCUCCCUUUUGGAUUUGAAUGGAGGGGAGCUAGUUAAAUCUAGUUCAUUGAGCAUUAAUCCCAUCCCCAUCUCUCGGUGGGUUUUGCAGAGUAGUCUUAUUGACUAGCGAAAUGUCUGACUUAUCUCUAUCUUGCCUACAAUUAAGUAUGGCAUCUUACUGCAGAUUACAUAUUGUAGAUUGCAUUUAUUUGAUCUCUUUUUUGUCAUGGAACUUGCAAAAUCAUCACUCUCUUCUUUUGGUUGUCUUAAGGUGACGAAGAUCGAGAGUCUAUCAUUGUGGAGCACUGUGGUGAUGAUUUUCUAGCAGAACUUGCCGAAACUAUGCAAGACACUAAGGAUUGGGAUGAUUUGCAAGCUGUGGAAUCAGAAGCUUGUGGAUUUUUGACUGAUAUGUUUGGCCAAGAUACCCCAAUGACAGCGAAUGCAAUGUUGUGCACGAUAUUAAUAUUAUAGAAGAUUCUCCACAACCUGAGAAAAAUCGGACUUCUUUUUAGGUGGAUUCCUCUAUUGACAGUGAAGAUGAAGAUGAUAUAUUUGGCAGUAAAAUGGGCAGGAAACCCCCAUGCUAUAUUCCUGAUCAAAGCAGUUCUUCAAGCAAUACAUCCACUCAACUUCUGGCCAGAGAAUCUUCAAAAUACAUGGUAUGCUUCUGAAAACUGUGAAUUUGUCUCACUCUUUUCUGCCUCCACCCCCAUGCCCAAAACUAAUUUGGUCAAUAGUUGUUAAGUUUGUGGCUCGAGUUUUUGAUUCAUUUGGCUUGGGAUUGGCCCGUGUAAUUGCAUGGAGCAAAUACGCGGCUUGAAGAAUGUCUCAGUAUUGUACAGGGUUGGCCUUUCGGUGAAGCAAUUGUGGACACCUGGAGGCCACAAUAGUUACUGGGCAAAUCCCAGGAGUCUGACCACAAUGGUCCAGUUGUUUAGGAGGUUGACAAAAAGUUGGGAGAUCUGGGCACAACUUUUUGUUCUUUUAACAAUGAUUCUGCAACCCAUAUAUCCCUUUUUUUUUUGUUGCUGAGGUAUAUUGGGGUCAACAAGGACAAUGAGAAGAAUUGAGAACAGAUUGUCAUGGUUUUUGAUUGGGAGAGAUUAGAGUGUCCUUCUCAUAAAACUCUUGGGAAAUGCUUUCCACUCGUCUCAUUCAUUUUUGAUUGACUGUUGCAACUGGGGUUUUGGUUAGUGAGAAAUUGAUUUAUUACUUAUUGUAAUUCCCUCUCAAUCAUUGUGAAACAACUCCUCCCGUUGACGUAGAUGAAACUGCUCAUCCCCUUAAAUUAGUUUGUCACUGUUCUUUGCUCUUAAAAAAAUGUCUUUCCUAGAUCAUUUCCACUUUGCUUGUAAUUCUGCUCCCAACAAAGGACCUUAUGCAAGGUAUCUGUGCAAAAGCAUUUAAUAAAUUGCUUUUGAGGGCUCUCAUCCCGAUAAAACUUAUAGUAGACACACCUAACUUGCCGGUUACUUUCAGUCUUUAAGAUCCAAAAUGACUUUAUUAGAACUGUCUGGUCAAUAAAAACAAUUGACUUUCGUUUUGGAUGAUGUAACAAUACCUACAUUUCCAUACGUCCCAGUGAUGGCCUUAUCUGCAACUGCCACUCAGCCAGUUCAUGAGGUACGAAGCUUGCACAUUAUCCUUCCGAUUAUGUUAAAAAAUCACUUGGGUCUGAUCGAAAUGUCCAUCUAUUGCAGGAUAUCCUAAAAGCUCUCGAGAUCCGCCAUGCUCUUGUUCUGGAGACAAGCUUUGACAGACCAAACCUAAAAUAUAAGGUCAUAGCUGAGACCAAGGAACCGUUGAAGCAGCUUGGAGAGCUGCUAAAGAAUCGUUUUGCUAAUUUGUGUGGCAGUGUAUUGUCUCUUGAAGAGCGAAUGUGUUGAUGUAGCAAAAUAUUUGAAUGUUAAGUGGGGUAUAAAGACUGUGUACUAUCAUGCUGGAUUAGUAGCCCAUCAAAGAGUAGCUGUUCAAAAGAAAUGGCAUACUGGAGAGGUCCAGGUUGCAUGAGUAACCAUUGCUUUUGGGAUGGUAAUAGACAAAACCUGAUGUUGUAAGUUGAAAUGGACUCUAAGCCUUUGCCUAUUUUCAGUUUUAGAAUCAAGGUGACAUGCUGGCAAAUACUCAACUAAUUCACUUUUUUUCUAAUGUUUUAGUUUCACUCAUCGGUUUGUUAGGGUGCUUGGAAGUAAACUUUGCUAGUUCCAUGGUCCAGUGGCCUGCUAAAUUGUCAUUCUUGGCUACUGAUUGCGGGAACUAGCAAAUUAUGUCUUUUUCAAGUCAAAUUCUUUCUUCCAUGCAUGGAACUUUGGUAUGCUGAAAUUAAGUUAAACUAGGAUAAAAUUCUUUUCUUUACUGCAAGAGUGGCAAAUGAAUCUGAUCUAACUUGACUUUCUGUUGUAAUGUUUUUGUCAUAUUUCAACUUAUUUUUGUCGGUUCAGUAUUUUAUUUAUUUAUUUAUUUUAAUUGUGGCAUGUGGUCAGCGUUUUUUUGUCCACAACACAAUGUUCAAGUCAAUCGAAAGCUAUUACCAAGAAUCAGGGAGGGCAGGAAGAGAUAAUCUACCAGUACUGUGCAGUGCUCUAUAUGGCAAAAGGAUUUCGGCCGGGUUUUGUGCAUGUUAACAACGAGUGGUCAAGGAUGUAAAACCGAAAUCUUUAAAAGUGCAAUGGCUCAAGCUAGGAAAAUGCAGCAAUAUUGUGAACUCAAGGUAAUCCAAUUUCUCAAUUUAUCUCUGAUGAUCUCAACUAAGUGAUGCUUCUAUUUUGCUUUUACACUUUUCACUUUGUCCUAUUGAUUGUUGUUAGUGUUGGUCUGGCAUUAACCUGUCCGGGUGCUGGAUCAUUAGAUGGGUCGGGUGGCAACAUAUUCAAAUAAUAAUGGAACCUUUGGGAUAAACUCAAAUUCCGCACACCUAAAUAGAGCAAAGUCUAUUGAUAAACGCAUGUUUCCUCUCUAAUUUGUAAAAUUUUCAGGAUGAGUGUCAGCAACAAACCUUACUUGCACACUUUGGCGAGUCUUUGAAUCGGAAAGACUGUAAAUACAGUUCUAAUCCUUACGACAAUUGUCUCAAAGCCUCUUCAUGAAGGUGAACCUUUCAGGUGUCAACUCUCUUGAGGGCGAAAGGUUUUGACUUAUGCAUGAUCUUGAGCUGCACAGUUCUUCUAGUUCCAUCAUCCGCAAUUAUUGGAAGACUGCGAGGGGCAGAGGUCCUUAACCGUGGACACAGAAGUUUUCAGUUCCCAUGGUUCAAUACGACGAUUCGACCAGUUGACCUUUAGACUAGAACCCAAACCGGUUCUUUGACGGUCCGGGUUUGGAAGCGCUGCUUGACACGAUUGCAAGACCCGAUUAUUACAUGUGAACAAAAAUUGCCAGCUCUCACAGCGAAAUUGUUGUGAUAACAUGGAGGGUUCAGCGGCACUAACUUGGCGGAGAUGUGGUGGUUACUUGAUGCUGACAUUAUCUUCCUGACGAUGAUGCAAGGACGGGCUGUGGCACUAACUUGGCGGUGAGUGGCGCUAGCUUGUCUGAUGAGUGGUUCGUUGGCAAAUGAGUGUCGAAGUUUGGCGGGGUAUGAUGGCACAGAUUGGAGGAGUUUGUGUCGUCCCGGUUCGCGAGGCUUUCAUCCAUGGUGGAGUUGGGUUGCAGUGGGCCUCACUUCAGCAACUUGAUUCUUGGAUUCAAAGUCCUUUUUAGUAGAUUUCUGCAGAGGCUGUCUCAACGUCUAUGGCGAGCUUCGAAGCGCUGAGACGAAUGAACUGAAGGCCUUUUGUACAUAACCGGAAUGUCUGAUACAAGUACUGGUAAUCAAUUAUGUAGACCCUGAAGUAAUAUAGAGAUACGCAAUAUCAUGAAUAUAGACAUAAUAUGACCAUCUACGAGAUGCACAUGCUAUUCUGAAUAUGUAAGAGAUUUAGUAAUUUCACGUGACAUUCACCACAACCAUAUAUGACAAGUUGUAUUGUACAUCAUUUUAUAAAUUAAUGAUUUUUAUUUGAUGUUACAAUUAAAUAGAUUUUGGGUGCUUACUUGAAGGGAGGUUUUUGACUCAUAAUUUUUUUAGAUAAAUAGGAGCACGGUACGAUUUUUACUCUUAAAGUUUAUAUAACAUUUUAGAGUUUGAAAUCAGGUUUUGAUUUAAUGUUAACAUCUCAAACAUUUUCACUUUUUGCCGAUUAAGUCCAUCCGGCCAAUUUUGGCCGGAAAAUGCUGACGUGAAUGCCGCCGUUGCCACGUAGGACUAUCGGUGCUGACGUGGACAAUUUUUAAUAAUAUUUUAACAUUUUAUAAAAAAAAAUUGAAUUUUUUUUGAAUUUUUUUAUUUUUAUUUUUAUAUUUUCUGUUUUUCCCUUUCUUCUUUUCUGUUGUCAGACAUCUUCUCUCUACCCACUUCCAUUUUUCUCUCUUUCUGCGUUCUCUCUCUCCCUCCCUUGUCUUCACGAGACGGCGCCUCUUCCUUUUGCUCUCUCAAACUCCAAAUUGUCUAUGUAAAAUUCCAACACUCUCUCUCCUAUGACACUUCCCUUUUGCGGAGAGAGAGAAAAAUGGAAGUAACAGAGAAGGUGUCUGACAAUAGUCGACUGAAGCGACUGAAGAGAGAGAAACGGGCUGCGAGAGUGUUAAACAUAUAUGACUUGUGGACCUAGGCACAANNNNNNNNNNNNNNNNNNNNNNNNNNNNNNNNNNNNNNNNNNNNNNNNNNNNNNNNNNNNNNNNNNNNNNNNNNNNNNNNNNNNNNNNNNNNNNNNNNNNGUCUGUGACUAGUGGCGAGUGACCGCCCGCCCGAAAAGCCCAAGGAAAAAGCCAAAAAGAAAAAAAGAAAAAAAAAAAAGAAAAGAAAAAAGGGAAAAAUAUAUAAUUCAAAAUAAAAAAAUUCAAAAAAAUUCAAAAAAUUUAUAAAAUAUUAAAAUAUUAUUAAAAAAUUCUCCACGUCAGCGCCGGUAGUCCUACGUGGCACCACCGGCGUCCACGUCAGCAUUUUCUAGCCAAAAUUGGCCGGAUGGACUUAAUCGACAAAAAGUGAAAAUGUUUAGGACUCAAUUGGCAAAAUUAAAAUCUUUAGGACUGAAUUGGCAAAAGUGUAAUAGGUUUAGGACUUUUUGGACAAUUCUCCCCCAUAAAUGGGGAUUAUUUUUCUGAUGGCAAGUCAUAAUCAAAAUUUGUUACACUUUCAUUUUAUAUCAAUCUAGGCGAAGGAGAACUAAUAUGUAAGUUUUGGCCAAAAAUAGAAAAAUUAAUAGUUGUGCCUCACUAGUCAUUGAUUAUUUAUCUUGGUCUUUUAUAAUUGUUUGAAUUAUGGUCUUUGGUUUUCAUUAUUUUCGAUAAACCAUGCCAUGCACUAAAUAAACCACAUAGCCCAACCACAUAUUUCCUUAACCCACGCACUUUAAGAAUUAAGAGAAAAUUAAACUAUUCAACGCAUCUAAUUUAAUAAGAUUGGAUUGAGCAUUGAAUGGAUUUCGCGUUAGAUUAUUAUUUUGGACAUACAUCGAAAAUGUUUAGAUGGGUGAAUUAUUUUUAGUAUAUCUCAUAUCGGCAUGUUAGAUUAUAAUAUAUGGAAAUUGGGUCAGUGCUUAUGGUCAAACUAUGUCUUGGGAUAUGAUAUACGUUCAUAAGCUAGUAUCGUUCUAGGUUUAAUCACAAGCAAUAUGAUUGCCGACCUUAAUUACAGCUGACAUAAUUUUCGGGCCUUAUUGCCUGGUGAAGCAUGAAUGGGACUGAAUGUCGCGACCUAACCUCGGCUGAAUGGUUUGGCUAAUGGAUUACUUAACUUCAACUUAGCUCAGGCUCUCCCAAACCCAUAUCAAUUGACGACUUAAAUUCAACUUUUUAACAUGUGAGUCACCACUAAUCUAUUUUUGGUGGUUAUUCCUAUAAACCAGAGAUUAUGAGCUCAGGGACUUGAUUACGCUAAAUUUUUCUAACGCAUUUUCGGUACUUUUUUUUUAUUAUUAUUUUGAAAACAUAUUUUGCAUGUAGUUUGAAUUGAUUUUAAUUUAUUUCCCUAACAUGUGAGGCGAUUAUGCGAGUGCACAAACCACCAAUUUAACAAUAAAUUACGAGACUUAUCUCGUAGUAAUGAAAGUAUCUGCAAUGUUAGCUUGAAAUUCACAUCAAAAGCCCUAAAUAUGAUUCCUAAUUAACACGUAGUCACCCAAUUUUUUUAGGAUUUUCUCUUGUUUAAUGAAACCUAAGCUAUAUGUCAUGCAAUUUAAAUCAAAGAUAUUGUCUAACCUGGAUACCAUCUAAACAUGCAUUCUAAUAUAAUUAAAAAAGAAUCUAAUUAUUCUGCGGAGACUGUUCCUCUCUCGAUUUUUCUUAUCUCAAACCUCUAUAAAUCAUCAUUUCCUCCUCCCCUUUCUUCUUCUUCUUUUCUUUUUUUAUUCGAAUUAUUUUUAAAUUUUCUUUUUCUUUUUUAAUUCGAAUUAUCUGAGUUUUAAGAAAACCCGCAUUUCCGAAAAAAGCAAAAUUGGAGCGUGUAGCGUAGACCCGUCAAGAGCAUGACAAUCCAAACUUUAUAAGUUUGACACGUAAAGUCUUCUCUUUGCAGAGGAAAAAAAGAACAAAGAUGUGAGUAAGUAUUUUAUGCGAGAGUUAAGUAUACUGUCUAUGUGAGGGUGGUGUUUAUAUAAUUUGAAAUAAGGCGCUAGGUCGAUGGACUUAGAAAUUCAACAUAUGAAGGAAAUAAAUAAGUCAUUGGCACAAAAAAUAAGAAAAAGAAAAAUAAAGGACAACCCUAAAAGAACAGGAAACAAUACGCGACGAAGAAAGGGGAGAUCUUCUUGGAUUCCAUGUUAUAGAUGUCACACAUUGGAGUUUAUAGAACUUGAAAUUACAAAAAAAAAAAAAAAAGUAAAGCUACUUUGCCGUUUAUAAGGAAAUUACCAAUCAAUCAUAAAUUUAUUAUAUAUAUAUAUAAAUUUAAUUUAAAAAAAAUUCAAUUCUAUUGAUUUAGUUUUAAAUCUUUAUGAGAAAUUUCAAUGUAGUAAUUCUGAUCAAUUUCCAUCAGCAAUUGUUGAUGUGGUGGUCCAAUCACUGUCGACCGUCUUACGUGACACACUGUAAUGUUAGCGACUUUCAACGAAAAUUGUCUAGAAGGAUUAUAUUAGAUUUUUGAGCAAAGAUUUCAUAUUAAUUGAUAUAAUUGAUAAGUUUAUAACUGAAUCGACAUCUAUAUAUAUAAUUUUAAGACUAAUUGGACAAUCUCCCUACUAGUUGUAACCCGCAGCCACUUUGUUAGAUAAUGCUUGCUCUUCUUCUUAUACUUACGCAGACCCAACGGAAGAGUGUCAAAUGAAACCGGGAAAACUUAUUAGGGGGGCAAAAAAUAGAGCUUCCAGCAAAAUUCAGGCGCAAAAACGGAAUUUUCGAAAGAAUUUGAAAAAAAAAAAAAAAAACAUGGCUCCAAUCUCUCCCGCUCUCCAGCAACCAGCAGGUAAAAAAGCAGAGCAAAAAACAUCAGUCCCGCCAUCGCUGGCAUGGUUUUUCUUGGAAGAGAGCGCUUCGAGCGCGCAUGCUCUCUCUCUCGAGAGAGACUACGGAUCGAUUCGAUUCCUACCCUUGCAUCGUUGAUCAAUCGAUUCGAAUCGCGUCGAACAGGUUGAGAUUCCAUGGAGCAUCGGGGGUUGAAGGAGGCAGAGAAAUCUCUGGUUGCUGAGCUUGGCUAUCGAGUUCGGCUUCGACGAGCAGUCCUCCAGCAAGUGCUUGGGACCGUCUCGUUGCGCUCAACGGUAACUUCAAUCGCUACUUUGUCGCCCUUUUUUUUUUAUGCUAAUUAGCGUUUGCAGAGGUUAGGUUGUGUAGGUAUUUCAUCGUCCACCACGAUGAUGGUGAUGAUGACUAGGGAAUAGUCUGCUCUAGGUUUGAAUAGAUCGAGCGGGUUUGGUGAAGUAGUCUUAUCUCUGAUGAUAACUGGGCACGCGGCAAAGUUUUUCUUGCUUACCGGCCAAAAUGCGCAGUAUCUUGUCAUUAGGGAAUGGCAGCAAAUAAUCAACGUAUUCGUAUUAUGCACAGUUGCAAAUGAAUUUAUAUAGAAAUGAAGCUCUUCUGCUAAUGGAUUUUUCAUUUUGACUUUUAAUUCCAAAUUGCUGAAGAGUGUACUGAUUAAGCCUACAAGUUGCAAUACUGGCAUUGCCUUUGGCAUUCAUGGCGGCAACAAAGGGCUACAGGCUAAUCAUUACAAUGCCAGCAUCUAUGAGUUUGGAAAGAAGGAUCAUCCUCCGUGCUUUUGGAGCUGGGUUGGUCCCGACCAAUCAUGCCAGGGGCGUGAAGGGAGCUAUACAGAAGGCAGUGGAGAUGAUGGCAAAGAAACCUAACUCUUACAUUCUUCAGCAGUUCGAGAAUCCUGCUAACCCAAAGGUACAUGUGUGGUCAACUGUCAUGUCUUGUUGGUUGUAUAUGCAGGUGAUGACACGAACUUGAGCUUGGCUGUCAUUGUUCUGUUUAGAUACAUUAUGAAACAAAUGGACCAGAGACAUGGAAAGGCUCGGGCGGCAAAAUAGAUGCCUUUGAUUCUGGGAUAGGAACUGGUGGUACUAUAACUGGUGCUGGAAAGUUUCUGAAAGAGCAAAACCCCGUUGUUCUCCUCUUCCAUACUCUGCCUCUCCCCCGUCCUGACGCCGCUUGCCCUCACCCUCGGCUCCGCUGCCUGACCCCGCUCACCCUCGACGCUGCCGCCGCCGCCGUCGGACGCCGCUUGGCCUGCCCUUGCCUCCCUCGAUGCGGUCGCCCCCCUCUCACCCCGACGCUCAGCCACUCGACGCUGCCGCUGGACGCCGCUCUUCCUCGACUCCACCACCGGACGCCACUCACCCCCGGUGGACGCCGCUCGCCCAGCCACGCCGACGCUCGCCGCUUGUCCCGACGCUCAGCCGCUCGUCCCGACACUCGCCCCGACGCUCAGCCACUCGACGCCCGCUCGCCCUCGACGCCGCCUCUGGACGCCGCUCGCCGCUCACCCAGCCACCCCCGACGCCGCUCGCCUAGCCGCUCGCCGCCCCCCCAAGCCGCUUGCCCUGUCGGCCCCGAUGCCACCCAGCUAUAGAUCGUCUCAACGCCGAUUCGCGAUGUCGGUGAGUGCUCGAUUUCUCUUGCUCUGUCUCUGUUUCUUCUGGUUUCGCUCGAUGCAUUUGCUUUUUCCAAGCAUUCCCAUUUGCAAGCAAGCCUAUGUUCAAUCCUUUUGUUUCCUGAAAAAGGAUCAAUCUCCUCAAAAUUAAUCUCGAUUAUGCUCUCGAUCCAAUCCGCCAUGUAACUCGUAACAUGAUUUCCGUCCACGACACUUGUAAUCUCUGAGAUUGAAUACGUUAAUGUUCUGCUUUCCCCCUAAAUAUGCAGGUCUCGGGGAUAAUGCAGAAAGGAAAAAUGGAUUGGUCCCAGAAUCUAUCAUGAUGUCGAAUUGGACAGUCAAUGUAUCCGAGGUGCGGUUAGUUUCGCCAAGAUUUUGCAGUCUGCAUAAAAAGAAUACUUGUCGGAAUAUACUAACCUUGACGCACCUUAUCAUUGCAUCAUCAAAAUUUAUAAACAGGUGAUAUCAUGCUCCUCCACGGACGAUCAAGGUCAGCAACAUAUCUCCAAAGAGACAUUAUCGCAUGAAAGCAGUUUUGACCUUGUCCCUUCUUCAAAAAUCGCGUGGGUACUAGCUAGUUUAUCAGAGUAUGGAGCUGUUCCAUCUAUUUUGUUUGGUUAUUUGUUUGUCGCAUUAUAUGUCUUGCUAAAUUCUUGAAGGACUUUAACUGUAUUGUUUCAGCAAGCGCUACGCAGCAAGACCUGCAUAAGGUACCUGGUGUAAAGGAUCUUCGAGUAGUUUUUGACAGUGGGAGCACUUACACUGAAUUUUGGGAAAGGAAAAGCCCAACUUCGAUUGCUGCCCGAGGCUUAUCUCAUUGUCACGGUAAGCUUUGUUUCUUUUUUCUUUUUAGCAAGAGAGUGCACCAGCGACUGACAAAUUAAGGCUUGUAUUUUUCCCCAGAGACACGGUAUGAGGCACAAGCUUUGUGGUGAGUCCUCCAUCCACACUCUAAUUAUGUUUAUGAAUAAGGCGCGGAUAAGUCACAACUUUUUCUUUAGCUUUGUUUCUCUAGUUUAGACAUAUCUCUUCCUUGGUUACCAUCAGAUUCUUCCAUUAGCAAACUAUGGAAUAGAUGUGUCAUCUUUAUUUGUAGAAUAUUUUAAGAUUAUGUUUGGAUGUGGGUGCCUACAUUCAAAUGGACCCAAAUGAAAAGAUAUAUGAAACCUUGACAUACAAAAGCUUCUCUUUUGGAUUUAUUUCUUUGUAAUGUGUCUCCAAAAGACUAAGUUGGUUAUGGCGUUCUGUUCAUUUUGUUCUUUUGUGGUAGUCAUGGAUUUAUUUCUUUGUAAUGUGUCUCCAAAAGACUGAGUUGGUUAUGGCGUUCUGUUCAUUUUGUUCUUUUGUGGUAGUCAGGUGGUAGGUAUAUGCUUUAAAUUAUCUGAAAAUCUGCAUCAGUCAAUAGAUUUGCUUCUAAGGUCAAUAAAUUAAUCUUAUAUACUAUAAAUAAGGUUGAAGGUGUUAUGGGCAUCAGUCAAUAGAUUGUUUUAUUAGGUUGCUCUAUAAUUCUUGUGGUCUCUACCAUAUAAUUGAAUGUCUCUUGAAAUUUCCACUUAUUUUAAGGGUUAUAGCCUGCUAGUUAUUUGAGCUUGAACUUGACCAAAUAAUUAUGAUUUACUCCCUUUUUGCCUUUUCCAAUUCUGUUGAUCAUUAACUUGAGCUGGUAAUAUACUCUGAGGCAUCUAAAUCAGAGAAUUUGAACAUAGAGUUGUGAGAACCAGGUUCUAAUUGUAUCCAUUAAAUUUUAUUUGUUAUUGGUAUAUUUACAUUUGUUGAAUUUUCCCCUUUUGCAUUUAAUGCAGGUGAUUCCAUGUGUUGUGCUGUCUCUAGUGAUUCACCCUCAACACACCAUCAUAUCAUUAAUAGGAUUUGCUGGGCCUUUUGUGUUUAUCUUGAAGCUGUUUCAGUGCUACCCCAGCUCCGUGUCAUGCAGAACACAAAGGUAUUGCAAUGUCCAAAUCCUGUAAUGGCGAUAUGCGUGGAAAAUAUCUAUGUCAAUUGAAACAGAGUGUAAAAGGACCUCUACUUCUUAUCUGUUGGUCACUUACACUUAUAGAGAUAGUUUGAUGCCUGAAGCCCCUUCAUUAAGUUUUCUUUUGCCACUCGCUCCUUUACUUUGAAUCUUUGGCUAUUUCUUUUGUAUAUUUGUGUAAGCCAGGUUUGAGAUUGCUCAUUUGUGAACUACAAUUUCUAUCAAUUUGCUAUCUGUCUUGCAAAGUUGGUGUUUUGCAAUCACUCCAAUGCAUACACAUCACAUCUAGUGUGUUGGCUUAUACUAUGCUGACAGGAAAUUCCCAUGGGUUUUUUGCUGCAUAGCUGUCUCAAACAUUGGUCUUAUGUAAAUGUUGACAGCACAUCUAUUGGCUUUUUUUCUUCUCUGUUACUGAGUUUGUACCACUCUUUAUAAUUUUGGGGUACUCAAUUGAUAAAGGAAAGGAGGAAGAAAUAAAAAAUAAAAUAAAAAAAGAACCCGUUGGAACCUGUUGGAACCUAGAACCGACCCCGGAACCUAUGAUAGGAUAGGUUCCAGGUUCUUGGUUUUGACGGGUAGGUUCCAGGUUCCAAAAAAUGAGGAACCUGUACCCGAGGGUAGGUUCUAGGUUCCAGGCGGAACCUGUAAGGAACCGGGAACCGCUCACCCCUACUUAUAACUUCUGGGGCAUGUGGACUUUAGAGCGAGUUCUAUUAACUUCGAAAUUUCUAAAGGUGUCAUCUACAUCCAUCUCUGCCACAUAUAUGGCCUUAUUAAACAGUUUUGGAAUGAGUAAAUAUUUGCACCUCUCUCUCCGAUAGUUGUUUGAAAAACAAGCACUAAUCUCUCUUGAAUAUUACAGUUGCAGAUUUAAUCUUUUCUGGUUUUAAUGAUUUACAUUGUCUCAUAGAUUGCUGCUGACUGGUUCUGGUAGGUCCUCACAAGAUCCAAGGGAUAGAUGCUGGUUUCAUUUUAGGUAUCUUAGAAGUUGACCUUAUUGAUGAAGUAAUUCAAGAAUUCUUCUCUUGAUUUAUUAAUUUCUAUUAAAAGUAAACCUUUUAUGGUGACAACAGGCUUUUGAAGAGAUGUGAUUGGCUCAUUUAUGUGUCACUGAGAGCUUUAGUCAUUCUUACAUCAGGUGGAACCUCUAUGUUUGAUUUCUCAUCUGCUAUUGGUCACUGGUCAGAUAUGAAAACAAUUUGACUUAGGAUGUUCUUGAGGUUUAGAUGUAUUUCCUAAAUCAAGCAAUUGCAAACAAAUGCCAUGGCAAUGCUAGCCUCCACAAAAUGUGUUUUUUCUAGGUUACCGUUUUAUGUAGAUGUCGAUGUAUUGUUGUAAUCGUUAUUUUGCAAAGGGUACUUGAGAAAUGUGAUCGACAAUAAUCAUAUUCAUAGGCAAAACACGGAUAACAGGCUGCAAUCUCAUAGUAUAAGCUUUCCAAUAUUCCUCCUUGACUAUCUAAAGAUCUUUCACAGUCAGACAAUUAUGUUGGUUGAACAAAGUAACCCUUAUCUCUGAUGAUAACUGGGCACGCUGCAAAGUUUUUUUUUUUUUGAUGACCCAGGAACCGCCGCACAGCCGGUAGCCGGCGACGUAAACCCGGGGGGCACUAGCGCAGGGACCCACCUCCCACGGCACCCCACUUAAGUCACGCAAUGGGGGUGAGAAGUUUCGAGCGCUGCAAAGUUUUUCUUGAUUAUUGGCCAAAAUGCACAGUAUCUGGUCAUUAGGGAAUGACGUGAUUGCUUGUGUUGUGUGGAUAGUUUGUAAAUUGUUUGAUUGCGCAUUGCUAAUAUGGAGAUUUGUUGUGGUUAGUCACUAUUCUGAUGAUGGCUAUAGAAUAGUCUACUUUAGAUUUGAACGGACUGGAGCUAGUUAAGUCUAGUUGACUGAGCCUUAAUCUCGUCCUUGUUUGGCAGGGUAGUCCUAUUGACUGGUGAGCUGUCUGUCUUAUUUCUAACUCACUGUGAAUUACAUAUGGUGUCUUGCAAUAAUACUAAUAUUGUGUCUCACUGAACUAAGUGCAAAUUACAUAUUGUAGAUUGUAUUUAUAUGAUCUCUUGUUUGCCAUGGAACUUGCAAAGUCAUCUCUUUCUUCUUUUGGUUUUCUUAAGGUCACCAAGGUCGAGAGUUUAUCAUUGUGGAGCACUGUGGCUACGACUUCCUAGCAAAACUUGCCGAAACCAUGCAAGAUUCUGAGGAUUGGAAUGAUUUGCAAGCUGCGGAAUCAGAAGCUCGUGGAGUUUUGACUGCUAUGUUUGGCCAAUACAUCCGGAAUGGCGGUGAGUGCAAUGUUAUACAUGAUGUUGACAUUUAUAGAAGAUUCUCCAUGACUUGAGGAGAACCAAACUUUUGUUGAGGCGGAUUCCUCUACUGAUAGUGAAGACGAAGACAAUAUAUUUGGCGGUAAAAUGGGUAGGAAAUCUACAUGAUAUAUUCCUGACCAAAGCAGUACUCCGAGCAAUUCAUCCACUCAACUUCUGGCCGGAUGAUGUUUAGAAUCCAUGGUUUGCUUCUCCCAUGGACAUAGAUAAUACUGCCAAACCACUUAAGUCAGUGUGUCACAGUUCUUUUUUCUUAUAAUCUGUUCUCUCCUUGAUCGUUUCCAAUUUGCUUGUGAUUCUGCAUACAGCAAAGGACCUACACAAUGUACAUGCACAAAAGCAUUUAGUAAAUUGCUUAUGAGGCCUCUCAUCCAAUCAAAUGUCCAAUAGACACUCAUAACUUAUGCGAAUUACUUCCACAAUCUUCAAGACCCAAAAUGAGAUAUUAGAACUCUUUAGUCGAUAGAGAAGUUGUUUUGAGUUUUGGAUGAUGUACAAAUACCUAUAUUUCUCAAAUACAUUAAGAGUAUAGCAGAUCAUUAAAGUGUUGAACUUAGUAAUCUAGCAUCAUUGAUGGGAAUGUUUUGCAUAAAUGAAGGCUUGUGAUUUCUUUGUGCACAUUUUUCAUUUCCAUGACACUCCAGGUCAAAAACUAAUACGAUGCUGAAGAGGCUUAUUUCUGUUGAAGGACUAUAAGAGCACUAUCACUCAAGGUUCAAUAUUGUCAGUUUCAUCAGCUUCAAAUGAAAGACAUUGCUCUUGGAUUUCGACUUCCAACUACAGGACUCUUGAGUUAUGAGGAAUUGCAAGCCUUGGAUGACAUAGAAUUGACGAAUGUUGUCAUAUUUGCAAACGAAGUAUUUCAACCAACGCAGCAUCAGGCUUGUAAAGCGUUUGUAGCCAAGUCAAAUUGAUUUAUUCUUAUGACCACUGGAGGUGGUAAACGUUUACGUUACUAGGUUAGUGAAUGUUAACAUUGUCUGAGCUGUAUAAUGAUUGUAUGUAGAAGAAAGUGGAGACAAUGUUUAGAGCACAACCCCUGUGCGCUUUGCUCAAUGGUUCCACCAACUAAAUGUAAAAGGGUCGACCCAUAUGUCAAAAUUUAAGCUUUAACAUGAUCUUCUAAUCUGCUUUGUGUAGCAUUGUUAAGAAGGUUGUGAACUUAAGGAAGAAAAUGUUUUUCAAAUGAAUAUUAACCGAUAGGAAGUGAUUUUGGUACAUAACCAUGGUUUCCAAUGUAUGGCAUCGGAGAAAACUAAAAAAAGAAGAAAAUUUAGGACAUUCUCGUUUUGCCUCCACAAAUCUCUAUAUGUUUGGUAAUUUCUAAAAUUUAAAAAUUGUACUAUGCUUCUAGGACUUUCUAAUCAUUUAUUGGAAAAUUGAUCUUUUUUAUGCAUGUAACUAUCGUGCUCAGCUCGAUCUCGCGCUCUGACUUGGUUUGAGUGUGAGUUUUUUUAGAUUAGGUUAAAUAUGAAAGAAUUUUAGUAAUAUGAGUCAUAUCGGAUAUGAGUUAGGUAGUGAUCGGAUUGGGUAUGGGUCACUAGACUUGCAUUGCAUGGAAAUGGGUUAAAAUAGGUUAAUUAGAUUUAUUUGGGUUAGACUAUUUUCGAUUCAGUCUGAUCCAAUGUAGGAGUCAGUAAAUUUCGGAGUAAAUUCACAUUAGCUGAUCAUCAAGCUGUUAUUUUAUGCGACACCACCACAAUACAUGGAGAAAAAAGGCAAAGAAAGAAAGAAAGCUAUGGCAUACCAUUUUUAUUAGAACAACCAUACUCUUCGCAACCCAACACCACCUAAAGAUUGGCGGAAUCAUUUGAACAAUCAACAAUGACCACAUAAGAAGGCAAAACGGAUCGGAUCCAUCUAAUUUAAUAUUAUCUUUCUUUAGUAUCCAUAAUUUUCCUAAUUAAUAAUAAUUUACUAAUUGGCGUAUUUUUUCCUUUGUUACUUAAAUUUCAUGUAUCUUAUGAUUUGGAAUAUAUCACCCAAAAAAAAAAAAAAACUGUCUAAGUUUAUGAUAAUUUUUUUCUCAGAUUGUUAGUAAAUUACUCAAUAGAUUGUAAUUUUCCUAUGGCGUAUGUUGUUGUUCCUACAGUACUAAUUUAUUUGUAAAAUAUCCUUGGAUAACUUUUCUUUGAAGAGUGUAAUUUUUUUUUUUUUUGGAAGUCAUAAAUCCUCCAAGCCUAUGGUUCACGAUAUUCCAUAAAAAUAGUAGUCUACUUAUUAAUAGUGAACUUCUUGUGCAUACUUCAGUAAAAUAUUAAAUUGAUUGCAACUUUAUUUACACUUUGUAAAGUUUUGCAACCUAUAUGUCAAUAAUUUUCUUUACUUGUCAUAACGUUUCUCGAGCAAAUAUAUUUGAUCACAUUUGCAUCUAUAACUUUUCUUUAAUGUCUGAAAGUUACGACAGAUAAUAUUUGCAAAACAGAUUUGACGGAUUACAUUUUUGCCCUCUUUAUCCAACUAUCCACGUUGAAUGCAGAAUUGAUCCCAUAAAAUAGAGUUUUAAAUUAUGAAAUUUCCCUUACAAUCCUGAUGUUUUGGGCACAAUAGAGUAAUUUUUUAUUUUUUUGCCGAACAGUAAAGUAAUGUUGGAAACUCUAUUUUCCAAAAUUUUUGAAAAUCAUCCCAUUGAAAUAUGCAUAUAUAUAAUGGUAAAAAUGUAAAUUAAAGAAAAAGCUAUUACUUUGCCGAUUAUUUGUUUAGCAGAUAAAACAGCAACAUAAAAGAAAUUUGACAGACGUCUCGCAAAUCUAAAACUUUUAGAACCACAUGGAAGUCUCGUGUUUGCAAGGUAGCCUUCACCCCAAACGAACCCAAGGGCGUGUCAAAUGAAACCAGGAAAAAAAAAAAAAAAAAACUUAGAAGAGGGGGCAAAAAUAGAACUUAAACAAACUUCAGGGGCGAAAACGGAAUUGUCAAAGAAAGAACUGAAAAAUACGGCUCCAGCCUCAGCCAUUCUCCGGCGUAUAAAAAAUGGAAAACGAAAAACAUCAAUCCCGCCAUCGCUGGCAAGGUUCUCGAACAAGAGCACAUCGAGUACGCUCGAAUUCGAUUCGACACUACGGAUCGAUUCGAUUCCGACUCGGGCAUCAUCAAUCGUUCGAAUCGCUUCGAACGGGUUGAGAUUCCAUGGAGGGAGCGGCCCCGGAGGAGGAGAAAGCUUGGGUUGCUGAGCUGGGCUUUCGAGUUCGGCUUCGACGAGCAGUCCACCAACGGGUGCUCGGACCUCCUCGUUUUCCUCUACGGUAACUCGAAUCGUUAUCUCGUAGCGCGUUUUUAUGCUAAUUAGCGUUUGCGGAGAUGAUGGAGGUAGCUCUCGUCCACACGAUGGUGAUGGCGGUAGAAUAGCCUUGCUUUAAUUGCUCGUGUUGCGCGGAUAAUUUGUGCAUUUGAUUGAACGUACAUAUUCCUAAUUAGGGAGAUUCAUUGCGGUUAGUCUCUGUUGUGAUGAUGGCUAUGGAAUAGUAAGUCUACUUUGGAUUUGAAUGGGACCGGAGUUUAGUUCAUUGAGCGUUAAUCUCAUCCCUGUUUCUUUGUGGGUUUGGCGGAGUAGUCCUAUUGACAAGCGAACCGUCUGGCUUGUUUCUGAACUCACUGCAAAUUGCUAAUGGGUGUCUUGCAAUAAUACUAAUAUUGUGUCUCACUAAACUAAAUGCAGAUAAUGUAUUGUAGAUUGUAUUUAUUUGAUCUCUUGUUUGCCAUGCGUCUUGCAAAAUCAUCUCUUUCUUCUUUUGGUCCUCUUAAAGUGAUGAAGGUCAAGAGUUUAUCACUGUGGCAAUGUCUUCCUAGCAGAACUUGCCGAAACCAUGCAAGACUCCGAGGAUUGGAAUGAUUUGCAAGCUGUGGAAUCAGAAGCUUGUGGAGUUUUGACUGAUAUGUUUGGCCAAUAUAUCUGUAAUGGCGGUGAUGCAAUUUUAUACAAGAUGUCAAUAUUAUAGAAGAUUCUUCACAACCUGUGAAAAAAUCAUAUUUUCCCUGGGGUGGAUCCCUCUGCUGACAGUGAAGAUGAAGAUGAUGUUUUGGGCAGUAAAACGGGUAGGAAAUCCGCAAGCUAUGUUCCUGACCAAAGCAUAACUCUCAAAUUCUGGCCAGAUGAUCUUUAGAAUCCAUGGUAUGCUUCUUCCAUGGACAUAGACAACACUGCCAAACCACUUAGAACAGUGUUUCACUCUUCUUUUUUCUUAUAAUCUUUUCUCUGCGUAAUCGUUUCCAAUUUGCUUGUGAUUCUGCACGCAGCACAAAACCUAUGCAAUGUACAUGUCUGAAAGCAUUUAAUAAAUUGCUUACGGGGCUUCUCAUCCAAUCAAAUGUCCAAUAGACAGUCAUAACUUUUUCCAAUUACUUCCAGUCUUCAAGAUCCAAAAUGACAUAUUGGAACGAUUUGGUCAAUGAAGAAGUUGAUUUCAGUUUUGGAUGAUGUACAAAUACCUAUAUUUCUCAAAUACUUUGAGAGUAUAGCAGAUCAUCAAAGUGUGGAUUAGCAAUCCAGCAUCAUUGAAAGGAAUGUUUUGUGUAAAGAAAGCUUGUGACUUAUGCUGAGUGUUGUGACUGUCAAAUUAUUAAUCUCCACUUCUGCUUGGCCUGCCUUUUCAGAAAAGAUAAACCAUCAUGCAAGCUAUUGUAUGUAACUCCCGAAAGGAUUGUGGGAAACCCAUUAUUCCUUGAGAUAUUGACAUAGAAAAGCAUUGUUUCUGAUGCACCACAACUUUUUCUAAAAGGUUUUUGUAAAUAUUUUAUAUUUGACCAUCAUGCAUUGCAGACACUACUAGCUGGUUUUGUUAUUGAUGAGGCACAUUGUGUGAGGUAUGCGUAAUCUUUGGCAUGCCUUGUACAUGAAGAAAGAUCAUGCUAGAGUUACUUCAAAAUGAAUAAUUAUUUGUGAUGUCACUGCAAAACUGUUGUCCUUGUUCCGGAUAAAUAUAAGCAAGUUAACUUUUAUAUAUGCUAACUUAAAAUCUUCUUGCAAAUUUUUCUGCAUUUUUCUGUGUUUCUAGCCUAAUUGAAUUGUCAAUGUUACACUAGACCUACUGAAACCCAGAACCUGUGAAGUUCUGAUAUAACAGAAUUCAGUGUUCCAUGGAACACUUAGCAGCACAUCGUUCAUUAUAUUGAGUAAAGAGCACACAACUUAAAUAAGCUCCGAUGGAAAUUACUUCCUAGACUAAUUGGAACCGGCAUAAGCUUGGAUAAGGAUCCAAUCUCCUCUUUAUGUUUGGCAUGAUUCUCAGUCUUAAGCUGGUUCUUUUGUCCCUGUUUAUUCUAUUAAUGCUCAUACUUAACGUUAACAACUUGAGAAAGGCAAAGGUUCAACCAUGUGAUCAUUGAUUGUGUUUCUUACAAGGUCUUAAAUGGAUUUGCUCUACCAGUUUGAUCUCAUGAAAGGAACUUACUGCUGGUUUAAGCUUUUCUUGUACAUUUCACUGAUCAACGUUGAAAGCUCAUUGGUUGUCACUUUCGUGGUUGUCAUUAUUGUAGUCUGUGGGGACAUUUUGUCCAGAUUAUAGGGGACUGGGAUGUCUCAAGCAAAACUUUCCUUAUGUCCCAGUGAUGGCUUUAACUACAACUACCACUCACUCAGUUCAUGAGGUACUUAAUUUACAUAUUAAUCACCUGAUUAUGUUGAAAUAAUCUGUCUAUUCUGAUUGAAUUAUACAUCCAUUACAGGAUAUCGUAAAAGCUCUUGGGGUUCCCUAUGCUCUUGUUCUUGAGACAAGCUUUGAUAGACCAAAAUAUGAGGUCAUAGCUAAGACCAAGGAACCACUGAAGCAGCUUGCAGAGCUGCUAAAGAAUUGUUUUGCUAAUUUUUUUGGCAUAGUAUAUGGCUUUUUGAAGAGUGAAUAUGUUGAUGUCACAAAAUAUUCGAAUGAGAAGUGCCAUAUAAAGACAGUGUACAAUCAUGCUGGAUUAUUAGGCCGUCAAAGAGUAGUUGUUCAAAAGAAAUGGCAUACUGGAGAGGUCCACAUUGUAUGUGCUACCAUUGCCUUUGGGAUGGGAAUAGACAAACCUGGUGCUGGAAGUGGAAAUGGACUUUGGCUUUGCCUAUUUCUUCCAUUUUUGAAGUCGAUAAAACUGUUGUGGUGGAUUGACCCGGAGAAGCAGAGGAAGAGGAGGCUGGCCAGAUACAAGCUUUAUUCAGUCGAGGGCAAGUUCAAGGCUUGUAUCAAACGAGGGUUCCGAUGGUUGAAGCGCAAAUGCUCGAACAUCGUGCGUUAAUUUUAAUAUGUAGAAAUUACGGAAUAUCAUGCUCAUCAUAAUCAAGUGAGAAAAGGGCGGGAUCAGUCGAGAGGAAAUAGAGAGGUUUCUUUUGUUUAUCGGGUUUUCAUCUUUAUAUGCAUCUAAUGGUAAUUAAGUAUUCAAAAGAGUGCCACAGUGUUUGAUCUUUCCUAUAUUAUGUUUGUUUGAAUCGUUGUUUCAUUCAUCGAUCUUCAGCAUUCCAAAAAUAGGAAAAUGAGACGACUCAUAUUUGAUAUUCAUAUUUAUUUAUGUUUGCCGAAAGUUUUCUCUUUUCUCCAAAUUUCCUUACCUUUUAAUUUAUCUGCAACGUGAUUCUGCAUACAUUGCAUUCCCAUGCAAAGUGAAAAUUGUCUGACCUACUAAUUUCUUCUCUUUUCCGUAAGCUGUUUGCUCAACAACAAGAUGCUGAUUGCAAAAUAAGAAGACUGCUCUCAUUGGUAGGAUUUGCCGUUUAGAUCUACUUCGUGGUCGAUUUCUUUGUUUAGAACUUGUUUUAUUUUUGGCUAAAUGUUGCUUAAGCCUCCGUUUUUGGGGUUCUUUAACUCCCUAAUUUCCUCAAUUUGUCUAUUUCAAUUCUUCUUCGUCAUAUGAUUCAUCAUAUGACAAGCUACCGAAGCUAUAUAUUUUAACAUGCGGUUCGCAGGUGUUCAAUAUAUCGGCCUUCAACAUUUCCGUUCUGAUUUGAGUCACAACUUUCAUAUUUCUCGAGCCAUUCCAUCAAUUCAGGAGAACCAAAGAACCUUCUCUUGUCCUUUCGAAACUUUUGUUGUUACUGUUUAUUAAUAAGACCUCAAUGUAAUAUAGGAUGGAACUAUCAUAAACAAGCUCAAACCAAAUCGUUAGCAUGUAACCAAAGAAUAAAAGAAAUAUGGGGAAAACCCAUGAACAGCACCAAACGGUUCAAUCGGUUUAAUACGUUCAUCUAAUCAUUUGAUCGACUCACAUUCCAACUUCAAAUCAAUUCGAUCAAUAAGGUCGUGACUAAUGUUGUAUAAGUAGUCAAACACAAGGCCAUUGCCCUUUGAAUUAAAUGCCUAGGCACUGGUUGAGCAAUUAAAUAGUAAAUUAUAGUCAAUAGUUGACUUUAUUUGCGACUCUUCUCGUGUUAUAUUUAAUUACUAUUCUGCAAAUUAGAUUACUUCAUGUCUGGUAUGUUUAACUAGUGUUUUGACUCUUUAACGUGGCCUGCAUUUCAUGAGUUAGUACUUAAAGAUUCAAACUUAGCUUAACAAAUUACUCAGCCUUGUCUUCAGCUCCGUAAAGUAUUGACUUAAAAUUCAGCUAAACAACGAGCGAAUCAAACUCUAUGAUGUGAGUAGCUUUUAACUACUAAAGUUCCACUAUUGUAAUGUAGUACGAUAAAGAGGAACAUCUUAGAGUGGCUCCAAAUAAAUUGCUUUGAUCGAAACUUGAAUGCAUGACCAAUGACCACAAUUUGGUGUAGUAUAGUCCGAAUACUAACCAAUUAGAUGACCCCUUCAGUGUUUUUGUCCAAACCAAAUAAGUAUAAAUAUUGGAGGGGCUACUUUCACCAUUCCAAAGAUUAUUCUUGACAUUAUUAUCUAUCUUCAACUGUGGCCAACACCAAAGAAAAUUUGGUUCCAAGUGUGGAAAAUGUACGGCCAUGUCUACUCAGCUUUAUAGAUUCAUGCUUAAAGGAAUCAAGUUUGAGAUUAUACACUUAAAAGUUAUUGCAAAAUGCCAAUACAUGAACUUCCCCAGUCCGAGAGAUGAUCGUCCACUGACAAACACUUCUAUUUUAUGCUUAAAAUUCUUCCAAAUGAGAAACUACCGUCUUUUGGGAAUCUUUUCGCUGAAAAUCUUGCCUGCCAUUGAUAGAUUAUUUGCUGAUUCCAUGACAUUCGCUGUUUCCAUGAAGAAGUCUCUCACAUUCACAAAUUCGUAGCUUGAAGUGGACAUCUAAACGGUAAUCUUUUUGAUAAACCUCACUUUAUGCUAAAAUUCACACACAGAACCACCUGCACAUAUGCGGUCUUCUUGCAAGCAUUUUGAAAUUUGGCGUUUGCUAAAUAAUAGCACGAUUUCACAGCUUGCAAAGGACUACUACACAUUAUAAGAGAUCCCUUCAUAUCAUGAAUCCUAUGAGGAAUAUCAACAACAUGGAGUACAUUAUAAGCACCAAUAGCGAAGACCUUUGGAACGCCUUUCCAUAACGUCUCAUGACAUAUCUCACUCCUGCCCACAUCUCCUUCCUGUGAUGUUUGGGGAUGGUAUCUGAAUUUUAUGAAAUGCAGGUUGAAUCUACACAAGAAGGAUAGGAUUUACUAAUUAUCAAUGAAUGAAGAUAACUAAGAUCGGAGCAUCGUAAUAUACACCAUGAAAGAUAAGGUACAAAUGCACAAAGCAUCAUUUGCCCCAAUUGCAGUUGGACAGCAAUGAACGGAAACCUCAUCAGCUGGCCAAUGAAAAAGAAAACAAUAGGCUUUGGAGAUGAAAGCAAUUAGCAACACUUUCCUUGUUUGUGGUUAGGAACAUAAUUGAUGUUAAUAAAAUUAUGCUGAAAAGAUGAAGUGCCUAAACUGCAGAACAGAAAGAUGAAAUUGUUACUCGGUUAUUUUGCAAUAUCCCAUUAACAAAAUCAGCGGUACAAGAUAAUAUGCUAGGAGGGAAUUUCAACUUUACAAAGUCGACAUUGUAUGAGAAAUGAGCUUAUCAAAUUGAAAAAAAAAAAAAAAAAACAGAAUCCUAUAUGACAACACUCAAAGGAUAAUAUCGCAUUGAUAAACUGAUAGAAAUGGAGGAGAUUGUCCUCAUGCAUACUUGCUUACUAAUUUUCAGGUGAAAUUCCACAGCUCAAAUAGUAUAAGCACACAGGUUAUUUUUUCAUUGUUAUGGUACAACACUAGUAGUGCAUACCUCCCUCUGCAGAGCCUCAUUAAGUUCAGGUGUGAUAACAUUAGAAUGGAACAACAUCAAACACCUCUGCAUCAAGGUGACAUACAAAAGAAUCAGCAGCUACACAUUUGAUUGACAGAGAGAUUGAACCUCGUGAGCAUACAAAAAGCAGACUCAACUGAAAAUAUAACAUUUAAAUCAUUCAGGCAUGUGCUGUUGAGAUCAGAUAAAGUGUUUUGGAUCCUCACAAGCAUUAAAAAUUCCUAAACAUACUCCAGUUGGCCCAUGAGCCUCUUCAAGGUCAGCACGAAAGAUGGUCCUAAAGUGUUGCUGACGCUUCCUUUGCAAAAUAUAUCUUCUUUAUUUUGAUCGGUCUUUGGCAUGGAAUUUGAAGUUCCUCAGUCAAGUUAGCCAGACUCAAAUUAAUCAUGUGAUAAAACGAUUCCAUGAAAACAAUAGGAUCAGAUGGGAUGCAAACUUAUUAGCAAGUUCUUGAGCUCUUCGCCCUUGCUUGUUUCACAAAAAGGUCAAAAAAUUUGUCCCAAUUAUGCAAAAGAUCAUUGAUAUAGCUCAUCAAAUUGAGGUCCCAAAGUAAGCCUUGAUCAUCACAUAGACCAACCAGACCUGUUGUAGAAGCAGUACCAAUUUACCUUGCUUGAUAAUCUUUCAAAAUAAUAAUUUGACUGUAGGUUAAGAAUAGGCAGUCUACAAUCAUAUAUGAGAGACUAGCUAAAAAUACUCCCCAUUUUUAUUUUUAUUUUAUCACCGACCAGAAAUACUUGAACUUUGAUUUUUAUUUUAGCUCAGUUCCUUAUACUUACUGGAAUUGAUGCUUAUCUAGAAGGUUCAAGAGGAACAUAAAGGGAACAAUAAGAAACUUGAAAGGGUUCAUCACGGAAAAUCGAAAUGUGUUUAUCCCCAACGGGGUUGUUUGCCAUUAGUCAAAUUUGACACAUAAAAGAACUCACAAAGGAACUCAAAAUGGCCAAGGAUUUUGUCAAAGAAAAUAUGAAUUUUGGACAUAGGGAAAAUGGAUACUUGCCAUAGUUUACUAUAUUGAGUAGCACAAGAUCAUUAGCCUCUAGAUGAAAAAUUCAAAUCCCAAGUUUACAGAGAGGGAAACUAACCAUUAGGUGAUUCUUGUUUACCUAUGUUGAUAUUUUCAUUCUUGCCUCAAAAAUCACUAAUCUAUUUGCAGUCGACAAAAGCUGCCAAUGGAAGGAUAAAUGAAAACCAUUGCUAUAACGUAAUCAACAGCAAGUAUAUGUUGGCAAAUCCAGAGUCUCCAAAAUCAAUCAAAUAGAUAUCCGGUGUGGAGAAAAUCACUGUCAAAAAAUAUAGCUCCAAGAAAAGUGUUACUCCAUUCACUCAUGCUGGCCAUUCAAGGAUAGAGAAUCUUACUAGAUACCAAUGCCUUCUAUUGACAUUAGGGUCUAUAUUUUUAUCUUGGCUGAAGCAUCAUGUCAGCUUCGAUGACCAACUACCCUUGCUCCUUCAAUUAUGUAAUACUAGCAAUUUAGGGAAGUGCAGAACCCUGUCAUGGAAAACCUUCUUGUCAGAAGAAGAUAGUGAUGAAAAGUAGGUCAUGAAUAUUAGAAGAAAAAUGAUAGUUUACUGCUUAUUUACCUCUGUCAAGGAAACAUGUCUUGUCCCACUGUUGUAAUACAGGUAUAAGAUACAUCACAUCAUUAUCACUGUAAUAUAAUAUUUCAACAGAGAGAUCGAGAUAGAUCUCUUUCAUAAUUUCCAAUGACACAUGCUCUAGAUAGUUUCAGCAGCGUUUCCAAUGAGUCGCAACCGUGAAUAUCCAAAAGAUCUAAAUCCAUCUUUUCAAGUCCCUGAAGCUGAGUAAGUUUCUUGCAAUCUUUAAUUACUAGAGAUUGUAACUUCUCACAUCCCGUCAAACUUGGCAAAGUCUCCAUUGUCAUGCAUCUUGUAAUAUCCAAUUUUUCUAAGAACUACACACCAUCAAGACCUCAAUUUUCGACUAGAUUGUCGCACCUGAUGGCCCGUAAUUCCUCCAAACACAAUGAUUUUGUACAGAGAAGCCUUUUAAUGGAAUUGUAGUCAUAUAUAAAUAUGCCCUCCAAGAACUCCAAAUUAUCGUAGUCCUGAAUUUCAACUAGGUCAUUGCAAUGCUUGGUGCAUAAUCGUUUCAGAUGAAUUGAUUGUGAAAGGUCCAAUCUUUCAAUCGAACUGCACUUUUUUAUUGAAAACUCUUCCAAGUACUUGAAUCUAUUGAACUUAAGCAAUAUCAGCUUAUCACACUCCUCAAUACAGAGUUUCAAGGGUCUUGAGGAAAUCUCAGGGAUGUCUUCAAGUAGAUGGCAUGCCUUAAAAUGGAGUUUUUCUAGGUGGAUUAGGCUAGAAAGUUGUGGCAACCUGGGACUCUGACAAGAGAUCAACAUAUAUGUCAAGCCUGAAGGAAGCUUUGGCACCAACCGGAGCUUGUCAUAGCCCAAUAGGCUAAGGCAUUGGAGAGAAGAAACAUUCCGAAUGCUUUCUGGCAAGUUAGAUAUCGGCACGCAAGUGAUAUAGAGAAUCUCGAGCGAAGACAAGUCACCGAUUUCACUUAGAAUUGCUUUUUCAGACAAGGCAUGAUAGGAGACUUAUGGUGCGCAAAUUUUUCAACCUUCCAAUAGCACUAGGAAGCUUUUCAAUCCCAGAACCACUAAUGUCCAAAUGUUGCAAAUUAUGUAAAUCUCAAAUUGAGCUAGGGAUUUCUCUGAGUGACUCAUAACAGCAGGCACUCAGUUUCUCCAGCAUCCUCAGAGAACCGAUAGACAUAGGAAUCUCAGUAAUAUCAGCAAAACUAACAUAAGUUCUUUUAAUUUGACAGAUUCAUUCUAACUCACAUAACAAUCCGCUCUUGGUCCAGUCCAUUGCCACAUUCUUCAUCCAAGAUCCCAAUUCUCUUGUGGAUCCUAAGAUUGCCACGCUCUCCCCAAUUUCAACUUGGUGAACCAACUGAACACUGAGAUGCACGUUUUCUCAUCCCAGUUUUGACCCGAUCUUCUUUGCUUUCUUCUCCUCCUCUGCAAUAAACACACUUUGUUAUAGCUACUAACAAUAGCUUCCUUCCUUUCCAAACAACUCAAAUAGCCAUUUUCAUGUGAACCACCGAUUCUUUCUUUGUCAUUUAACACCACAUUCAAAGAGUUCAAAGAGAACCUCAAAUCAAGACGGUGUCAGAUAAUCAAUGCCGCUAGCUUUUAUUGCAAGAAGAACUCGAAAGAAGAACAGAAAAAACUCUUUUUUCUACACCGAUUCUCAUUCAAGAAAUAGAGCCCACAUAAACUCCAUCCACACUAGAGACUCAAACAAACCUUUGAUAGAGAAUUGCAUAAAACAACUCAAUACUUCACUCCAGAACCCAGUGCUUGAUUAGACUGACAUAAGUGUAUUAGAACAAAUCCAGAGAGAGAGAGAGAGAGAGAGAGAGACCUGGUUUUAGUGGUGGAAACGCUUCAAACAACCGUGGAGGUGCCACUCCAUGUGGCAUGAGCUCCAUGUGUCCACCUAAGAGAAUCUCGAAGGGGAAAAGUAAUGCUGCUCUUUAAGAAAGAACUGGUCUCUCUACUUGGUUUCAUGUAUGAAAAUGCACAUGGCUGUGUCUCUUCUGCUUUUAGAUUCAUGCUUAAAUAAAUCAGGUUUGAGAUUAUACGGCCAAAGUGAUUGCAAAAUGCGUACAUAUGAAUAUUCCGACAUAAACACACCAGAGAGAUGAUUUUACACUGAUGAAUGCCAUUCUUUUGUGUUCAAAAUUCUUCCAAAUGGGAAACUACCAUCUACUUGGAAACUUGUUCAUUGAAACUCUUGGCUGCAAUUGACAGAUUAUUUGCUAAUUCCUCGGCAUGUGUUUUUUCCACGAAAAAGGGUCUCUCCCAGUCACAAAACUGUAGCUUAAAGUGGACUGGUAAUCUUGUUAACAAAUCUCAUUUUAAGCUUGACUCCACAUAUAGAACCAUCUUCACAUGCGGUCUUCCUCCAAGUGAUUUGUGAUGCAGCCUUUACUACCUCCAAGCAAUUUUUGAUGCAGCCUUUGCUAAAGAGUAGCACAAUUUCAUAGCUUGCAAAGGACUAAUACAAUACAUGAGAAGAGGUCGCCUUAUAUCAAGAAUCCUUUGAAGAGUAAUAACAACACAGAGUCAAUGACAACUGCCAAUAGCAAAGAACUCCGGAAUGCCUUUCCAUACUGACAUAGCUCAUUCUUGCCCAUAUCUCCAACCCGUGGUGUUUGGGGACUUUCUCCAAGUUUCAUCAAAUGCAGUGCACAAGGAAGAUAACACUAACUAAUUAUCAAUAAAUCCAAGAUCGUAGCAUCAGAAUUUACCCCAUGAGAGAUAAGGUACAAAUGUGUAAACAUCAAUACCAAUCAGAGUUGGACCACAAUGAACAGAGACUUUAUUAGAUGGCCGAUGAAAAAGAAACCAACAAGCAUAAAAGAAGUAAGCAAUUAGCAACACUUUCCCUAUUUAGGUUUAGGAACAGAAUUGAAAUUAAUAUAAUUAUGCUGAAAGGAUUAGUGCCUAAACUAUAGAACAGGAAGAUAUAUUUGCUACUGGGUUAUAUUGCGAGAUCCAAUUAGCAAAAUCAGCAAUAUGGGAUUAGUUUGCGAGGAGGUUUAUUUCAACGUUACAAAUCCAAUGCUGCAUACAUGAGAACUGAUCUUAUCAAAUCAGAAACCUAUAUGACAACAUUCAAAGGAUAUCAUCACACAAAUAAACUGAUAUAAAUGGAGGAGCCUAGCAGUGCAUACCUCCCUCUACAGAGCCUCAUCAAUUCAAGAGUGAUACCAUUAGAAUGCAACCACAUCGGACAACUCUGCAUUAGGGUAACAUAAAAAAAAAUCAGCAGCUUAGUAUUCGAUUAAAGGAGAGCUAGAACCUGAUGAGCUUAUAGAAAGCAUAUAUAAUUGAAAAAAAAAAUACAUUUACAAUCAUUCAGGGAUGUGACAUUGAGAUCAGAUCAAGUGUUUGAAUAUUCAGAGGCAUCAAAACUUCCCUGGGACACUCCAAUGGGCCCCAGAGCGUCUUCAAGGUUGGCACACAAGAUGGUCCUCAGUUGUUGCAGUAGCUUCCGUUGCAAAAUCCCUUUUCUUUAUUUUGAUCAGUCUCGGGUAUGGAAUUUGAAGUUCCUCAGCCCAGUUAGCCACGCCCAAAUCAGUCAUGUGAUAAAGCAAUUACAUGACAACAAUAGGAUCAAACAGGAUGCAUAUUAGCAAAUUCUUGAGCUCCUCAUCCCAUCUUGUUUCACAGACGGGCAAAAAAUUGUCCAAUAAUGCAAAAGGCCAUCGAUGCAAUUAAUUGAAUUGAAGUCCCAAAGUAAGCCUAGAUCGUUACAUAAACCAACCAAACCUGUCAUAGUAGCAGCACCAGUUUGCCUUGCUUGAUAAUCUUUCAAAAGAACAAUUUGACUACUAAUAAUGUUAAGGUAGUCUACAUUCAUACAUAACAGACUAGCCAAAACUACUUUUAACAUUUUUUUUGUCACCAAAGAGAAACUUAGCUCAGUUCAUCAUAUUUCGAGAAGUGAUGCUCCUCUUAGAAGGUUAAUGGGACAUCAAGGGAACAAUAAGAAACUUGACAGGGGUUUUGUGCAAUAUUGAAAAUCAAAAGGCGUCAGGAUAUCUACCAUUAGUCAAAUUUGACAUACAAAAGAACUUACAAAGUAACUCAAAAUGGCCAGAGAUUUUUUCAAAGAAAAUAUGAACAUUGGACAUUGGGAAAUUCUAGGCGUAGUAUACAAUAAUGAGUAGCAGAAGUUCAUCAGCCUCUAUGCCUUCUAUCAACAUUAGGGUCUGCAUCUUGAUCUUGGCUAAAGCCUCAUGUCAGCUUCUACGACCAAGUGCCCCACUCCUUCAAUUAUGUAAGACUAGCAAUUUAGGAAAGUACAUAACCCUGUCAUAGAAAACCUUCUUGUCAAAAAAAGUGAUCAAAAGUAGGUCAUGAAUCUCAGACGAAAAAUGAUUGUUCACUGCUUAUUUACCUCUAUUCAGGAAACAUCACUCCAUGAAUCUAAAGACAGCUCUUGCUCAUAAUUUCUAAAGAUGCGAGUUCCAGAUAAGUUUGGUGUUGCUUCCAAUGAGUCACAACCAGAAAUAUCCAAAUCAAUUAAAUCCAACUUUUCAAGUCCCUGAAGCUGAGUAAGUUUCUUGCAGUCUCGAACUCUUAAAGAUCGUAACUUCUCACAUCUUGUCAAAUCUGGCAAAGUCUUUAUUGAUUUGCAUCCUAUAAAAUCCAACUCUUCUAAGAACUCCGCACCGUCAAGACCUCUAAUUCCGACUAGAUUGUCGCACCCAAAAGCCGUUAAUUCCUUCAAACACGGCAAUUCUAGACAGCCAAGCGUUUCAAUGGAAUUGCAGUCCCGUAAAGAUAGGACCUCCAAGAAACUGCACUUUUCUAUUGAAAGCACUUUCAAGUGCAUGAGUCCGCUGAGCCAAAGUGAUGUCAGCUUAUCACACUCCUUUACAAAGAGUUUCAAGAGUCUUGAGGAAAGCUGGGGGAUGUCUUCAAGUAGAUGGCAUUGCUGAAGACGGAGUAUUUCUAGGUGGAUUAGUCUAGAAAGCUGUGGCAAUCUGGGACUCUGAAAAGAGAUCCACAGACACGUUAAGCCCGAAGGAAGCUCUGGUAGUGACUGGAGCUUGUUGCAACGCACUAGGCCAAGGACUUGGAGAGAAGAAGGAAGCUCUGGCAGUGAUCGGAGCUCCUUACAGUCGUUUAGGCGAAGGCGUUGGAGAGAAGAAGGAAGCUCUGGCAGUGAUCGGAGCUCCUCACAGCCGUAUAGGUCAAGGCCUUGGAGAGAAGAAGGAAGCUCUGGCAGGACAGAUAUCAGUGCAUGAGUGAGAUUGAGAAUCUCGAGGGAAGGCAAGUCACCGAUUUCACUGGGAAGCUUUUCGAUCACAGAAUACCUCAAGUCAAGAUGUUGCAAAUUCUGUAAAUCCCCAAUUGAGUUAGGGAUUUCUCUCAGUGAGUGACAAUGCAAGGCAACCAAUUUCCUCAGCUUCCUCAGAGAACCGAUAAACGUAGGAACCUCUGUAAUAUCAGUAUUACUUAAAAUAAGUUCUUCUAAAUCUUUUAAUUCGCCCAUCUCCUCUGGUAACUCCUUGAGACUUUCAGAGUCUUGCAAAUUCAAGGAAACGAGGCUCGUGAGUUUGCCAAUAGAAGGGUGGAGAUGCUCUAGUCUACCACAACCGACCAAGAGGAGAAUCUUCAACUGUGUAAAAGUCGAGAGAUCAGGAGUACAUCUUAAAUUAUUGCACCACAACAACCCCAGAACUUUAAGCCGCUUUGACGCCUAAUACAAAAGGAGAAUAAGCUGUUUGAGAAUGAGUUGAUUGGCUAAAAAAAACAAAACCCUAAAAUCGCAAAGAGGAUGUCUUUUUUUCUCAAUCUCACCAUUGUUGAAAUCCAUCCUUGCCAAUCCUCUGUGAUCUCGUCGCUUGAUAACUCUAGUACCGAUAAAUUUGGUAGAUGCAAAUUGAUCGUUGAAAGAGACAAAUCGUUGACGGACCAGCGUUUCUUGAAGCGCCAGUCAAGCCAUCUCACUUCAGAAAAAAGUUCCAUGGAGUCUUUGCUUGAAGCUGCCCCCAGAAAGUCGUGGAACUGUGUCUGCAAGUUUUUUUAACUUUUUAGUUUUUUGGUCUAAUUUUGGAUUUGAACGAUUUUUCACUUUUUGUCCUUCCCCUAUACAGAUAUGGAUACAUGAACUCACAUUUAAUUCUUUUCUUUUAACAACCUAUGACGUGAAGAUAAAGAAAAAAAAUAGUUAUUGCUUUAAAACAACUAAGACAAAUGCACCUCACUAUUUUAUCUUUUGCUUUAAAAAAAAAAAAAUUUGUAGCAUGUGAACUUUGACUUUUGUUUAAGACAAUCUACAUGAAAUCAUUUUACGACAUACAAAUGUUUACUUGUAAAUGUUCAUUUGACUUUUGUAUAAUUUUUCAAAAGAAUUUGUGAAAGUGUCGAUUGGCCAUAUGUAAGGGUGUGCAUGACAAAAUUUUUGUUUCUCUAUUUCUUUAUUUUUUUGUUCCAUAGAUAAUAUUUGAAACAAAAAUCCGUUUGAUAACACAAUUUCAUUUUUUUUAAUAUAUUUCUAUUCCAUAAAUAAAUUUGAAGCAGAAAUCAAAAGCUAAAAUUUUUGCCUUUUCUAUUUCUGGAACAAAAGUGAGAAAUGAAAACUUUUCUCAUCAUUUACUUUCAUCACCGAUUAUCCCCCACCCGCCGCUCGCCGCAAGACGCUAGCCGCCUGUCGCCGGACUUCAAACGCUGGGCGCACGCUGGUCAUCCACCGCCAGACACUAGAUGUCGGCCGCUUGCCGCCGAAAAAAUAGAAAUUUUGAGUUGUUAUCAUACGUGUUUUUUUAUUCAUAAACUCGUCUAGAAAAUAAAAAUUGAAAAAUCAAUUUUUGGCUAGAAAUUUUGUCAUGUGCACGCCCUAAGUAGCCAAGGAAGCGCGGAAAAGAAUUAUAUAUAUAUACAUGGAGGUCUUAUUGAUAGACUUUAUUACAAAACUAUCUAAGGAAAUAAAAUUAGAUAUGUAUAUUCAAAGUAGAUAUAAAAAAUUCAUAGGAAAUUUCCUUAAUAUCUUUAACAUUAUUAACUAUUUUGGUGAAGUGUUCAAUCAUUUCUUUGAAAACUGAAACGUUUUUUUUUUUUUUUUGGUUAAGUUUGUUUAAAAAGUAACGUGGUGACAUUGGUUAGCAAUCUUGACAAGGAUUGAAAUUUUUUUUAAAAAAAAAGGUUGCUUUCAAAAUAACUAAAAAAUUAACCGAUUAACUAAAAGAUGGCGUGGUAACAUUUUUUAAUCAUAUGUCCGUUUCCAUAAGAAUUGCAUCAUUUCCUUUGGCAUCUUAUAAAUCAAAACAUACUAUUUAACUUUCCUGCUAAAACAGAUCAUUUAAUUAGUUGAAGAUGGUGAAAAAAAAUUCCCUUAUGGCUUUGAUUGACUUGUAUAAUAAUACCUAUAUUUUCCCCCAAAAGUUCAAUUGGUUAGAAAUUCACUUUCACAGUUCAACAUGUUUGUCGUUAUCUCAACUUUAAAUAUUAAUGGGUGAAAUGCAAUGGGUAUAAUUUCGCGAGUCUGUUCGUUGGAAAAAUUGCUAAAUUGUUGUAAUCAUCAUCCCGCAUUAUCUUUCAUAAUUUUCGCUUGUACAUCAAUUUAUACUGUAUAUUACAUUAGAAAAUUCUACUUUAUGGAAAAGGGAUUUUGAACCUCAAACUUUCAUCAAAAGUUUGGACGCAAUACGCAUAUAUUUCACCAAAAUGAACUAAAGAAAUUGAAUGUAACAGAAUAGACAUAAUAAUAUUUGAAAUAGUCAAGACAAUUGGAAAUUAGUCCCAUAACCAUUUAAUUUUCCAAAGUUAAAUCAAAAUCUCUCGAAUCAUACAAUUGUUUAAUUUUUCCCCCUCCCUUAUUAUCAUCUUUCAGCAAUUUUGUCUAUUCAAAACAGAUUUGGCCCUUUUUUUCUGUCAUUUUUCAAACACCCGUAUGGCGUGCUCUUUUUGCUAAUGUUAAGAAGUUAUUGGAUCAACAAAAGAGUGUGAUAUAGAAUCAUAGGAAUGAACUAUUUCAAAUUAUAUCAAGAAUAUAAAGCCGUUUUGUUUGCCCAUCUUUUGGUUAAUUGCUAGGGUUAAUUCCUCGCCUUUAAUCAGCCAUGAACCUAUGAGGCAUCCCAAAUGGACAAUAUGCAAUAAUAAAAUGACAUGAACAUUGAUCAUUUAAGUAAAAGAUAAAACAUAGUUGAAGAAAUUGGCUUCAUGCUGAAAAUCAUAUAUUAGAAGACAAGGGUAUGGAUAUAAUAAUAAGCAUGACAUUUCCUUUAAUUGGUCAAAUUUUUCUUUAUUUAUCUAUUUUAUAAUUAGUCAAGUCAAUCUAGACAUUUUGGCACGAAAGAGGCAUUGUCCCCAACAAUAUAGAUAAUAUAAAAUAGCUUAUAGUGGAUAGACAUGUUUGUCAGAAGAAAUCCACUCUUUAAUCCACGAAAUGAGCAAGGUCAACGGGAUAAAACUUUUAAAAACAGUAAGAUCUUCCUAAAAAUAUUUUUAAGGGGAUUUUUGCUAUCUUAUCUAUUAAGAGGAAAUAAGAAUGAAAAGAGAUAGAUAUAACUAAUAGAGGAACCGAUAUCUUAAAAAUCAAAAUGGAGAAAAUAAUAUCAAAAAUUGGAUUCUUAAAUCACAAGAGCCCCCCAAUACAUUCGGCUACACCAGAAAGUAAGCACAUGUCAUAAGUGUGAGAUUUUUUCAAAUCUUAUUGUUUUGAAUUAAUUAUCAAUUAUUGUAAUUGGCACAUACUAUCUUUUUCUUCUUCUUUUUUUAACCCAGAAAUCUUCAUUUGUCUAAUCUAUGAUGUUUGUACUUCAUCUACAUUCGUUCUUUCAGUCCUUCAGAUUAUAAAUAUUUUCAACUAGAUAUGACGAUGGCAUGCUUUUAGUAAACGAGUUUCUAGAGCAAAAUUGUAGUUAAAGGAUCUUAAAUUGAUUGUCAAGUAAAUCUUUACAUAUGUAAUUUAUAUCAAUGAAAUCGAAUCAAAUGGUAUAACUUUUUCAUCCUUUAAAUACUUAUAAUCCAUUUAGCUGUCACAAAUGAUCUAAAAUGUACAUAAAUGGAUGUUUACAUAGAUCUUUUUUUCCUAAUAAGUAAGAGCAUCUGUUCAUCCUAGAUGAAAUAUUAGAAUAGAGAGCAUCUGUUCAUCCUAGAUGAAAUAUUAGAAUAGAUCAUAUUAAAUAUAUUAAAAUCAGAGGGAAAGAAAAGGAAAGGAGUGCCAUAUUUUACCCAUUUAUAGGUUCUUAGUACUUUUGGGACUCCCUCGUAGUCCUUGUCCCAUGGUCCGCUGCUACGUUUCUCAGGCGAUUGUCCUUGGCAAAAAAUGCUCCUUCCAAGAUCUCUCAAUUGAUCAUGCAUCUUGAACUUACCAUUAUUUCCAAUUUUAAUUAAGCACCUCAACUUCAACUCUUCAAUACCUUGACUUGGAUAAAGCCCACAAUCCUCCCACAUGUACGUGGCGUAAUCAUUCCAUUCGUCAAUAAAGAAACAAACAAUAUCAAGAAAAAUCUGCUUAUGUCCAUCUUCUGCAUCAUAACUUAUUUGCAAUAUUUUUUGGACGUCUCUAUGCGGUUGGCUUUUUAACUGCUUCCACACAUCUUCCCAUACUUUUCGAUUCGAUUUUUUAUACAAGUAUGAACCUACGACCUCAACUGCCAAGGGAAGCCCGCCCAUGGUGGAUACAAUAUCACCAGAUAUACCCUCAAAGUCCCUCGGAGAAUAGUCCGUACAAAAGGCAUGCCUAUUAAACAAAAGCAAAGCAUGCUCCUGAUCCAAUUCAUUCAAAUCAUACUUGUCUACCGUGAAUUCAGAUUGAUCAAGAAUGGCUUCGUAUCUGGUUGUAACAAUAAUAAUACUUCCCGCCAUAAACCAAUUACAUUCUCUAGCCAAAGCAUUUAAUUGAUCCUUGUGAUCUAUGUCAUCCAGAAGAAUGAGAACUUUUUUCCCUCUAAAUCCAGAUUUGAUCCAAUUAAUUCCUUCAUCAACAUUCGAAGGUUGGAUUUGCAAAAUAUCCUUAAUUAGUUGCUUUUGUAAAGAAGCAAUAUUAUUGCAGCGAGCUGUUUCUCGAAUAUCUGCAAGGAAGCUACGAUGCACAAAGUCAUUCGAUAGCUGGUUAUAGAUUACCUUGGCAAGAGUCGUUUUUCCAAUCCUACCCAUGCCAUAGAUUCCAAUCAUUCGAGCAUUAGUGGUAGGAGUGUCUACCCAUUUCAUGAUUCUAUUCACAUGAUCAUCAAUUCCAACUAAGUGCUUAGUAACAUCAAGCUGAAAAUCUUGUCGCAACUUGCUCAAAACAUUUUCAAUAACUUUUUUCACUAAUUCUCCUUCAUGCCUGUCCAACAAAAAAACUCAUUGGUAAUUUCGUGAUUAUACUUAAUCUCAUCAAAAGGCAACGACAGACAUGUGAAGAAUGGAUGGGACCAAUUAACAUGCAAGAUGUUUUGGUUUUACAAAUAACAAUGGGGGUUGAUGGCCAGCGGUCAUUUCAUUUUUUUCCUCUCUUUUGCUAGAUGGAUCUUGUUGAAAGAAAAUAAGGCGGUGCACCUGGCUCGUUAAGAGUCUUUAGAAGUGUAAUGUUUGUUACAAGGCUUAAGAUUGCUGCUAGUUAAAUCAUAGGAGGCCAAUUUUGUUUUUAAAUUAAAGUUUAGGAGAAAAGUAGGUUACUCCGCUCUAAGGCCAGGGCAUCUCACAUGCCAAAAUUGAGGACUUAUAGUUGAUUUACAAAUCGCUACCAAUGGGGUCUACUGACAAUGGAAAUCAAACCUAGACAUGGUAAAUGUGAAGUGUCCGGUCCUUUUCACCUAAGCCAACUUCCAUUCGCAUGAGGAGAUCUAUUUUAUCUGGUGGUGAUAAAGCUUUGAAAUACUAAGCAUUCGAGUCCUUUCUAAGCGUAUUGUUUGGUGAUUGACCCUAUUGGCCGGAGGGGUAGUCAUUUCUUUGAUUUUUGCUCUAUUGGAGACAACUGCAAUUCAUCUGUUUUGCAUGAACAAGAAAAUUUAUGGGAUAAUUACUAAAAAAAGUCCUAAAUUUAUUAUAAUUAUGUCUAUUCAGUUUUAAUUUUUUUAUGGCUAAUUUAAUCCUAAACAUUUUGAAAAUAUGCUAAUACAAUCUAUCCAAUCAAUUUUGACUAGAAAUCUACAUGUACCGCUAGUAUUGACAUGGAGAAUUUUUAUAAUUUUUUUUAUAAUUUUUUCUGAACUUGAUUUAAUUUGUUUAUAUUUUUUUUUGUUUUGUUUUUUGUUUUUUUCUUCUUUUUUCUCUACGGUCACCGGCCAUAGAUGAGGGCCGCCACGUUGUGAGGGCUGACCUUGCCAGAAUCUGGUCCUUCUAGUGGUCCUAUAGAGAAUCGCAAGGAGGGAGACCGAGAGUUUUUCCAAUAAAGAGAGGGCUGUCGUUGGGUCAGAUGAGGAGGUUCGUCAGCAGCCAGAACGUGCUGGCGAACUUCGACUGGACGGCGCAGGUGGGGCCGGUGGAGGCAGCGGAGCAGAGGGACUGUUACUUUGACGACGAAGACAGAGACAAAGAAGAGCGAGAUGACGACGACGGCGACGAAGUGGUGAUUCCAUUUUCGUCCCCCAUUUUUGGUAGGUGGAGUGGAGUGGAAGGCGAAGAAGGAAGUGAAUCUGCGGAAGAAAAGGACAGUGGCUCCCCCUCAACCACUUCGCUUGCGACAUCCCCAUUAAUUCUGCAAAUAUAAUCGUGUUCUCGAAUGAUUGCGUUUCUGGAUUCCCGAUUUCUGAUGUUCUUCCUUCUUUUUUUAGGGUUAUUAGUUUGUGUUGGCCUGACCUCUUUAGAAGGUCCAGAUUCCGGCGAGGUUGGCCCUUGACAGGGAGGGCGAGCCUCACCAACCCUAGUAUGUGGCCUGUUGCCGGCCGUCAAGGAGGUCGGCAGCCUGAGAGAAAGAAGGGAUUUCUAGCUAAAAUCAGCCAGAAGGACUAUAUUGGUAGAUUUUCAAAAGAUUUAUGAUUAAAAUGACUAAAUAAAAAAGUCUAGAACUAAAUUAUCACUGUUAUAAUAGGUUUAAUAUUUAUUUUUUUUGUAAUUUCCCCUAAAACUUACUUAUCAAAAAAGAGAAGUUUAGGUAGAAGCAAAGUACCCGUCAGCAACUUUCCGAGACUCCCAUCCCUGUAAAUGACUCACUUUUUCGAGUGCUUCCUGCACUUUCUGGAUGUCCUCCUCACCAAAAUACUUCUUACAUGUACGAAAGGCCUUCCUACCAAAGUUUCCUUUGUUUAGAUGCCCCACAUCCGAUGGGUCCACUUUAUAAAAGAUGGGCAAAACUGUGUGUGAUGGGCUCUUCGCACGAUCCAUGAUAUGAAUAAGCUCACGGAGGCACCAUUUGCUUGAAGCAUAAUUUUCGGAGAUGAUGAGAAUCGAAAUCUUAGACCGAGCAAUGGCAUCGAGAAUUUGUGGACCGAAUUCCUCACCAAUUUGGAUGCUCUUAUCAUCCUUGAACACAGAAACUGGUGCAAUCCCUACCUUGAUUAGACUGUGAUAGAGGUGAUCGGUGAAUCCCUUGCGGGUAUCUAACCCUUUAAAGCUCAAGAACACAUCAUAAUUAUCGUUACGUAUUCCUUCGAGUGUUGGAGAGUUUUUCGAAGGUGUGGAUGCUCUCUUCUUCUUGACAAGAUAGAAUGCAAGCAUACUAAAAAGAAUCGUCGUGGCAAGCACCGCGGGAGAACGCCCCAUUAUUAAAGGGUGCAUCCCUUCGUUUGUUUCAGUGUGACUCCGCCCUUUGUCGAUGGCAAUCUGAGUGGGAAAGUUGGAGAGAAAGAUGCUCUCCUGCUGCAUAAAAAGGAUUGAUAAUUAGUCUCUAUGAAGUAUGAACAAGUAUGAACAUGAAAUCUUUUACCAAGCAAGAAAAAAUAAACAUGAAAUUAUUAAUUAAUUAUUAUUUGAUUGACUAGGAGCAGUCGCUGAUGCUUUCAAUCCUUGCUUUAUCUUCUUUUGGAUAUCAUCCUCUAGUCAAGUCAAUUUGCCGGCUUUGGUCCCCUAACGUAUAGAAUAAUGGAAAUGUACAAGCAUAUUGCAUUCGUUCAAAAUUAUACGUAGUGGUUCAGUUUUUACUUGAUUAUUGAAAAUAAGAUUUUGAUAAAUCAUUUUUUGUCAAAGAAUUUGAUAAAUCAUUUAAAAGCUGAUAAGUGAGCUGAGACAAAACUGGAAAUGUGGGGAAGGCGUGAAGAAAGGACCUAGCUAGUAAUUAUGAAUGUGAUUUUAAAUUUAAUUCGGCCAUAGAUUUCUCCUCCUGCACAGCACAAAGCCUUCCUUCUCCUUGUAAAAUAGAGAUAUAAUUUGUUAGACGGCACCAAACGAAGAAGCGGAUGAUCCCUCAGUGCUCUCUUUUUAUGCACUCUUUUCUUUCUUCAUAUUAGUCUGAACAAUUAGUAAUUAGGUACUUAUUCAAUGGAAGAAAAAGAAGAUAAAAAAAAGGUCUCCAGAUUCAAGCAAAAUGUGGCAAUUAAUAGAGUCUAGCGUGCUUGCAGACCUACUCAUUCUAGUUCAAAAAGAGAUCAGUACUGAAUUACGAUGUAACUAACAAUCAUGUAGUAAGGCCAUCAUAGGAUCAGCCACAUCUAAAGUCGAAAAUAAAGGCUUUCUUUUUUCACCGAAGUCAAAUCUGAGCUAAGGUACCUCGUUAACAGGCAACAACGAUUCCAAAAGAGAGAAUAAAAAACACCCUCCUCAGCUGUUCAGCAGCCACCCCACAUCCCCAGUAGACAAAAAGGGCCUAGAAGAUGAUGAAUCAAUAGAAACGACACGGUAGUAAGAGAUGAAAAAGUGAUUACCUUCCGCAAGCUAAGAUACGAAGAGAGGCGCGAGAUCGGUGAGAGAAGACCCUAANNNNNNNNNNNNNNNNNNNNNNNNNNNNNNNNNNNNNNNNNNNNNNNNNNNNNNNNNNNNNNNNNNNNNNNNNNNNNNNNNNNNNNNNNNNNNNNNNNNNNNNNNNNNNNNNNNNNNNNNNNNNNNNNNNNNNNNNNNNNNNNNNNNNNNNNNNNNNNNNNNNNNNNNNNNNNNNNNNNNNNNACGACCGGUAGACGAUAGGUUGAUUGACUGGCAGCAAUAAAGAUUCUUUUCAUAUGGCAAGCAAAGCCAAGCCACACAAUUUGGACCAGAGUACAGAAUGACCACUUCCAUUCAUAUCCACUCAAAAACCAUUUUGUUAAAUAGAUAAAUGUGGCUCUAACCAGCUUGUAAAUCUUCCAUUAUAUUAUUAUCAAAGACAUUCUUACUCCUGUAGGUGCUGCAUUUUCCUCCCACCAUAAAGAUGCAUAAAUCAUAUUGUCAAGUCCAUUGUAGGCCAAUAAUUUCCUACGCUAAAUAUACAUAAAAGUCAUGUCUUUACUAUAAGCAAUAAAAUUGCAUGAAAAGCACAUUUUAUGACAAGUUUCUUUAAUUCAAUCCACAAAGAUAAAGUCCACCUAAAGAUUGUCCACAUAAUAAAUACGUGCGAGUGCAUUGAAACCAGCAGCUUUGCUCACUUUCAAGUUUUCCAUUGUAACCGGCACCCAAAAAAGAAAAAAAGGUACAAUGAUGAAUUUUUCAUAUUUGGAAAACAUUUGAAUUUUCUAUCAUUCUUCCAAAAAUAUGAAAAUUGCCAAUAUAAUGGGAAAUGGUUUUGUGGACAACCAAAAAUUCUCUAGUUGAUCUGAUAUGUUCAGAUAAAUUUUUGUUGUUGACAAUUUUGAUCCGUAGCCUAUGAAAGGUUUUGUGCAUUAUUGAAGAGAAAAGACUAGCAUCAUCGAUAUUUGGAAAAAUAUUUUUAACAAUUUUCAAGAAAAAAAGAAUUAUUUUUGCAAAAAUCGAGUAUUUUGGAUGUUUUAGGCUUUAAGUAAUUUUGGACAAGUGGGGUAUGCAUAUGGCUGAUGGACCCAAAAUCGGGUCUAGAAGGAUAUUUUGGUAAUUUUUAUUUCCAAGGGAGUUCAAUCAACCGUUAAUGUUUAGAAAACAACAUCAGGAUAAAGGCUGGCAUGCGAUUCCACUAGAUUCAACCAGUCUAACCAUACAUAACUGAUUAGUUUAAUGGGAAGAUUGCAGUAAGGAAAUUAUCAAUAUAUAUGUAAUGAUGAUUCUGGAAAAGGCGAGGGAACUUCAUGAGUAAUGUUUCGUAUGCCUUAAAGGAUAUUAGGUGUCAUGUAAUGAGUAAUAAUCAAAUUUAUUUUUGUCCUAUCAAUUGUAAUAGAUUAGAGAAUGAAAGUCAGGCUUGCCUAGAGGAGUGAUGCAGAGAUGAAAUUCUUGCAAUGGGUUUUAGUGUUUGAGAAGAAAUUGCCUUGGACAGAUCAAGUUUUGUUUGAGUCCUAGAAGACAGUAUAAUUUGAGAAUAACCUUCACGGCUCAACUUGGAGCUAUCAAUACAAAUAUAUCUCAGAAUAAAAAUGAGGAUCUUAGUGAUUUAUGGUGAUUGGCGUUUCUCCUCUUCAAGCACAAGCAUUUGGGACUUUAUAUAAAGCUGUACUUCCCUUGCCCCAGAGGAGACGUGAAAUCUUGCGGUGGAUGGCGUUUCUUAGAUGAGGCAAUUGUACUUCUUUUGAUUCUAACCUUUUUGACCAAGACCACCAAAACAAUCCCUUCCUCGAAAUUGGCAAGACGAUCCCUAUAGACUUCACUAAUUAAUUCUUUUUGUUAUUGGAUCCCACAGCCCAGCAAAUCAAGUGGAAAUCAAAUUUUUUUGACACAAUGCUAGUCCUUAACAGCCAUGGAAUCAUCUCCUUUUCUUUUUUUCUUUUCUUUUUUUUAUCAAACGAAAUUAUCUCCUUUACUUGGGAACUUUUGCAAGUUGUUCAUAUUGAAAAUUACUUCUUCUCUUGCCUCGAAAAGUGAGCCCAAUGUGCUAGGGAUACACACAAUCUUACCAUGGAUUUGCACCUCCUCGAUGAGAAAAUUUACUUUUUUUAUUGACUAACCCUCACCUUUUGUUAGUUCUCUUUGUAAUUGAAUCACAUGGCCACACAAAUCAAAGUGAAGAUGGACAACGUUUUGCUUUCCCUUCCUAUUGAAAUAAAAGCCUCUCACCACUGGAAGCAUUGAAAUGGUCAAAAAUCUAUUUGUUAACUCAUAUUUAGUGACCUGAAUCAUAUAUGAAUUGGCUAAAGUUGAAAGAAUAGGUUGUUAUGAAUUUAAAGUAACAAGAUUUUAUUCAAUAUAUAAUACAUUUUAAUGAGUUUGAAUCAUGUCUAUAUGCAAUUCAUGUUAAUAAAAAAAAAGAAGAAGAAGUCUUUUCAUUUUCUUUCACAUGGCUCUUCUUAGGGGAACUCAUGCUCGAGUGUGGUACGCCCCAACACGUGGAGCCCAUUGUAUGUGGCGCAACAAUUGCAUGAGCUUUUUCUUUACUUGCCCAUUGCUUUAAUCAAUGAUCGAGUGACCCGUCAUUCAUUCCCUAUUCAUUAUCGAUUGUUUAAUCUAGUGGGACUCAUGUAGAACUUAUAUGGCUCCGGUCAUUUUUAGUUUUCCAAAUGUAAUCUUUCCCACGAUAUCAUUUAUCUCCACAUCUAGACGACAAUGUCAAUUAGGGUCAAUUCAGCCAAAUCUCCUCUGUACUCUUAAGGACGUAAGGAAUUAGAUUGAUAUCGUGUGCUUAAUAUGCACACAAAUUUUUUUAUCUUAGGUAUUUAGGGAUCAAAGUUAUGGUGAAGUAUAAGGGAAUGAAGACAGCUGGGAAAAUUACCAAAAAAGUCCUAAACCAAUUGUAUUUGUGCUAAUUCAAUCCUAAACCUCUAAAUUUGAUCAGUUUAGUCCUAAACCUUACUAUGCGGCCAAUUUUGAUGGGUUUAGGUUGCUUUGGAUGGUGGUUUUUUCUUGGUUAUUAGCCGAAUUGCAUUCUAAUGGGCACUUAAAUGUCAAAAAUACUCUUCAUCAGCUUAUCACACCAUAUGAUACAACUGUCACAUGAAAUAUAUGUUAUUCUACCACAUCAUCUCUCUCUCUCUCUCUCUCUCUCUCUCUCUCUCUCUCUCAUCGCCCCCACCACCAUGAAUUAAUGUCACCAUCCUACAGUCACUCGCCUGAACAACACCAACCAUGCCCUCCACAACUUAGGCCCCAUCUCUCUCUCUCUCUCUCUCUCUCUCUCUCUCUCUCUCUCUCUCUUCUUUGUCACAGCCGAACUCAAAAUAGAGGCAUCUUGCUCAAAGCUGCAAUGACACUUGACUAGACCUAGCGUCACAUUAGAGUAAUUUUGGCAUGCAUUGAGCUAGAUGCGGCAUUGGAUCUCUACUAGAUCUAAGGUCGAGCCCAACACUGCAGUGGCCGUCAUUGAGGACUCAUAACUCUAGGAUAAAUAUGUUGUUGCAACAGUCAAGCACGUCGCCAAAUUGGGUCAAUGGGAUAUUUCUUUCACAUAGCAUGAUCAUGUCAGUAUAUGCAUUUUGCAAAAGAAAUCUUUAUCACAAAAAAAAAAAAAAAGACUUUUUCAAAACUUUUAUAUCAAAUUUUCUAUGAAAUCGAGUUAAUUACCUUUUAGAAAAUUGUCUAGCGAGGGAAAGCAAGUCAAAGUCUUCCACCAUCUUCCUUGCUCAGUUGCAAAGAAAGUGGUAAGGCAAAAGGUGACAAGCCCUACGCAAUAGAAAAGCAAGAUAAAGUUUUCCACCAUCUUCCUCUUCUGCAAAGAAAGUGAUAAGACAUAUGCUGACAACACCUAAACGAAAACAAAGCGGGUGAGGGUGGGGGGGAGGGGGGAGGGGAUGGACUAGCGAGGAAAAGCAAGUCAAAGUCUUCCAUCAUCUUGCUUCCUUAGUUACAAAGAAAGCGAUAAGGCAAAGGCUAACAAGACCUAAAAGAAGGGGGAAGGACCGGUGAGGAAAAGCAAGUCAAAGUCUUCUACCAUCUUACUUGCUUAGUUGUAGAGAAAGCGAUAAGGAAAAAAAGCUGACAUGACCUAAAAGAAGAGGUAGGGGGAGAACUAACAAAGAAAAGCAAAUCAAAGUCUUCCACCAUCCUGCUCACUCAAUUACAAAGAAAGUGGUAAGACAAAAGCUGACAAAACCUACUCAAAAGAAGGAGGGGGCUUGAGAAGGAUUGAUGAGGAAAAGCAAAUCAAAGUCUUCUGCCAUCUUGCUUGCUAAACUAACAAGACCUACUCAAAAGAAAUGGGGGGAAAAGAUUCUAGCAAUUGAAAGCAAGUCAAAGUCUUCCACCAUCUUGCUUGCUUAGUUACGUAGGAGAAUAGAGACCAUUAUUUCUAGUGAAUAUUGUCUAAAUUUAAUUUAUAAAUGAUGUGACGGGGCAAAUCAAUUAUGAUAUAAUAAUUGUACGGAAAUUUGUAUUUUGCGGCGGGGGCUUUGUAUGGGGUUUGCAUGGUUUCUCUUAGGUGUUUUAUUAAAAUUUAAAUGUCUAAUGUCACGCCCCGAUCCUCGGUGACGCACCCAUCCUUCUACUUGGUCGAUUUUAAAGUGCGAUAUCCCAGGACUAAGUAUCGUCAACCCUUUCUUUUUAUUACGCAUGCGGAAGCAGUUAUGAAUCCCCAGACAAUAAAACAAUGGGAUAGAAAAGUAGGCCAUAUUUUUCAUAUUGAAAUUCACAACCACACUUUUAUUAACAGACAACUCAUAGAAUAUUUACAAUACUAUUCACAACAUACUUGUCUCACACCUAUCUACACUAAGAUAGGGUUUACAAAAGGGAUGGGAUCUCAAUCCACAUCUGAGUUAUACUCAAGAUCCCUCUUUGGAUCAUCUUUUUCUUCAAAAGUCUUUCUUCCCUUUAGGUUCCUCCUCCUCAGCUUCUCCUUAGGGUCCUGAAAUGGUUAUUCAAUAACCAAUGAGACCACGUCUCAGCGAGUUCUACCCCCUAAGACCCGAUUAGUAAGAAAAUACGCCCCGAGGGCUGCCUAAGCACAUCAUGGGUCAGAGGGCUUACCUUGGCCUCAGUUUCCUUCCUGCAAGUCAGUUCAAAUAAUAAAUACUGACAAUCAUAGCAUCCAACCAAUCAGAUCGACUUAACGAUCAAUUGACUCAGUCGAUUACAUGUUAUCAAAACCAUUACAUGGUCAUCCCGACUCUUCAUUAUUGACUCUGAAUCACAACCCUAUAGGCAUAAUUCAUUUUUAGUGGAAUCACGGCCCCACUCGGCAAAUUUUCUAGACUUGGUGGCAUCACGGCACCACCUAGCAAAUGUUCUAGACUUGGUGGCAUCACGGCCCCACCUGGCAAUUUUCUCAACUUGGUGGCAUCACGGCCCCACCUGGCAAUUUUUCUCAACUUGGUGGCAUCACGGCCCCACCUGGCAAUUUUUUCUCAACUUGGUGGCAUCACGGCCCCACCUAGCAAUCUUUAAUCCAACUCACAACCUCACACAGUUACUUUCCCUUCAAGUAUCAACAUUUUCCCAAUUUUGGGAUAAAUUCUCAUAUUCACCAAUUUCACUAAAAUUUCAUAAUCUGAUGCUCGAAUAAAUAAACAGAAAGCACCAUUGGAAUCAGCACAAAAUUUCGGUCGUCGGCUAUCCCAGCCUAAUUUUCGGAAAAUAAAUAAAUAAUUAAAUAAUUACGAAAAAUAUUAAAUAAAUGCAAUAAAUCCAACUUAGGCCCGUUAUAGCCUAAUUGGAAGCCGAUACGAACCCGGAAAAUUACCGAGACUCGUUCCAUAAAUAACAUGGCAUGCCUACUUGCUAAUGUCUAUUUCUAACCACCUAACAUGCAUCAUUAAGUCUCUAAUUUAAUUGAUCUAAACUAAUCUAACCACCUAAUUGCAUUUAAUUAAAUCUAACCAACCCCUAAGCGUAAUUAGCAAACUAAUAAAGCAUUAGUGAGUAAAACUCACUUGAUCAAAAGCGGGGACCGAAUCACCGCAACGGCGACGCGACGGCGGCCGAAAUCGGGCUUUCGACAACACCGGCGGGCUUGGACCGGGCCUAAGACUUGGCCCUACAAACUUCAGCAAGGCUGGGCUUUAGUGAAAUUCUUGGGAUGAGUUGAUCAGGGCUGAACUUGAUGGAUCCUUGGGCUUUGCUAGAAAUCGGGCUUGGCCAAUUAACUCACAUGGACUGGACUGGGCUGCAGCUGAGAUAAUUCGACUGGGCUUGAAACUAAGCUGAAAAUGGGCUGAUCUCUUGGGCUGAAAACUGCUGGCUUUGCUGGGCUUCGGAGCUGAAUCUGCUCGGCCUAAUUUGCGGCCCAAAUGACCUACAAAGGCUAAACUGGACUGCACGUUGGACUGAAUUUGGUUGGGCCCGAAAGUGAAGAGAUGGGCCACGAAGAGGACGGAAGCAGCUUCAGUCACUGGGCUACCGAAAUUGAAGGUGCGUGGACUGACGAGCUGGGAGAGGAACUCGGAUGAGGCGUGCUGCAAGUGCUUCGUUUGCUGCUGGACGAAGAAGACGAAAAUCAACCCAGCUUCAGUAGCUGGCUUCUGUUCACCAAAGCAGCUUCGGUCUUCAUGGACAUCAAUGGACGAGGAAGCAGCUUGGGGUCUUCAUGGAGUGCAUGGGCACCAACGUGGCAGCUUCACGAGGUCAACAAGGUGGGACGGUUCUUGCUGGAGUUGACCGUGGAAGCUGCAGCUUGGACGCGUGGCUGAAGAAGAAGGUUGCUGGGCUUCCUCGUUGGCGUCGUGGGGUCUUCGGUCAACAAACUGAAGCUUGUUGCUAGAGUUUGACCCACGGAGCAAGUCGGAUGCGUGGAGGCUGAGAGGACUUCGGUCUUCAGUGCUGGACAACACUUGAAGGAAGCAACUGUCGCAUGCUGGCUGAGCGUAGGUCAACCGGUCGUCCGAGAGGCAGCAAGGUUGACUGAAAACGUGGCACGGAGCUGCUUCGGUGUUGCCUCGGCGUCUUCAGGCAGAUGCGGUGGACUGAAGCUCCGUGAAGUGGAGACACGGAACAGGAGUUUUCGUGGCGUCGAAAUGAUGAAAACGUUGGCGAGGAGCUGCGGGGUUCUUGGGGCCGAGAGAUGCAGAAGCUGAGGUCGGCAAAUCAAGCUUGCCCAAGAAGAUUCCAACGUGCGGAUGAGGGGAGCCAGCUAAGAGGGAACAAAAAUCAUAAAUCUUAGCCAAUACAUUUAAUGUUUUGGCCCCACAAGUCCACAAUACACUCCUCUUUGUCCCCCCAACCAAUUUCAAGCUUAUCAACUCACAAAUAAACAAAUUUUAAGUCCAAAAUUGCUGCCUCAUCCAAUCAUACGAAUUUCACCAUUUGAACUUCAAUUUCUCCAAUAAAUUCCCAAAUUGAGGUCCAAUUUUGAUGUAGAAAAAAUCCCAAAUGAUUUUCUAUAAAUCCCCGACACACAACGGCUCAGUCUGGAAGUCCAAUUUUCUAUCAAUUUAGCUCGUCUGAAUUUCCGCCAAAUUUCCGCGACGUCCGAAACGGUUUUCCGUAAAAAUUCCUGAAUCUCUGAAAAAUCUUCUGAGACUGAGUCGACAUUCCUAAAAUUUAUUGUGACACGACAGAAUCUUCAAUUUCUGAAAUCGGACUUGAAUUGACGGUUAAUUUUCAUUCGGCACGUUUUUAGCAUGACCUAGACUACCUGGUAGUUUUUAGAACUUUUCAGGACAAUUGACUCGUGGUCGAUUUUCUUCGAGCCAUUAUGAACCCACUCGACUCAUUGGCGACUCUCGCUUGUCGUAAAAAUCUCGAGGAUCCAAAUACGGACACAGGGUACCAAAGCAAUAAGAAAAUCAGUCUAGAGCCAGUCGACGAGAAUUUUCCAAUUUAGUGGAGUCACCCACAAUCGGCCACACAUCUCAGUCGAAUAGACCUAUCUCUGAUCUCAAAUCGAUUUUUUAACUGUGCUGUAAUGGCCUCUAAAGAUGGACACGGUCGAGAAGCCGAUUCAUGAUCGAGUUCUCAAGUCUAAUUGCCUUAAAAUUCCUAAUAAUUUCUCCAGAUAGUCUAGUUAUCUCAAGAAUGAUCAGUUCUGAGAAUAGCCCUAUAGACGCGUCAAUGAAAUGCCCGAUUUAUUCAGUAGAAGACAGGGUCGAAAAAUCUGGAUGUCACAUCUAACAAUACUACAUAAAUAUGUUAUACAUCAAACUGUCCUAUUGAUUCUAAACAACUUGUAUUUAUCUAAUAGCACAUGUGGUAAUAUUAUUGUUCUAUAAUUAUGUUCUUUUUCCUUUAAAUUGACAAGAGUGAGCCAAUAUAGAUCAUGGUCCAUGAAUGUGAACUCAUGAAUAUUUGAUACAUGUAAUACUAAUGCUAGUCUGUCAUCGAGUGUUUGGCAAGAGUUGAAAUUGACAUGUGAAAGCUAUCCAUUAUUUGAAAUUACAUCAACAUAUCCAAAAGUAGCUACUUGAUAAAGUUUGUCAAAUUUUCAUCGUUAUUUAAAUUCAUAAAAUCCAUUUUCCCCUGCCUUGCUUGCGUCGCUUUUGCUGCUCGUGAGUUAUUUUGUUUUUGAGAUUUACAUUAGAUCCAACAUUCUUUUGGUCCGGAUACAAUUCAGCACAUGUAUAAGAUAAAAAAAAAAAAAUGUAAUUGCUCCAUAUUAUGAGAAUGCUAUUAAAAGGAGUAACAUGUAAAAUUAGUAAGAUUUGUGCCUUCUGAUGAGGAACAUUCUUGUCGUUUUAGGGCUUAACAAGUUAACAGAUAAUGGACUGUUAAACUGAUCUGAAAAAUCCCAUUUUGCUGGCUUUUAUUGGUCAUAAAACACAGGAAUCGAAGGUAUCUUGGUACUCUCUUAAGUGUCUUCUAGAGCAAUAGUUGGAUAAAUGGAAUAAGAUUGUAUCUUUGACUCUUCCCUCUUUCAUCAGUUGACUGAGAUGAGACAUCAGCGGCCCAAAAUGUAUCUUUGACUCUGCCCUGCUUGCGUCGCUUUUGCUGCUCGUGAGUUAUUUUGUUUUUGAGAUUUACAUUAGAUCCAACAUUUUUUUGGUCCGGAUGCAAUUCAGCACAUAUAUAAGAUAAAAAAAAAAAAAAAUACAAUUGCUCCGUAUUAUGAGAAUGCUAUUAAAAGGAGUAACAUGUAAAAUUAGUAAGAUUUGUGCCUUCUGAUGAGGAACAUCCUUGUCGUUUUAGGGCUUAACAAGUUAACAGAUAAUGGACUGUUAAACUGAUCUGAAAAAUCCCAUUUUACUGGCUUUUAUUGGUCAUAAACCACAGGAAUCGAAGGUAUUUUGGUACUCUCUUAAGUGUCUUCUAGAGCAAUAGUUGGAUAAAUGGAAUAAGAUUGUAUCUUUGACUCUUCCCUCUUUCAUCAGUCGACUGAGAUGAGACAUCAACGACCCAAAAUGUAUCUUUGACUCUGCCUUGCUUGCGUCGCUUUUGCUGCUUGUGAGUUAUUUUGUUUUUGAGAUUUACAUUAGAUCCAACAUUUUUUUGGUCCGGAUACAAUUCAGCACAUGUAUAAGAUAAAAAUAAAAAAUAAAAAAAAAUACAAUUGCUCCGUAUUAUGAGAAUGCUAUUAAAAGGAGUAACAUGUAAAAUUAGUAAGAUUUGUGCCUUCUGAUGAGGAACAUCCUUGUCGUUUUAGGGCUUAACAAGUUAACAGAUAAUGGACUGUUAAACUGAUCUGAAAAAUCUCAUUUUGCUGGCUUUUAUUGGUCAUAAACCACAGGAAUCGAAGGUAUCUUGGUACUCUCUUAAGUGUCUUCUAGAGCAAUAGUUGGAUAAAUGGAAUAAGAUUGUAUCUUUGACUCUUCCCUCUUUCAUCAGUCGACUGAGAUGAGACAUCAGCGGCCCAAAAUGGAAAAGAACAAGAAGGGAUAAAUUCAUUCACACCCAUAAUCUUAGUACCACCAAAUAUUAAGACUUCGAAACAAGGUUAAAAAUCUUGGAUUCUAUUGCUCAAUAGACAAACGCAAAGGAUCGACGCAUGAAGAGAACAAAGAAUAUAGUUUACCUUCACCAGCCAAAAGAUUGCUAGGUCAACAGCAAAUGCAGGAAAGAAAUAGAAGAAAAUCGUACAAAACCUUUUAUUAUUUACAAACACAUACCAUCCUUGAAACAAUAUGCAUGCCAACAAGGGGAAGAGCUGAAAGAUUGUCUUCAACACAAAAUAACUAUAGUCACACCUCAUCUUUUUUAACAUGUAAAAACAACCAUUUCAUUCGGCAAAAUUUACCACCCUAGUCAUGAAGAGCAUGGUAUUCAAAAAGUACAUCACUCUCAAACGUACUUUUCAUGCACAUGGCAAGGUGCUUAUAUCAUAAAAAUUAUUGCUUAUAUCACUUAACAUAAUUAGUCAAUGAAAAAUGUUUUCAUUAUCGACAAAAAUUUAGGUCCAAACAUUUUCGUGAGUCAUAAAAGUAUCUUUUGUUCAUUCGUUAUUGUUAGCAAUUUUAGUGGAAAUGUUUGUCAAAUUCAUUUUCCACAAGACAAACACACCCUUAAUGUCAAACAGCUUCAAUGUUUAAAACUAGGAGAGGGAAAUUUGAAACAGACGUUUUACUUUGGUUUAUGACAAGUAAAAUGGAUUGCAAAUAUCUUUAGUUUUUGCACGUGUGAAAAUGAGAAAACACGGUCACUGUCUUCCGCAGUGUUGCUGGGUCAUUGGAUGUGGGAACCAAAGAAGAUUUGCGUAAAAAAUUGAAUGCGGUUCUAGCAGAUAGUUUUCAAUUUUCACCCAUACUACGACUUAAUAAUGGAUCGAAUUACAAAAUUCGUAAUAAUUCUUUUUAUAUAAUUAUGAUGUAAUCAGAGCAGCUUGAUAUUUUUCAUUCCAUAUUUUUAAUUUGCAGCUGCAUAAAUUAUAUUUAAAAGAAGGUAAUGAAGGAGGUGAUGUAUACUCAUAUUUAAAUCAAUCUCGGUUGGUUAUUUAUGUGGAAAGUAUACAACUUUGAAAUCAUGAUUGUUAGCUAAUCAUAUUUCACAGCGCGAGGCGAGGGAAAGCAAGUCAAAGUCAUCCUUCAUCUUGCUCGCUUCAUUGCAUUUCCCAAGUCCUCUUUUAACCAAAGAAAGGGACAAGGCAAAUGCGGACAAAACCUACUCCAAAAAAUUAAUAAAUAAAUAAAAGACUGUAGUCAACGUUCAACUUUGGAGUGAUUCUUGUUCUUCCCCUGAAUUUCCUCGAAGGUGUGUGAAUGUGAGGUAAUCGUGUAUACCUAUCUCUAGGGGACAUCAUAAUUACAAACACGUUAUGUUCACGGUGAGACAAGAGACCGGUCUUUAUUGUGGAAAUGUUGCAUAGGAUUAAUUUAUAAAAGACGCAACGGACAGUGCUAAUCAUAAUUUGGAGCUUUUGGAUGAAAGUGUGGCUACUUGUGUUUUCUAGUAAGACUUGAUAUAGGGUUCUCAUAGUUUUUCAUAGAUAUUUUAAGAAAUUUUGAUGUCUGUUGUAAAUUUGAUAUGCACCGAACUUUUUAUUUUGUUUAUUAACUCCAAGUAACUCUUAUUUAUCUAUACAUUUGCUGCUCUAUAACUAUACUUUUUUUUUUCUUUUUCCCCUUGAAAUGAAAAGGAGUGACCUAAUAUACGUCAUGAUACAUGAAUGUGAACACGAGAACAUGCGAUGCAUUCAAUUGGUAGCCUCAUGAAAAGUUUGAAGAGGGUCGACAUUGAUUCGUCAAGCUAUCAAUUGCUUGGAAUAUACAUCAAUAUCCUAAUAAAAUUUGUCAAAUUUUCAUCUUUGUCCUAAUUCAUAAUAUGUGUUUUCUUCUCUCAUGCUUGCUCUGCUCAUGGUGAGUUUAUUGAGUCCACGUUAGUCUAAUUAUUUUCAUUGAUCCGGGGGAACAAUAGUACAAGAGUGCUAUUAAAAGGAGUAACAUGAAAAACUAACAAGAUUUUUGCCUUCUACUGAGGAUCAAACUUGUCAUUUUCCGGCUUAACACAUAAUGGACCAUUAGACUGAUCUGGAAAAAUCUAAUUUCAUCGGCUUUUAUUGGAUAGAAACUACAUAAAUCAAAGGUAUGUUGGUGCUCUAUCAAGUGUCUUCCGGAGCAAUACUAGGAUAAAUGGAGUACUAUUGGCUCUUUGACCCUCCCCUCUUUCAUCCGUUGACUGAGAUAAGACAUCAGGGGCCCAAAACACAUAAGAACAAAAAGGAAUAAAUUCAGUGACACCCGUACCAACAAAGAUAAGACUUCAAAACGAGUUUAAAAAUCCUGGGUUCUGCUGCACAAUAAACAAAAGCAAAGGAUCAACACAUGAAGAGAAAAAAGAUACUUUACCUUCACCAGCCAAAAGAUUGCAAGGUCAGCAGCAAAUGCAGGAAAGAGAUCCAGAAGAAAACCAUAUGAAACCGUUUAUUACUUACAAGCAUAUACCAUCCUGGAAACUAUAUGCAUGAUUGUCUUUAACACAAAUUAACUAUAGUCAUACGUCCCUUACCAAAAAAAAAAAAAAAAAAACUAUAGUCAUACGUCAUCUUUUAACAUGAAAUCACAAUGAUUUCAUUCGGCAAAAUUAGCCACCCAUGUCAUGAAGUGCGUGGUAUCCUCAAAUUGGAGUUGCAAGCUGACAAAGCCAUUUAAAGGAUCGCAGCCUUCAGCCACUAAUCAUAUGUGAAAGACAGCCAAAUGUCAUGUGAAUCAGCAACUACUGUCCUAUUCGGUGAUGCUAACAUUUCAGCCUUCCCGUUGUUCACAUGAAGAGCACAGACAAUCAUAAUGAAAUGAGAGAAAGCAGUGUACGAUGAUAUACUCUUUAGUCAGUCAUCAUAUGUGUCAAGCAGAACCAUUUAAGGCUCCACUGCCUUCAAAAUCAGAUCACCAAGUUCUGUAUCUUCAAGCCGACUUUGAAUGGUAGUUGCAGAUCACUUCUUUUAGGAACACUCUUGGGGAAAUCGAGCAUUUGAUGAUGUUAACCUACAUUCUGACAAAUACAGGUCAUUGUCUUCAUUUUCAGAGUCUUCAGAAACCCAACCAUCAUGAUUCACUUCACCAUUGGAUUGCACAGCUGCCACAUCACUAUUAUCCUCUUUUGCAAGGAAAUGGAGAUCCACAAACAUUGAAGACACAUUCUGUGAGAGAGUAGUUUCUAAAUCUGGAUCGGCAUGGUCAGUAGCUGAAAUGGAAUGGAAGUCCUGAUCUCCAACCAUUGAAAAGGGGAGAGACUCUGAACUUCUAAUAACUCUCUACAGAUUUUGCUGACUACUUGCAAUUUUCACUAAAGACAUGGAACUACCCUGAGCAGGAUAAGACUCCUCAUUAAGACAUGCUAGUCAGCAAAAGCACUCAUAAUUAGAUGCAGACAACAAGAUGGCUCAAAAAGAACAUAAAUGUUCCUACAGUUGACAGCAACAAGGUAUUUUAGUAACUGAAAUAUCACCUUCCCUGGAAGUUGAUUGAUCGAACCAUUUGCAAUUCAAAAUAUGAAUGUGACCCCACCUUUUAGUGACCUUGUAUUUAUCUUCUGGAGCUUACAGCCAGUCAAGGGCAUCGUAGUGGGACUCACACUGCUACAGAGCAUCAUAUAUGAGGCCAACAGAAAGAUUCAAUGGUAAUAACAUUGCUGAGCAAUGUGCUUUGAGCAACCAACAGGCAGUCCUAAUUCACACUGGAAAAGCGAGAACUGGCUGAGGAUCUUUUAACAAUUAGCGGUUCAAAUUGUACGUUGUUUAACACCUUGUUUCCUUGAACCACAGAACACAAUUCUUUAGGACUGAUUUAGAAGUCAAAGUCAAUGAUAUUGUCAUGCCGGGAAGUUUCACUGUUUCUCAUCGUAAUCAAAUUCCCAAGUAAAAGGAUAUUACCAAAAACCAGGAUUCAUAGCCAUUUCCUAUUUCAAACUAUAAUCGUCACUAAACCUUGAAAUGAUACAGAUCUUCUUUUCAAACUCUUAAAAGUGUUUUCAUAUGCGAAGACAAGAUAAAGAUAUGUGCAUUUUGACACGGUGAUCAGAUAUCAAAAGGAAAAUAUGCAAGCAUAUCACUGGACCUUAAUCUUGAAGAAGAAAAGGAUAUUUCUGCAAUUAAAUGAGUGCACUUCCUGGUCAAUUCUGCAGAAUAUCUCCUGCUAUUUUCUGUAAUAUGCUUCUGAAUCUCCUUCCGUGCAUCUGAGAUCAUGAAGGACAUAAAAAUUGAAGAACUGGAGGACAACCAACAGCAGCAGCUAUAUCAAACAAUCAGUACCUGCAGGAAUUCCUGCGACAUUCAUUGUCAAUCCAGAAAAUGGAAGAACUCUAUAAGACUCUUGAGGUACAACACGGUGCUCAAUACGGCAUUGGUAUAACCAAUUAAUGGUGACAACAGGUCACUUCACAACAUUUAAAGCCCACUGCAUGAUGACAACAUUAAUUGAUAAAUACAAUUUGUCUCUCAAGAUGAAAUUCAUAAAAGACUUUGCACAGAGAAUAUUCAAAAAAAUAUGGAGGAAACUCUUCUUUAGUUCAGCCAACUCAAUGAGAGUACUAAGCUUCCCAUACUUAGUGAAAAAGCAUAAUGAAUCUCAUUUAAAGUGAUUUAACCUUAACAAGAUACAACAAAUUCACAACUCUUAAACUAAAUUCAAAUUAUUAACUCCAAGACCUAAACCUUGUAUUUUGCAGCCAAAAUAUUCUUCGCAGUUACGAAGCUAACAUCUGCUGAAGUUUUGGUCUGUAGAACUCCCCACAUUGAAGUUACCAAUUUCUCAAUCUCAGCCUGUAGAUUUGCGGAAAUGGUGAAACAAUAAGAGAGACGACAGGCUGCCGCCAUAUUAGUUCAGACAAAAGCAUGUCUGAAGGUAAAAGAAUCAAGGCGUCACAUAGAAGGAUACAUGGAUAAGGAUAAGUGACACGCCACACUAAAUUUGAGGUGAUGAGUUACGACAAAGAUUACACGCUAAAAAAAUCAUACAAGGCCAGGCUUAUCUAGGAACAGGCAUACCUUCUCAUCCAUCUCAAAUCCAGAUGCAAGGACUUCGACACCAUCCAUCGCAAGACUGACAAGUAUACCCUUUUCGAGGUAGAGUCUCCGUUCUUUCGCACGCGAAACCCCCACACACUGCGGACCCGCAAGAAAUAUCCCCCAUCAAUGUCAACAUUUUUUUCCCAGGCAGAAGAACUCCUCUCGACUUGCUUGGCCAGCACAUUGACCCCAAUGCCUCCGCUUUCUUUUCUCAACUACAGGUCCUGGUUUAGCAUUUAGCAGCCUCGAGGAAAAACCAGAAGAUAAGACUAGGACGAGAACAAGAUCUUUACCGACUAGCUUACAAUCCUUUCGCUCGAAGAUCCUCGAACUUCUCAAGACGUAAAACAACCUCAAACCCAAUUUUCAAAAUGAACCCAAAAGCCGUUAGCGCCGCCCAAUCCCAACGUACUCACGUGAUCGGGGAGAAGAAACAGCAUGAAAAUCGCGGGGCCCACUCCUGGAAGGAUCGCAGCGGAUGGAAAGCCUCGGCUCCGUUCAGCUUGAGCGCGUCGAACAGCUCGGGAGGCACUCAAGUUACUCGGCACGAACACGAUCGCCCCCCUCAAACGGCUUCGUCUUCGCCAUUUCCUAUAUUCCUUCUCCAGCAGCGACUUCCUCAACAGAUGAUCGGUCUCGUUGCUAAGGAUUUCUGCGAAAUCUAAAUGCAUGUGCGUGAGAGAGAGAGAGAGAGAGAGAGAGAGAGAGAGCAACGAUAGCAAGUUAGCAACGAUGAAGCGCGAAGGGAAUCGGAAGUUGGAAGAGGAUGAAGGAGGAGCGAAUUGGGGAAAAAUUGAGUGGAGUGAGCUUUUUCUGAAUUCUUCCCCCAAAUAGGGAUGGAUUAGGGUAUGAGAAAGCGCGGGAAAAGGGGUUUUUCUUCGGCUCUUUUCGGAUUUUCCUUUUAAUUCCCCUUUUUUGUGCUAUUAAUUUUGUGGAUAAUUUCUCAAAAACCCCCCAACUUUCACACCGUUGCAUGACUACUCUCCAACUUUGAAAUAGAUACACACGAUGCCCGCGCCGGGCGACACGAACCACGAAAAGAAAAUAAAAGAAAAGAAUAAAAGUAAAGAAUUCAAAAAAAAAAUUAAAAUUGCAAAAACUUUUCCAUGUCAAUAUUGAUUGCGUUAUAAUAAAUGAUCGACAUUCAUGUUAGCAAUUUUGAAUCAAAAUUAAUCAGAAGAAUUACAUUAACAAAUUGUCAAAAGUUUUAAAAUUAAAUUGACCAAAUUAAAAUUUAUUAUCGAAUUGACAUCCGUUAAUGAUUAUUUUGUUAAAUUUCCCUAAGAAGUUAGUCACAUGUCUAGAUCAAAACUUCACAUGAAGUUUUUAUUGUGGGCCCAUAAGUGUCAAAAAAUUACAUUGGAUCAUGGAUAACACUUUUUAUCAUGUUUCAAGAGCAACCAAAGAUUGGGGCUUCUUGGCGAUAAAUUUUUUUAUAGGUUUUUUUUUUUUUUUGGUUGAUAUCUUUUUAUAGAGUUCAACUCUACAUUAUAUGAUCAACCAAAAGAAUUUUAGAGACACUUUCAGAGCAAAUCCUAAUAUUAAUUAUAAUAAUAAACGUGAGUCAAAACUUUCAUUUCAUGCAUUUAAAUCCCAAAAUUUGUAACUCCAACAUAUGUGGGUCCUUUUGUUAAUUAUGUCAAUGGAUGGAUAAUAACAAGUGGAUUUUUUCUACUCACGGGGCAUUUUCUGUCUGCUAAAACCUAAUAGGACUAAUGGGAAGACUAAAGUGGAUGAAUACAACAAGUUGAGGGCUCAGGUGACGAAAUGAAAGUUUUAAGACCCAAAUGUAUCGUCGCGACGUCUUUUAAAUUGACUUACAAAUUCAUCAUGCUAACAAAACUUAUGAUCAUUCCUUAUACUUGACUUUGGAAAUAUGCUUGCUAUGUUUGCACAUAUAAUCUUGGGACAAAUAUAAUAACUACAAAAAUCCAAUGAAUCAAUCCAUGACAUCUUAGGUUGGACAUGAGUAUCACGAUAUUGGACAGAGCAUUCGAAGCCCCUUGAAACUUGUAGUCUUACAAGAUGAAAAAGGAAGCCUGACAGUAGGAGUAGAUGUACAAUUAGAUCCAAUCUAUACUUUGGGACUUCGGAAACUAUAGAGGAGGUGGGACCCCUAAAUUCCAACACACCUCGUACAAAGAAGAUUUUGAAUGAGCCAUCAAGCUGCAUAUAAACAAUUUCCAUAUAGGUAUAUUGAUUUAUAUGAUAUGCAUUCAUUUAAUUAACCCUACAGCUAUAUCCAUGUUGAGUUUGUGACGCUACUCUUCUUGAAGUGCCCUAUGAUAAGUCUACUAUUCAUCAGAAAUGUCUUUGACCUCAGUUUCUAAAUAAGUUUCGAGAUCAAAUGGAAUCAACUAGGCUCUACGAGAUCAAACAGUUAAACAUCGAAAAGUUUCGAGAAAUCUCGAUUUGUUUCCCUUGCCACUCCCAUGCACCUAGUAAGGUACUUCAUUAUAGAAUAACCAAGAGUACCUUAUCCACCAAGUGACAAAACUUAUUAGUAAUUGCCGCUCUAUAUUGAUGACAUAGAAGACGAUCUCCAAAAUAAACUCAAAAAAGGCAACUAAUUUUAAGGCAAAUAGGAAUUUACAGCUCUUGCCCCAAAAAAAUCAUUGCUGGAGAUAUGAGGCAUCCGCAAUGCCAAUUAACUACAAAGGCAAUGACAACCAGUCAAUCAAAUGAAUUCAAUUAGCUAAUGAAAAGUUCAACAAAAGGAAAAUGAACUUAUGUCAUAAGGGACAUCUUAAAGGUAAAUGCUUUUUAAUUCUCGCUAUGACUAGACUGUUCAAAACUUGGAUGUGCAAUUGGUUGAAGGUUUAUUUUAGGUGGAAGAGAGGGAUUGGAUUUGGUAGAUACGAGUCUUUCCUCUCUGGACUUCUUUGAAUGGAAAGGCAUUUCAUUCAAAUCCACCUCCGAUUUUCUCUUAAUCUUCUUCUACGGCAAUAUCGCCUUUCCUUGUCUCGCAUCUUCCGAGAAGGUGCUCAAAGUUAAUGGUUUCCUCUUGCUUAAUUCUAUCUGUUUUGUAAUAGUUUAUUAGGAUUCUUUUAGCACCAGAUGAUGGUGAUGAUAAUGAUUGAUUACAGCUACUUUUAUACAACGCAAGGGAGCUUUUCUUUUCCAUCCAUUCCUUUGUUUGCCGUUUCCGAUGCGGAGCUCCACAUGUAAUCAUAGCAUACAAUUAAAUAUGCUCAGAUUGGAGAGAUGGAACGGCUGGGAUUCUGGUCCCAGAAUCAGGUCAACAUGGUAAGGAUCGAAAGCCCUUUUGCAUAAAGAAAUUCUGGGCAAUGAGUCAGCCCUCACUCCCCACCUUUCUUACAGAUCCAUCACAUCUUUACUAAAUUAGGGCAACGUUGUUGUAACUAUAGGUGCAAUAAUUUUUAAGAGACGCCCAAAAAAAAUAAAAAUCGCCAGGCCUCCACGGAACGAAGAGUUAUUUUCUUGCAUCAGCUUUAGUCUUGAGGCCCGCACUGCGUGCAUGCGUGAUCACAAAUGGAUAACGUAUGAAGAGAAAAGAAUUCUUUUUAUUGAGCGGAUGUGGAGUGUGUGCUAAUUACACACGGGUGUAAUUUGGUGAUUAGUUGGUAAGGAGACGGUGUGUGAUUUUAACUUUCGACAGGAAGGGCAAUUUUGGAAAAAAAGAGAUCGACAAAAUAAUGUUAUGGUGAAAACAAAGAGGUGCAAGUGUUGUGAGAUUCAAACCUAGGACCACGAGCGAUAAAGAUUGAAUGGUGAUGAACUUGUUUUGCCGUUUGGAGAUAGAUCUUCAUAUAUCCAUCAAAAGCAUGUUUUGGGUUGGUUUUUGAACGGGUCAAAAAUAGUUCGGCUCAAAUAAACUCAUUUUAAUCCGUUUAAUCUAUUUACAUACAAUAUGUAUAUAGUGACUCAGAUCCAACAAUGUCCCGUGUUGCUAAAACAUGUCUUUAUUUAACCCAAAGCUAGGAAAAUUCACACCCAAAAUCGAGAUGGGUUGGGUCGUAAACCCAUUUAGUACCUCAUCAUUUAUUAUGUAAAUUUUGACAGGUUUAAUUAUUCAAGAGAGAUAAAAAGACAAAAACACGCCCGGAUCGGAUCCGGACUCAGCACUGUUUUCGCAGCACCGAUUGCAACGGGCAAAUGGCCCCUUUCCUCGCCCGACCCACGGUCCAUCCCCCACGUUUCUCGUCCGUGGCACGUGACUCGCAGGUGCAGAGACAGAGAGAGAUUCGACCAUGUGACCCCACCUCCUCGAAUGCCCAGAUCCGCCAGCUUCGGCGCUUUGACUUUAAAAGAAAAAACGACGACGCAGCACAAACCGUUCGGCGUUCGACCUCGGCAGUUCUUGGCAGAGGGGAACGUCGUUUCGCUCUUCCAUCCCCCGUUUUUUAACUUUUCAUCUUUUCUUUAUUUCAGAUUAAAAAAAAAUAUUUUCUUUAUUUCCUUUUUUUUCUUUUUCUCGAAUAUGGUUAAAGGCCAAAUAUUUCUAAGAAGGCAAAUCCCGAUUUUUCCCCCUCCUCCCCUUUUCCGUGUUUUCAUACAUUCUUUUUUCUCCUCUGCUUGGGACUUUUAUGUAGGACGAAAUUUCCUUUUUUUUUUUUUUUUUUUGUGCUAAUUAAAUGAAAGAGAUCUUAGAAAGGGAAAGUCCGUCAAAUUGAAGCCAUGCGUAUCCAGGUACCCUUCUUUUUUUCCAUUUUCAGUUUUUGGCAAUAAAAUUAUUUUUGAAUAAUGGAGAAACCUUAAUUUUUGCAAAAAACGAGAACGAAUCUCUCGAGAUGGAUUAGAUGCAUUGUAUAAAAACAAGUAAUACAAAUGUUUUUGUGACAUCCUGAAAUUCGACCCCGUUUCGAUAAAGUGAAAUGGGCAUUUCGUCGGCGUGCCUAUGGCCUUUUUCUCUGAGCUGAUCACUCACGAGUUAACUGACCUAUUGGGUGAAGCCGUUAAGGGAUGUAUCGGCCGUAAAAUCCCUAAAAGCUACCUAAUUGGUUGGAUUGAGCCAAAAUCACGUCUGAUCGAUUUUUAAUCACGAAAUUGAACUCGAUUUCGGGAAUUGAAUUUUAAGCGCGUCAUAAUUCUUAUUUUUAGGAUCCUGUCUCAUCGCUCGUCAAUUUAUUGACGAGUCCGAAAUUUAAAUAAAGAAAUUAUCGGAAGAAAAUUGAAGACCAAAAGAAAAUAGAAAGGAAAAGGAAAAGAGAAAAGGAAAAUUUGCAUAAAGGAAGUAUGCAUUUUAUUUUUCUUUUUCUCUCUCUCCCCCUUUUCUUUUUCUCUCUUUUCUCUCUCUCUCCUCUCCCCUCCCCCUCGUGCGAAUUCUUUUCCCCCACCGACUCAGGGCGCGUUUGGUAACGAUUCUGUUCCCGGGAGCUGAUUCUGAUAAGAACUGAUUCUUUUUGAUUCUGUUCCCGGGAACUGAUUCUGAGUAAAAACACGUGUUUGGUAACUGUUCAAAAUUUUUUAUUCUGGAAUAGAAUUGCGUUUGGUACCGUAUUAAUUGAUUCUGUUCCAAAUUAAUUUCUUUUGAUUUUUAAAUAAAUUUUAAAUAAUUUCUUUACUUUUUUACUUUUUUCUUUUUUUUUUCCUUUUUUUUUUCUUUUUUUUCUUUUUCUUUUUUCUUUUUUUCCCCUUUUUUCCUAUUCUUCUUCUUCUUCAUUUGGCCGGUCGCCGGACCGGCGACUGGCCAGACGAGGGCCGGCGACGCUCACCGGAGCGCCGCCAGCCCUCGGCGAGGUCGGCCUUCGUCGGCCGAGCCUCGCUGGCAGCUGGGCGAGGCUGGCCUCGCCCAGCCUCGGCGAGGCCAGCUUGGCCACCGGCGGGGCUCGGGCGAGCCGGAACUCCGGACGCGUCGGACCCGCUUCCAAAUGGACGAGGCCGAGUGCUGCCGAGUAUGCGGCCUCAUAGGUUGCAAUAGGCUCUCGCUCUUCCUCAAGGAAAUGUCGAUCUCGCCGGACCGGCGGCUGGCGGCGGACCGACGACCGGCGGCGGCGGCGGCGGGCGGCGGCGGCGGCGGACGGCGGACGGCGGCGGGCGAUGGCGAAUGGCAACCGAGAUGAUGAAAGAGAAGAACAAGGUUUUACCGUUUUGAUUCUUUUUUCUGAUUCUCGGACGAGAAUCAAAUUUUUUUUUUAUUCUCAAAUCUUGUCCAAAAUUGUUCCCGGGAACAAAAAAUUUACCAAACGCGAUUCUCGUCCCAAACUGAUUCUGGGAACAAAAAAUCAGAAUCUGGCACUGUUGGGCAAGUUGCCAAACAGGCCCUCACUUUCCUCUCUCUUUCUCUCUUUCUUUUUGACUAGUCAAAGCUUAUCUCCUCCUCUCUCUUAUCUUCUUCUCUCUCCUCUCUCUUCUCCCUCACCCCACGUGACAGAAACUCCUCUUCUUCCUCUCUUCUUCGUGCGACCCAGCUGAACAGAAACGGCAGCAGCUCGCCUGGGAUCAGAGCGGCCGCCAUCGCCGCCCAAGAUCAGCCGCUCGCCGGUCGUCCUUCCCCGCGCUCCGCCGCUCACCGCUCGCCUCUGCUUCCCCCUUGCUCCCUCAGCUGCCGCCGACGCCUCUCUCUCUCUCUUCUGGUUCGAACGAACCAGCAAGAUAAAGGUAGCAGCUCACCGAAGCAGCCGUCGCCACCGCACCGGAGCUAGGCCGCCGCUCGCACCGCACGCCGUGCGGCCACCGCUCCGCCAGCCCUCGUUCCCUCGCGCCCAGGUCUUUCCCGUGUGUCUCCCACCCCUGUUCCGCUUUGUCCAGCCACCGUGGGUGGCCGAGCAAGCCGCCGGAGCCGCCGUGCAGCCUUGCCGGACCGCCACCUACCUUCCCGACCCUUCUCCGCCCCUAACCAUGUCUGUUUUCCCCUGUUUCACAGCCGAACCAGCAAACCCACGAGUGGGUUUCCAGCCGGUUCGUGGGCCGUUUUGGGCCGUUUCCGGGCCCCGAACCCGAGCCGUGCUUUGGGAAGUUUUGUUCCUCGCGUCGCCCCCGUCGGAUUGAUCCGACUUGCGCGCGAUUUGGUGAGUAAUCUCACUAAUCCUGGAUUAGUUGGCUAAUUAUGCUUUAGGUUGGUUUAGUUUUAAUUAAUUAUAUUUAGGUUGUUAGAUUAGAAGUAAUUAGCAAUUAUUAGUCAAUUGUGAUGUGAUUUAGAUAAAUUGAGUGUGCAAUUAACAAGUAGACAUGGUCUACUAUUUAUUGGGAGUGUCUCGGGAAUUUUCGGACCCCUAAUUGAGCUUCAAUUUGGCGAUUCGGGCCUAAGUGAGAUUUUUGGCAUUUAAAUAUUAAUUUUCGGAAUUUAAUUAAAUAAUUAUUUAUUUUCCGAAAAACCAAGGGAGAGGGUCUGGAACCGGAAUAUUAUGCUGGUGAUCGUGGCGAAGUCCGUUUAUUUAAUCGGACUUUAUUUUAAGCUAAAUUGAAUUUUUAAUAUUAAUUAAUUUUCGAAAUUAAUUAAAUAAUUAUUUAUUUCCUGAAAAUUCAACUGGGAUGGCCCGUGACCGGAAUAUUGUGCUGAUGACCGUGGUGAAGUCCGUUUAUUUAAUCGGGCUUUAUUUUGAGCUAAAUUGAAUUUUUAAUAUUAAUUAUUUAAUUUUCGAAAUUAAUUAUUUUUCGGAAAUUAAGAUAUUGAUGGCCGACGACUGAAAUCUCGUGCUGAUUGUCGUGGCGCAGUCCGUUUAUUUAUUUGAGCUCUACGUUGUAUGAAAUUAAAUAAAUUGUGAUAUUUUAGGGAUUUACCCUAAAUUGAUUGAAUUUGAGUGAAAUUGAAUUAUUGAUUGGCAGAUGGCCGAGUAUGGCUAGUUAGCUAUUGUAAUGCCUUGUUGAGCUGUAAGUGGAGAGAGCAAUGAGAGCUAACUGAGAAAUCUAUUGACUGAGAUCGAUCAAGUACGAAGUAUAGACAGGCGUGGUUCGGUGAUGGGGAAUAUCACUGUGCGAAAACGGCGCCUUAAAGAACGCACGUAGACUGUCUAUGACUUAUGGUAGGCGUGGUUCGGUGAUUAAGGAAAUCACUGUGCGAAAACGGUGCCUUAAAGAACGCACGUAGACUACCUAUGAAUCGUGACAGGCGUGGUUCGGUGAUUAAGGAAAUCACUGUGCGAAAACGGCGCCUUAAAGAACGCACGUAGACUGUCAGCGAUUUGUGACCUAUGACGGGCGUGGUUCGGUGAUGUGGAAUAUCACUGUGCGAAAACGGCGCCUUAAAGAACGCACGUAGACCGUCUGUUACUUAUGUCACCUUGGCGAAAACGACGCCCGAGAGCAUUCAUCCGGCUCUGUGACUAAGUGUACUAUUGGAGAUUAUCGUGAUCAGUAAUUGGUACGUCACCUUGGCGAAAAAGACGCCCGAGAGCAUUCAUCCCGGCUCUGUGACUGAGUACCCGAAUGGAGAUUAUAAAGUAUGGUGUUGAUGUGACCGAGAGGUGGUCCGAAUGACAUGUAAUCGACUAGGUCGAUUGAUCAUUGUUUUGAUCUAAUGUGUGAAUUGAUUGAUUGAAUGGGAAUGACCGUGAGUGGUCUUGUUGGCGUGUAAUCGACUAGGUCGAUUGAUCAUUGAUUUGAUUUGAUGUCGUGGAUUGAUUGACUGAUUGGAAAUGACCGUGAGUGGUCUUGUUGGCAUUUAAUCGACUAGGUCGAUUUGAUCGAUGCUUUGAUCGGUGAUAUGAUUGCUUGGGUGCCUAUUAUGAAUUGUACUGACUUGCAGGUGGGAUCUGAUGCCAAGGUACGUCUUCUGCCAUGUGCGUGGUUAGGCAGCCUAUAGUAUAGUGGUUUACUAAUCGGGCUUAGUGGGGUUGAACUCGCCGAGACGUAGUCUCAUCCCAGUUUGGGGAAAACCAUUUCAGGACCCCGCCGAAGAGCUGAGAAGGAGGAAUCUGAGAAAGAGGACUCGGAGGAGAAUCUUAAGGAGAAAGAUUUUUGGAGGAAGAAGGCAAUCCUGAGAUGGGCCUUGAGUACGGCCCAGUUCGUCUAAGUUUCUGUCUUCUUUUGAGAUCUCCAUUUUGAUGUGAAUAGUUUUGAAGUGGUUUGUGUUUUGUAUAAAAGUUUGGUUAUAAAUUUCAAUAAGAAAAAUAUGGCCCUGCUUUUCUAUCCCAUCGUUUUAUUGUCUGGGGAUUUUAACUGCUUCCGCAUGUGCUUAAAAAUUGAAAGGGUCGGCGAUACAUUGUCCUGGGAUAUCGCAUUAUAAAAUCGACCAAAUAGAAGAUGUGCACGUGCCCGAUGAUCGGGGCGUGACAGUUUUGGCCACUUAUUAGGAUUUUGACUUAUGUUUUAUUCGGUUUACAAUGUUAGAGGGUUAUUCUUGGGAAUUUUUCUGAAAUUGGAUUAUCGCCAAGAAAGAAGUAUGAGUAAAUUAUAAUUUAUAAGACCGGAUCAAUAGAUUUCAUGCAAAGUCUUCUUUUGUUCUUUUGGUCAAAAAAUUUAUGCAGAAAUUUUGAUGCUGUAGAGCCUGAAUAUCUGGCGGAGAAUUCUAACUUUGGUAAGCAAUGCAAUAACACAAACCACAAUUAAGGAACCAACAAAAUGCAAAUUCUUCUGAACCCCUUGGCAUCAAAUAUUAAUAAAUCUGGUAAAAAGCCAUUAAAAAGUCAGUCACGUCUCGCAAAGAAACCGUUAAAGAUGACAAAUCAUUCAAAUUUGACUAGUCAUGUGCACCAACAGUGAAAGCCAUGAAAAGAAGAGGGCAAGUGAAAUAACUCUGAGCUUCAUGGCUGAUAUGAUUCAAAGAAAUCAUAUCACACAGUGUCACUCUCCUCCCAUCAGCUGAACCCAACAAAAAAAAAAAAGACAAAAUAAAAACGGAAGGAGUUGGAGAGAAAGGAGGUGGGACCCGAGAAAAUGAAGGGAAGUGCUUGGAUCAAUGCUUCAUAAGAGAGCCUGGCAACAAGGUAGUAUACAGUAUCUCAUGUUGAAAUAAAGCAUACGUGAAAUUCAAAUCCAAGAUCUAACUGUGACUUUUAGAAAAUACGAUUGCUCAAAUAGCUACGUGUUAGGGAAAAGUCUUUGAUACAUAUAAAAACUGCCAAGUUCUGAAGAAAAUUAUGUGACACGACCAAUGAGGCCUUUCAAUUGUCAAAAACACGUUAAGUUCCAUUUUCUUUAGUGUGGCGCAUGUGUUUGAUUAUAUGGCGGAGUGGGUGGGUGUGCUUUGGGGGUUUAGUGGAGGAAACUUGAAGCAAAAAGGUUCAAAACCUGAAAAGCCUAGCCCCUCUAAACCAAUGGUAUCAACAAGAAAAAUUCUACAGCCUUGGCCCCUUAGUCUAUCCCGAGAAAAGGUGGCAAAAAUGGGUCAAAGACUAACUUUUUAACUUACACUUAGUGGAAUCACUGGAUUUACCCCAUUGGCUAUCCUUCUAACAUAAGAAGGGAGAGGUGGGGGGUUUGAAUCCCCCAUUCUUAAGAGGUCGAAGUAAAACCGAUUUAGUUUUAAAUGUAGGUUCUGACUUCUACACCUUGUAAUGAGGUAAGACAAAAGUCUAAAAGUGAGAGUUAGAGUAAGAUCAACUCAUACUUAGUGGGCUGGGCAUUAUUUGUGCUGGUUUAAAUUUUAAGAGCAUGUUAUUAUGCUUCAGAGUAGCAAAGCCCAACUUUGUCUUGGCCCAGCUAGCUAAUUUUCAAAAGUGUAUCCGCAGCCCACAUCCCUAAAUGGAGUUGGGAACGUGAGGAUGUGAUAAAUAAAUGGACGUCACCGGGGUUGUAUUUAUUCCUCGCUAGCUCCACACGCUAACGAUUUCAUCUAAAUCCAAUAUAUUUUAAAAUGAUACACUGGCUUAUUCUCUUGAACCUUUAAAAUUUUAAAUAAUUGAUUGAUAUAUAGAGCUAUAAAUUGUUAGAUGACACCAAAGAAGAAGCGGAUGGUCCCUUGAUGCUCCCUUCUAUGGCGCUCUUGGUUUUUCGUCUUGAAAUGAUUAAAUACAAGGAUAGAAAGAAGAACUAGUGUAGCGAGCACACACAAAGGAAUGAUGUGAAAUGAAACAAUGUCUCUCUCUUGUUUCCCUUGCUCUGGCUUUGCCCUUUUCUCCAUGGAAGUCGUGGAAAAGUAUUAGACAAUAUAAAAAAUAAGAAUUAGUGAAAAUCUAUUGAAAAAGAUAUAUAUAUAUAUAUAUAUAUAUAUAUAUAUAUAUAUAUAAAGGAUUAAUUGUUUGAGGUAUGUAAGCACUAUUCUUGAGAAUAAUUCCACCCCUCAAAGUAUGAAGCUCAGUACAAUAGGCUCUAGAGGUUAUCCUCACAAGAUAUAACUCCAUACGGAAUAAUAAAAGAAAUGGAAACAUAUUGUGUGUAUAGCACAGCAAAAAAAAAAAAAAAGGGAAAUAUAUUUGAAUUAUGUGAAUUUAGUGUAUCUCAAAUGAUUUUUGUUUAUAGUUUAAUCUUGUAUUCGAAUGAAAGAGAAGCUAUUAAGAAAAAAUUAUAAAUUAAUUGAUAAUUAAUAAAACCAUGACCAUUAUAAAUGAUAAUUUGAUCACGUCAUAAACGAAAGAGAACCCAAAAUUAUCCUUUGCACCUCAUAAAGUCUCGAGAUCUUUGUCUUGGUAAAUUUCCUUACUCAUCAUAACUUUUCUUUAUCAAAUGAUAAUUUGAUCACAUCCAUAACUUUCCUUUCAUGUAUUGAAGUGAUUACACCAAAUCGAUUUUGCAAAAUAGACUCAACGGAUCAUGUUUUUUCCCUUUCUAUCCAACGAUCCACGUUGAAUGUAGGACUAAUCCCAUAAAAGAGAGUUUUGACUUGUGAAAUUUCCAUCCCCGUCAGGAGGUUUUGCCCAUAGUGAAGUAGCUUUUUAAUUAUUAUUUUUGCCAAAUAGUGAAGUAGUGUUUGGAAAUGCUAUUUUUCCUAAAGUUUUGAAAAUCAUUCCACUAUAAAAUAUAUUUAAUAUAUAGAAAAGGAAAAAAAAUGUAAAUUAAGAAAUAGUAUUACUUUGAUCCCACAUACAACAAUUAUAUCCUGCAAACUAUGGCAAUAUACACCAUCAUGAUGGUUUUGUGAAUGCUUCACAAAGAUGAACUGUCAAAACAAGAUUGCAACAUGUCUAUAACAGCUAAACAACCAUACAUAUGGUAAUUUUUAGUUUUUGCGGCUAGUGGUAUCUCAGCAUAUAAGGGCGUGCAUGAUAAAAUUUAUAUUUCUCUAUUUUUUUUGUUUCUCUGUUCCUUGAAACGGGUUUGGAACAUAAAUCCGUUUGGUAAUGCAAUUUGAUUUUUCUAUUUCUAGAACAUAUUUUUAUUCCAUAAAUAGAUUUGAAGAAGAAAUCAGAAGCUAAAAUUUUUAACUUCUCAAUUUCUAAAAUAUAAAUUGAGAAAUCAAUUUAUGUUCUAAAAAUUUUGUCAUGCGCACCCUAAUUUUGUGACUUGUGGACCAGUGUCCUCAUCAAGACCCUCAAAGCAUGAAAUCAACUAGACAAUCAUGUUUAAAAGUAGCUUUCUAAAGCAUGUUUCAACUAGAAAAAGGCAGUAUAAAAAAUGCAAAGGAAAUAUGUACAUCAACAAAAAGGUCAUAGAGAUCACAAAUCGUGUCCUCCAUUGCAGCAUCCAUAUCAUAUUGUCUUUUAGGAAUUUCUUUUUCCUUCCAAUACCUGAAAAUCAUCCGAUGCUCCAGAUUGAUGCUGUAGAGCCUGAAUAUCUGGCGGAGAAUGCUAACUUCGGUAAGCAAUGCAAUAACAUAAACCACAAGUAAGGAACCAACAAAAUGCAAAUUCUUCUGAACCCCUUGGCAUCAAACAUUAAUAAAUCUGGUAAAAAAGCCAUUAACAAGUCAGUCACGUCACGCAAAGAAACCGUUAAAGAGGACAAAUCAUUCAAAUUUGCCUAGUCAUGUCCACCAGCAGUGAAAGCCAUGAAAAGAAGAGGGCAGUGAAAUAACUCUGAGCUUCAUGGCUGAUAAGAUUCAAAGAAAUCAUAUCACACAGUGUCGCUCUCCUCUUAUCACCUGAACCCAACAAAAAAAAAAGAAAAACAAAAUAAAAACGGAAGGAAUUGGAGAGAAAGGAGGUGGGACCUAAGAAAAUGAAGGGAAGUGCUCGGAUUAAUGCUUCAUAAGAGAGCCUGGCAACAAGGUAGUAUAUAGCAUCUCAUGUUGAAACAAAGCAUAUGUGAAAUUCAAAUCCAAGAUCUAACUGUGACUUUUAGAAAAUACGAUUGCUGAAAUAGCUAUGUGUUAGGGAAAAGUCUGAUACAAAUAAAAAUUACCAAGUCUGAAGAAAAUUAUGUGACACGACCACUGAGGCCUUUCAAUUGUCAAAAACAUGUUAAGUUCCAUUUUCUUUUGUGUGGGGGCAUGUGUUUGAUUAUAUGGUGGAGUGGGUGGGUGUGCAUUGGGGGUUUAGUGGAGGAAACUUGGGGCAAAAAGUUUCAAAACAAUGUGAACCUGAAAAGCCUAGCCCCCUAACCGAGUGGUAUCAGCAAGAAAAAUUAUACAGCCUUAACCCCCCUUAGUCUAUCCUGAGCAAAGGUGGCAAAAAUGGGUCAAAGACUAACUUUUUAACUCAUACUGAGUGGAAUCACUGAGUUUGUCCCAGUGGCUAUCUUUCUCACAUGAGAAGGGGGAAAUAGGGGGUUCAAAUCCCCCUUUUCAAGAGGUUGGAGUAGAGGCGAUUUAACUUUAGAUGUAGGCUUCGACUUCCACACCUUACAAAAAGAUAUUGGCAAAAAUUUGAAAAUGAGAGUUAGAGUAGGAUCAGUAAAAAGGAAAAUCAACUCAUACUUAGUGGGCUGGGUAUUAUCUGUGCUAUUAUGCUUUAGAGUAGCAAAGCCCAACUUUGUCUUGGCCCAGCUGGCUAAUUUUCAAAAGUGUAUCUGCAGCCCAUAUCCCUAAAUGGAGUUGGGAACGUGAGGUAGUGAUAAAUAAAUGGAUGUCACUAGGUUUUUAUUUAUUCCUCGCUGGCUCCACAUGCUAACGAUUUCAUCCAAAUCCAAUACAUUUUAAAAUGAUACGAUAUCACCGGGUUAUUCUCUUAAACCUUAGAAAUUGUAAAUAACUUAUUGAUAUAUAGAGCUAUUACUUAUUAGAUGACACCAAAGAAGAAGCGGAUGCUCCCUCGAUGCUCCCUUAUGCAGCGCUCUUGGUUUUUCACCUUGAGAUGAUUGAAUACAAAGAUAGAAAGAAGAACUAGCGUAGCGAGCACAUGCAAAGGAAUGAUGUGAAAUGUAACAAUGCAUUUCUUUGUUUCCCUUGCUCUAGCUUUGCCUUUUUCUCCAUGGAAGUGGUGGAAAAGUAUUAGAUGAUAUGAAAAAUAAGAAUUGUUGGAAAUCUAUUGAAAAGGAUAUUUUUUAAAAAAAAAGAUCAAUUGUUUGAGGCAUGCAAGCACUAUUCUUGAUGAUAAUUCCGCCCCUCGAAAUAUGAAACUCAGUACAAUAGGCUCUAAAGAUUAUCCUCACAAGAUAUAACUUUGAACAGAAUAAUAAAAGAAACAGGAACGUAUCAUGAGUAUAACGCAGAAAAAAAAAGGAAAUAUAUUUUAAUUAUGUGAAUUCAAUGUAUCUCAAAUGACCGUGGUUUAUAGUUUAAUCUUGUAUUCAAAUGAAAGAAAGAGCUAUUAUGAAAAGUUAUAAAUUAAUUGAUAAUUAAUAAAACGAUGACCAUUAUAAAUAAUAAUUUGAUCAUGUCAUAAACGAAAGAGAGAACCCAUAAUUCUCCUUUGCACUUCGUAAAGUCUUGAGAUCUUUGUCUUGGUAACUCAUCGUAACUUUUCUUAAUCAAAUGAUAAUUUGAUCACAUCCAUAACUUUCCUUUCAUGUAUUGAAGUGAAGACAGAAAAUCGAUUUUACAAAAUAGACUUGACGGAUCAUGUUUUUUUCCUUUCUAUCCAAUGACCUAUGUGGAAUGUAGGACUAAUCCCAUAAAAGAGAGUUUUGACUUGUGAAAUUUCCGUCCCCGUCAGGAGGGUUUGCCCAUAGUGAAGUAGCUUUUUAUUAUUAUUUUUGCCAAACAGUGAAGUAGUGUUUGGAAAUGCUAUUUUUCCUAAAGUUUUGAAAAUCAUCCACUAUAAUAUUUAUAUUUAAUAUAUAGAAAAGGAAACAAAAUGUAAAUUAAGAAACAGUAUUACUUUGUCAAUGUUGUCUUUCACUGACACACAGCAACAGAUCCGUCUGUAACUCUAGUAUGAUACGCAAGUCUUCCGUUUCCAAAGUGGGUCAAAUGAAGCCCGGGGUGCAAAAUAGAGUUUAGACAAACUUCAGGGGCGAAAGAGGAAAUUUCAAAAAAAAAAAAAUCGAAAAAAUAAGGCUCCAAUCUCUCCCAUUCUCCGGCGUAUCUAUAAAAAUAGGUAGCGGAAAACAUCACCAAUCCCGCCAUCGCUGGGAACGUCUUUUGAAAAGAGCACUUCGAAGCGCAUGGUCUCUAGAGAGAUUAGCGAUCGUCUCGAUUCGACUGCAGCGUGUGCAUCAUUGAUCGAUCGAUUGAAUCGCUUGAACAGGUCGAGACUCCAUGGAGGAUCGGGGCUUGGAGGAGGUAGAGAAAGUUUGGGGUUGCUGAGCUUGGCUCUCGAGUUCGGCUUCGACGAGCAGUCUGCCAGCAAGUGCUUGGGACCGUCUCGUUUCCCUCUACGGUAACUCGAAUCGUUAUUUCAUCGCCCACUUUUUAUGCCGAUUAGCGUUGCGGAGGUUGUGUAGGUAUUUUGACGAUUGAUUGUGUUGCGUGGAUGAUUCGUGAAUCGAUUGAUUGUGCAGUCCUGAAUACGGAGAUUUAUUGGGGUUAGUCGUCAUUUUGACGAUGGCUGUGGAAUGGUCUGCCUUUUGGAUGUGAAUGGACCAGAGCUGGUUGAAUCUAGUUCAUUGAUCUCGUCCCUAUUUCUCUGUGGGUUUUGCGGAGCAGUCUUAUUGACUAGCGAAAUGUCUUGACUUAUUUUUGAACUGACUGCAAAUUUACAUAUGGUGUCUUGCCUACAUAUAAAUAUGGUGUCUCACUGAACUAAGUGCAAAUCACAUAUUGUAGAUUGUGUUUAUUUGAUCUCUUGUUUGCCAUGGAACUUACAAAAUCAUCUCUUUCUUCUUUUGGUUUACUUAAGGUGACAGAGGUCAAGAGUUUAUCACUGUGGAGCACUGUGGCGAUGACUUCCUAGCAGAACUUGCUAAAACUAUGCAAGAUACUGAGGAUUGGAAUGAUUUGCAAUCUGUGGAAAUCAGAAACUUGUGGAGUUUUGACUGAUAUGUUUGGCCAAGAUAUCAGUAAUGAUGGCGAAUGCAUUGUUGUGCACGAUGUCAAUAUUAUAGAAGAUUCUCCACGACCUGAGAAAAGUCAAUCUUUCCUUGAGGUAGAAUCCUCUGCUGACAAUGCAGACGAAGACGAUAUAUUUGGUAGUAAAAUGGGCAGGAAACCCACAUGCUAUAUUCCUGAUCAAAGCAGCACUCCGAGCCCUUUAUCCACUCAACUUCUGGCCAGACGAUCUUUAGAAUCCAUGGCAUGCUUUUGAAAACUGUGAAGUUGUCUCACUCCCUUCUGCCCCCACCAGUUUGAAAGGAUUAAGAAAAAGAAAGAAAUGCAGGGUGGCUUGGCAUGUUUUUUCCCAUCCCCAAACAUAAUUGGGUGACAGUUGUUAAAUUUGUGCCUCGAGUUUUUGAUUCAUGGACCUAGAUUUGGCUUGGGAUUGGCUCGUUUAAUUGCAUGGACCAAAUACGCAGCUUGAAGAAUGUCUGAGUAUUGUACAGGGUUGGCCGUUCAGUGAAGCAACUGUGGACACCUGAAGAAGCCACGAUAGUUACUGGGCAAAUCCCAGGAGUCUGGCCACAAUGGUCCAGUUGUCUAGGAGGUUAACAAAAAGUUGGCAGAUCUCGGCUCAUGAGUUUUUAUUCUUUUAACAAUGAUUCUGCAACUCAUAUUUUUAUAUAUUUUUGUUGCUGAUGUAUAUUUGGGCCAAGAAGGAAAAUAAGAAGAAUUGAGAACAGAUUGUCUUGGUUUUUGAUCAGGAGAGUUUAGAGUGUCCUUUCAGAAAACUCUUAAAACGCUUUCCGCUCAUCUAGCUCGCUUUUGAUUGACUCUUGCAAUUGGGGUUUUGGUCAGUGAGAAAUUGAUUUAUUUCUUAUUGUAAUUCCUUCUUGGUCAUUGUGAAACAAGUCCUCCCAUUGACAUGGAUGAAACUGCCCAACCCCUUAAAUUAGCGUGUUACUGUUCUUUGCUCUUAAAAUUAAUGUCUUUCCUUGAUCGUUUCCAGUUUGCUUGUAAUUCUGCUUACAACAAAGGACCUUACGCAGGGUUCUCUAUACAAGAGCAUUUAGUAAAUUGCUUAUGAGGGCUCUCAUCCGAUCAAAUGUAUAAGACACUCCUAACUUUUGCCAGUCUUUUAAGAUCUAAAAUGACUUAUAUUAGAACCGUUUGUCAAUAAAAACAGUUGAUUUUUUUUUUGAAAGUAUAGUACAUCAUCCAAGUGUUGGACUUAGGAUCCGACGGCUUUAAUAGGAGUGUUUUGCAAAAUGAAGGCUAGGGAUCUCCUGUGCACAAUUUUCUUUUUCCAUCACUCCAUGUCAGAAACUUUUUAUGGUGCUGAAGAGGCUUAUUUGUGUUAAAGGACUGUAAGAGCACUAUCGCUCAAGGUUCAAUAUCGUCAUUUUCAAAUAAAAGACAUUUCUCUCAAAUUUCGACAUGCAAACAAGGAACUCUGAGUUAUGAGGAAUUGCGACCCUUGGAUGACAUAGAAUUGGCAAAUGUUGUAAUAUUCAGAAACAAAGCAUUUCAACCAAUGCAGCAUCAGGCUUGUAAAUCUUCUGUAGCCAAGCAAGAUUGCUUCAUUUCAACCAAUGCACCAUCUAGGACCUUCUGAUCACUGACUGGAAAAUUCAUCUUGUUUAUGCAUACAAGUGUUGUUAUCAGUCAUAAUUUAGGUCCAAUCCAAAUGGGUUACUAAGUCAAAGAGGAAUAAUUUUCAAAGUACUUCCACCAAAUAUGGGUUCUAGAUUUCUAAAUUUCCUCGCAGUUAUUGGCUAUGCCAUUUUUUCACAAGGGGUGAUGAUCUAUGACUUCUUUUUUCCAUAAUUGGUAUGAACUGAAUGUCCUUUAAUAUACAAUGGAUCUUGGUAGCAUCCAAGAUAUUUGAUUUACUGAAUUAAGGACGAAGAUAUUAAUCUAAAUUUAUUAAUUUGAAUUUUCUAGAAGUGUUUUCUAUUCAGUCUUGAGGUGGUUGAUAUAUGUUUCUAGCUGAAAGUAAUUAUAAGACAAGUAGCGACUACUGGUCCUUUCUGAUAAGCUGAUUGUGAAAGAAAUAAUAAUUCGCUUGCCCCUUCCUUUCUUGAUGUGUUCUUCUGAUGUUUUUACCCUUUGUUUUAGCCACCGGCAACUCAGGCGUCACAGUUGUUAUUUCCCAUUGCUAUCUCUCAUCCAAGAUCAAUUAGUUACUCCAACCCUCAAGUACGGAAUACCAUGUUCUUUCUUGAACUCUCAACAAAUUGCUGCCCAAGUAGCAGCUGUCCUCCAAGAAUUAAGGCAAAGGUUUAACUAUAUUGGACUUCUAAAGCUUUUAUGCUGAGUGUUGUGACUAUCAAAUUAUUAAUCUCCACUUAUGCUUUUCCUACCUUUCCAGAAAAGAUAAACCAUCAUGCAAGCUAUUGUAUGUAACUCUUCAAAGGAUUGUGGGAAAAUAUUGAAAUGCUUGCAUAAAAAGGUAUUGUUUCUGAUGCACCAUAACUUUUUCAAAAAGGUUUAAAUUUUUUAUAUUCAACCAUCAUGCAUUGCGGGCACGACUAGCUGGUUUUGUUGUUGAUGAGGCGCAUUGUGCGAGGUAUGCAUAAUCUUUGGUAUGCCUCGUACAUGAAGAAAGAUUAUGCUAGAGUUACUUCAAAAGGAAUAAUUAUUUGUGAUGUUGCCACUGCAAAACUAUUGUCCUCGUUUACUUUUACCAAAAAAAAAAAACUAUUGUCCUUGUUUAUGAUAUAGCUAAGCAAGUUAACUUUUAUAUAUAUGAACUUAAAACUCUUUCUCCAAACCUUUUUGCAUUUUCAGUGUUUCUAGCCUAAUUAAUUCAUCAGUGUUACACUAAACCUUUUGAAGCCCAGACACCUUUGAAGUUGUAAUAUAACAGAUUGCAGCGUUCGUUGUUUGAACUUUAGAAAAGACCUAGGUUCCAUCAUUUGGGAACACUUAGUGGCUCAUCAUUCAUUAUAUUGAGUAAAGAAGACAACUUAAAUAAGCUCCAGUGGAGAUUACUUUCCAAAGUAAUUGGAACUGGCAUAAGCUUGGAUAACGAUCCCAUCUCCUGUCUUUGUUUGGCAUGAUUCUCAGUCUCUUAAGCUGGUUCUUGAGUCCCUUUUUAUUCUGUUAAUGGUUAUACUAUAUGUUAACAACUUGAGAAAGACAAAGAUUCUCCCAUGUGGUCAUUGAUUGCAUUUCUUUCAAGGUCUUAACUGGAUUUGCUCUGCCAAUGUGAUCUCGUGAAAGGAACGUACUGCUAGUUUGAGCUUUUCUUGUUCAUUUGACUGAUUUAUGAGAAAAGCUCAUUGAUUGUCACUUUCGUGAUUGUCGUUAUUGUUGUCAAUGGGGACAUGAUUUUUGUCCAGAUUAUCGGGGACUAGGAUGUCUCAAGCAAAACUUUCUGUAUGUCCUAAUGAUGGCCUUGACUGCUACUGCCACUCAGCUCGUGAAGUACUAAACUUACACGUUAACCUCCUGAUUUUGUUCAAAUAAUCUGUUUGUUCUAAUUGAAUUAUACAUCAUUGUAGGAUAUCCUAAAAGCUCUUAGGAUUCCCCAUGCUCAUGUUCUUGAGACAAGCUUUGACAGAGCAAAUCUAAAAUAGAGGUUGUAGCUAAGACCAAGGAACCACCGAAGCAGCUUGGAGAGCUGCUAAAGAAUUGUUUUGCUAAUUUUUGUGGCACAAUAUAUUGCCUUUUGAAGAGUAAAUGUGUUGACGUCGCAAAAUACUUGAAUGAGAAGUGCCGUAUAAAGACAGUGUGCUGUCAUGCUGGAUUAGCAGCCUGCCAGAGAGUAGCUUUUUGAACGAAAUGGCAUACUGGAGAGGUCCACAUUGUAUGUGCUAACAUUGUGUUUGUGAUGGGAAUAGACAAACCUGAUGUGGUCUCUCUCAAUGACAGUUUACUCCACCCUAAGAAUGGUAGCAAUCCAUGUCUCUUUCCUGCCCCCCCUUGCUGAUGCUUUUUCUUUAUUUACAAAAAUUUCAUAUUCAUUUAAUGAACUUGGUCCCUCCAAAAUUUUGUAGUUUCUUUACAUCCCGAAGUUUAAGGAAUUAUUGUUAGAAACUUUUAGCAUAAUAGUCUUGCAAAUUUAAGAGCUGUGUUUUGCAACAAUCAUUCUUCCGAUUGUGAAAUAUGAUAAAUGAAGAGCAAUUAUUUCGGAACUUGAGAAAUAAUGCUUUGGUAUAGAUGGUGGAGAAAUAAUUCUUUGAUACAGAUAGAAUGAUGGAACUUUACUACUAGGUCUAUCUCUAUUUUGGUAAAAUUAGCUAUCCAUUGAAAAAAUACGCACUGUUGACAUUUCAUGAGAGAUUUUUUAGGAAAUAAUUCGAAUGUGUUAGACAUCUAUAAAGUUGAGAAAGUUUGCAUUCCACCUCGAAGGCGAAGCACAAGAUGUAGAUUGUCUGGCCAUCCGUGAGUUGCUUCCUGGAAAAAAAAUAUACCUCUGCUAAUAUGGGAGAAUGCCUACCUUGUCCUGUAUGUAAGCUUUGACAUUAUCAAUGGUAUCCAAGCUCUCCACUUCCAAAGAUAUGAUCUUUCCAAUGAUUAUAAUCAUCUGUAACCAAUGUGAUAACAGUCAUGACUGCUAUAGAGGCACUCGCUUUUGCCACUUAAAUUUUAUCUUAUCCAUCUACACGGUGAAUUGUCAGUUCCAUGUCACUAUUAACUUCUAUCACACAUCAAUAGAAAUGUGAUUGCCAAGUCACAACUGUACUUGAAACUGAGAAAAUUGUUUCACAAACUCUAGUUGCCAUUUUCAAGAAUAUCAAUUUAGAGCAGUAUUUGAGAAUAUUUGUGAAUUAUCGAGUCACAAACUUAAGAAGCAUCAUGCAGUCAAGAAUUGGAUGGUUGGGUUCAAGAUGUAAGCAAAGCACACAAAGGCAGAACUAAACUUAUGAACCAGGAAACAUUAAUUUCGGUAGAUACAUAUGAAUAUACAAAGUAGCUGCUUUUCAAUAAGAACCAGAAACAUCAAUUUCUACCAAAAAUUGUUUCAAAUAUACGCACUGGCACUCUAUAAGAAAGCUAAUUCGUGUAAUGUAUAUGACCUAAAUGCAGCUAAACUACAGGAAAAAUGCAGCUCCUCAUCUCUAUUUCAGCCACUUCAGAGCAAUGCCCACCAAUGCCUUCAAAGCCUCUUCACUUCUCACUCAACUCAAACAUAGGUACACCAUGUUAAAGACCAAAACAGACAUCCCAAUAGCAGCGAAUACAUGACAAAAAAUGUCAUUAGCUUCUAAAAGCAAAAUACCAAAUGACUUAUUCUCCCAACUAAAUUACUUUAGCUAGGCCACAUUGUCUUCCAUUUGCAAAUCAUUAGAUAAGGCAAGAUGACUACCAAACUAAUAAACACUACAUCAAGAUAAGGCACAUAACUGUCAUCCCUGACCCAUCCCAUUCAAUAGAAUAGGCAAUCCCCACAACACAAUUGAAGCACUAAAUCAACUGCAAAAGGAGUAACCUUUGGUGCAGAUCAAUAUUUCACAAUUUCAUGAUAUGCGAGAGUAGAUCGAUUGCUCCAGCAAAAAUUGAUCGUGCAAUGUCAGUAACCAAUCCAAUCUAUGCUUUUCCUUUCCACAAAAAUGUCCAGGUCGAGAUAUAUGCAUGAAUUAUCAUAUUCAAUAGCACAAGGCUGGAUCAACAAAUUGUCUUCCAACUAGUUUAUGGUGACUUCCCUCCAAACUUUACUCCCAAAGCAUGACAAUUAUCACUGAAUAGAUAGUCUUAUCUAUUCAUCUGUGGUCGACCCAUUUCCAACUUCUUUAAUAUCACCUACAAAUUCAGCACACCAAGCAUCCUGUGAACGAACUACGCAUUUGUCAACACUUGUUGGCUGAAAAUAAUUGUCUUUGACUACGGAUUGACAGUCUCAUGAGAUAAUAGUUCGAUUUUUUGGGCAAAGUAAUCCCGACAACGCGAAGGAAGAUUUGAUACCACUAUCAUUUCGAUCAAUCAAAACAUAUUUUUUCGAUCAAAAUCAAAUGAUUAUUUCUCAGAUUUGACGAGGUUUCAAUGUUAUGUUAGGAGGGAGGGAGAGAGAGAGGGAGAGAGAGGGAGACGUUUGCUCUACUAUCUAGAAGAGAAGGACAAGAUAGCAGCGGAGGAGGAGCGGCUUUGGAGACAAUAGAAUUUUUUUUUUUUUUAUCACCCAUAUUUUGCGUCCCAAAUAUUAGAUAUUAAGGAAAAAGUAUUUUCUUCGCGAAACAAACACAAUCUUAAUUGAAAAUAACCUUCUUUUACGUAUAUUUAGUAAAAUAUUAAAUUGAUUGUAACUUUCUUUAUAUUUCAUAAAGUUUUGCGGCCUAUGUGUCACUGAUUUUGUGUUUAUUUAACAAAAUAUUGAAGUAGUUUUGGAAAUGUAUAUUUAAUAAAAUAUUAAAUUAAUUGUCACUUUCUUUAUAUUUCAUAAAGUUGUGCGGCCUAUGUGUCACUAAUACAUAAUUUUGUGGGUAUAUUUAGUAAAAUUUUAAAGUAGUUUUGGAAACGCUAUUUUUCUAAAAUUUGAAAAUUGUUCCGUUGAAAUAUGUAUAUUAAUAUAUAAAAAGGUAAAAAUGUAAAUAAAAGAAAAGGUAUUACUAUGUCAAUUUUUUGCUUUGCAGAUAAACAUCAACAGGAAAGAAAUUUGAGAUACGUCUCGUAAAUGUAAAACUUUCAGUACGACAUGCAAGUCUCGUGUUUGCAAGGGAGCCUUCCCACAGAACGAACCCAAGGGUGUCAAAUGAAACCAGAAAAAAACUUAUGGGGGGGCAAAAAUAAAACUUAAACAAACUUCAGGGGCAAAAAGGAAUUGUGAAAGAAAAAGAACUGAAAAAUAUGGCUCCAAGUCUCUCCCAUUCUCCGGCGUACAAAAUUGGAAAACGAAAAACAUCAAUCCCGCCAUCGCUGGGAAGGUUCUCGAACAAGAGCACUUCGAGCUCGCUCGCUCGCUCGAAUAUCCGAUUCGAGACUACGGAUCGAUUCGAUUCCGACUCGAGCAUCAUCAAUCGAUCGAAUCGCUAGAACAGGUUGAGAUUCCAUGGAGGGAGCAGGGCUCGGAAGUAGAGAAAGCUCGGUUGCUGAGCUCGGCUCUCGAGUUCGGAUUCGACGAGCAGUCCGCCAACAAGUGCUCGGACCAUCUCGUUUCGCGCUCCACGGUAACUCGAAUCGUUAUUUCGUCGCGCGUUCUUCUGCUAAUUAGCGUUUGCGGAGACUAUGGAGGUAGCUCUCGUCCCCACGAUGAUGAUGAUGGCUGUGGAAUCGUCUUGCUUUAGGUUUGAAUGCAUCGGAGCGGGUUUAGCGAAGUAGCAGUCCUACUGACGAGCGAAAUGUCUGGUGCUGGUCCAGCUUGAUGUGCUUGGGUUACUUCGGAUGGACGGCAGUUUUUUCUUGAUUAUUGGCCCAAAUUGCGUGAUAUCUGGUCAUCAGAGAAUGACUUUGAUCGCUUGUGUUGCGGGGAUAGUUUGUGUAUUUGAUUGAACGUGCAUUCCUAGUUAAGGAGAUUCAUUGCGGUUAGUCUCGAUUCUGAUGAUGGCUAUGGAAUAACGGUCUACUUUGGAUUGGAAUGGGACCAGAGUUUAGGUCAUUGAGCGUGAGUCUCAUCCCCUGUUUUUUUGUGGGUUAGGCGGAGUAGUCCUAUUGACAAGUGAACUGUAUGGCUUAUAUCAGUGCAAAUUACUUGUGGUGUCUUGCAAUAAUAUCAAUAUCGUGUCUCUUUGAACUAAGUGCAAAUUACACAUUGGAAAUUGUAUUUAUUUGAUCUCUUGUUUGCCAUGGAUCUUGCAAAAUCAACUCUUUCCUCUUUUGCUUUUCUCAAGGUGAUGAAGGUCGAGAGUUGAUCACCGUGGAGCACUGUGGCGAUGACAUCCUAGCAGAACUUGCUGAAACCAUGCAAGAUUCUUAGGAUUGGGAUGAUUUGCAAGCUGCGGAAUCAGAAUCUCGUGGAGUUUUGACCAAUAUGUUUGGCCAAGAUAUCUGUAAUGAUGGUGAAUGCAAUGUUAUACACGACGUCAAUAUUAUAGAAGAUUCUCCGCAACAUGUGAAAAAUCAAACUUUCCUUGAGCUGAGGAUUCCUCUAUUGACGGUGAAGACAAAGAUGAUGUAUUGGCAGUAAAACGGGAAGGAAAUCCUCAUGUAUAUUCCUGGCCAAAGCAGUACUCUAAGCAAUACAUCCACUCAAAUUUCAGGCAGACAAUCUUUAGAAUCCAUGGUAUGCUUCUCCUAUGGACAUAGACAAUACUGCCAAACCACUUAAAUCAGUGUGACUGUACUUUUCUCUAUAAUUUAUUCUCUACUUGAUUAUUUCCCAUUUGCUUGUGAUUCUGCACACAGCAAAGGACCUACACAAUGUUCAUGUCCAGAAGCAUUUAGUAAAUUGCUUAUGGGGUCUCUCAUCCCAUCAAAUGUCCAAUAGACGGUCAUAACUUUUGCCACUCACUUCCACACUCUUCAAGAUCCUAAAUGACAUAUUAGAACUCUUUGGUCAAUAAAGAAGUUGAUUUCAGUUUUGGAUGAUGUACAAAUUCAUAUAUUUCUCAAAUGCUAUGAGAGUACUGUAGAUCAUCAAAGUGUGGAACAUCAAAGUGUGGAACUUAGCAAUCCAGCGUCUUUGAUAGGAAUGUUUUGUGUAAAUGAAGGCUUGUGAUUUCUUUGAGCACAUUUUUCAUUUUCCAUUACAAUCCAUGUCAGAAACUAUUACGGUACGGAAGAGGCUUAUUUCUGUUGAAGGACUGUAAGAGCACUGUUACUCAAGGCUCAAUAUCAUUAGUUUCAAAUAAAAGACAUUGCUCUCCGAUUUCGACAUCCAAACAAGGGACUCUGAGUUAUGCGGAACUCCAAGCCUUGGAUGACAUAGAAUUGGCAAAUGUUGUCAUAUUCGGGAACAAGGAAUUUCAACCAAUGCAGCAUCAGGCUUGUAAAGCUUCUGUAGCCAAGCAAGUUUGCUUUAUUCUCAUGCCCACUGGAGGUGGUAAAAGUUUAUGUUACCAGGUUAGUGAAUGUUAACAUUGUCUCAACUGGGUGAUGAUUGUAUGUAGACAUGUGUGGAGACAAUGUUAGAACACAAGUCCUGUGCACUUUGCUCAGUGGUUCCACCAAUUUAAUGUUUAAGGGUAGACCUGUAUGUCAACAUUUAAGCUUUAACAUGAUCUUCUGAUCUGCUUUGUUUGGCAUUUUUAAGAAGGUUGUGAACUUAAGGAAGGAAAUGUUUUUCAAAUGAAAAUUAAGCUAUAGGAAGUGAUUCAGGUACAUAAGCAUGGGUUCCAAUGUAUGGCAUCGGACAGAAGUAGAAAAGAAGGAAAUACAGUACAUUCUCGUUGUGCCUUUGCACUUCUCUAACUGGUCUGUAAUUUUUAGGAUUUGAAGUUUGUACACACUUCUAGGACCUUCUAAUCACUUACAGGAAAAUUCAUCUUGUUUAUGCAUGUUAAGUUUUGCUGUCAGUCAUAAUUCAGGUCCAAUUCAAAAGGGUUAUUAAGUCAAAGAGAAAUAAGUUUUCAAAGUACUUCCACCAAAUGCGGGUUCUAGAUUUUUAUAUUUCCUUUGCAGUUAUUUGCUAUGCCAUUAUCUCAACAAAGGGUGAUGAUCUAUGACUUCUUUUUCCCAUAAUUGGUUUGAAAUUAAUGUGCUUUCAUAUACAAUGGAUCUUGGUUGCAAGCAAAAUUAAUGAUUACUGAAUUAAGGAGGAAGAUAUAAAUCUGGAUUUAUUAAGUUGAAUUUUUUAGAAGUGUUUUCUGUUUAGUCUUGAAGUAGUUGAUAUAUGUACUGAAAGUAAUUAUAAAACAAGUAGUGACAACUGGUCCUUCCUGAUCAGCUGAAGGUGAAAGACAAUUCCAUUGUCCCUUCCUUUCUUCAUUUGCUCUCCUGAUGUUUUUACCCUUAGUUUCAACAGCCAGCAACUUUAAAACCAGGUGUCACAGUUGUUAUAUCUCCCUUGCUAUCUCUCAUCUAGGAUCAAAUAAUUACUGUAACCCUCAAGUACAGCAUACAAUCUACUUUCUUGAACUCUCAACAGACUGCUGCCCAAUUGGCGAUUGUCCUCAGAGAACUAGGGUAAGGUUUAGCUCUAUUGGACUUCUAAAACUUCUAUGCCGAGUGUUGUGACUGUCAAAUUAUUAACCUCCACUUCUGCUUUGCCCUCCCUUUCAGAAAAGAUAAACAUUGUGCAAGCUAUUGCUUGUAAAUCCUGAAAGGAUUGGGGGAAAAAUAUCAUUUCUCGAGAUAUUGAAUUGCUUGCACAGAAAGGUAUUGUUUCUGAUGCACUGUAAGUUUUUUCCAAAAAGGUUCUUUAUGAUUUUUUAUAUUCGAUGAUAUUUUAUUGCAGGCCCAACUAGCUGGUUUUGUUGUCGAUGAGGGACAUUGCGUGAGGUAUGCAUAAUCUUUGGCAUGCCUUGUACAUGAAGAAAGAUCAUGCUAAAGUUACUUCAAAAAGAAUAAUCAUUUGUGAUGUUGCCGCUACAAAACUAUCGUCCUUAUUCCAGAUAAAUAUGAGCAAGUUUCCUUUUAUAUAAGCUAACUUAAACUCUUUCUCCAAACUUUUUUGCAUUUUCUGUGUUUCUAGCCUUAUUAAAUUGUCAGUAUUACCCUAGACCUUCUGAAGCCCCUGUGAAGUUCUAAUAUAACAGAAUGCAAUGUUCCUUGCUUGAGCUUUGGAAAAGAUCUAGGUUCUGUCAGUUUGGGAAAACCUAGUGGCACAUCAUCCAUUAUAUUGAGUAAGAGCACUCAACUUAAAUAAGCUGCAAUUGAAAUGACUUCCUGAAGUAAUUGGAAGUGGCAUAAGCUUGGAUAAGGAUGCCAUCUCCUGUCUAUGUUUGGCAUGAUACUCUAUCUCUUAAGCUGGUUCUUGUGUACCUAUUUAUUCUAUUAAUGGUUACACUAUAUACUGACAACUUGAGAAAGGCAAAGGUCCACUCACGUGAUCAUUGACUGUGUUUCUUACAAGGUAUCAACUGGAUUUGCUUGGCCAGUUUAAUCUCAUGAGAGGAAGAUGCCAUCUGCUAUCUAUGUUUGGCAUAAUACUUAGUCUCUUAAGCUCGUUCUUGUGUAUCUAUUUAUUCUAUUAAUGGUUAUACUAUAUACUGACGACGUGAGAAAGGCAAGGGUCCACCCACAUGAUCAUUGAUUGUGUUUCUUUAAAGGUAUUAACUGGAUUUGCUUUGCCAAUUUAAUCUCAUGAAAGGAACAUGCUGCUGGUUUGAGCUUUUAUUGUACAUUUGCCUGAUUGACGACAAGAGCUCAUUGGUUGUCAUUUUUGUGGUUGUCAUGAAAGGAACGUACUGCUGGUUUGAGCUUUUGUAUAUGCUAGCUUAAGCUCUUUUUCCAAACUUCUCUGCAUUUUCUAUGUUUCUAGCCUAAUUAAAUUGUCGAUGUUACACUAGACCUUCUGAAGCCCAGAACCCUUUGAAGUUUCUAUAUAACAGAAUGCAGUGUUCCUUGUUUGAUGAAAAGAUUUAGGUUCCAUUGUUUGGGAACACUUAGCGGCACAUCUUUCAUUAUAUUGAGUAAAGAGCGCACAACUUAAAUAAGCUCCAAUGGAAAUUACUUCCCAGAGUAAUUGGAAUUGGCAUAAGCUUGGAUAAGGAUCCAAUCUCCUAUCUAUGUCUGGCAUGAUACUCAGUCUCUUAAGCUGGUUCUUGUGUCCCUGUUUAUUCUAUUAAUGCUUAUACUUUAUGGUAACAACUUGAGAAAGGCAAAGGUUCAACCAUGUGAUCAUUGAUUGUGUUUCUUACAAGGUCUUAACUGGAUUUGCUCUGCCAGUUUGAUCUCAUAAAAGGAAUGUGCUGCUGGUUUGAGCUUUUCGUGUACAUUUGACUGAUUAAUGAGUAAAGCUUAUUGAUUGUCACUUUUGUGGCUGUCAUUAUUAGUCAAGGGGGACACGAUUUUCAUCUAGAUUAUAGAGGACUGGGAUGUCUCAAGCAGAACUUUCCGUAUGUCCACUCAGUCAGUUUGUGAGUACUAAACUCACAUAUUAACCUCCUGAUUAUGUUGAAAUAAUCUGUUUAUUCUGAUUGAAUUAUACAUCCAUUGCAGGAUAUCCUAAAAGCUCUUGGGGUUCCCCAUGUUCUCAUAGAUUAGAUCUAGUCUGUCAAAGCUUGGGGACCCAAGGUUUGACAGACUAGAUCUAAAAUACAAGGUCAUACCUAAGACCUAGGAACCACUGAAGCAGCUUGGAGGGCUGUUAAAAAAUUGUUUUGCUAAUUUUUGUGGCAUAGGAUAUUGCUUUUUGAAGAGUGAAUGUGUUGAUGUCGGAAAAUACUUGAAUGACAAGUGCCGUAUAAAAAUGGUGUACUAUCAUGCUUGAUUAGUAGCUCCUCACUGUUCAAAAGAAAUGGCAUACUAGAGAGGUCCAGAUCGUGUGUGCUACCAUUACCUUUGGGAUGGGAGUAGACAAACCUGAUGUUGUAAGUCGAAAUGGACUCUGGCCUUUGCCUAUUUCUUACGUUUUAGAAGUCGUUAAAUGUGGUGGAAUGACCCGAAGAAGCAAAGAAGAGGAGGGUGGCCAGAUACAAGCUUUAUUUGGUCGAGGGCAAGUUCAAGGCUUCUUUCAAACAAGAGUCCUGGUGGUUGAAGCGCAACUGCUCGAGCUUUAUGUGUUGAUUUUUAAUACGUAGAAAUUACAGAAUAUCAUGCUCAUCGUCAUCAAGAGAGAAAAGGAUGAAAUCGGUUAGGAGGAAACGAAGAGGUUGGUUUUGUUUAUUGGGUAAUCAUCUUAAUAUGUAUCUAAUGGUAAUUAAGUAUUCAGAAGAGUGUCACAAUGUUCCAUCUUUCCAGUAUAAUGUUUGUUCGAAUCCUUGUUUCAUUCAUCGAUCUCUAGCAUUCGAAACAUAGGAAAAUGAGAUCACUCGUAUGUGAUAUUCACAUAUAUUUAUAUUUGCUGGAAGUCUUUUUUCCCCGAAUUUCCUUCCCUUUUGAUUUAUCUGCAACAUGAUUCUGCAUGCGUGCAUGCAUUCUCGUGCAAAGUAAGAAUUGUCUGACCUGCUAAUUCUCUUCUCAACAACACGAUGCUGAUUGCAAAAUAAGAUGACUGCUUUCAUUUGUAGUAUUUGACGUUUACAUCUACUUUCGUGGUCGAUUUCGUUGUUCAGAACUUUUAUUUUUGGCCAAAUGUUGUUUUAAGUCUCCGUUUUGGGGUUCAUUAACCUGUAAUUCCUCAAUUUGUCUAUUUUGAUUCCUCUGCAUUAUAUGAUUUGGCAAACUACCAAAGCUAUACAUUCUAACAUGCAGCUAGCAGGUGUUAAAUAAGCUAAAAGGCCUUCUAUACUUCCAUUCUGAUUUGAGGACAAUUUUCAUAUUUCAAGUACCAUCCUGUCGAGCUUGGAGUUACAAAUAUGAGGAAAUCAAAGUGCCUGAAGUGAACUUUCUCUUGUCCUUGGGGAACUUACAUAGUUAUUGUUUGAAUGGCUGUUACUCAUAGGAUCUCGAUGUAAAAUGUGAUAGAACUUUCAAAAACAAGCUCGAAGCAAAUUGUUAGCAUGAAACGAAAGUAGAAGAGAAAAAGGGGAGGAAACCCAUGAACAAAACCACAUCAGCUCAAUUCGUUCAGAAUGUUCAUCCAAUUAUCCGGUCUAUUCACGCGUUCCAACUUCAAAUCAAUUCGGCUGAUGGGGCUGUGAAUGAUGUUCCAUAACUAGUCAAACACAAAGCUACUGCCCUUUGGAUUAAUUACCUAGACAUUGACUAAGUAGCCAAGUAAAUAAAGUGUAGAGCUGAUACAGUGACUUUACUCGCGACUUUUCUCGUGUAAUGUUCAACCAAUAUUCAAAAAUUAGAUCAUUUCAUGUUAAGUACAUUUAACAAGUAUUUCAACACAACCCGCAUUACAUAUGUGUUAGUACUUAUAGAUUCAAAUGUGGCUUAACAAGCUGCUUGGCCUUGUCUUGAGCUCUGGAAAAAUUUGGUAAAAAACGGAGCUCCAAAUUCGACAUGCAAUCUCAAAUUUUUAUUGUCCGAUCAAGAGGAAUAUAUUUUAUGAAAACUAGAGUCGCUAGAAAUGUCACCAUAAGUGUGCUCAUGACCCGUACAUUUGUAAUGAAAAUACAGUGAAUUUUAACAUACUGAUUACGCAUGACAUGAGAAAACGAUAAACCAAUUACUAAAAUUCCAUGAAUACCUUGCGAGAAGCUUUAAACUACUAAAAUUCCACCUUUGUAAUCUAGUAGAGGGUACAGGAAUAUCUAAGAGUGGCCUCAAAGAAAUUGCUUCGAUUGACACUUGAAUGUGUGAAACGGUGACCGCAAUUUGGUGGAGUAUCGUCUCAUUAUAAACCAAUUAGAUGACCCUUAGAAGUUUUUUGUUCAAAGAAAAUGAGUAAAUUUUUGGAAGGGCGGAGUAAAUUUUGGUAAGGGUUCUUUUCACCCUUCCAAAAAUUUUGUCCCCGUUUUGUUUUUAGUCUUCAACUGCAGCCAAUGCAAGAGAAAAACAGGUUUCAGGUGUGAAAAUAUAUACGGUUGGGUCUCUUCAGCUUUUAGAUUCAUGCUUAAAUAAAUCAAGUUUGAGAUUAUACAAUAAAAGUGAUUGCAAAAUGCGGACAUAUGAAUUUUCUGAUGUAACACCAGACCAGAGAGAUGAUUUUACACUACUGAACACCUUUCUUUUGUGUUCAAAGUUCAACCAAAUGAGAAACUACUGUCUUCUUGUAAACCCUUUCACUGAAACUCUUGGCUGCAAUUGCAGAUUUUUUGCUGAUUCCAUGGCAUUCGCUUUUUCUAGUCGCAAAAUUGUAGCCUGAAGUGGACAUCUAACUGGUAAUCUCCUUGACAAAUCUCAUUUUAUACUUAACUUGCACAAAUAAAACCACCUGCACGUGCGGCCUUCCUGCAAGCGAUUUGUGUUUGCAAAGGACAAAUAACCCACAUGAGAAGAGGCUGCUUCAUAUCCAGAAUCCUUUGAAGAGUAUUGACAACACAGAGCACAUGAUAAACGCCACUAGGUUCAGAAUACAUUUUCAUAACGACAUAGCUCAUUCCUGCCCACAUCUCCAUCGUGUAGUGUUUUGCGACUUUCUCCAAGUUCCAUGAAAUGCAGCUUGAAUCUACAUGAUGAGCAUGCGACUGACUCAUUAUCAAUAAAUAAAGAAAUGUGAGAUUGCAGCAUCACAAUUUACCCCAUGAAAGAUAAGGUACAAAUGCAUAAACAUCAUUUACACCAAUGGUUGUUCAACCACAGUGAACAGAGACUUCAUUAGCUAGCAGAUGAAAAAGAAAAAAAAUAGGCUUAAAAUAAGUAAACAACUAGCAACAACACUUUCCCUGUUUGUGUUCAGGAACAAAAUUGAUGUUAAUGAAAUUAUGCUGAAAAGGUGAAAUGCCUAAAUUACAGAACAGAAGGACAUACUUGUUAUCAUUGGCAAUAUCCAAUCGGCAAAAUCAGCUUUUCGGGAUAAAUUGUGAGGAGGUCAGUCUCCAACUUCACUAAUUCAACACUGCAAACAUGAGAACUGAGCUUAUCAAAUCAGAAACCUAUAUGACUACAUUCAAAGGACAAACUGAUAGAAAUGGAGUAGCUUAGCAGUGCAUACCUACCUCUGCAUAGCCUCAUCGAGUUCAGAAGUGAUAUCCCUAGAAUGCAACCACACCAAACAACUCUGCAUCAGGAUAACAUACACAAAAAUCACUAGAUACUCAUUUGAUUAACAAAGAGAUAGAACCUAACGAGCAUACAAACAACAUAUUCAAUUUAAAAAACUGCAUUUACUAUCAUUCAUGUACAUGCUGUUGAGACCAGAUCAAGUGCUUUGGAUCUUCACAAGCAACAAAACUUCCUUAGAACAUUCCGCUUCGCCCACGAGCCUCUUCAAGUUUGGCACCUCAUCUGUUGCUGAUGCUUUCCCUGCAAAAUUGGUCUCAGGUAUGGAAUUUGAAGUUCCUCAGCCAAGUGAGCCACACCCAAUUCAGUCAUGUGAUAAAAUAAUUCUAUGGCAACAAUAUGAUCAAAUGUGAUGUAAACUAAUUAGCAAAUUCUCGAGCUCCUCGCCCCAGCUUGUUUCAUAGAUGGGCAAAAAAUUGUCCAGUUAUGCAAAAGGUCAUCAAUACAGCCGAUUGAAUUGAAGUCUCAAAGUAAGCCUUGAUCAUUACAUAGACCAACCAAACCUGUCAUACAAGCAGCACUAGUUUACCUUGCUUGAUAAUAUUUCAAGACAACAUUUUGACUACUCGUAAUUUUAAGAAAGGCGUACAUUCAUAUAUGACAGACUAGCUGAAGCUACUUUAACAUUUCUUAAUCACCAACCAAAAUUACACCGAUUCUCAUUCAAGAAAAAGACCCUAUAUAAACUCCAUCCACACUAGAGACUCAAACAAACCUUUGAUCGAGAAUUUGCAUAAAACAACUCAAUAUUCCACUCCAGACCCUAGCACUUGAUUGAGAAUUUGCCAAGCGGCACAACCUCCAUGCAUCCACCUGAGAGAAUCUGGAAGGGGAAAAGUAAUGCUGCUCUUCAAGAACGAACCGGUCUCUCCACUUGGUUUUAGGUAUGAAAAUGUACAAGGCUGUGUCUCUUCUGCUUUUAGAUUCAUGCUUAAAUAAAUCAAGCUUGAGAUAAUACAACCAAAGCGAUUGCAAAAUGCCUACCUACAUAUGAAUUUUCCCGUAACCAGCCUAGAGAGAUCAUUUUACACUAAUGAACGCCUGUAUUUUGUGUUCUAAAUUCUUCCAAAUGAGAAACUGCUGUCUUCUUGAAAACCAUUUCUUUGAAACUCUUGGCUGCAAUUGACAGAUUAUUUGCUGAUUCCACGAUAUUUGCUUUUUCAAGAAAAAAGUCACCCAAUCACAAAACUGCAGUUGAAGUGGACAUCUAAAUGGUAAUCUUGUUAACAAAUCUCAUUUUUGCUUGACUUCACAUAUAGAACCACUUGCACAUGUGGUCUUCCUCCAAGCGCUUAGUGAUGGGGCCUUGGUUAAAGAAUAGCACGAUUUCAAAGCUUGCAAAGGACUAAUACACCACAUGAGAAGAGGUCGCCUUUAUCAAGAAUCCUUCGAAGAGUAUUAACAAAUGGAGCAAAUGAUAAACACCAAUUGCAAAUAACUUUGAAAUGCCUUUCCAUACUGACAUAGCUCAUUCUUGCCCGUAUCUCCAGCCCGUGGUGUUUAGGGAGUUUCUCCGAGUUUCAUCAAAUGCGGCUUUGAGCUGCAUAAGGAAGAUAGCACUGACUAAUUAUAAUUAAAUGAAGAUAUCCAAGAUCAUAGCAUCAGAAUUUACCACAUGAUAGAUAAGGUAAAAAUGCGUAAACAUCGACACCAAUCGGAGUUGGACCACAAUGAACAGAGACUUCAUUAGCUGGCCGAUGACAAAGAAACCAACAGACUUAUAAGAAGUAAACAUUUAGCAACACUUUCCCUGUUUGUGUUUAGGAACAGAAUUGAAGCUAAAAAAAUUAUGCUGAAAAGGUGAAGUGCCUAAACUACAGAAUGGAAAGAUGCAUUUGCUACUGGGUUAUUUUGCAAGUUCCAAUUAGCAAAUCAGCAAUGCGGGAUAGUUUGCGAGGAGGUGAAUUUCAACUUUACAAAUCCAAUGCCGCAUACAUCAGAAAUGAGCUUAUCAAAUUAGAAACCUAUAUGACAACAUUCAAAGGAUAUCAUCACACAAAUAAACUAACAGAAAGGAGCCUAGUAGUGCAUACCUCCCUCUGCAGAGCCUCAUCAAUUCCGAAGUGAUAUCAUUAGAAUGCAACCGCGUCAAACAACUGUGCAUUAGGGUAACAUACAAAAAAUCAGUAGCUUAGUAUUUGAUUAAAGGAGAGCUAGAACCUAAUGAGCAUACAGAAAGCAUAUUUAAUUGAGAAAAAUACAUUUACAAUCAUUUAGGGAUGUGAUGUUGAGAUCAGAUCAAGUAUUUGAAUAUUCAGAAGCAUCAAAACUUCCUUGGGAUACUCCAGUCAGCCCCAAAGUGUCUUUAAGUUUGGCAUGCAAGAUGGUCCUCAGCUGUUGCUGAUGCUUCCUCUGCAAAAUCCCUUUUCUUUAUUUUGAUCGGUCUCAAGUAUGGAAUUUGAAGUUCCUCAGCCCACUUAGCCACACCCAAAUCAGUCAUGUGAUAAAGCAAUUCCACAACAACAAUAGGAUCAAACGGGAAACAAACUAAUUAGCAAAUUCUUGAGCUCCUCGUCCCAGCUUGUUUCAGAAACAGGCAAAAAAUUGUCCUUUAAUGCAAAAGGUCAUCGAUACGGUUGAUUGAAUUGAAGUCCCAAAGUAAGCCUAAAUUGUUAUAUAGACCAACCAAACCAGUCAUACAAGCAGCACCAAUUUACCUUGCUUAAUAAUCUUUCAAAACAAUAGUUUGCCUACUGGUAAUGUUAAGGAGGUCAACAUUCAUACGUGACAAACUAGCCAAGACUACUUUUAACAUUUUUUGCUCACCAACCAGAAACACUUGAACCUUGAAUUUUAUUUAAGCUCAGUUCACCAUAUAUACUGGGAAGUGAUGCUCUUCUUAGAGGGUUAAUGAGGGCCAUCAUGGGAACUAAAGGAACUCAAAAUGGCCAAGGAUUUUGAAAAGAAAAUAUGAACUUUCGACACUGGGAUAUUCCUGGCGUAGUAUGCAAUAAUACAAUAAUGAGUAGCAGAAGUUCAUUGGCCUCUAGAUGAAAAUUUCAAAUCCUGGGUUUGCCGAUAGGGGAACUAUAAAUCACUAGGUAAUUCUUGUUUACCUUUGUUGAUACUUUCAUUCUUGCCUCACAAGCUACUAUCUAUUUGCGGUCUACAGAAGCUGCCAAUGGAAGGAUAAAUGAAAAACAUUGCUAUAACGUAAUCAACAAUAAUUAUACAGAGGCAAAACCAGAGUUUUCAAUCAAAUAGAUAUCCAAUUUGGAGCAAAAAGUAUUACUCUAUUCGCUCACGCUGGCCGUUCAAGGAUAAAGAAUCUUACUAUGCCUUCUAUUGACAUUUGGGUUUACAUUUUGAUCUUGGUUGAACCAUCAUGUGAGCUUCUAUGAUCAACUCCUCCACUCCUUCAAUCGUGCAAGACCAGCAAUUUAGGAAAAUACAGAAUGCUGUCAUGGAAAACCUUCUUGUUAAAAGAAGAUAUUGAUGAAAAGGAGGUCAUGAAUCUUAGAGGAAAAAUGAUUGUUCUCUACUUAUUUACCUCUGUUGAAGAAACGUGACUAGUCUCACUGUUGUAAUAUGGGUAUAAGAUUCCUCACAUCAUUAUCACUGCAAGAUUAUAUUUCCAUAGAGAACUCAAAACAAUUCCUAACUUUUAAUGAUGCGCUUUCCAGAUAAUUUCGGUAUUGCUUCCAAUGAGUCACAACCACAAAUAUCCAAAUCAAUUAAAUUCAACAUUUCAAGUCCCCGAAGCUGAGUAAGUUUCUUGCAGUUUUGAACUCUUAGAGAUCGUAACUUCUCACAUCCCGUCAAAUCUGGCAAAGUCUCCAUUGAUAUGCAUUUUGUAAAAUCCAACUUUUCUAAGAACUCUACAUCGUCAAGACCUUCAAUUUUGACUAGAUUGUAGCACUUGAAAGCCGCUAAUUCCUUCAAACACGGUAAUUCUAGACAGCGAAGCCUUUCAAUGGAAUUGCAGUCCCUCAAAGAUAUGAACUCCAAGGAACUGCACUUUUUUAUUGAAAGCUCUUCAAAGUGCAUGAGUCCGCCGAGUGAAAGUGAUGUCAGCGUAUCCCACUCCUCAAAACAGGGUUUAAGUGGUAUUGAGGAAAGCUUGUGGAUGUCUUCAAGUAAAUGGCGUAUCACAAGAUUGAGUUUUUCUAGGUGGAUGAGGGCCUUGUGGCUAAGAAGCUAUGGUAGUCCAAGACUCAGACAAGUGACGCCCAGAUAUCCUAAGCCCGCAGGACGCUUUGGCAGUGACCGGAGCUCGUCACAGCCCGAUAGGUCAAGGCUUUGGAGAAGAAGGAAGCUCUGGUAGCGACCGGAGCUCCUUACAGCCCCCAAGCCUAAGGCGUUGGAGAGACGAAGGAAGCUCUGGCAGCGACCGGAGCUCCUUACAACCCUCUAGGUCAAGGCUUGAGAGAGAUGAAGGAAGCUUUGGCAGUGACCGGAGCUCCUUACAGCCCCAUAGGUCAAGGCGUUGGAGAGAAGAAGGAAGCUCUGGCAGCGACCGGAGCUCCUUACAGCCCCCUAGGUCAAGGCGUUGGAGAGAAGAAGGAAGCUCUGGCAGCGACCGGAGCUCCUUACAGCCCCCUAGGUCAAAGGAGUCCCCUAGGGCAAGGCUUUUGAGAGAGGAAGGAAGCUCUGGCAGCGACCGGAGCUCCUUACAGCCCCCUAGGUCAAGGCUUUGGAGAGAGGAAGGAAGCUCUGGCAGCGACCGGAGCUCCUUACAGCCCCCUAGGUCAAGGCUUUGAAGAGAGGAAGGAAGCUCUGGCAGCGACGGGAGCUCCUUACAGCCCCUUAGGUCAAGGCUUUGGAGAGAGGAAGGAAGCUCUGGCAACGACCAGAGCUCCUUACAGCCCCUUAGGUCAAGGCAUUGGAGAGAGGAAGGAAGCUCUGGCAGCAACCGGAGCUCCUUACAGCCCAAUAGGUCAAUGAUUUGGAGAGAAGAAGGAAGCUUUGGCAGUAAUGAGAGCUCCUUACAGCCCCUUAGGUCAAGGCUUUGGAGAGAGGAAGGAAGCUCUGGCAGCGACCGGAGCUCCUCACUGCCCACUAGGUCAAGGUGUUGGAGAGAAGAAGGAAGCUUUGGCAGCAACCGGAGCUUGUCAUGGUUCCCUAGGUAAAGGUGUUGGAGAGAGACGCUUUCUAGCUGGUUAAAUAUCGAUGUGUCAUUGAGAUUGAAAAUUUCCCCUCCCAGAUGACAGUAUCCAUUGAGAAAUAGAGCCUGCAGAUUUUUCAACAUUCCAAUAGCAAUGGGACGCUUUUUGAUAGUAGAACAACACAAGCCAAGAUAUUGCAAAUUCUGUAAAUCCCCAAUUGAACUGGGGAUUUCUCUCAGUGAGUAACACCCUAAGGCGUCCAGUGUCUUCAGCUUCCUCAAAGAACCAAUAAACAUAGGAAUCUCUGUAAUAGCAGUGCCAUCUAAAUAAAGUUCUUCUAAAUCUUUUAAUUCGCCCACCUCCUGUGGUAGCUCCUUGAGAUGCUUACAGUGACUCAAAUCUAAGGAAACGAGGCUCGUGAGUUUGCCAAUAGAAGGGUGGAGACACUUCAGUUUCUUACAUUUCCCUAAUGCGAGAAUCUUCAACUGUGUGAAAGCCGAGAGAUCAGGAGUACGUCUUAAAUUCUGGCAAUAUGUAAGCCUGAGAACUUUAAGCCGCUUUGACGCCUAAUAGAAAAGGUGAAUAAGCUGUCAAAGAAUGGAUUGAUCGACUAAACAAAAACAAAACCCUAAAUUUGUUAUUUUCUCAAUCUUACCAUGAAUGACCUCCAUCCUUGCCAAUACUCUCUAAUCUUGCUCCCAGAUAAAUCCAGUAUCGAUAAAUUCGAUAGAUGCAUUGAAGGAGACAAGUCGCUUUGCAUGACCCUCCACUCAAGCCAUCUCACUUCAGAAAGGAGUUCGUCAUUGGAGGUUCCGCUUGAAGCUGCCCGCAAAUUGUCACAGAAACGGAAACGAGAGAGGGGUCUCCACAAAAUUUUGCGGAACCGGGAGGGGGCCUCGGAGGGGAACCAGGCGGGGCAUCCCUGCGAGUUUUUUAACUUUUUAGUUUUUCUUUUCUUUUCUCAAAUCUUGGAUUUUGCACGAUCUAUAACCUUUCUCUCCUUCCAUGUACAAAUAUGGCUCAUAUUUAAUUUUUUUUUGACGACCUUUUCGAAAAUUAAACAAAUGACGUGAAAAAUAAAGAAAAAAUGGUUAUUGCUCUAAAACAACUAAGGUAAAGGUAACUCAAUGUUUUAUCUUUUCCUUUUUUCUUUCAAAUUUUGUAGCGCAUGCACUUUGACUUUUAUUUAUUACAAAAUAUAUGAAACCAUUUUACAACAUACAAAUGUUUACUUGUAAAUUUUCAUGACUUUUGUAUAAUUUGUCAAAAGAAUUUGUUGAAGAGUGCCGGUGGGCCACCUGUAAGUAGCUAUGGAUACACCCAGUUUUCAUUUCAUUAUUUAAAUGUAAUAAUGCCGAAGAGAAAAAAUGGGAAAUUUUCAAUAUAUUUCCAUUUAUAGAAAAGAUUAUACAGAGAGCCUAUCUAUUAACUUUUUUACAGGGUUGUCUAAGAAAAUCAAAGAAAAUCAAAUUAGAUAUGCGUAAUCAAAAUAAAUAUAGAAAAUUAGAGAAAAUAUCCUAAAUAUCUCUAGAAGAUAUCUACAUAUCUUUAACAUCAUUUAUUAUUGUUCUGAAGUGUUUAAUCAUUUCUUUGAAAACUUAAACCCUUUUUUUUUUGUUAAGUACGUUUAAAAAGUGACUUGGUGACAUUGGACAAUAGUGUAUAAAUCAUAUCCUGAGGCGGCUCAAAUGGACAAUAUAAAAUAAUAAAAUGACAUGAACAUUGAUAAUUUAACUAAAAGAUUGGCUUCAUGCUGAGCAUCAUUAUACUCAAAGGUAUGGAUAUAAUAAUAAGUAUGGCAUUUCCUCUAAUUAGUCAAGUUUUCAUGGACUUUUUUAUGACAAAUAGUUGUAUGUGUUAUAAGUAACUUAUAGCGGAUACAAAUUUUGUUAUAAGAAUAUCCACUCUUUAUCGUACAUCUAAAGAUUGGCUUCAUGCUAAGCAUCAUUAUACUCAAAGGUAUGGAUAUAAUAAUAAGUAUGGCAUUUCCUCUAAUUAGUCAAGUUUUCAUGGAUUUUUUUAUGACAAAUAGUUGUAUGUGUUAUAAGUAACUUAUAGCGGAUACAAAUUUUUGUUAUAAGAAUAUCCACUCUUUAUCGUACAUCUAAACUAAUCCAUGAAAUGAGCAAGGUCAAAGUGAUAAAACCUUAAAAAGCAGUAAGAUUCUAAAAAUACUUUUAAGGGGAUUUUUGUUAUCUUAUCUAUUAAAAGGAAAUAAUAAUUAAAAGAGAUAGAUAUAACUAGUAGAGUAGAGGGAUGGGUAUCUUCAAAAUCAAAUUGGAGAACAAAAUAUGAAACAUCGUAUUCCUAAAUCAUAGGACUACCACCGAUACAUCUGGCCAUACCAAUAAGCAAGAACAUGUGAUAAGUGUGAAAUUUUUUCCGAUCUUAUUGUUUUGAAUUCAUUAUCAGUUAUUAUAAUUGGCACAUGCUAUCUUUUUUUCUAAUCAAGAAAUAUUCAUUUAUCUUAUCUAUGAUGUUUAUACUUCAUCUUCAUUCAUUAUUGUAGUGUUUAAAUUAUCAAUAUUUUCAACUAGAUAUGACAAUUGCAUGCUUUUAGUAAAUGAGAUUUAUAGUGUAAAAUUGUAGUUAAAGGAACUUAAAUCGAUUGUCAAUCAAAUCUUUACUUAUGUAAUUUAUAUCAAUGAUAUUGAAUCAAAUGGUAUAACGUUCUCAUCCUUUAAAUACAUAUAAUCCAUUUAGCUAUCACAAAUAAUCUAAGAUGGAUAUUUAUAUAGAUCUUUCUUCCUAAAAAGUAAGAGCAUCUAUUCAUCCUAGAUGAUAUAUUAGAAUAGAUCAAAUUAAAUAUAUUAAAAUAAGAGGGAAAGAAAAAGAAAGGAGUGCCAUAUUUUACCUGUGCAUGGAUUCUUAAUACUUUUGGGACUCCCUCGUAGUCGUUGUUCCAUGGUCCACUACGUUUCUCAGGCGGUUGUCCUUGGCAAAAAAUGCUCCUUCCAAGAUCUCUUAGUUGAUCAUGCACUAGAAAUUCACCACGAUCUCCAAUUUUAAUUAAGCACCUCAACUUCAACUCUUCAAUACCUUGACUUGGAUAAAACUCACAGUCCUCCCACAUGUACAUGGCGUAUUUGCUCGUUUCACCAAUAAAGAAACAAACAAUAUCGAGAAAAAUCUGUUUUUGUCCAUCUCCUAAUGCAUCAUAACUUAUUUGCAAUUUCUUUUGGACAUCUUCAUGUGGUUGGUUUUUUAAUUUCUUCUUCACAUCUUCCCAUACUUUUCGAUUUUUUUUUUUAUACAAGUAAGAACCUACAACUUCAAGAGCCAAGGGAAGCCCACCCAUGUUAGAUAUGAUAUCACGAGAUAUACCCUCAAACUCCUUCGAAGAAUGGUCCAUACGGAAUGCAUGUCUGUUAAACAAAAGCAAAGCUUGCACCUUAUCCAAUUCAUUCAAUUCAUACUUGUAGUCUACCUCAAAUUUAGAUUGAUCAAGAAUGGCUUCAUUUCUAGUUGUAACAAUGAUCACACUUCCUGCCAUAAACCAAUCACGCUCCCUAGCCAACGCAUCUAGUUGACUCUUGUCAUCUAUAUCAUCCAAAAUAAUGAGAAUCUUUUUGCCUUUGAAUCUAGAUUUGAUUAUAUUAAUCCCAUCAUCAAUUCUAGACACUUCACUUUCCCUCUGUAGUAUAUCUGAUAUUAGUUGACUCUGUAGAUACGUUAUACCGUCGCGCCUAGUUGUUUCUCGAACAUUUGGAAGGAAGCUGAUACUCGCAAAUUUAUUUGAGAGCUGAUUGUAGAUGCACUUGGCAAGAGUUGUCUUGCCUAUCCCGCCCAUGCCAUAAAUUCCAAUCAUUCGAGCAUUGAUGGAAGGAUUGUUGAUCCAAUUCAUAAUUUCCUUCAUACGAUCAUCAAGUCCAACUAGUUGCUUAGACACAUCUAGCUGAAAAUCUUCCCGUAACUUGCUUAUAACAUUUUCAACCACAUGUUUUAUUAAUUUUCCCUCAUGCCUGUCAAACAACAAAAACAAUGAGAAAUUAUGAACCUAGACAUAGUUUAUGCGAAGUAUUUUAUCCUUAUCAACUGAGCUAACCCUUGUUGGCUAUAGGAGGUUGAUUUUAUCUAGUGGUGAUCAAGCUUUGAAGACCAAGCAUUGGAGUCAUUAGGAGGCCUAUUGUUUAGUGAUUGAUACUAUUGGCUAGAGGUAUCGUCGUUUCUUUGUUUUUUAUGGUAUUAUGCUCUAUACCGGAGGAAAAUGUAAAUUCUUGGGCACUAUUGGAUGCUUUGGUUUUAGUUGUCGUUGGUUUAGUUUUAAGGGACAUCUUGGGGCGUAUUGGUUUUUGUUGUCUUCGAGGCAUUACGGCUAUUUAUUUUGGGGAUCUUUUCUGAGCUUACAGUAAAAGUAAUUCAUCUGCAUUUCCUCAACUCUGUGUGAAGAAGAAAACUUAUCAAAAAAAAAAAAAAAGUUCAGUAAAGUACCCAUUCGCAAUUUUCUGAGAUUCCCAUCCAAUUAAGUGACUAACUUCAUUAAGUGCUCCUUGCCCCUCUUCGAUAUCCUUCUCAUCAAAAUGUUCCCGACUUGAAUGGAAGGCAUUUCCAAAAUUUCCUUCUAGAUGCCGCACAUCGGAUGGGGAAACUUUGUAAAAUAUAGGCAACACUAUGUGUGACGCGCUCUUCUUACAGUCCAUGAUAUGAACGAGCUCACGGAGGCACCAUUUGCUCGAAGCAUAAUUUUCGGAGAUGACGGGGAUCGAAAUCUUAGACCGUCCGAUGGCAUCGAGAAUAUUUGAACCAAAUUCCUCGCCAAUUGGGAUGCUAUUCUCGUCCCUGAACACGCAAAGCGGUAUAAUCCCUACUUUGAUCAGACUGUGAUAGAGGUGAUCAGUGAAAGUAUUGCGGGUAUCAGAGCCUCUAAAGCUCAAGAACACGUCAUAUUGACCGCUACCUACACCUGUGGCUUCUGGAGAGAUGAAUGAAGAAGUGGAUGCUCCUUCAGUGCUCUCUUCCUCUGCCUUCUUUUUCUUUCCCUGACUCUGCCCUUUGUCCAUGGUGAUCUGGAGGGGAAAGUCGAAAAGAAAGAUCCUUUUGUUGCUGCUUAAAAGGAUUGUUGAACAACGAAAGACGUUUUUAGAAUGCUUUUCUGCAAAUGCUUGUUGGCUCCGGAUAACGUGUUCGUUAAUUCCCUAGGUAAUAAAGACACGACCUUCAGUUAAGUAAGCUAACAUCAUUUCACUGCAGAAGAUUAGGUGGCCCUGAGGAGGCCCCCAAAAAGCCCACAUCAUUUACUUGUUUAGAAACAUAAAUUUGAAAUUAAACAAAUUACAUUGUAAUUAAUCGACUUCCUUAAAACAUAUUUGAACAAUUACAUAACUUCACGCAUGUGUAUGAUAUUUGAAGGUGAAUUCUUUCAUUUCAAGGUAAGAUAUUGAAAUUACGUAGGUAACUCCAUGGAAGCAUCUUCCUCUGGAUAUAAGCUCACACGAUGCCUAAUCCUUGUCAUAAUCUUCGACCUUGCUAUUAUUAUUUUUAUCCUAAUACAUAAACAACCCUAACUAUCUCCACCACCUCAUUUUCACAACCCCUUCUAUGUAUUCCCAUGUCCAUUGGCCAAACUAAUGAAGUGUCAUGUAAAUUGUUGCCCGAUAAACCAUAUCAUCCAGAUGUGUGCACUUUCUUAAUUGGAGGGAAUUUCCAUCAAUCACGUUUUUAAUUUGGCGGGUUUCGAGUUUUAGGCAUUGCUCAUAUGUAAAAUUAACUAAAUCUAAAACAUUAAUCGAGGAAAAAUUUUCAAUUGAUUAGUUGUUUUGAUUAUGAAGGAAGUCGAUGAAAAUGAUUCUAAAUGAAAGGGAAAUACUUCCUUUUGGGCCCACAUUUUAUUUCUUUCUAAAGGUGCAUAGAAAUGAGAGGAAAUGCGAAAAUUGCACUUUUCUUCCAACUUCCUUUUUAAGGAUGAAUAGAAUGAACGAUAAUUAAGUCUAUCAAUGAAAUUAAGUUCCAUUAACAUCAUUUCCACCCAACAUGCAUCCAAACAUUUUUCGAGGACUUUUAACUUAUUUCUCCGAGCAAACUCGAGCUUCUCCGACAAGCUGAUACGUUCUUCUCUCUUCAAAUGGCUCAGAACUAGGUACUCUCCCUCUUACUUAACUUCAAUCAAUCUUAGACCAUCUUUGUUCUCCUUCCCUCCCCCCCUCUUUUCUCUUUUUGUGUGAAUGUUGUUUCUCUAUUCGUUUCGGGUUGUUUGCGUCACUUCUUUGAUGUUUUCAUUCAAUUUUUGUGAUUUCAUAUUUUAAUUUUAUUUAAAAUUGUCAUAUUCUUAAUGAUGUUGGAAAUGCAAGGUAGAGAUGAACAAAUGGUCGUUGUCAUUUCUCUCUUAUUUAUUUCGUGUUGGCCCCAAAUGCCAAUAAUUUUAUAUAAGACGAAUCUAUGACAUGAUGUUACCAAGCUAUUCACUUCAAACUUUCAAAUUUAAAUUAUUGAUUGAUAAAUUGUCUGUAAAAUAGAGUUAUCAUUCGUUAAAUGACACCAAAUGAGCAUAACACGUUAGUAUUAAGUUACUAAUGAUAUAUGAAAUACUUGUACACUGUCUUUGAGUUCUUUUAUGGGUCGUUUUUUUAUUACAAUUUUGUUGGCAUAUCAUUCAACUCUUGAAAGGUCAGUAAAACAAUGAUAAAAGAAGUAUGCGAAAUAUUCAAAAAAUAAAAGAUAAUUUAGGAAAAAGCAUAGAAAAGAAGGGAAUGAGGUGUCCAGGCUUCCUUUUAGAAGGAAGCAGUGAUAUUUAGAGGUAAUGUCCAAAAAGGCUUUUGAAUUAUGAAUUCUUAAUACAUAGAAACUUUCAUGAACAUGAAUUGAAAGUAAAAAGGGGAAUGAAAGAUGUAUGGAAAUUUGAGGGCGAAAGUUGGAACAAAAAGAUGCAUUUUUGCGCAUAAAAAGGAUCGAUGAACUAAUCUCUAUGAACAAUAAUGAAGAUAAAUCUGUUACCACACAAGGAAAAACGAACAUGAAAUCUUUAAUUAAUUGGUAAUUGAUUGACUAGGAGCAGUCGCAUAUGCUUUUAGCCCUUGCGUUAUCUUCUUUUGGACCUCACACUGUUGAAGUCAAACAUGCUGGCUUGAUCCACCCACGAGUACCGUGUACAUCAAUUUUUCAAUUGGGCUAUAAAGAACUAGAAUCUGUGUACAAGUAUACUGCAUUCAAUUAAGAAUAUAAGUAUACCUUUGGUCUUUAUUUGGUUAUUGAAACUCAGAAUUUGAUAAAUCAUUUAAAAGAUAAUAAUUGAGUUGAAACGGAAUUAGAAAUGUGUGAAAGACUUCAAGAAAGGACCAAGCUAGUAAUUGUGGAUGUGAUUCUAUAUUUUAAUAUUGUUUAACAAAGUUAGUUGGAAAUGUAAGGUAAAGAUAAACAAAUGCUAGUGGUAAUUUAUCUUUUAUCCAUUUCACGCAGGAACCACAUGCUACAGUUCCAUGUAAAAUGAAUUUAUUUUGAAUUAGUAUGCUAUCACCGAGCCUUUCAAAUCAAAUUUUCAUAUCUAAAAAGUUGAUUGAUAUCUUGUCUAUAAAAUAGAGCUAUUAGAUGGCACCAAAUAAAGGAGCGGAUUCUCCCUUAGUGCUCUCUUUUUAUGCACUCUUUUUUCUUCUUAUUGAGAUUAUUGAAUGUGGUUAUUUAUCUUUUAUCUAUUUCACGCUAGCACCACAUGCUACAAUUCCAAUGAAUUUAUUUUGAAUGAGUAUGUUAUCACCGAGCCUUUCAUUUCAAAUUUUCAAAUCUAUAAAGUUGAUUGAUAUCUUGUCUAUAAAAUAGAGCUAUAAUUUGUCAGAUGGCACCAAACGGAGGAGCGGAUGCUCUGUUAGUGCUCUCUUUUUAUGCACUCUUUUUCCUUCUUAUUGAGAUUAUGAAUACAAGCAUAAAGAUACAAGAAGCACCGCAAAGGAAUGACCUGAAAUGGAAGUAGAAUACUAUAAUUGGCUAAAUUUGUGAUAAUUCAGGUUAAAUUGAUUAAUCACAUUUUGAAGAACGAAUUUAUUGUUUGAAAAGAAAGAGGUGUAAGAAAUGAGUGAUAUAAAGCUAGGUGACUCUCCAUAUGGCCCAAUUUAUUCGAUUGUUUUCAUGAGUGUGUCAUAAGAUCGAUUUAUAUUUUUUUUCUUAAUAUAGGAUAUCAUGUAAAAGAUCCUAGGAAGUAUCAUACUAUGGACUUUAGCAUGUUUUAUAUUGCGAUGAUUGAAAUUGUCAUGAGUUGUGAGCAAGUAAAAUGUAGCGAUAUAGUUAAAAUGCUCAAACUCUCACCGUACUUUUUAAUUCUUCAUUUACUUUUCUUUUUUUCAAGUAAAGACUCGGUCAAUUUUUUAAGCUUUGAAGUGAGAAAAUGAUUUUUAUUUUUUAUUUUUUCUUGCUAAAGAAGGGAGAAAAUGAAUCAGAGGUGAAAGGGAAUAUACUUUCUAGGAUUAAUGGUCCAACAAUUCGAGUAAAACAGGAUAUUACUCAUUUGGAAUGUUCUAGAGGGAGUAAAAUUAUUGAAUAAGUCUUCUUAAGAGAAGACUUACUCUUAGGAUGAUUGGUUUCAGGAUAAAUGGGUUCUAAACAAAGAAUUAGGAACUUAAUAUGUAAUGAUUGGUUCUCCUCUUUUAUAACCGAUAACCAAGUAGUUGACCCAGGAACCAGCCUACUUUUAUUUUUUUGAUUUAUUUUUCCAUAAAUUGAUCUAGGAUCUUCAAACAUAGAGAAACCUCACAAUGCAUUAAAAAAAUAGAAUGGUCUAUGAAUUCAACCGAAAUGUGGCAAAUUUACGUGCAACAGAGUCUAGUGUACUUGCAGACCUACUUGCUCUAGUUCAACAAAAGAUCAGUACUAAAUUACGAUGCAACUAAGAAUCAGAUAGGAAGGCCAUCAUAGGAUUAGCCACAUCUAAAGUCGAAAACAAAAGGCUUUCCUUUUUUCACUGAAGUGAAAUCUAAGCUGGGCACAUACCUCGUCAAUAGGCAACAAUGACUCCAAAAGAGAGAAUAGAAGACCCUCCUCUGCUAUUCAGCAACCACCCCACAUCCCCAAUAGACAAAAAGAGCCCAGAGCACACUUAGUUCAGCCAAUUAUUCCAAUAAUGAAGUGACAAAAUCAAAAUAAACGGGAUGCUAAUAAGAAUGAAAAAGUGAUUACCACAAGUGAGCUGAGAUGCGAAGAGAGGCACGAGACCGGAGAGAGAGGAGACCGUAAACAAGCCUGGGCGAGAACUUUCAAGAGGGAUAAAGAACAAAGAAAGCGAGUGAGGACUAAUCAGUAGACGAUAGUCUCGAAAUGUUCUGCAAGAGAGAGGCCGAAUGCGAAUAAUAAAGUGAGAAACGAGAGAGAGAGAGAGAGAGAGAGAGAGAGAGAGGACCAAUUAGUAGCAGGCGAUAGUCUCGAAUUAUAAUUGAUGGACCGAUAUCCUCAUAUGGCUGACUGACUAGUAGCAAUAAAAUUGUUUUCAGGUGGCAAGCUAAGUCAAGCCACACAAUUUGGACCAAAGUACAGAAUGACCGCUUCUGUUCAUAUCUACUUAGAAACCAUUUUGUUAAACUGAUAAAUGUGGCUCUAACUGACAUUAGAAUCUUCCAUUAUACUAUUUUCAAAGACAUUCUUAAGCCUGUAAAUGCUAAAUUCUCCUCCCAUCCUAAACAUGCAUAAAUCAUAUUGUUGAAUUCAUUGUAAGUCGGUAAUUUCCUAUGCUAUAUAUAUAUAUGUAAAAGUCAUGUCUUUGCUCUAAGCAGUAAAAUCGCAUGAAAACCACACUUUAUCAUGAGUUUCUCUAAUACAAUCCGCAAAGAUAAAGUCCACCUAAAAAUUGUCCACAUAUCAAACAUGCGUAAGUACGUUGAAAGCAGCAGCUUUGCUCACUUUCAAGCUUUCCAUUGUAACCAGCACAAAAAAUAGUACGAUUGUGAAUUUUUCAUAAUUUCCGGAAGACAUGAAUUUUCUGUCAUUUUUCCAGAAAUUACGGAAAUUGUCGAUAAAACGGAAAAUGGUAUUAUGGACAUCCAAAAAUUUUCUAGUUGAUCUGACCUGUUCGAAAUUUUUUUUGUUGUUGAUAAUUCUCAUCCAUAGCCUGUGAAAGGUUUUGUGCAAUUAUAGAAGGAAAUAGACUAGCACCAUCGAUAUUUGGAAAAUAUAGAUUUUUUAACUAUUUUCAAGAAAAAAAAAUAUUUUCACAAAAACUGAGUAUUUUGGAUCUUUCAUGCUUAAAGUAAUUUUGGACAAUUGUUGUAUGUAUAAGGCCAAUGGACCAAAAUUGAGUCUAGAAGGGUAUUUUUCGCAAUUUUUAUCAAGCAGGCUUUUUUGUCCCAAGAGUUCAGUUAACCAUUAAUGUUUUGAAAACAACGUCAAGAUAAGGGCCAGCAUGUGAUUCCACCAGAUUCAACCAGUCUAACCAUUCAUAAUGGUUUUUUUUUUUUUUUGGUUCAAAAUAACCAAUUAAUUUAAAUGAGAAUAUUUUAAUAAGAAAAAUUAGCAAUAUAUGUGAUGAUGAUUUUGAAAAAAAUCGAGGGAAUUUCACAAGAAAUAUUUUGUAUGCCUUAAAGGAUGUUAGGCAUUAGGCCAUGAGUAAAAAUCGAAUAUAUUUGUGUCCUAUCAAUUGUAAUAGAUACGAGAAUGAAGGUCUGGCUUACCUUGAGGAGCGAUGCAGAGAUGAAAUUACUGUGAUGGUUUUUAGUAUUUGAGAGGAAGUCGCCUUUAAGUAGAUCAAGUUGUGUUCGAGUCUUGAAAGACAGUACAAUCCGAGGAUCACCUUCACACCUCAGCCUCAAGCUAUAAAACCAAAUAUAUCUCAGAACAAAAAUGAGUCUCAAUGAUUUAUGGUGAUUGGUGUUUCUCCUCUUCAAGCACAAGCACUUGGGACUUUAUAUUUUAAUUUUGUUUAAAAUUGUCAUAUUCUUAAUGAGGUUGGAAAUGUGAGGUAGAGAUAAACAAAUGCUCGUGGUUAUUUAUCUUUUAUCUAUUUCACACUGGCACCACAUGCUACAAUUCCAUGUAAAAUGAAAUUAUUUUGAAUUAGUAUGCUAUCACCGAGCCUUUUAAUUCAAACUUUCAAAUCUAAAAAAUUAAUUGAUAUCUCGUCUAUAAAAUAGAGCUAUUGGAUGGCACCAAAUGGAGGAGCGGUGCUCCCUUAAUGCUCUCUUUUUAUGCACUCUUUUUUUCUUCUUAUUGAGAUUAUUGAAUACAAGCAUAAAGACACAAGAAGCACCGCAAAGGAACGACCUGAAAUGGAAGUAGAAUAGGAUAAUUGGCUAAAUUUGUGAUAAUUCAGGUUAAAUUGAUUAAUCACAUUUUGAAGAACGAAUUUAUUGUUUGUAAAGAAAGAGGUGUAAGAAAUGAGCGAUAUAAAGCUAGGUGACUCUCCUAANNNNNNNNNNNNNNNNNNNNNNNNNNNNNNNNNNNNNNNNNNNNNNNNNNNNNNNNNNNNNNNNNNNNNNNNNNNNNNNNNNNNNNNNNNNNNNNNNNNNAUUUCUAUUUUUUUCUUAAUAUAAGGAUAUCAUGUAAAAGAUCCUAGGAAGUAUCAUACUAUGGACUUUAGCAUGUUUUAUAUUGCGAUGAUUGAAAUUGUCAUGAGUUGUGAGCAAGUAAAAUGUAGCGAUAUAGUUAAAAUGCUCAAACUCUCACCGUACUUUUUAAUUCUUCAUUUACUUUUCUUUUUUUCAAGUAAAGACUCGGUCAAUUUUUUAAGCUUUGAAGUGAGAAAAUGAUUUUUAUUUUUUAUUUUUUCUUGCUAAAGAAGGGAGAAAAUGAAUCAGAGGUGAAAGGGAAUAUACUUUCUAGGAUUAAUGGUCCAACAAUUCGAGUAAAACAGGAUAUUACUCAUUUGGAAUGUUCUAGAGGGAGUAAAAUUAUUGAAUAAGUCUUCUUAAGAGAAGACUUACUCUUAGGAUGAUUGGUUUCAGGAUAAAUGGGUUCUAAACAAAGAAUUAGGAACUUAAUAUGUAAUGAUUGGUUCUCCUCUUUUAUAACCGAUAACCAAGUAGUUGACCCAGGAACCAGCCUACUUUUAUUUUUUUGAUUUAUUUUUCCAUAAAUUGAUCUAGGAUCUUCAAACAUAGAGAAACCUCACAAUGCAUUAAAAAAAUAGAAUGGUCUAUGAAUUCAACCGAAAUGUGGCAAAUUUACGUGCAACAGAGUCUAGUGUACUUGCAGACCUACUUGCUCUAGUUCAACAAAAGAUCAGUACUAAAUUACGAUGCAACUAAGAAUCAGAUAGGAAGGCCAUCAUAGGAUUAGCCACAUCUAAAGUCGAAAACAAAAGGCUUUCCUUUUUUCACUGAAGUGAAAUCUAAGCUGGGCACAUACCUCGUCAAUAGGCAACAAUGACUCCAAAAGAGAGAAUAGAAGACCCUCCUCUGCUAUUCAGCAACCACCCCACAUCCCCAAUAGACAAAAAGAGCCCAGAGCACACUUAGUUCAGCCAAUUAUUCCAAUAAUGAAGUGACAAAAUCAAAAUUGUUGGAAUGUAUUAGGAAAUCUUCUAGAAUUUCUCCCUGAUUAUAUUACGUGAUUAUAUUACGUGAUAUUAUGUGAUUUGUUUUUUAUUCUGAUUGCUGUAAAUUAGAUAUUGAUAGAUAUUAGAGGCAACUUAGGAUCUUUAUCUAUAUAGGUUUCUUACCUAAUUUAGAUUCUCUGUUCAUGUAUUUAUACUCAUUGUAAUCACUCUAUGAGAGAUAAGAAAACAGAUUCUUUUCUUCAUGGUAUCAGAGCCCAAAGGUCCUUCAUCUAUUCACCUCGAGUAAUUUUUUUUUUUUUUCUUUCGUUCGAUCACUAUGUCGGACGAAUCAUCAACCACCCAAUCUAACCCUCCAUCACUUCUUACAAAAUCCACUGAAGCUCAUCCCAUUCAGAUCACUUCCAUAAAGCUGAAUGGUGAUAAUUUUUUUCGGUGGUCUCAAUCCGUUCGAAUGUAUAUACGGGGUAGAGGAAAAAGUGGCUAUCUGACUGGAGAUAAUGCAGAACCAGCGACAGAUGACCCCACUUGGGCUGUCUGGGAUGCAGAGAAUUCAGCGAUUAUGACGUGGCUGACCAACUCCAUGGAAGAAGAUAUUGGUGCAAAUUAUCUGGGCUAUUAUACCGCAAAGGAACUCUGGGAUGCGGUGUGUGAGAUGUAUUCAGAUUUGGGUAAUCAAUCUCAAAUCUACGAGUUAACCUUGAAGCUAGGGAAGAUGCGACAAGGAGAGGAAACUGUCACAAAAUACUUUCACUCCUUGAAACAUUUGUGGCAGGAAUUGGAUGUAUUCAAUGAUCAUGAGUGGAUGUGUAUUGAAGAUGGUAAUCGAUACAGGAAAAUUGUAGAAGCAGAACGUAUUUAUGCUUUCCUAGCAGGGCUUAGAGAUGAGUUUGAUGAAGUACGGGGCAGAAUACUUGGGAAGCAGCCUCUUCCACCUAUUGGAGAGGUCUUCUCAGAGGUUCGGAGAGAAGAAAGUAGACGGGGAAUAAUGCUGGGCAAGUCGGCUACCGGCGGAAAGGAUGGAUCAUUGGAAGGUUCAGCAUUAACUAUAUUUGAAGACAAGAAGGGCCAUGUUCCUACAACAAUAGUUUCCGAGGCAAAUAUAAGCAAGAUCCCCAUUAACUUGCGAAGAUCAGAUGGGAAACCUCGUAUUUGGUGUGAUUUUUGCAACAAACCCCGUCAUACACGGGAGACCUGUUGGAGGAUUCAUGGCCGUCCAGCUUCUACAACUAGUGAAGCAAGGAGACCAACUUCAUUUAGCCGUGAUAAUAAGUCUUCUCAGCGUAUGCCUCCUACAGCUAAUGAGGCCACUGCAUUCUCUUUCAGCAAAGAACAACUAAACCAUCUUCUGCAACUACUUCAGGCUGGGUCCGUAUCGGGUAAUCCUACUGCUUCGAUUGCCCACCAAGGUAGAAAUCUAAAUGCCCUCUCUUGUUGUUCACAAUCUGUACCUUGGAUCAUUGAUUCAGGGGCAUCCGAUCAUAUGACUAAUCUUCCAUAUUUGUUCAAAUCCUAUAUUCCUUGUCCUGGCAACCAAAAAAUUCGGAUUGCCGAUGGGAGUUUUUCAUCUAUUGCAGGCAAAGGAUUAGUUCCACUUUCUGAGUCUAUUAAACUUCAUAAUGUACUGCAUGUUCCUAAGUUAGCCUGCAGCCUCUUGUCUGUUAGUAAACUUUCUAAAGAGUCUAAUUGCGUGUGUCUUUUUUGCUUCCCAUUGUGAGUUUCAGGAUCAGAUCUCGGGGAAGACGAUUGGCAAUGCUAGGAUGAGGGAUGGUCUUUACUAUUUUGAAGAGUUUGUCUCUAAUAAAAAAGCUCAGGCGUAUGGAACUUUCAGUUCUUCCCCUGUUCAAGAACAAAUAAUGGUUUGGCAUCAUAGAUUAGGCCAUCCUAGCUUUAGAUAUUUGAAACAUUUGUUUUCUCAUUUGUUCAAAGAUGUGGAUGUUUCUUCACUACAUUGUGACAAUUGUCUUUUUUCUAAAAGUCAUCGUACUCAUUAUAAUCCAAAACAGUAUCGUGCAUCAUCUCCUUUUUACUUAAUCCAUAGUGAUGUUUGGGGUCCUUCACCCAUGUCAACAAAAACCGGAAAACGAUGGUUUGUUACUUUUAUAGAUGAUCAUACCCGUUUAUGUUGGACAUACUUGAUGAGCGCCAAAUCUGAAGUUGAGUCAUUGUUCAAAAAAUUUUAUCAAAUGGUUAUGACUCAAUUCCGUACUACUAUUAGUAUUCUUCGUACUGAUAAUGGUACUGAAUAUUAUAACCAAUUUUUGGGGAGUUUUUUGACAGAAAAAGGCAUCAUUCACCAGUCAACUUGCCGAACUACACCCCAACAGAAUGGCAUUGCUGAACGCAAAAAUCGCCAUCUCCUUGAAGUAUCGCGUGCCCUCUGUUUUUCAAUGCAUGUACCUAAAUACUUAUGGGGGGAAGCUGUGCUAACAGCAUCUUAUCUAAUUAAUAGGUUGCCUACUCGGGUAUUAAAUUACACUACUCCCUUAAAUUGUUUCAAAAAAGUGUACCCCACAGCUCGUAUUUUUUCUGAUAUUCCUCUAAGGGUGUUUGGUUGCACUACAUUUGUCCAUCUCCCAAUUCAGUGUCGAUCUAAAUUAGAUCCUCGGGCUGAAAAGUGUGUGUUUAUAGGGUAUGCACCUAAUCAAAGAGGUUACAAGUGUUACAAUCCACAUACUGGUAAAACUCAUAUCACUAUGGAUGUAACAUUUAUCGAGUCACAACCGUUUUUUUCUAACAAAUCUCUUCAGGGGGAGAAUGGCGAAGUUAGUGAAGAGAUUAACUCUCCUGUCCUUCCUAAUCCUUUGUUUGAAUCUUCGAAAACACCUCUGCCAAAUCUUGAUGUGUCAAAGAUAGGGGGAGAAAAAGUUCAAGAUCACAAUGUGAUCAAUAAGCCCGAGCUUCAGGUUUAUACUAGAAGGAAAACUCUUCAAAAUAUUGCAGAUCAGAACUUUGUCCUGGAGCCUCAUCCGUCUACAACCCCGAGAGAUGAUCUCUUGCCUUCGUCAUCAGGUGAUCCUAGUAGUACUCUUUUUCCCUCCAUUCCUAUCUUAAAUUCUGAUACUAAUGCUUCUAAUCUUGAUAUGCCUAUAGCUCUUAGAAAAGGAGUUAGAUCAUGUACUAAGCAUCCUAUAUCAAAACAUGUGUCAUUCCAAAAGUUAUCUCAUCAUCAUAGAGCAUUUGUGUCAAAUCUGUCUCACAUAUCUAUUCCUAGAAAUAUCCAUGAAGCUUUGAAGGAUCCAAAGUGGAAGAUGGCUGUUGAGGAUGAAAUGCUUGCACUUAAGAAGAAUGGCACAUGGGAGUUGGUUGAUACACCAGAAGAAAAAAAGAUCGUUGGCUGUAAAUGGGUAUUUACUGUAAAAUGUAAACCCGAUGGGAGUGUUGAGCGGUAUAAAGCAAGGUUAGUGGCAAAGGGGUUCACUCAGACUUAUGGAGUAGACUAUCAGGAGACUUUUGCCCCAGUUGCCAAGAUAAAUUCUGUUCGAAUUUUACUAUCUUUGGCUGCUACAUUUGAUUGGCCCUUACAUCAGUUAGACGUGAAGAAUGCAUUCUUGAAUGGUGACUUGGAGGAAGAAGUGUUUAUGAGUUUACCACCAGGUUUUGCAGAAACUGAAGGCAAAGUUUGCAGAUUAAAAAAGUCGUUGUAUGGACUUAAACAAUCUCCAAGAGCGUGGUUUGAACGAUUCGGGAAGGUGGUUAAAAGAUUUGGCUAUCACCAAAGUCAAGGAGACCACACUCUAUUCUAUAAACACUCAAAGGAAGGUAAGCGUGCAAUUCUAAUCGUCUAUGUUGAUGAUAUAAUAUUAACUGGUGAUGACAAAGUUGAGUUGAAAAGCUUGCAAGGGAAGUUGGCUGAGGAGUUUGAAGUUAAGGAUUUGGGUGCCUUGAAAUAUUUUCUUGGAAUAGAAUUUGCGAGAUCCAAAAAGGGCAUUUUUAUAAACCAACGCAAAUAUGUUCUUGAUCUGCUUAAAGAGACAGGUCUAUUAGGAUGUAAAGCAGCAGAGACCCCCGUGGAACCAAAUAUGAAGCUUGAACUUGCCAAGGCUGAAGAAGUAAUAGACCGAGAAAGGUAUCAAAGGCUUGUUGGUCGACUUAUUUACUUAUCUCAUACUCGACCUGAUAUAUCGUUUGCUGUAAGUAUGGUGAGUCAGUUCAUGCACUCACCAGGGCCAAGGCAUUUUGAAGCGGUAUAUAGAAUUUUACGCUACUUGAAGGGAAGUCCUGGUAAGGGUCUAAUGUUUGAAAAACAUGGACAUCUGGAAAUUGAGGUGUUCACUGAUGCAGAUUGGGCUGGAAGUACUAUGGAUAGGAGAUCUACUUCAGGCUACUGCACGUUUGUUGGUGGUAAUUUAGUCACUUGGAAGAGUAAAAAGCAGAGUGUGGUGGCAAGAAGUAGUGCUGAAGCUGAAUUUCGAUCAGUAGCACAUGGUGUAUGCGAAGUUAUGUGGAUUAAAGGUAUCUUAGAUGAACUACAAAUUCCAAGUUCCAUACCAAUGAAAGUAUAUUGCGACAAUAAGGCAGCAAUCGCAAUUGCUCAUAAUCCCGUGUUACAUGAACGGACAAAGCAUGUGGAAGUUGAUAAACACUUCAUCAAAGAAAAACUUGAUAGCGGACUAAUUUGUAUGCCGUAUAUUUCAAGUGAUGAUCAGACUGCUGACAUUCUGACCAAGGGAUUACAUAGAAGGCAAUUCAUUCGUCUAGUGAACAAGCUGUCUAUGGAAGACAUCUUCAAGCCAGCUUGAGGGGGAGUGUUGGAAUGUAUUAGGAAAUCUUCUAGAAUUUCUCCCUGAUUAUAUUACGUGAUUAUAUUACGUGAUAUUAUGUGAUUUGUUUUUUAUUCUGAUUGCUGUAAAUUAGAUAUUGAUAGAUAUUAGAGGCAACUUAGGAUCUUUAUCUAUAUAGGUUUCUUACCUAAUUUAGAUUCUCUGUUCAUGUAUUUAUACUCAUUGUAAUCACUCUAUGAGAGAUAAGAAAACAGAUUCUUUUCUUCAAAAAUAAACGGGAUGCUAAUAAGAAUGAAAAAGUGAUUACCACAAGUGAGCUGAGAUGCGAAGAGAGGCACGAGACCGGAGAGAGAGGAGACCGUAAACAAGCCUGGGCGAGAACUUUCAAGAGGGAUAAAGAACAAAGAAAGCGAGUGAGGACUAAUCAGUAGACGAUAGUCUCGAAAUGUUCUGCAAGAGAGAGGCCGAAUGCGAAUAAUAAAGUGAGAAACGAGAGAGAGAGAGAGAGAGAGAGAGAGAGAGAGAGGACCAAUUAGUAGCAGGCGAUAGUCUCGAAUUAUAAUUGAUGGACCGAUAUCCUCAUAUGGCUGACUGACUAGUAGCAAUAAAAUUGUUUUCAGGUGGCAAGCUAAGUCAAGCCACACAAUUUGGACCAAAGUACAGAAUGACCGCUUCUGUUCAUAUCUACUUAGAAACCAUUUUGUUAAACUGAUAAAUGUGGCUCUAACUGACAUUAGAAUCUUCCAUUAUACUAUUUUCAAAGACAUUCUUAAGCCUGUAAAUGCUAAAUUCUCCUCCCAUCCUAAACAUGCAUAAAUCAUAUUGUUGAAUUCAUUGUAAGUCGGUAAUUUCCUAUGCUAUAUAUAUAUAUGUAAAAGUCAUGUCUUUGCUCUAAGCAGUAAAAUCGCAUGAAAACCACACUUUAUCAUGAGUUUCUCUAAUACAAUCCGCAAAGAUAAAGUCCACCUAAAAAUUGUCCACAUAUCAAACAUGCGUAAGUACGUUGAAAGCAGCAGCUUUGCUCACUUUCAAGCUUUCCAUUGUAACCAGCACAAAAAAUAGUACGAUUGUGAAUUUUUCAUAAUUUCCGGAAGACAUGAAUUUUCUGUCAUUUUUCCAGAAAUUACGGAAAUUGUCGAUAAAACGGAAAAUGGUAUUAUGGACAUCCAAAAAUUUUCUAGUUGAUCUGACCUGUUCGAAAUUUUUUUUGUUGUUGAUAAUUCUCAUCCAUAGCCUGUGAAAGGUUUUGUGCAAUUAUAGAAGGAAAUAGACUAGCACCAUCGAUAUUUGGAAAAUAUAGAUUUUUUAACUAUUUUCAAGAAAAAAAAAUAUUUUCACAAAAACUGAGUAUUUUGGAUCUUUCAUGCUUAAAGUAAUUUUGGACAAUUGUUGUAUGUAUAAGGCCAAUGGACCAAAAUUGAGUCUAGAAGGGUAUUUUUCGCAAUUUUUAUCAAGCAGGCUUUUUUGUCCCAAGAGUUCAGUUAACCAUUAAUGUUUUGAAAACAACGUCAAGAUAAGGGCCAGCAUGUGAUUCCACCAGAUUCAACCAGUCUAACCAUUCAUAAUGGUUUUUUUUUUUUUUUGGUUCAAAAUAACCAAUUAAUUUAAAUGAGAAUAUUUUAAUAAGAAAAAUUAGCAAUAUAUGUGAUGAUGAUUUUGAAAAAAAUCGAGGGAAUUUCACAAGAAAUAUUUUGUAUGCCUUAAAGGAUGUUAGGCAUUAGGCCAUGAGUAAAAAUCGAAUAUAUUUGUGUCCUAUCAAUUGUAAUAGAUACGAGAAUGAAGGUCUGGCUUACCUUGAGGAGCGAUGCAGAGAUGAAAUUACUGUGAUGGUUUUUAGUAUUUGAGAGGAAGUCGCCUUUAAGUAGAUCAAGUUGUGUUCGAGUCUUGAAAGACAGUACAAUCCGAGGAUCACCUUCACACCUCAGCCUCAAGCUAUAAAACCAAAUAUAUCUCAGAACAAAAAUGAGUCUCAAUGAUUUAUGGUGAUUGGUGUUUCUCCUCUUCAAGCACAAGCACUUGGGACUUUAUAUUUUAAUUUUGUUUAAAAUUGUCAUAUUCUUAAUGAGGUUGGAAAUGUGAGGUAGAGAUAAACAAAUGCUCGUGGUUAUUUAUCUUUUAUCUAUUUCACACUGGCACCACAUGCUACAAUUCCAUGUAAAAUGAAAUUAUUUUGAAUUAGUAUGCUAUCACCGAGCCUUUUAAUUCAAACUUUCAAAUCUAAAAAAUUAAUUGAUAUCUCGUCUAUAAAAUAGAGCUAUUGGAUGGCACCAAAUGGAGGAGCGGUGCUCCCUUAAUGCUCUCUUUUUAUGCACUCUUUUUUUCUUCUUAUUGAGAUUAUUGAAUACAAGCAUAAAGACACAAGAAGCACCGCAAAGGAACGACCUGAAAUGGAAGUAGAAUAGGAUAAUUGGCUAAAUUUGUGAUAAUUCAGGUUAAAUUGAUUAAUCACAUUUUGAAGAACGAAUUUAUUGUUUGUAAAGAAAGAGGUGUAAGAAAUGAGCGAUAUAAAGCUAGGUGACUCUUCAAAUAUGCGUGUAUGGCCCAAUUUGUUCGAUUGUUUUCAUGUGUGUGUCAUAAGAUCGAUUUAUAUUUUUUUCUUACUAUUGGAUAUCAUGUAAAAGAUCUUAAGAAGUAUCAUACUAUGGACUUUGGUAUGUUUUAUAUUGCGAUGAUUGAAAUUAUCAUGAGUUGUGAGCAGGUAAAAGUAGUGAUAUAGUUAAAAUGCUCAAAACUCUCACCGUACUUUUUAUUUCCUCAUUUACUUUUAUUUUUUUAGAGUGAAGAAUCGGUCAAUUUUUUAAGCUUUGAAGUGAGAAAUGAAUUUUCUUUUCUUUUUUCUUGCUAAAGAAGGGAUAUAACGAAUUAGAGGUGAAAGGGAAUACACUUUCUAGGAUUAAUGGUCCAACAAUUCGAGUAAAACAGGAUAUUAGUCAUUUGGAAUGUUCUAGAGGGAGGUAAAAUUGUUGAAGUCUCCUUAAGAGAAAAUUUACUCUCAGUAUGAUUAGUUUCAGGAUGAGUAGGUUCUAAACUAAGAAUCAGGAACUUAUCAUGUAAUGAUUGAUUCUCCUUUUUUAUAACUGAGAACCAAACUAGUUGACCCAAGAACCAGCCUACUUUUUUUUUUUCGGAUUUAUUUUUCUAUAAUUUGAUCUAGGACCUUCAAACACAAAGAAAGCUCACAAUGCAUUUGAAAAAAAAAAAAAAAAAAGGUCUAUGAUUCAAUCAAAAUGUGGCAAAUAUGCGCGCAACAGAGUCUAGUGCCCUUGCAAACCUACUUGGUCUAGUUCAACAAAAGAUCACUACUAAAUUACAGUGCACCUAAGCAUCAAACAACAAGGCCAUCAUUGGAUUAGCCACAUCUAAAGUCGAAAACAAAAGGCUUUCCUUUUUUCUCUGAAGUCAAAUCUGAGCUGGGGACAUACCUCGUCAACAGGCAACAAUGACUCCAAAAGAGAAUAGAAGACCCUACUCUGCUAUUCAGCAGCCACCCCCACAUCCCCAAUAGACAAAAAGGCCCAGACCACACUUAGUUUAGCCGAUUAUUCCAAUAGUAAAGCAACAGAAUCAACAGAAAUGACACCCUAAUAAGAGAUGAAAAAGUGAUUACCACCCGCGAGCUAAGAUGUGAAGAGAGGCACAAGAUCAGAGAGAGAGAGAGAGAGAGAGAGAUUCUAAACAAGCCUUGGCGAGAACUUUCAAGAGGGAUAAAGAACAGAGGAAGCGAGUGAGGACUAAUCAGCAGAUGAUAGUCUAGAAUUGUUCCGCAAGAGAGAGGCCGAAUGCGAAAGAUAAAGUGGGAAAUGAGCGCACGAGAGAGAGAGAGAGAGAGACUGAGGCCCAAUAGUAGUAGGCAAUAGUCUCGAAUUAUUAUUGAUGGACCGGUACCUUAUAUGGCUGAUUGACUGGUAGCAAUUAAAUUGUUUUCAGGUGGCAAGCCAAGUCAAGCCACACAAUUUGGACCAGAGUACGAAAUGAUUACUUCUGUUCAUAUCCACUUAAAAACCAUUUUGUUAAACUGAUAAAUGUGGCUCUAACCGACUUGUGAAUCUUCCAUUAUAUUAUUAUCAAAGACGUUCUUACUCCGGUAAAUACUACAUUCUCCUCCCACCCUAAACAUGCAUAAAUCAUAUUGUCAAAUCCAUCGGAUGUCAGUAAUUUUCUACGAUAUAUAUAUAGAAGUCAUGUCUUUGUUGUAAGCAGUAAAAUCACAUGAAAACCACACUUUAUGACAAGUUUCUCUAAUUCAAUCUGCUAAGAUAAAGUCCACCUAAAAAUUGUCCACAUAUUAAAUAUGUCUAAGUUCAUUGAAACCAGCAGCUUCGCUCACUUUCAAAUUUCUAUUGUAACCAGCACAAAAAAAUAGUACAAUUGUGAAUUUUUCAUAAUUUCCAGAAAAAAUUUGAAUUUUCUAUCAUUUUCCAGAAAUUACGAAAAUCGCCAAUAUAAUGGAAAAUGGUUUUAUGGACAUCCAAAAAUUCUCUAGUUGAUCUGAUCUAUUCAGAUAAUUUUUUUUUGUUGACAAUUAUGAUUCGUAGCCUUUGAAAGGUUUUGUGCGAUUAUUGAAGAGAAUAGACCAGCACGAUUGAUAUUGGGAAAAAAUCUAGUUUUUAAAUGUAUUCAAGAAAAAAAAAUAUUUCUGCAAAAACUGAGUAUUUUGGAUGUUUCAAGCUUUAAGUAAUUUUGGCUCCCACUAAAAAAAAAAAAAAAAGUAAUUUCGGACAAUUGGGGUGCACAUAGGGCCAAUGGACCCAAAAUCGGGUGUAGAAGGGUAUUUUCAUAAUUUUAAUCGAACGGGCUUUUUGUCCCAAGGGAAUUUCACGUGUUAUUCGGUAUGCCUUUGAGGAUGUUAGGCGCUAAAGCGAUGAGUAAUAAUAAAGUGUAUUUUGGUCCUAUCUAUUGUAAUAGACCGGAGGACAAAGGUCGGACUUACCUCGAGGAGGAGGUAUUCAGAGAUGAAAUAACUGUGAUAGGUGUCAGUGUUCGAGAAGAAGUCGCCUUUGAAGCAGAUCGAGUUGUGUCCGAGUUGCGAAAGGCAGUGCAAUCCCGAGGAUCACCCUCACGCCUCCACCUGGACCGGCUUGGUUUGGAAGUACGCUGGGGUAAAUUUGCAGAUCAUCUCAGGUUAGAACAUCACGAGAAAGGACGAGUAGUGGCUACAAAAUCACCAACAACAGGCAAGGAACUUACUAUCUCUCGAUUAAAUUGCAGCCCUUCUCUGGUAUAUCUGGAGAUCCCAGAAACGACUCUCGUGUUCUGAGCGAAGACCGCACCACCAAACCCAGGAACCCUAAUCGCCUCAGUGGAGUCCGCGAUCAGAAAUUAUAGCAAGCGGAACACUAAAAUGUUGGAAACUCGACACGAUUCGAGUCGAUUUUACCUGUUAAUCGGUGCCCGCCGAAAACCCAGUCCCUCAAGAAAACUAUCGAUGGGGUCCUUUGAAGCCGGUGGUUCGGAAGGAGCGAUUGCAGGUGCUCUUCGCGACGGCCUCAGGCGUACUGCUCAAUGGAUUCUCGAGAAAGAAGAUCCCUUGCUUCCUCCGCCGAUUCAAGCUGAAGCUCUCGCCCUGGUAAGAGGAUUCGAUGUGCUUCAGAUCGAGAAGUAGAGAGAACUUGUACUUGGGAGUCGGGCAACGCGGCUGUGUUGAGUCUCUCUGCGGGAGCAUAAUCACGUGCCAUAGUUAGGGGGGAGGCGCACUGAUUUUGGAUGCCGGCGCAUGAUCACGUGCCAUGGUUAGGUGGACGCCUGAACCCAGUUGGCUAAUUUUCAAAAGUGUAUCCGCGUCCCAUAACUUUAAGAUUGCAUUUGGCGAUUCGAAUAAAGUUCAAAUUAAAAUAAAAUGUAUCAUAUUCUACAUUUGGUAUAUACUCAAAAUAAGAUAAAAUCAACUACAAAUAAGAUAUAAAUCGGAUAAAAGUAUCUCAUUGGGAAAUGCGGAUAUGAUUUCUGAUAUUCAUAAUAAGAAAUUUUUUUCUCAAAUAACAAAUUUCUAAAAUUAAAAAAUUACAAUUAUAUUUCAGUAUAAAUAAUAUUUGAAUCUAGUAUAAAAAAUAAAAAAUUAAUUUUUUAAUUUAAUCUUAUUUUUAUUUAUAUAUUAGAAUUUAAUUCUAUCUUAUAAUAUAAAUUCAAUAUAUAAAUAUAUAUUAUUACAUAUUUUCAAUGUUUUAAUAUUUCAGGUAUAUUAGUAUAAUUUUCUAUUUAAUACAUUUUUAUUAGAGAGUGAUGGAAGGGGGAAGAGAGAAAUAAAAAAAUAAUUAAAAAAGAGAGGAAAAUAAAAGAAAAAUAAAAUAAAAUAAAGUAGACAAAAAUGUCACGAGAAACAACGAUUCCAAAAGAGAGAAUAAAAGACACCCUCCUUAGCUAUUCAGCAGCCACCCCACAUCCCCAGUAGACAAAAAGGGCCCGGAAGACACUAGUUCAGCCUAUUAUUUCAAUAAUAAAGCGAUGAAUCAAUAGAAACAACACGGUAGUAAGAGAUGAAAAAGUGAUUACCUUCUGCGAGCUAAGAUACGAAGAGAGGCGCGAGAUCGGCGAGAGAAUACCCUAAGCAAGCUUGGGCAGGAACUUUCAAGGGGGAAAAAGAACGGAGAAAGCGAGUGAGGACUGAUCAGUGGAUGAUAAUCUCAAAUUGUUCUGCAAGAGAGAGGCCGAAUGCGAAAGAUAAAGUGAGCAACGAGAGAGAGAGAGGGUGGGGAAGGGAGGGGGGGAUCAAUCAGUAGUAGACGACAGUCUCGAAUUAUUAUUGACCGACCGGUAGACGAUAGGCUGAUUGACUGGUAGCAAUAAAAAUUCUUUUCAGAUGGCAAGCAAAGUCAAGCCACACAAUUUAGACCACAGUACAGAAUGACCACUUCCAUUCAUAUCCACUUAAAAACCAUUUUGUUAAAUAGAUAAAUGUCGCUCUAACCGGCUUGUAAAUUUUCCAUUAUAUUAUUAUCAAAGACGUUUUUACUCCAGUAGGUGCUGCAUUUUCCUCCCACCAUAAAGAUGCAUAAAUCAUAUUAUCAAAUCCAUUGUAGGUCAAUAAUUUCCUACACUAUAUAUAUGUAAAAGUCAUGUCUUUGUUGUAAGCAAUAAAAUCUCAUGAAAAGCACAUCUUAUGACAAGUUUCUCUAAUUCAAUCCAUGAAGAUCAACUCCACCUAAAAAUUGUUCACAUAAUAAAUACGUGUUGACAAUUUUGAUCCAUAGCCUAUGAAAGGUUUUGUGCAUUAUUGAAGAGAAUAGACUAGCAUGAUCAAUAUUUAGAAAAAUAUUUUUAACUAUUUUCAAGAAAAAAAAAGAUUUAUUUUUGCAAAAACUGAAUAUUUUGGAUGUUUUAGCCCUUAAGUAAUUUUGGACAAUUGGGGUACACAUAGGGCUGAUGGACCCAUAAUCGGGUCUAGAAGGAUAUUUUGGUAAUUUUCAUUCUUGAGGGAGUUCAAUCAACCAUUAAAUUUUAGAAAACAACAUUAGGAUAAAUGCUUAGGCUAGCAUUCGAUUCCACUAGAUUCAACCAAUCUAACCAUACAUAACCCAUUAGUUUAAUGAGAAGAUUGUAGUAAGGAAAUUAGCAAUAUAUAUGCAAUGAUGAUUUUGGAAAAGUCGAAGGAACUUCACGAGUAAUGUUUUGGUCGCCUUAAAGCAUAUUUGGUGUUAUGCAAUGAGUAAUAAUCAAAUGUAUUUUUGUCCUGUCAAUUGUAAUAAACUAGAGAAUGAAGUUCAGGCUCACCUGGAGGAAUGAUGCAGAGAUGAAAUUCUUGUAAUGGGUUUUAGUAUUUGAGAAGAAGUUGCCUUGAACAAAUCAAGUUGUGUUCGAGUCCCAAAAGGCAGUACAAUUUGAGAUCACCUUCACACCUCAACUUGAAGCUGUCAAUACAAACAUAUCUCAGAACAAAAACGAGGAUCUCAGUGUUAUGGUGAUUGGUGUUUCUCCUCUUCAAGCACAAGCAUUUGGGACUUUAUAUAAAGUUGUACUUCUCUUGCCCCAGAGGAGACGCAAAAUCUUGAGGUGGAUGGCGUUUCUUGGACGAGGCAAUUGUACUUCUUUUGAUUGUUGCCUUUUUGACCAAGACCACCAAAAACAAUCCCUUCCUCGAAAUUGGCAAGACAACCCCCUAUAGACUUCACUUAUUAAUUCUUUUUGUUAUUGGAUUUUGCAGCCAAGCAAAUCAUAGUGGAUAUUAACUUUUUUACACGAUGCUAGUCCUUAACAGCCACGGAAUCAUCUCUUUUUCUUUCUUUUUUUUCUUUUUUUUUCUUUUUUUGUCAAACGAAAUUAUCUCCUUUACUUGGGAACUUUUGCAAGGUGUUCAUAUUGAAAAUUACUUCUUCUCUUGCCUCGAAAAGUGAGCGCAAUGUGCUAGGGACCCACACAAUCUUACCAUGGAUUUGCGUGUCCUCGAUGAGAAAAUUUACUAUUUUUAUUGACUAACCCCAACCUUUUGUUAGUUCUCUUUGUAAUUGAAUCACAUGGCCGCACAAAUCAAAGUGAAGAUGAACAACAUUUUGCUUUCCCUUCCUAUUGAAAUAAAAGCCUCUCACCGUUGGAGGCAUUGAAAUGGUCAAAAAUCUAUUUGUUAACUCAUAUUUAGUGACUUGAAUCAUAUAUGGAUUGGCUCAAAUUGAAAGAAUAGGUUGUUAUGAAUUUAAAGUAACAAGAUUUUAUUCAAUAUAUAAUAUAUUUUAAUGAGUUUGAAUCAUGUCUAUAUGCAAUUCAUGUUAAUUAAAAAAAAGAAGAUGAGAAAAGUAAUGAUCUUUUCAUUUGCUUUCACAUGGCUCUUCUUAGGGGAACUCGUGCUCGAGUGUGGUAUGCCUCGACACGUGGAGCCCAUUGUAUGUGGCGCGACAAUUGCAUGAGCUUUUUCUUUACUUGCCCAUUGCUUUAAUCAAUGAUUAAGUGACCCAUCAUUCAUUCCCUAUUCAUUAUCGAUUGUUUAAUCUAGUGGGACUCAUGUAGAACUUAUAUGGCUCCGGUCAUUUUAGUUUUCCAAAUGUAAUCUUUCCCACAAUAUCAUUUAACUCCACAUCUAGACGACGACGUCAAUUAGGGCCAAUUCAGCCAAAUCUCCUCUGUACUCUUAAGGACGUAAGGAAUUAGAUUGAUAUCGUGUGCUUAAUAUGCACACAAAAAAAUUUAUCUUAGGUAUUUAGGGAUCAAAGUUAUGGUGAAAAAUAAGGGAAUGAAAAAAGCUGGGAAAAAUUACCGAAAAAGUCCUAAACCAAUUGCAUUUGUGCUAAUUCAGUCCUAAACCUCCAAAUUUGAUCAAUUUAGUCCUAAAUCUUUUAAUAAUUUGUCAAUAUAGUCUAUCCGGCCAAUUUUGAUGGGUUUAGGUUGCUUUGGAUGGUGGUUUUUCUUGGUUAUUAGCCGAAUUGCAUCCUAAUGGGCGCUUAAAUGUCAAAAAUACUCUUCAUCAGCUUAUCACACCAUACGAUACAACUGUCACAUGAAAUAUCUGUUAUUCUACUGCAUCAUUUCUCUCUCUCUCUCUCUCUCUCUCUCUCUCUGCCCCCACCACCGUGAAUUAAUGUCACCAUCCUAUAGUCACUCGCCCAAACAACACCAACAUGCCAUCCACAACUUAGGCCCCAUCUCUCUCUCUCUCUCUCUCUCUCUCUCUCUCUUCUUUGUCACGGCUGAACUCAAAAUAGAGGCGUCUUGCUCAAAGCUGCAAUGACACUUGACUAGACCUAGCAUCACAUCUUAGUAAUUUUGGCAUGCAUUGAGCUAGACGCAGCAUUGGAUCUCUACUAGAUCUAAUGUCGAGCCCAACACUGCAAUGGGCUGUCAUUGAGGAUUCAUAACUCUAGGAUAAAUAUGUUGUUGCAACAUCAAGCGCAUCGCCAAAUUGGGUCAAUGGGAUAUUCUUUCACAUAACAUGAUCAUGCCAGUAUAUGCAUUUUGCAAAAGAAAUCUUUAUCACGAAAAAAAAAAUACUUUUUCAAAACUUCUAUAUCAAAUUUCCUAUGAAACCGAGUUAAUUACCUUUUAGAAAAUUGUCUGGUGAGGGAAAGCAAGUCAAAGUCUUCCACCAUCUUCCUUGCUCAGUUGCAAAGAAAGUGGUAAGGCAAAAGCUGACAAGACCUACUCAACAGAAUUUUUUUUUUUGGGAGGGGGGGUGGGGAGGACUAGCGAGGAAACGCAAGUUAAAGUCUUCCACCAUCUUGCUUAACUUCGAUCAAUCUUAGACCUCUUUGUUCUUUCUCCCCCCCCCCCCUCCCCCCCUCCCCCCCUUCCUUCCUUUCUCCCUCCCUUGCUUCCCUACUCCUUUCGGGUCGGUUGCUUCACUGCUUUUAUGUUUUGGUUCAAAUUCGGUGAUUUCAUAUUUUAAUCUUAUUUAAAAUUGCCAUAUUCUUAAUGAAGUUGGAAAUAUGAAGUGGAGAUGAACACCAGAUGAACACCAAUUUAAUUUUAUUUAAAUUAUUGAUUAAUAUAUUGUCUACAAAAUAGAGCUAUAAUUUGUUAAAUGACACCAAAUGAGCAUGAUGGAUUAGUAUCAAGUUGCUAAUGAUAUAUGAAAUACUUGUACACUGUCGUUGCUUUUAUUAUAAUUUUGUUGGCAUAUCAUUCAGCUCUUGAAAAAUCAAUAGACCAAUGAAAAAAGAAGGAUGCGAAAUAUUAAAAAGUUAAAAAAUAAUAUUGGAGAAAGCAUAGAAAAGAAGAGAAUGAAGUGUCUGGGCUUACUUCAAGAAGGAAGCGGUGAUAUUUAGAGGUAAUGUCCAAAAGGCUUUUGAAUUAUGAAUUCACGACACAUAGAAAACUUCAUGGACACAAAUUAAAAGUAAAAAGGGAGUCAAAGAUGCAUGGCAAUCUGAGGGCAAAAGUUGGAACGAAAGAUGCCUUUCCGCUACAUAAAAGGAUCAAUGAACUUCUCUCUACAAACAAGUAUGAACAUGAAUAUGUUACCACGCAAGAAAAAAUCAACAUGAAAUCUAUAAUUAAUUGGUAAUUAAUUGACUGGGAGCAGUUGCAGAUGCUUUUAGACCUCGCCUUGUCUUCUUUUGGAACUCAUCCUAUUCAAGUGGAACUUGUUGGCUUGAUCCACUCACGAGUAACGUGUAGGUUAAUUUAUCAAUUGGACUACUAGAAUCUGUGUACUUGUAUAUUGCAUUCAAUCAAAAAUAUAAGCAUAGGUUCGGUUUUCAUGGUUAUUGAAAAUGGAAUCUGAUAAAUCAUUUAAAAGAUAAAUAUUGGAGUUGAAACGGAAUUAGAGAUGUGUGAAAGCCGUUGAGAAAAGACCAAGCUAGUAAUUGUGGAUGUGAUUUUAUACUUUAAUUUUCUUUAAAAUUUUCAUAUUCUUAAUGAAGUUGGAAAUGUGAGGUACAUAUAAAUAAAUGCUCAUGGUUAUUUAUCUUUUAUCUAUUCCAAGCCGGCACCACAUGCUCCAAUUUAGUGUAAAAUGAAUUUAUUUUGAACUAGUAUGUUAUUAUCGAGCCUUUAUGUUAUUACCAAGUCUUUCAUUUCAAAUUUUGAAAUCUAAAAUGUUGAUUGAUAUCUUGUCUGUAAAAUAGAGCUAUAAUUUGUUAGAUGGCACCAAACGGAGGAACAGAUUUUCCCUCGGUGCUCUCUUUUUGCAUACUCUUUUUUCUUCUUAUUGAGAUUAUUGAAUACAAGCAUAGAGACGCAAGAAGCACUGCCAAGAAGCGAACUGAAAUGGAAGCAGAAUAGGAUUAUUGACUAAAUUUGUUAUAAGUCAGGUUAAAUUGAUUAAUAACAUUUUGAAGAAUGAAUUUAUUGUUUGUGACGAAAGAGGUGUAAGAAAUGAGUGAUAUAAAGCUAGGUGAAUCUCCUAAUACGUGUGUAUGGCUCGAUUUAUUUGAUUGUUUUCAUGUGUGUCAUUCGAUCGAAUUAGGUUUUUUUUUUUUUCCUUACUAUUGGGUAUCAUGUAAAAGAUCUUAAGAAGUAUCAUACUAUGGAUGUUGGUAUGUUUUAUAUUGUGAUGAUUGAAACGAUUAUGAGUUGAGAGCAGGUAAAAAGUAGAAUAUAGUUAAAAUGCUUAAACUUUCGCCGCACUUUUUUUCAUUCCUUAUUUACUUUUCUUUUUCAGCAAAGACUCAGUCAAAUUUUAAAGCUUUGAAGGGAGAAAAUGAGUUUUUUCUUUCCUUUUUUUUUUCUUUUUCUUUUUAAAGAAGGGAGAAAAUAAAUUAGAGGUGAAAGGGAAUAUACUUUGUAGGAUUAAUGGUCCAACAAUUUAAGGAAAACAUAAUAUUACUCAUUUGAAAUGUUCUAUUGGGAGGUAAAAUUGUCUAAUGACAUCUCCUUAAGUGAAGACUUACUCUUAGGAUGAUUGGUUUGAGAAUGACUAGGUUCUAAACUAAGAAAUAGGAUAUUAUUUAAUAAUAAUCGGUUCUCCAUUUUUGUAUCCAAGAACCAAACUAGCUGAUCCUGAACCAGCCUACUUUUAUUUUUCUGAUUUAUUUUUCUGAUUUAUUUUUCUAUAAACUGAUCGAGGACCUUUAAACACAGAGAAACCUCAUAACACAAAAAAACAAAUUAUCUCUAGAUUCAAGCAAAAUAUGGAAAUUUAGCGCGCAUUAGAGUUUGAUGCACUUGCAGACCUACUCAUUCUAGUUCAACAAAAGAUUAAUACUGAAUUACGAUGCAACAAACAAUCAGGCAAUACGGCCAUCAUAGGAUCAGCCAAAUCUAAAGUAAAAAACAAAGGCCUUCUUUCUUCAUCGAAGUCAAAUCUGAGCCGGGAACGUACCUCGUUAACAGGUAACAUCGACUCCAAAAGAGAGAAUAAAAGACCCUCCUUUGCAAUUUAGCAUCCUCCCUACGUCUGCAAUAGGCGAAAAGGGCCCAAAACACACUAGUUCAGCCUAUUAUUCCAAAAAUAAAGCGAUGAAUCGAUAGAAACGCUGCACUAAUAAGACAUGAAAAAGCGAUUACCUCCCGCGAGCUGAGAUGCGAAGAGAAGCACCAGAUCGGAGAGAGAAGACCCUAAACAAGCCUGGGCCAGGACUUUCGAAAGUAAACGAAGUGAGAAAGCGAGUGAGGACUAAUAGUCUCGAAUUGUUCUACAAGAGAAAGGCCGAAUGCGAAAGAUAAAGUGAGAACUGAGAGAGAGAGAGAGAGGGGGGGGGGGGGGGGGCAAUUAAAUUGUUUUCAGAUGGCAAGCCAAGUCAAGCCACACAAUUUUGGACCAGAGAGUACGGAAUGACCACUUGUGUUCAUAUCCACCUAAAAACCAUUUUGUUAAGCAAAUAAAUGUGGCUUUAACCAGCUUGUGAAUUUUCCUUUCCAUUAUAUUAUUAUCAAGGACGUUCUUACACCUGUAAAUGCUACAUUCUUCUCCCACCCUAAACAUUCAUAAAUCAUGUUGUCAAAUCCAUUUAGUAAUUUUCUAUGCUAUAUAUAAGUAAAAGUCAUGUCUUUAAUGUAAGCAAUAGAAUCACAUGAAAACCACGACGAGUUUCUCUAAUUCAAUCUGUAGAGAUAAAUUCCACCCAAAAGUUGUCCACAUAUUAAAUAUGUGCAAGUGCAUUGAAACCAGCAGCUUUGCUCACUUUCAAGUUUUUCAUUGUAACCCUCACAAAAAAAAUUGUACAAUUGUGAAUUUUCCAUAAUUUGCAGAAAACAUUUGAAUUUUCUGUCAUUUUUCCAAAAGUUACGAAUAUUGCCAAUGCAAUGGAAAAUGGUUUUAUGGAAGUCCAAAAAUUCUCCAGUUAAUCUGACUUGUUCAGAAAAUUUUUUGUUGUUGACAAUUUUGAUCUGUAGCCUGUGAAAGGUUUUGUGCAAUUAUUGAAUACUAGCAAGAUCAUUAGUUAGAAAAAUAUAGUUUUUACCUGUUUUCAUGAAAAAAAAAAAGGAAUUAUUUACACAAAAACUAAGUAUUUUGGAUGUUUCUGGCUUUAAGCAAUUUUGAAUAAUUGGGUACGUAUAGGACCGAUGGACCCAAAAUAAAGUGUAGAAGGGUAUUUUCACAAUUUUUAUCAAGCAAGCUUUUUGUUCUAAGAGAGUUCAGUCAAUCAUUUAAUAUUUUGAAAACAACAUCAAGAUAAGGGCCGGCAUGCAAUUCCACCAAAUUCAACGGUCCAACCAUUCAUAACCGAUUAGUUUUUUUAGGUGAAAAUAACCAAUUAGUUUAAAUAAGUAGAUUGUAGUAAGAAAAAUUAGCAAUACAUGCAAUGAUGAUUCUGAAAAAGGAGGGAAUUUCACAAGUAAUAUUUUGUUUGCCUUAAAGGAUGAUAGGUAUUAUGCCAUGAGUAAUAAUCAAAUAAAUUUUUGUCCAAUCAAUUGUAACAGACUGGAGAAUGAAGAUCGCGCUUACCUCGAGGAGCGACGUAGAGAUGAAAUUACUAUGAUGGAUUUUAGUGUUUGAGAAGAAAUUGUCUUGAAGUGGAUCAAGUUGUGUCCUAGUCGCGAAAGGCAGUACAAUCUAGCAUCACCUUCACAACUCAACCUAGAGCUUUCAAACUAAAUACACCUCAAAACAAAAACGAGGGUCUUAGGUAUUUAUGGUAAUUGGCAUCUCUCCUCUUCAAGCACAAGCCCUUGGCACUUUAAAUAAAGCUCUACUUCUUCUCUUGCCCCAAAGGGGACGCAAUUGUAAUUCUUUUAAUUCUAACAUUUUUGACCAAGACCACCGAAACAAUCCCUUCCUCGAAAUUGGCAAGACGACUCCUAUAGACUUUACUUGCUAGUUCUUUCUUGGCACUUUAAAUAAAGCUCUUCUCUUGCCCCAAAGGAGACGCGCAAUUGUACUUCUUUUGAUUCUAACCUUUUUGACCAAGACCACUGAAACAAUCCCUUCCUCGAAAUUGGCAAGACGACUCCUAUAGACUUUACUUGCUAGUUCUUUCUUGGCACUUUAAAUAAAGCUCUUCUCUUGCCCCAAAGGAGACGCGCAAUUGUUAGGAGACGCGCAAUUGUACUUCUUUUGAUUCUAACCUUUUUGACCAAGACCACCGAAACAAUCCCUUCCUCGAAAUUGGCAAGACGACUCCUAUAGACUUUACUUGCUAGUUCUUUCUUGGCACUUUAAAUAAAGCUCUUCUCUUGCCCCAAAGGAGACGCGCAAUUGUACUUCUUUUGAUUCUAACCUUUUUGACCAAGACCACCGAAACAAUCCCUUCCUCAAAAUUGGCAAGACGACUCCUAUAGACUUUACUUGCUAGUUCUUUCUUGGCACUUUAAAUAAAGCUCUUCUCUUGCCCCAAAGGAGACGCGCAAUUGUUAGGAGACACGCAAUUGUACUUCUUUUGAUUCUAACCUUUUUGACUAAGACCACCAAAACAAUCCCUUCCUCGAAAUUGGCAAGACGACUCCUAUAGACUUUACUUGCUAGUUCUUUCUUGGCACUUUAAAUAAAGCUCUACUUCUCUUGCCCCCAAAGGAGACGCGCAAUUGUACUUCUUUUGAUUCCAACCUUUUUGACCAAGACCACCGAAACAAUCCCUUCCUCAAAAUUGGCAAGACGACUCCUACAGGCUUUACUUGCUAGUUCUCUUUGUUAUUGGAUCCCGUGGCCAAGCAAAUCAAAGUGGAAAUUGACUCUUUUACAUGAUGCUAUUCCUUAAGAGCCACGGAAUUAUCUCCCUUAUUUUUUGUCAAACGGAAUUAUCUCUUUUACUUGAUAACUUUUGCAAAGUGUUCAUAUUGGAAAUUUCUUCCUCUCUUUCCUUAAAAGAUGAACCAGAUUUACUUGGGAUGCACACAAUCCUAAUGUGGAUUUGUGCGUCUUUGAUGAGGAAAUAUUCUUUUUUACCUGACUAACCCUCAAAUUUUGUUACUUCUCUUUGUAAUAGGAUUACAUGGUCGAGCAAAUCAAAAUGAAUAUGAAUAACAUUUUGCUUUCUCUUCCCAAUGAAAUGAAAGCCUCUCAUCACUAAAGGCAUUGAAACGGUUAAAAAUUUACUUUUUAACUCACAUCAGUGACGUAGAUUAUAUAUGAGUUAACUAAAAUUUAAAGAAUAUUUUAUUAUGAAUUCAAAGUAACAAAAUUUAACUCAACAUAUAUUUUAAUGAGUCUGAACCAUGUCUAUAUGCAAUUUAUGUUAUUUGAAAAAGAGAAAAGUAAUGAUUUUUCCAUUUACUUUCACGUGGCUCCUUCUUAUAGUGGGCCUCACGCUUGAGUGUGGUACAUCCCAGCACAUGGAGCCUACUUAUGUGGUGCGACAACUGAAUUAGUUUUUUCUUCACUUCCUUAUUGCUUUGACCAAUGAUCGAGUGCCACGUCAUUGUUCCCUAUUUAUUACAUACCGCUAAAUCUUGUUGGACUCACGUAAAACUUUUAUGAGUCCCAUCAUUUUUAGUUUUUCAAAAAAUGAUCUUUCUCACUAUCAAUUAGCUCAACCUCUCUGACCAAAAAAAUAAAUAAAUAAAUAAAAUUGCUCAAUGUCUAGCCGAUGACAUCAAUUAGGGUCAAUUCAGCCAAACCUCCUCCAUACACUUAAGGAUGUAAGGAAUUAGACUAAUAUCGUGUGCUUAAUUUGCACAUAAUUUUUUUUAUCUUACGUAUUCAGGGAUCAAAAUUAUGAUGAAGUAUAAGGGAAUAAAGAAAGCAUGAGAAAAUUUCCAUAAAAGUUAUAAUCUAGUCCUAAUCAUUUUAAUUUGACCAAUUUGAUCCUUUUGAUAAUAUAUUAAUGUAGUCCAUCCGGCCAAUUGUGGUAGAAAAUUGUUGACGUAGACGUUGAGCAUCCUAUAAGUCACGGCCGGCAUUGACAUAAAAAGUUCUUUUUUUAAUUUUUAAUUUUUUUAAUUUGUACAAAAAUAGAAAGGGAAAACAUCAAUCCUACCAUAGUUGGGAAGAUUUUUUGAAAAGAGCACUUCAAUUGCGCGCUCUCGAGAGAGACUAGCGAUCAAUUCAAUUCCGAUUUGUGCAUCAUCCAUCGAUCGAUCGAAUCGCUGGAACAAGUUGACUUCUGUGGAGGAUCAAGCCUUGGAGGUAGAGAAAGCUCAGUUGCUGAGUUUGGUGCUCGAUUUUGGCUUCAACAAGCAAUCCGCCAACAAGUGCUUGGAUCGACUCUUUUCGCUCUACGGUACCCUAAUCAUUAUUUUGUCGCUCAUUUUUUUGUGUUAGUUAGCGUUGCAAAAUAUUAUGUAGGUAUUUCUCGUCCGCUACAAUAAUGGCUGUGGAAUAGUCUACUUUAUGUUUAAAUAGUUUGGAGCUAGUUUGGUGAAAUAGUCUUGCUGAUGAGCGAAAUGUUUGGUAUUGUUCUAAUUUGAUGUUUUUCUUUUUUUUCUUUUUUCGGUCGAUCAGUUUGGUGUGUCUAGGUUGCUUUGGAUGGUGGUUUUUGUUGGUUAUUAGCCAACGUUGCUUAAAUGUCAAAACUACUCACUUUGUAUUGGCUUGUCACGCCUUCUAACACGACUCACAUGAAAUACCUUUUAUUCUACCACAUCAUUUCUCUCUCUCUCUCUCCGCCACCACCCCUCCCCCCACCAUUGCCAAUUAAUGUCACAAUCGUACGGUCACUCCCCUGACCAAAACCAACGACGCCCUCCACAAGUUAGCCCCCAUCUUUGUCCAUAUAUCUCUCUCUCGUCAUGGCCCAACUCGUAAAUAGAGGUUUCUUGCUCAAAGCUACAAUAAUGCGUGACUAGAUCUAGCAUCACAUUUUAGUAAUUCUAGCAUGCAUCCAGCUAGACAUUGCGAUGGAGUUUGACUAGAUCUGAUGUCGAGCCCAACUCAGUGGUGCGCCAUCAUUGAGGACUCAUAACUAAAGAACAAAUAUGUUGCAAUAGCCAAGCGCGACGCCAACUUGGGUUAAUGACAUAUUUCUCCAUACACGGCAUGCUCAUGCCAACAUCUACAUUUUGCAAAAGAAAUCUUUAUGAUGAAAAAAAGACUUUUCCAAAAAUUCUAUAUUAAUUUUUCUACGAAACUGAGUUAAUAACCUUUCACAAAAUUCUAUGGCAAGGGAAAGCAAGUCAAAAUCUUCCACCAUCUUGUUUGCUUAGUUGCAAAAAAAAAAAGUAAUAAGGCAAAAGUCGACAGGACUUAUUCAAAAGAAAGGGAUAAAAAAAAGGACUAGCAAGGAAAAGUAAGUCAAAGUCUUUCACCAUCUUGCUUGCUUAGUUGCCAGGAAAGACAUCAGGUAAAAGCUGACAAGACCUACUCAAAAGAAAAGAUGGAAAAAGAUUCUCACGAGUAAAAGUAAGUCAAAGUCUUCCACUAUGUUGCUUGCUUAGUUGCAUUGUGAAACAAGAGACCAUUAUUUAUCAUGAAAAUAUUGUAUAAGCUUAAUUUAUAAAUGAUGAGGCUGAAAAAUCAAUUAUAAUAUAAUAAUGUACUAAAUUUUGUGUUUUCCGAUGGGGCUUUGCAUGGGUUUGCACAGUUUCUUUUAGGUGUUUUAAUGAAAUCUAGAUGUUUGAUAAUGCUAUGUAUAUUUGUUAUACAUCAAGGUCUUCAAUUUGGCUACUGACUCUAAAUAACUCAUAUUGAUCUGACAGCAUAUGUGGUAAUGUUAUUGUUCUAUAAUUAUACUCUUUUUUUCCUUUUAAAUUAACAAGAGCAAGCCAAUACAACUCACAGUCCAUGAGAACUCGAGAAUAUACCAUACAUAUUAUCCUCAUGCUAGUCUGUCAUCAAGUGUUUGAGGAGAGUUGAAAUUGACAUGUGCAAGCUAUUGGAUAUUUAGAAUUAGCAAAGUGUAGCUACCUUAUAAAAUUUGUCAAAUUUUCAUCUUUAUUUAAAUUCAUAAAAUCCAUUUACCUCACCCCCACUUUCUUUGCUUAUGCUGAUCGUGAUUUUUCUUUUUUGAGAUUUACAUUCGAUCCAACAUUGUUCUUUGGUCCAGAUACAAUUCAGCACAUAUAUUAGAUUUACAAAAUAAUUGCUCUGUAUCAUGAGAAUGCUAUUAAAAGGAGUAACAUGUAAAACUAGUAAGAUUUUUGCCUUUUGCUGAGGAACAUACUUGUUUUCUGGCUUAACAGAUGAUCGACCGUUAAACUGAUCUGAAAAAUCCGAUUUUGCCGGCUUUUAUUGGUCAUAAACCACAGGAAUCAAAUGUAUCUUGGUACUCUGUAAGUGUCUUCCACAACAAUAGUAGGAUAAAUGGAAUACCAAUGGAUAUUUGACUCUUCCCUCUUUCAUUAGUUGACUAAGAUGAGACAUCAGUGGUCCAAAAUGGAAAAGAACAUAAAGGAAUAAAUUCAUUGACACCCAUCAUCUUAGUAUCACCAAAUUUAAGACUUCCAAAUGAGGUUAAAAAAAAACUUGGGUCUUGCUGCGCAAUAAAAAAAAGCAAAGGAUCAACGCAUGAAGAGAACAAAGAAUAUUGUUUACGUCCACCAGCCAAAAGAUUGCAAGAUCAACAGCAAAUGCAGGAAAGGAAAGAAAUCCAGAAGAAAACCACACGAAACCAUUUAUUAUUUACAAGCAUAUACCAUCAUGGAACCAAUAUGUGUGCCAUUUAAUAGGAAGAGCUCAAAGAUUGUCUUCAAUACAAAAUAACUAUAGUCACAAGUCAUCUUUUUAACAUGUAAAAACAACGAUUUCAUUCGGCAAAAUUUGCCACCCCAGUCAUGAAGAGCAUGGUAUCUGAAAAGCACAUCACUCUCAAAUGUACUUUUCAUGCAAAUGGCGAGGUGCUUAUAUCAUAAAAAUGAUCGCUUAUAUCACUUGAUAUAAUUAAUCAAUGAAAAAUAUAUUCAUUAUCGAUAAAACUUUAGAUCCAAACAUUUUCGUGAAUAAUAAAAGCAUCUCUCAUUCCUUCAUUAUUGUUAGCGAUUUUUAUGGAAUUAUUUGCCUAAAUCAUUUUUCGCAAGACAAACACACCCUUAAUGUCAAACAGCUCCAAUGUUUAAAACUAGGAGAAGGAAAUUCAAAGCAGACUUUUUACAUUGGUUUAUAGCAAGUAAAAUGGAUUGCAAAUAUCUUUGGUUUUUGUACAUGUGAAAAUUAGACUUCCGCUGUUUUGUUAGGUCAUUGGAUUUGGUGGUUGAGUGUGGAACCGAAGAAGAUUUGCGUAAAAAAAAAAUUGCAAGCGGUUCUAACGAAUGGUUUUUGAUUUUAACCCAUACUACGACUUAAUAAUGGAUUGAAUUGCAAAAUUCGCAAUAAAUUUUUUUAAAAUACAAUUAUGAUGUAAUCAGAGCAGCUUGAUGCAUUUCAUUCCAUAUUUUUAAUUUGUGGCUUGCUUAAAUUAUAUUUAUAAGAAGGUAACGAAGGAGGUGAUGAGUACUCAUAUUUUAAUCAACCUCGAUUGGUUAUUAUGUGGAAAGCACACAACUUCCUAAUCAUGAUUGUUGGCUAAUCAUACUUCGUAGCGUGAGGCGAGGGAAAGCAAAUCUUCCAACAUCUUGCUUGCUUCAGUGCAAUUUCCAGCUCUUCUCUUUUAACCAAAGAAAGGGAUAAGGAAAACGCGGACAAAACCUACUCCAAAAUCUAAAUAAAUAAAUAAAAGACUCUAGUCAACGUUCAACAUUGGAGUGCUUCUAGUUCUUCCCCUGAAUUUCCUCGAAGGUGUAUGAAUGUGAGGUAAUCGUGUUUACCUAUCUCUACGGGAGAUUGUAGUUACAAUCACUUGGGUUAUGUUUACGGCGGGAUAAAAGACCAGUCUUUAUCAUGAAAUAUUGUAUAGAAUUAAUUUAUGAGUGGCACAACAGACAAUACUAAUCAUAAUUUGAAGUUUUUGAAUGGUAGUGCGGCAACUUGUGUUUUCUAGUGAGACUCGAUGUAAGGUUUUCAUAAUUUUCAAUAGAUAUUGUAAGAAAUCUUGAUGUUGUUGUAAAUUUGACAUACACUGAACUUUUCAUUUUGUCUAUUGACUCUAAAUAACUCUUAUUUAUCAAUACUUUGCAAUGGUUAUUGCUCUAUAACUAUACCUUCUUGAGUGGCCUAACAUAGGUCAUGAUGCAUGAAUGUGAACACGAGAAUAUGCCAUGCAUUCAAUUACUAGCCUUGUGAAGGGUUUGAAGAGGAUAGAAAUUGAUUUGUCAAAGCUAUUGGUUGCUUAGAAUAUGCAUCAAUAUUAUAAUAAAGUUUGCAAUAUUUUAAUCUUUAUUCAUUCCCUGCGUUUUCUUCUCUCAUGCUUGCUUCGCUUAUCGUGAGUUUAUUGAGUCCACAUUAGUCCAAUUAUUUUUAUUGAUCCAGGUGAACAAUAUUACGAGAGUGCUAUUAAAAAGAGUAACGUGAAAAAUUAGCGAGAUCUUUGACUAGGGUUCUGCUAAGGAGGAAACUUGUCAUUUUCCGGCUUAACAUAUAACGGACCGUUAGACUGAUCUAGAAAAAUCUGAUUUUGUCGGCUUUUAUUGGAUUGAAACUACAUAGAUCAAAGGUAUGUUGGUGCUUUGUCAAGUGUCUUCCGGAGCAAUAAUAGGAUAAAUGGAGUACUAUUGGCUCUUUGACCCUUCCCUCUUUCAUCCCUUGACUGAGAUAAGACAUCAGUGGCCCAAAACACAGAAGAACAAAAAGGAAUAAAUUCAGUGACCCCCGUACCACCAAAUAUAAGACUUCAAACCGAGGUUAAAAAUCCUGGGUUCUGCUGCACAAUAAACAAAAGCAAAGGAUCAACACAUGAAGAUAAAAAAGAUCCUUUACCUUCACCAGCCAAAAGAUUGCAAGGUCGGCAGCAAAUGCAGGAAAGAGAUCCAGAAGAAAACCAUAUGAAACUGUUUAUUACUUACAAGCAUAUACCAUCCUGGAAACUAUAUGCAUGCCAUUAGCGGGAAGAGCUGAAAGAUUGUCUUUAACACAAAUUAACUAUAGUCAUAUGUCAUCUUUUAACAUGUAAACACAAUCAUUUCAUUCGGCAAAAUUGGCCACCCAUGUCAUGAAGUGCAUGAUAUCCUCAAAUUGGAGAGUUGCAAGCUGACAAAGCCAUUUAAAGGAUCGCAGCCUUCAGCCACUAAUCAUAUGUGAAAGACAGCCAAAUGUCAUGUGAAUCAGCAACUACCGUCCUAUUAGGCAAUACUAACAUUUCAGUCUUCCCAUUGUUCACAUGAAGAGCACGGAGAAUCAUAAUGAAACGGGAGAAAGCAGUGUACGAUGAGAUACUCUUUAGUCAGUAAUCAUAUGUGUCAAGCAGAACUAUUUAAGGCUCCACUGCCUUCAAAAUCAGAUCACCAAGUUUUGUAUCUCCAAGCCAACUUUGAAUGGUAGUUGCAAAUCACUUCUUUUAGGAACACUCUUGGGGAAAUCGAGCAUUUGAUGAUGUUAACUUACAUUCUGACAAAUACAGGUCAUUGUCUUCAUUUUCAGUCUUCAGCAACCCAACCAUCUUGAUUCACUUCACCAUUGGAUUGCACAGCUGCCACUUCACUAUUAUCCUCUUUUGCAAGGAAAUGGGGAUCCAACAAACAUUGAAGACACAUUCUGUGAGAGAGUAGUUUCUAAAUCUGGAUUGGCAUGGUCAGUAGCUGAAAUGGAACGGAAGUCCUGAUCUCCAACCAUUGAAGAGGGGAGAGACUGUGAACUUCUAAUAACCCUCUACUGAUUUUGCUGACUACUUGCAGUUUUCACUGAAGACAUGGAACUACCCUGAACAAGAUAGGACUCCUCAUUAAGAGAUGCUAGUCGGCAAAAGAACUCAAAAUUAGAGGCAGAGCUCAAAAAGAACAUAAAUGUUCCUACAGUUGACAGCAACAAGGUAUUUUAGUAACUGAAAUAUCACCUUUCCCAGAAGUUAAUUGAUCAAACCAUUUGCGAUUCAAAAUAUGAAUGUGACCCCAUCUUUUAGCAACCUUGUAUUUAUCUUCUGGAGCUUACAGCCAGUCAAGGGCAUCGUAGUGGGACUCACAGUGCUACAAAGCAUCAUAUAUGAGGCCAAUAGAAAGAUUCAAUGGUAAUAACAUUGCUGAGCAAUGUGCUUUGAGCAACCAACAGGCAGUCCUAACUCACACUGGAAAAGCGAGAACUGGCUGAGGAUCUUUUAACAAUUCGCAGUUCAAAUUGUAGGUUCUUUAACACCUUGUUUCCUUGAACCACAGAACACAAUUCUUUAGGACUGAUUUAGAAGUCAAAGUCAAUGAUAUUCUCAUGCCGGGAAGUUUCACUGUUUCUCAUCUGAGUAAUCAAAUUCCCAAGUAAAAGGAUAAUACCAAAAACCAGGAUUAAAUCAAGUAUAGCUAUUUCCUAUUUCAAACUAUAAUCGUCACUAAACCUUGAAAUGAUAUAGAUUUUUCUUUUCAAACUCUUAAAGGUGUUUUCAUAUGCGAAGACAAGAUAAAGAUAUGUGCAUUUUCAAAUGGCGAUCUGAUAUCAAAGGGAAAAUAUGCAAGCAAAUCACUGGACUUUAAUCUUGAAGAAGAAAAAGUUAUUUCUGCAAUUAAAUGAGUGUCCUGGUCAAUUCUGCAGAAUAUUUCCCACCAUUUUGUGUGAUAUGCUUCUGAAUCUCCUUCUGUGCAUCUAAGAUAAUGAAGGACAUCAAAAUUGAAGAACUGGAGGACAACCAACAGCAGCAGCUAUAUCAAAUAAUCAGUAUGUGCAGGAAUUCCUGUGACACAUACAUUGUCGAUCCAGAAAAUGGAAGAACUCUGUAAGACUCCUGAGGUACAACACGGUGCACAACAUAACAUUCGUAUAACCAAUUAAUGGCGACAACAGGUUUCUUCAGAACAUUUAAAGCCCACUGCAUGAUGACAACAUUAAUUGAUAAAUACAAUGUAUCUUUCAAGAUGAAAUUCAUAGAAGACUUUGCACACGGAAUAUUCAAAAAAAUAUGGAGGAAACUCUUCUUUAGUUCAGCCAACUCAAUGAGAAUACUACCCACAAUACUUCCCAUACUUAGUGAAAAAGCAUAAUGAAUCUCAUUUAAGGUGAUUUAACCUUAACAAGAUACAACAAAUUCGCAACUCUUAAACUAAAUUCAAAUUAUUAACUCCAAGACUUAAACCUUGCAUUUUGCAGCCAAAAUAUUCUUUGCAAUUACGAAGCUAACAUUGCUGAAGUUUUGGUCUUAGAACUCCCCCCGUUGAACUAACCAACUUCUCAAUCUCAGCCAGCAGAUUCACGUAAAUGGUGAAACAAUAAGAGAGAUGACAAGCUGCCACCAUAUUUGUUCAGACAAAAGCAUGUCUGCAGGCAAAAGAUUCAAGGGGUCACAUAGAAGGAUACAUGGAUAAGGAUAAGUGACACCCACACUGACUUUGAGUGACAAGUUACGACAAAGAUUACAUGCUAAAAAAUCAUACAAGGCCAGGCUUAUCUAGGAACAGGCAUACCUCCUCAUCCGUCUCAAAUCCAGAUGCAAGGACUUCGACACCAUCCAUAGCAAGACAAACAAGUAUGCCCUUUUUGCGGUAGAGGUCUGCAUUCUUUCGCACGCGAAACCACCACACACUGCAGACCUGCAAGAAAUAUCCCCCAUCAAAAGUCAACAUUAUUUUCCAGGCAGAAGAACUCCUCUCGACUUGCUUGACCAGCACAUUGACCCAAAUGCCUCCGCUUUCGUUUCUCAACUACAAGUCCUGGUUUAGCAUUUAGCAGCCUCGAGGAAAAACCAGAAGAUAAGACUAGGACGAGAACAAGAUCUUUACCGACUAGCUUACAACCCUUUCGCCUGAAGAUCCUCGAGCUUCUCAAGACGUAAAACAAACUCAAACCCAAUUUUCAAAAUGAACCCAAAAGCCGUUAGCGCCGCCCAAUCCCAACGUACUCACGUGAUCGGGGAGAAGAAACGGCGUGAAAAUCGCGGGGCCCACUCCUGGAAGGGUCGCGGCGGAGGAAGGCCUCAGCUCCGUUCAGCUUGAGCGCGUCGAACAGCUCGGGAGGCACUCAAGUUCCUCGGCACAAACACGGUCGCCCCCCUGAAACGGCUUCGUCUUCGCCAUUUCCUAUCUUCCUUCUCCGGCAGCGACUUCCUCGACAGAUGAUCGGUCUCGUUGCUAAGGAUUUCUGCGAAAUCCAAAUGCAUGUGCGUGAGAGAGAGAGAGAGAGAGAGCAACGAUGAAGCGCAGAGGGAAUCGGAAGUUGGAAGAGGAUGAAGGAGGAGCGACUUGGGGAAAAAUUGAGUGGAGUGAGCUUUUUCUGAAUUCUUCCCCAAAUUGGGAUUGAUUAGGGUAUGAGAAAGCGCGGGAAUUGGGGUUUUCUUGCGCUCUUUUCGGAUUUUCCUUUUUAAUUACCCUUUUUUGUGCCAUUAAUUUUGUGGAUAAUUUCUCAAAAACCCCCCCCAACUUUCACACCGUUGCAUGACUGCUCUCUAACUUUGAAAAAGGUACGCACUAUGCCCGCGCCGGCGACACGAGCCAUGGAAAGAAAAUAAAAGAAAAGAAAAUAAAAGAAAAGAAUAAAAAGCAAAGAAUGCAAAAAGAUUUUUUUUAAAAAUUUGCAAAAAGUUAUCCAUUUUAGCAUUAAUUGUGUCACAGCAAAUAAUUGACAUUUGCGUCAGCGAUUUUCAAUCAAAAUUAAUCAAAAUAAUUGCAUUAAGAAAUUGUCAACAAUUUUAGAACUAAAUUAACCAAAUUAAAAAAUUUAUGAUCGAAUCGACAUCCAUUGAGAAUUAUUUUGUUAAUUUUCCCUAAGAAGUUAGUCACAUGUCUAGAUCAAAACUUCAAGUCACAUGUCUAGAUCAAAACUUCACAUGAAGUUUUUAUUGUGGAUCCAUAAGUGCUCAAAAAUUACAUUGGAUCCAUGGAUAACACUUUUUGUCAUGUUUCAAGAGCAACAAAAAAUUGGGGCUUCUUGGCGAUAAAUCUUUUUAUAGAUUUUUUUUUUUUGGUAAAAAGAAAGCGACAAAAUGAUGUUUAGGUGAAAACAAAGAGGUGCAAGUGCUGCGAGAUUCGAACCCAGGAUCAGGAGCAAUAAAGAUUGAAUGGCAAUGAACUUAUUUUGCCAUUUGGAGAUAGAUCUUCGUACACUCGACAAAAGAGAUAAAAAGACAAAUGUACGUUUACAAUCUAUUUUGAUAGGUUUAGAUAUUCAAGAGGGAUAAAAAGACAAAAACACGCCCAGAUCGGAUCCGGACUCAGCACCGUUUUUGCAGCACCGAUUGCAACGGGCAAAUGGCUCCCUUCCUCGCCCGACCCACGAUCAAUCCCCCACAUUUCUCGUCCGUGGCACGUGACUCGCAGGUGCAGAGACAGAGAGAGAUUCGAAAGCUUCCGGUUUUCAUGUGACCCCCCACCUCGAACGCUCACAUCCGCCAGCUUCAACGCUUGGAGUUUAAAGGAAAAAACGACGAUGCGGCACGAACCGUUCGACCUCGGCAAUUCUUGGCAGAGGAGAAUACCGUUUCGCUCUUCCAUCCCCCGUUUUUAAAUUUUUCAUCUUUUCUUAAUUUCCUUUUUUUUCUUUUUCUCGAAUAUGGUUAAAGGCCAAAUCCCCAUUUUCCCCCCUCCUCCCCUUUUCUGGAUUUUCAUGCAUUCUUUUUUCUCCUCCGCUUGGGAUUCUUAUGCCGGACGAAAUUUCCAGUUUUUUUUUUUUUGCUAAUUUAAUGAAAGAGAUCUUGAAAAGAGAAAGUCCGUCAAAUUGACGUCGUGUUUAUCCGGGUACCCUUGUUUGUUUCCAUUUUCAGUUAUUGGCAAUAAAAAAUAUUUUUGAAUAGUGGAGAAAUCUCAAUUUUUGCAAAAAAUGAGAAUGAAUCUCUCGAGAGGUUGUAUAAAAAGAAGUAACGCAAAUGCUUUGGCCACUCACUAGGAUUUUGACUUAUGCUUUAUCUGGUUCAUGACAUUAAAGGGUUAUUUUCGGAGAUUUUUCUGAAAUUGGAUUAUCAUCAAAAAAGAAGUACAAGUAAAUUAUAAGGCCGGAUCGAUAGAAUUUAUGCAAAGUCUUAUCUUUUGGGUCAAAAAAAUUAUGCAGGGAGUUUGAUUGCCAAAAAGUUCAAUAAAUUACAACUGCCUCCUAUGGCGGAGGAGCGUGUAGAAAACGUGCUUGUCCGAACCCAUGAGGUCAAAACUCGCCAUCCCCUCGCCUUAGUUCCCAUCCUACCAAAAAUUCAUAAAACUCGCAACUUUUGUCUUCCUCCUCAAAAGCCUCUCUCUCUCUCUCUCCGUCGCCCUAUGAAAAACGCUUUCACCACCAUUCGCUCUGAAAAUGUAGAACAGGCAUAGCAGUUCAUCGUCUCCAUCGAGCAUCGAGCAAGUGUCGACCACCAUGGGGAAAAGAAGUGGUAAAACCCUAAUCUCCCACACCCUAGCAGUUUAUCACGAUUCUUUUAGCACCAGAUGAUGAUGAUGAUUGAUUACAGUUACUUUUAUACAACGCGAGUGAGCUUUUCUUUUCCAUCCUUUCCUUUGUUUGCCGUUUUCAAUGCGGACUUAAAUAUGCUCAGAUUGGAGAGAUGAAACAGCUAGGAUUUUGGUCUCAAAAUCAUGUCAACAUGGUAAGGAUCGAAAGGCUUUUCGCUAAAACAAAUUUAGGAACCCUAGCAGUUUUUGCUAUUGGGCUGUGAAUAGGUCUGCUAGCAGAAGUUGAACCAUGAAUGCCUAAAUCAAUCGAAAAUCUCUCUGGCGGGGUUUUGGCUGAGCAACUGAAAGACCCUCAACUGGAACUGACUCAUCUAUUUUAGGCGACAACAUCUUUGUCCACCUCAUUUUCUCUUGAUCCUCCUAUAAACAGAUGAUACGAAUGGCAUAAGCUACCAUUUAGUCGCAUAUAUCUGCUAACGCGUUGCAGUGGGAAGAAAAUUCGCAUGUAGGAGUAAGGAAGAAAGAUGCUACUUUACAUUCUCAUGAAAAGCGAAACUGCAGAUACUUCUACCACUUUGAGGUCUCCAAAUUCAUAAAUUACACCACUCAAGGCACAUACAUUAAUUAUACUAUCAAUGUCUAAUCUAUUCUAUAAAGCAGACAACCAAUUUAAUUUCUUUGCCGGGAAUCACGUUUCCUUCAUCCAAUGAAGAAACAUAAAAGCCAUAUUAAAUAGCAAUUACCCAUAAAUAAAUAAAAAGGUCAAAGUUAUAGGUGGAAUAAGCGAAGACAUAUAAUAAUCACUUUGAAGAAAAGCUAUGUUGAGUCAUGAGGCGGGCAGUAAACACACUAAAAAAAAUGGNNNNNNNNNNNNNNNNNNNNNNNNNNNNNNNNNNNNNNNNNNNNNNNNNNNNNNNNNNNNNNNNNNNNNNNNNNNNNNNNNNNNNNNNNNNNNNNNNNNNNNNNNNNNNNNNNNNNNNNNNNNNNNNNNNNNNNNNNNNNNNNNNNNNNNNNNNNNNNNNNNNNNNNNNNNNNNNNNNNNNNNNNNNNNNNNNNNNNNNNNNNNNNNNNNNNNNNNNNNNNNNNNNNNNNNNNNUAGGAUUUGAUUCUGCAAGUGGUUCAGUAUGAAUGAAGAAAUUUCAAACAAAAAAUUAGUGGAUGCAAGUAAAAAUCAAUUGAGGUGAUAAAUAAAUAGAGAUCACAUAAAACCAUUUUCUAUGUAGAGAUGACGGGCUCCAUGGAAACGUUCUUUAUUUUAAUAUGAUGAUACCUACAUGCGUCACAACCUCAAUUCCCCCUAUAUCUUUUUCUUCUCAAGUAGAAAAGAAUAUCCUCUAGUUGUUUUACAUCCCAAUGAUCCUGAGGUCCGGACGAGAACGAAGAUCGAAAGAUAAUGAAUAAAUAGAGACAUAUAAAAUAACAAGUCACACCAACCAAUUCACUGAGUUCUGCACGUUUCAUUAUGCAUGCUAUCAUGAUUAUCAUCAAAAUGUUUACUUGAACAACUUCACAGAGACCCAAAGUUGACAACUGCAGCCAUUUCAAAAAGCAGGUUGCACUGUCCACUCUUUACAUUAGUUGUUAAUUCAGAACAAGGGGAAAGGCGGGUUUGGUGCUUGCAUAAUUUCGUAUGAUUGCAUAAAUAAAUCAUAAACUAACACUCAUGUGAAACCCACAUCAGGAAAACCAUCACCAUGUUUGACCACUAUAUGAACAUGUGCUUGCAAUCGUGACCAUAAAAUAUAUUAAAUAUCAGCACCGUAAAUGCAGUUGAUCCCACGUCCAACUAUUAUUUCCUGCAAACUGUGGCAAUAUACACAAUCGUGAUGGUUUUGUGAACACUUCACGAAGAGGAACUGUUAAAACAAGAUUGCAACAUGUCUAUAGCAGCUAGAGAGCAAUACAAAUAGUAAUUUUUAGUUUUGGGGCUAGUGGUAUCUCAGCAUAUAAUUUUCUGACUUGUGGACCAAUGUCCUCAUCAAGACCUUGAAAGCAUGAGAUAUAAUAAAAAAAUCACGUUUAAAAGUAGCUUUCUAAAGCACGUUUCAACUCGAAAAAGGCAGUACAAAAAAUGUGGACGAAAUAUGUACUUCAACGAAAAGGUCAUAGAGAUCACCAAUAGAUCUUAUUGACACCCGAAUUUUUAUCGACGUUUUAAAUGUCCACUCAUUUUCCAAAAAUACAAAAAUCUAUAAAAUGAUAAAAGGCCAAAAAUAAAAUGUAUUUAACAUAAAGAAAAUAGUAAUAAUGGAAGUAUAAAGAUCCAAAAAAUUAUAUAAAAAAAAAGAAAUGAAAGAAAAUAGGUGGAAUGAAGAGGAAAUAAAAAGAAAAAUAAACUAAAAUGAUUAAGUCGAACGGGCCGGCCCCGCUCCUUUAACAAAUGGUUGGCCAGCUCCUUCUUUCCGUUGGCCCAUCCGUUGAAUUAUUUUUUUCCAGCCCAUUUCUUUCAUCCUUUUUGUUUCCUUCAUGGCCCAUUAGAGUUAUAAGAAAGAGAGAGGAGCCCAGCCCAUGGCCCCUUCUCUUCUCUAAAUGGGCGCUCUCCAGAGAGAGAGAGAGAGAUGGUAGAAGGACGUGCUGUGACCAAAAAAGGGAAAGUCCGUGAGCGAGGGUGAGGAGCGACGAGCAAGUGACGUGAGCGUGCCCAAGCCUUCUAGGAUAGGUGAGCUGCACAGAGAGAGAGAGAGAGAGAGGAGAGGCCUAACAGAAAAAGAUUCGGCCGAGAGGAGCGCCGCUGGUUUGGCAAAGAGAAGGGGGGAAGAAGGGGGGGGGGGGGGGGGGGGGGGGUGUUCUCCCCCGGGGCCUUAAAAAAAAAAAAGAUGGCUCUCAGACAGAUUUUCUGAUCCCCGGGGGUUUAAUUUUAAAAAAANNNNNNNNNNNNNNNNNNNNNNNNNNNNNNNNNNNNNNNNNNNNNNNNNNNNNNNNNNNNNNNNNNNNNNNNNNNNNNNNNNNNNNNNNNNNNNNNNNNNNNNNNNNNNNNNNNNNNNNNNNNNNNNNNNNNNNNNNNNNNNNNNNNNNNNNNNNNNNNNNNNNNNNNNNNNNNNNNNNNNNNNNNNNNNNNNNNNNNNNNNNNNNNNNNNNNNNNNNNNNNNNNNNNNNNNNNNNNNNNNNNNNNNNNNNNNNNNNNNNNNNNNNNNNNNNNNNNNNNNNNNNNNNNNNNNNNNNNNNNNNNNNNNNNNNNNNNNNNNNNNNNNNNNNNNNNNNNNNNNNNNNNNNNNNNNNNNNNNNNNNNNNNNNNNNNNNNNNNNNNNNNNNNNNNNNNNNNNNNNNNNNNNNNNNNNNNNNNNNNNNNNNNNNNNNNNNNNNNNNNNNNNNNNNNNNNNNNNNNNNNNNNNNNNNNNNNNNNNNNNNNNNNNNNNNNNNNNNNNNNNNNNNNNNNNNNNNNNNNNNNNNNNNNNNNNNNNNNNNNNNNNNNNNNNNNNNNNNNNNNNNNNNNNNNNNNNNNNNNNNNNNNNNNNNNNNNNNNNNNNNNNNNNNNNNNNNNNNNNNNNNNNNNNNNNNNNNNNNNNNNNNNNNNNNNNNNNNNNNNNNNNNNNNNNNNNNNNNNNNNNNNNNNNNNNNNNNNNNNNNNNNNNNNNNNNNNNNNNNNNNNNNNNNNNNNNNNNNNNNNNNNNNNNNNNNNNNNNNNNNNNNNNNNNNNNNNNNNNNNNNNNNNNNNNNNNNNNNNNNNNNNNNNNNNNNNNNNNNNNNNNNNNNNNNNNNNNNNNNNNNNNNNNNNNNNNNNNNNNNNNNNNNNNNNNNNNNNNNNNNNNNNNNNNNNNNNNNNNNNNNNNNNNNNNNNNNNNNNNNNNNNNNNNNNNNNNNNNNNNNNNNNNNNNNNNNNNNNNNNNNNNNNNNNNNNNNNNNNNNNNNNNNNNNNNNNNNNNNNNNNNNNNNNNNNNNNNNNNNNNNNNNNNNNNNNNNNNNNNNNNNNNNNNNNNNNNNNNNNNNNNNNNNNNNNNNNNNNNNNNNNNNNNNNNNNNNNNNNNNNNNNNNNNNNNNNNNNNNNNNNNNNNNNNNNNNNNNNNNNNNNNNNNNNNNNNNNNNNNNNNNNNNNNNNNNNNNNNNNNNNNNNNNNNNNNNNNNNNNNNNNNNNNNNNNNNNNNNNNNNNNNNNNNNNNNNNNNNNNNNNNNNNNNNNNNNNNNNNNNNNNNNNNNNNNNNNNNNNNNNNNNNNNNNNNNNNNNNNNNNNNNNNNNNNNNNNNNNNNNNNNNNNNNNNNNNNNNNNNNNNNNNNNNNNNNNNNNNNNNNNNNNNNNNNNNNNNNNNNNNNNNNNNNNNNNNNNNNNNNNNNNNNNNNNNNNNNNNNNNNNNNNNNNNNNNNNNNNNNNNNNNNNNNNNNNNNNNNNNNNNNNNNNNNNNNNNNNNNNNNNNNNNNNNNNNNNNNNNNNNNNNNNNNNNNNNNNNNNNNNNNNNNNNNNNNNNNNNNNNNNNNNNNNNNNNNNNNNNNNNNNNNNNNNNNNNNNNNNNNNNNNNNNNNNNNNNNNNNNNNNNNNNNNNNNNNNNNNNNNNNNNNNNNNNNNNNNNNNNNNNNNNNNNNNNNNNNNNNNNNNNNNNNNNNNNNNNNNNNNNNNNNNNNNNNNNNNNNNNNNNNNNNNNNNNNNNNNNNNNNNNNNNNNNNNNNNNNNNNNNNNNNNNNNNNNNNNNNNNNNNNNNNNNNNNNNNNNNNNNNNNNNNNNNNNNNNNNNNNNNNNNNNNNNNNNNNNNNNNNNNNNNNNNNNNNNNNNNNNNNNNNNNNNNNNNNNNNNNNNNNNNNNNNNNNNNNNNNNNNNNNNNNNNNNNNNNNNNNNNNNNNNNNNNNNNNNNNNNNNNNNNNNNNNNNNNNNNNNNNNNNNNNNNNNNNNNNNNNNNNNNNNNNNNNNNNNNNNNNNNNNNNNNNNNNNNNNNNNNNNNNNNNNNNNNNNNNNNNNNNNNNNNNNNNNNNNNNNNNNNNNNNNNNNNNNNNNNNNNNNNNNNNNNNNNNNNNNNNNNNNNNNNNNNNNNNNNNNNNNNNNNNNNNNNNNNNNNNNNNNNNNNNNNNNNNNNNNNNNNNNNNNNNNNNNNNNNNNNNNNNNNNNNNNNNNNNNNNNNNNNNNNNNNNNNNNNNNNNNNNNNNNNNNNNNNNNNNNNNNNNNNNNNNNNNNNNNNNNNNNNNNNNNNNNNNNNNNNNNNNNNNNNNNNNNNNNNNNNNNNNNNNNNNNNNNNNNNNNNNNNNNNNNNNNNNNNNNNNNNNNNNNNNNNNNNNNNNNNNNNNNNNNNNNNNNNNNNNNNNNNNNNNNNNNNNNNNNNNNNNNNNNNNNNNNNNNNNNNNNNNNNNNNNNNNNNNNNNNNNNNNNNNNNNNNNNNNNNNNNNNNNNNNNNNNNNNNNNNNNNNNNNNNNNNNNNNNNNNNNNNNNNNNNNNNNNNNNNNNNNNNNNNNNNNNNNNNNNNNNNNNNNNNNNNNNNNNNNNNNNNNNNNNNNNNNNNNNNNNNNNNNNNNNNNNNNNNNNNNNNNNNNNNNNNNNNNNNNNNNNNNNNNNNNNNNNNNNNNNNNNNNNNNNNNNNNNNNNNNNNNNNNNNNNNNNNNNNNNNNNNNNNNNNNNNNNNNNNNNNNNNNNNNNNNNNNNNNNNNNNNNNNNNNNNNNNNNNNNNNNNNNNNNNNNNNNNNNNNNNNNNNNNNNNNNNNNNNNNNNNNNNNNNNNNNNNNNNNNNNNNNNNNNNNNNNNNNNNNNNNNNNNNNNNNNNNNNNNNNNNNNNNNNNNNNNNNNNNNNNNNNNNNNNNNNNNNNNNNNNNNNNNNNNNNNNNNNNNNNNNNNNNNNNNNNNNNNNNNNNNNNNNNNNNNNNNNNNNNNNNNNNNNNNNNNNNNNNNNNNNNNNNNNNNNNNNNNNNNNNNNNNNNNNNNNNNNNNNNNNNNNNNNNNNNNNNNNNNNNNNNNNNNNNNNNNNNNNNNNNNNNNNNNNNNNNNNNNNNNNNNNNNNNNNNNNNNNNNNNNNNNNNNNNNNNNNNNNNNNNNNNNNNNNNNNNNNNNNNNNNNNNNNNNNNNNNNNNNNNNNNNNNNNNNNNNNNNNNNNNNNNNNNNNNNNNNNNNNNNNNNNNNNNNNNNNNNNNNNNNNNNNNNNNNNNNNNNNNNNNNNNNNNNNNNNNNNNNNNNNNNNNNNNNNNNNNNNNNNNNNNNNNNNNNNNNNNNNNNNNNNNNNNNNNNNNNNNNNNNNNNNNNNNNNNNNNNNNNNNNNNNNNNNNNNNNNNNNNNNNNNNNNNNNNNNNNNNNNNNNNNNNNNNNNNNNNNNNNNNNNNNNNNNNNNNNNNNNNNNNNNNNNNNNNNNNNNNNNNNNNNNNNNNNNNNNNNNNNNNNNNNNNNNNNNNNNNNNNNNNNNNNNNNNNNNNNNNNNNNNNNNNNNNNNNNNNNNNNNNNNNNNNNNNNNNNNNNNNNNNNNNNNNNNNNNNNNNNNNNNNNNNNNNNNNNNNNNNNNNNNNNNNNNNNNNNNNNNNNNNNNNNNNNNNNNNNNNNNNNNNNNNNNNNNNNNNNNNNNNNNNNNNNNNNNNNNNNNNNNNNNNNNNNNNNNNNNNNNNNNNNNNNNNNNNNNNNNNNNNNNNNNNNNNNNNNNNNNNNNNNNNNNNNNNNNNNNNNNNNNNNNNNNNNNNNNNNNNNNNNNNNNNNNNNNNNNNNNNNNNNNNNNNNNNNNNNNNNNNNNNNNNNNNNNNNNNNNNNNNNNNNNNNNNNNNNNNNNNNNNNNNNNNNNNNNNNNNNNNNNNNNNNNNNNNNNNNNNNNNNNNNNNNNNNNNNNNNNNNNNNNNNNNNNNNNNNNNNNNNNNNNNNNNNNNNNNNNNNNNNNNNNNNNNNNNNNNNNNNNNNNNNNNNNNNNNNNNNNNNNNNNNNNNNNNNNNNNNNNNNNNNNNNNNNNNNNNNNNNNNNNNNNNNNNNNNNNNNNNNNNNNNNNNNNNNNNNNNNNNNNNNNNNNNNNNNNNNNNNNNNNNNNNNNNNNNNNNNNNNNNNNNNNNNNNNNNNNNNNNNNNNNNNNNNNNNNNNNNNNNNNNNNNNNNNNNNNNNNNNNNNNNNNNNNNNNNNNNNNNNNNNNNNNNNNNNNNNNNNNNNNNNNNNNNNNNNNNNNNNNNNNNNNNNNNNNNNNNNNNNNNNNNNNNNNNNNNNNNNNNNNNNNNNNNNNNNNNNNNNNNNNNNNNNNNNNNNNNNNNNNNNNNNNNNNNNNNNNNNNNNNNNNNNNNNNNNNNNNNNNNNNNNNNNNNNNNNNNNNNNNNNNNNNNNNNNNNNNNNNNNNNNNNNNNNNNNNNNNNNNNNNNNNNNNNNNNNNNNNNNNNNNNNNNNNNNNNNNNNNNNNNNNNNNNNNNNNNNNNNNNNNNNNNNNNNNNNNNNNNNNNNNNNNNNNNNNNNNNNNNNNNNNNNNNNNNNNNNNNNNNNNNNNNNNNNNNNNNNNNNNNNNNNNNNNNNNNNNNNNNNNNNNNNNNNNNNNNNNNNNNNNNNNNNNNNNNNNNNNNNNNNNNNNNNNNNNNNNNNNNNNNNNNNNNNNNNNNNNNNNNNNNNNNNNNNNNNNNNNNNNNNNNNNNNNNNNNNNNNNNNNNNNNNNNNNNNNNNNNNNNNNNNNNNNNNNNNNNNNNNNNNNNNNNNNNNNNNNNNNNNNNNNNNNNNNNNNNNNNNNNNNNNNNNNNNNNNNNNNNNNNNNNNNNNNNNNNNNNNNNNNNNNNNNNNNNNNNNNNNNNNNNNNNNNNNNNNNNNNNNNNNNNNNNNNNNNNNNNNNNNNNNNNNNNNNNNNNNNNNNNNNNNNNNNNNNNNNNNNNNNNNNNNNNNNNNNNNNNNNNNNNNNNNNNNNNNNNNNNNNNNNNNNNNNNNNNNNNNNNNNNNNNNNNNNNNNNNNNNNNNNNNNNNNNNNNNNNNNNNNNNNNNNNNNNNNNNNNNNNNNNNNNNNNNNNNNNNNNNNNNNNNNNNNNNNNNNNNNNNNNNNNNNNNNNNNNNNNNNNNNNNNNNNNNNNNNNNNNNNNNNNNNNNNNNNNNNNNNNNNNNNNNNNNNNNNNNNNGCCCGCCGCUGGGCGAGCUCGGCUCGCUGGAUUAGGCGAGCCGACUCGCGCCGGCCUGGGCGAGCUCGAUCUCGCCCAGAUCCGGGCGAGGCCGACCUCGCCCAGCGGCCGGCGAGCCUCGGCCUCGCCGGGAUCUGGGCGAGUCGGCGUCGCCUGGCGGUGGCCCGGCGAGGCUGCGCCUCGCCCGCCGCUGGGCGAGCUCGGCCUCGCCGGAUCAAGGCAAGGCCGACCCUCGCCGGCCAAGGCCUUGGCCGGCGACCGGCCAAAAGAAGAAAAAAAAAAUGAAAAAGAAAAAAAGGAAAAAAUAGAAAAAAUAAAAGAAAUAAAAAAAUUAUCCAAAUUUACCAAACAUGUUUCUGUUUAUUUUUUAUUCCCGGAACAAGUUUACCAAACGCGUUGUUUUGUUCAGAAAUUGUUCCCAGGAACAGAAACACUUUUUUCUAUUUCUGUUCCCUGGAACAAUUUUUAAACAGAAACACAACCAAACGCACCCAAAGUUGCCGAGAAUGAACGCUUCGGAGGAAGAAGAUGACCAGAAGAAAAGGACAAAACAGGGGAAAAGACAAAAAGAGAAAAGAAAAAAUAAUAAAUGAAACAUUUAAAAUUGAGUUCUUUGCGGACGCGGGUCGGAUCCAGGUUGUCGGAUUGGGUCAACACUCAACAGUCCGGACUGAAUUACCCCGUCCGAACCCAUUUUUCCGAAUAUAAUGAUAUCAAAUAUUAGAAAGUUAAAAAAUAUUUUUAAAAUGUAAAAUUAAAGAAAAAAGAAUAUUAAUAAUGAUAUUAAAAAUUAUAAUAAUAUAAAAUGCUAAAAAUCGAAACCUGAUCAAGUAUUGUUUUCUUCGCUUGAGCUUAGGCUCAAGUCGACUCAAUCCUCACAUAACUAGGAGUCAAUAGGCUUAGCAAUAAAACUUGGCAGUAAAAUCACAUAAGCUGAUCAUCCAAUAGUUACUUCACGUGAAGAACAAAAAAUGCUAAGCAUACACCAUGGUUAUACAAAGAGAAAAGGCAAAGAAAGAAAGCUGUGGCAUAUCAUUUUGAGUAGAACAAAUUCCUCCAUAACCUUCACUACUCAAAGCCAAGAGUCAAUCGAACAAUUGAUGACAACCAGAUGAGAAGGGGAAAUGGACAAGAUUUGCAUGGCAAUAUGAUUGCCAAACUAAUAAACACUACAUCAAAAUAAGGCACGUGAUUAUCGUCCCUUCCCAUCCCAUUCAAUAGAACAAUGAAUCUCUACAACAAAAUUCAAGUACUAAAUCGCUUAAAAAAAAGAAGUAUUGUGGGUCUAGGCCAAUAUUUCACAAUUUUAUGAUAUGCAAGAAUAGUCCGAUUUCUUUGGAAAUAUGAAAACAUGCAGAGAAGACCCCAAAAUUAGGCAAAAGGUGAUAGUGUGAUGUCGGUAAUCAAUCCAAUCAAUGCUUUUCCUUGUCACAUAAAUGUCCAGAGCGAGAUAUAUGCAUGAAUUAUCAAAUUCUAUAACAAAGGGCCAGAUCACCAAAUUGUUCUUCCAACUAAACUAGUCCCACCAAUUUAUGGUGGUUUCCCUUGAAACUUUACUAACCAAAGUAAGACGGCUAUGACUACAUAGACAUUCUAUCUAUUCAUCCGUGAUCGACCCAUUUCUGACUUCCUUCCAACAUCACCAACAAAUUCAGUAGACCAAGCAUUCUGUAAAUGACUUACGCAUUUGUCAACACUUAUCAACUAAAAAAGAACGUCUUUGGUUAUGAAUUAACAGUCUCAUGAGGCAAUAGCUCAAUUUCUUGAGUGAAGUAAUCUUGACAAAGCAAAGAAAUAUUUGAUACUGUUAUCAUUUCGAUCAAUCAAAACAUAUUUUCUUAGCAAAAUUGAACGAUUAUUCCUUAGAUUUGAUGAGGUUCGAGUGUUAUGUUAGGGAGAGAGGGAGGGAGGGAAGGAGAGAUGAACUAAUAACUAGAAGAGAAGAGUGAAGUAGCGCGAGGAGAAGCUCUAAAUAUAAGAAAUUGUGAAAAAGGUACUUUUUUUGCAACAUAAACAUAGUCUUAGUUAAUAGUAAAUUCAUUUCGUGUAUAUUUAGUAAAAUAUUAAACUGAUCAUAACAUUCUUUAUAUUUUGUAAAGCUUUGCAACCAAUGUGUCAAUAAUUUUUUUUUCUUGUGAUUUUACUUGUGAUAACUUUUCUUAAGCAAAACAAAUUUGACGGAUUAUGUUUUUACCCUCUUUAUCCAGCUAUCCAUCUUGAAUAUAAGACCAAUAUCAUAAAAGAGAGCUUUGACUUAUGAAGUUUCAUGACAAUCAUGAUGUUUUGUGCACAAUAGAGUAAUAGUAAAGUAUUGUUGGAAACACGAUUUUUCCAAAUUUUUUUGAAAAUCCUUCUAGUGAAAUAUGAAUAUUAAACUAUAUAUAUAUAAAUGGUAAAAUCGUAAAUUAAAGAAAAGGUAUUACUUUGUCAAUUUUUUUUGUUUUGCAGAUAAACAGUAACAGAAAAGAAAUUUGAGAUACGCAUCGUAAAUCUAAAACUUUUAGUACGAUAUGGAAGUCUCGUGUUUGCAAGGGGAGCCUUCACACCAAACGAACCCAAGGGUGUCAAAAACUAGAAAAAAGUCGUAGGGCGGGCCGAAAAUAGAACUUAAACAAACUUCAGGGGCAAAAACGGAAUUGUAAAAAAAAGAACUGAAAAAUAUGGCUCCAAAUCUCUUCCAUUCUCCGGCGUACAAAAUUGGAAAACGAAAAACAUCAAUCCCGCCAUCGCUGGGAAGGUUCUGGAACAGGAGCACUUCGAGCUUGCUCGAAUAUCCGAUUCGAGACUAGGGAUCGAUUUGAUUCCGACUCAGACAUCAUCAAUCGAUCGAAUCACUCGAACAGGUUGAGAUUCCAUGGAGGGAGAGGGGCUCGGAAGUAGAGAAAGCUUGGUUGUUGAGCUCGGCUCUCGAGUUCGGAUUCGACGAGCAGUCCGCCAACAAGUGCUCGGACCAUCUCGUUUCGCGCUCUACGGUGACUCGAAUCGUUAUUUCGUCACGCGUUCUUAUGCUAAUUAGCGGUUGCGGAGAUUAUGGAGGUAGCUCUUGUCCCCACGAUGAUGAUGAUGAUGAUGGCUGUGGAAUCGUCUUGCUUUAGGUUUGAAUGCAUCGGAGCAGGUUCAGCGAAGUAGCAGUCCUACUGACGAGCGAAAUGUCCGGCACUGGUCUAGUUUGAUGUGCUUAGGUUGCUUCGGAUGGAUGGCGGUUUUUUCUUGAUUAUUGGCCCAAAUUGCGUGAUAUCUAGUCAUCAGGGAAUGACUUUAAUCGCUUGUGUUGCGGGGAUAGUUUGUGCAUUUGAUUGAACGUGCAUUCCUAGUUAAGGAGAUUCAUUGCGGUUAGUCUCAAUUCUGAUUAUGGCUAUGGUUGGUCUACUUUGGAUUUGAAUGGGACCAGAGUUUAGGUCAUUGAGUGUUAGUCUCAUCCCCUGUUUCUUUGUGGGUUUGGCAAAGUAGUCCUAAUUGACGAGUGAAUUGUCUGGCUCAUAUCAUUGCAAAUUACUUAUGGUGUCUUGCAGCAAUAUCAAUAUUGUGUCUCUUUGAACUAAGUGCAAAUUACGUAUUGGAAAUUGUAUUUAUUUGAUCUCUUGUUUGCCAUGGAUCUUGCAAAAUCAUCUCUUUCUUCUUUUGCUUUUCUCAAGGUGAUGAAGGUCAAGAGUUUAUCACCAUGGAGCACUGUGGUGAUGACAUCCUAGCAGAACUUGUUGAAACCAUGCAAAAUUCUUAGGAUUGGGAUGAUUUGCAAGCUGUGGAAUCAGAAGCUCAUGGAGUUUUGACCAAUAUGUUUGGCCAAGAUAUCUGUAAUGACGGUGCAUGCAAUGUUAUACACGAUGUCAAUAGUAUAGAAGAUUCUCCACAACCUAUGAAAAAUCAAACUUUCCUUGAGGUGAGGAUUCCUCUACGAGGAUGAUGUAUUGGGCAGUAAAAUGGGAAGGAAAUCCUCAUGUAUAUUCCUGGCCAAAGCAGUACUCUAAGCAAUACAUCCACUCAGAUUCUGGGCAGACAAUCUUUAGAAUCCAUGGUAUGCUUCUCCCAUGGACAUAGACAAUACUGCCAAACCACUUAAAUCAGUGUGUGACUGUACUUUUCUCUUAUAAUUUAUUCUCUGCUUGAUCAUUUCCAAUUUGCUUGUGAUUCUGCACACAGCAAAGGACCUACACAAUGUUCAUGUCCACAAGCAUUUAGUAAAUUGCUUAUGGGGUCUCUCAUCCAAUCAUGUCCAAUAGACGGUCAUAACUUUUGCCACUCAGUUCCACACUCUUCAAGAUCUUAAAUGACAUAUUAAAACUCUUUGGUCAAUAAAGAAGUUGAUUUCAGUUUUGGAUGAUGUACAAAUACAUACAUUUUUCAAAUGCUAUGAGAGUACAGCAGAUCAUCAAAGUGUGGAACUUAGCAAUCCACAGCGUCUUUGAUAGGAAUGUUUUGUGUAAAUGAAGGCUUGUGAUUUCUUCGAGCACAUUUUUCAUUUUCCAUGACAAUCCAUGUCAGAAACUAUUAUGGUAUAGAAGAGGCUUAUUUCUGUUGAAGGACUGUAAGAGCACUGUCACUCAAGGCUCAGUAUUAUUAGUUUCAAAUAAAAGACAUUGCUCUCUGAUUUCGACAUCCAAACAAGGGACUCUGAGUUAUGCGGUAUUCCAAGCCUUGGAUGACAUAGAAUUGGCAAAUGUUGUCAUAUUCGGAAACAAGGCAUUUUGACCAAUGCAGCAUCAGGCUUGUAAAUCUUCUGUAGCCAAGCAAGUUUGCUUUAUUCUCAUGCCCACUGGAGGUGGUAAAAGUUUAUGUUACCAGGUUAGUGAAUGUUAACAGUGUCUCAACUAGGUGAUGAUCGUAUGUAGAAGUGUGUGGAGACAAUGUUAGGGCACAAGCCCUGUGCACUUUGCUCAGUGGUUCCACCAAUUAAAUGUUUAAGGGUAGACCUAGAUUUCAACAUUUAAACUUUAACAUGAUCUUCUGAUUUGCUUUCUUUAGCAUUUUUAAGAAGGUUGUGAACUUAAGGAAGGAAAUGUUUUUCAAAUGAAAAUUAAGCUAUAGGAAGUGAUUCAGGUACAUAAGCAUGGGUUCCAACGUAUGGCAUCGGACAAAAGUAGAAAAGAAGGAGAUACAGUACAAUCUCAUUCUGCCUUUGCACUUCUCUAUCUGGUCUGUAAUUUUUAGGAUUUGAAGUUUGUGCUACACUUCUAGGACCUUCUAAUCGUCACAGGGAAAUUCAUCUUGUUUAUGUAUGUUAAGUGUUGCUGUCAGUCAUAAUUCAGGUCCAAUUCAAAAGGGUUAUUAAGUCAAAGAGAAAUAAGUUUUCAAAGUACUUCCACCAAAUACGGGUUCUAGAUUUUUAUAUUUCCUUUGCAGUUAUUUGCUAUGCCAUUAUCUCAACAAAGGGUGAUGAUCUAUGACUUCUUUUUCCCAUAAUUGGUUUGAACUUAAUGUCCUUUAAUAUACAAUGGAUCUUGGUUGCAAGCAAAAUUAAUGAUAACUGAAUUAAGGAGGAAGAUAUAAAUCUGGAUUUAUUUAGUUGAAUUCCUUAGAAGUGUUUUCUGUUUAGUCUUGAAGUAGUUGAUAUAUGUACUGAAAGUAGUUAUAAUACAAGUAGUGACAACUGGUCCUUCCUGAUCAGCUGAAGGUGAAAGAAAUAAUAAUUCUGUUGUCCCUUCCUUUCUUCAUUUGCUCUUCUGAUGUUUUUACCCUUCGUUUCAGCUGCCAGGAACUCUAAAACUAGGUGUCACAGUUGUUAUAUCUCCCUUGCUAUCUCUCAUCUUGGAUCAAAUAAUUACUGUAACCCUCAAGUAUGGCAUACAAUCUACUUUCUUGAACUCUCAACAGACUGCUGCCCAAUUGGCAGUUGUCCUCCGAGAACUAAGGCAAGGUUUAGCUCUAUUGGACUUCUAAAACUUUUAUGCUGAGUGUUGUGACUGUCGAAUUAUUAACCUCCACUUCUGCUUUGCCUGCCCUUUGAGAACAGAUAAACAUCGUGCAGGCUAUUGCAUGUGACUCCUGAAAGGAUUGGGGGAAAAAUAUCAUUUCUCAAGAUAUUUAAAUGCUUGCACAGAAAGGUAUUGUUUCUGAUGCACUGUAACUUUUUUCCAAAAAGGUUCUUUAUAAUUUUUUAUAUUUGAUGAUAUUUUAUUGCAGGCACAACUAGCUGGUUUUGUUGUUGAUGAGGGACAUUGCAUGAGGUAUGCGUAAUCUUUGGCAUGCCUUGUACAUGAAGAAAGAUCAUGCUAGAGUUACUUAAAAAAGAAUAAUCAUUUGUGAUGGUGCCACUGCAAAACUAUUGUCCUUAUUCCAGAUAAAUAUAAGCAAGUUUCCUUUUAUAUAAGCUAACUUAAACUCUUUUUCCAAACUUUUUUGCAUUUUCUGUGUUUCUAGCCAUAUAAAUUGUCAGUGUUGCCCUAGACCUUUUGAAGCCCCUGUGAAGUUCUAAUAUAACACAAUGGAAUGUUCCUUGUUUGAGCUUUGGAAAAGAUCUAGGUUCUGUCGUUUGGGAAAAUUUAGUGGCACAUCAUUCAUUAUAUUGAAUAAGAGGACUCAACUUAAAUAAGCUGCAAUGGAAAUGACUUCCUAAAGUAAUUGGAAGUGGCAUAAGCUUGGACAAGGAUGCCAUCUGCUGUCUAUGUUUGGCAUGAUACUCCAUCUCUUCAGCUGGUUCCUGUGUAUCUAUUUAUUCUAUUAAUGGUUACACUAUAUACUGACAACUUGAGAAAGGCAAAGGUCCACUCACGUGAUCCAUUGAUUGUGUUCCUUACAAGGUAUUAACUGGAUUUGCUUGGCCAGUUUAAUCUCAUGAAAGGAAGAUGCCAUCUGCUAUCUAUGUUUGGCAUAAUACUCCAGUCUUUUAAGCUCGUUCUUGUGUAUCUAUUUAUUCUAUUAAUGGUUAUACUAUAUACUGACAGCGUGAGAAAGGCAAGGGUCCACCACAUGAUCAUUGAUUGUGUUUCUUAAAAGGUAUUCACUAGAUUUGCUCUGCCAAUUUAAUCUCAUGAAAGGAACGUGCUGCUAAUUUGGGCUUUUAUUGUACAUUUGCCUGAUUUACAACAAGAGCUCAUUGGUUGUCACUUUCGUGGUUGUCAUGAAAGGAAUGUACUGCUGGUUUGAGCUUUUUUAUGUGCUAACUUAAGCUCUUUUUCCAAACUUCUCUGCAUUUUCUGUGUUUCUAGCCUAAUUUAAUUGUCCAUGUUACCCUAGACCUUCUGAAGCCCAGAACCCUAUGAAGUUUCUAUAUAACAGAAUGCAGUGUUCCUUGUUCGAUGGAAAGAUUUAGGUUCCGUGGUUUGGGAACACUUAGUGGCACAUCUUUCAUUAUAUUGAGUAAAGAGCGCACAACUUAAAUAAGCUCCAGUGGAAAUUACUUCCCAAAGUAAUUGGAAUCGGCAUAAGCUUGGAUAAGGAUCCAAUCUCCUAUCUAUGUUUGGCAUGAUACUCUUAAGCUGGUUCUUGUGUCCCCGUUUAUUCUAUUAACGCUUAUACUUAAUGGUAACAACUUGAGAAAGGCAAAGAUUCAACCAUGUGAUCAUUGAUUGUGUUUCUUCAAAGGUCUUAACUGGAUUUGCUCUGCCAGUUGAUCUCAUGAAAGGAACAUGCUGCUGGUUUGAGCUUUUCUUGUACAUUUGACUGAUUAACGAGUAAAACUCAUUGAUUGUCACUUUUGUGGUUGUCAUUAUUAGUCAAGGGGGACACGAUUUUCAUCUAGAUUGUACGGUACUGGGAUGUCUCAAGCAGAACUUUCUAUAUGUACCAGUGAUGGCCUUAACUGCAACCGCCACUCAGUUUGUGAGUACUAAACUCACAUAUUAACCUCCUGAUUAUGUUGAAAUAAUCUGUUAAUUCUGACUGAAUUAUACAUCCAUUGCAGGAUAUCCUAAAAGCUCUUGGGGUUCCCCAUGUUCUGAUAUAUUAGAUCUAGUCUGUCAAAGCUUGGGGACCGAAGGUUUGACAGACUAGAUCUAAAAUACGAGGUCAUAGCUAAGACCUAAGAACCACUGAAGCAGCUUGGAGGGCUGCUAAAAAAUUGUUUUGCUAAUUUUUGUGGCAUAGUAUAUUACUUUUCGAAGAGUGGAUUUGUUAAUGUCGCAAAAUACUUGAAUGAGAAGCGCCAUAUAAAAAUGGUGUACCAUCAUGCUGAAUUAGUAGCUCGUCACUGUUCAAAGGAAAUGGCAUACUGGAGAGGUCCAGAUUGUAUGUGCUACCAUUGCCUCUGGGAUGGGAAUAGACAAACCUGAUGUUGUAAGUCGAAAUGGACUCUGGCCUUUGCCUAUUUCUCACGUUUUAGAAGUCGAUAAACGUGGUAAAAAGACCCAGAGAAGCAUAGAAGAGGAGGGUGGCCAGAUACAAGCUUUAUUUGGUCGAAGGCAAGUUCAAGGCUUCUUUCAAACAAGGGUUCCGGUGGUUGACGCGCAAAUUUUCAAGCUUUAUGCGUCGAUUUUUAAUAUGUAGAAAUUACAGAAUAUCAUGCUCAUUGUCAUCAAGAGAGAAAAGGAUGAAAUUGGUUGGGAGGAAACAAAGAGGUUUGUUUUGUUUAUUGGCUAAUCAUCUUAAUAUGUAUCUAAUGGUAAUUAAGUAUUCGGAAGAGUGCCACAAUGUUCUACCUUUCCAGUAUAAUGUUUGUUCGAAUCCUUGUUUCUUUCAUCGAUCUCCAGCAUUCGAAACAUAAGAAAAUGAGACUUGUAUGCGAUAUUCACAUAUAUUUAUAUUUACCGAAAGUUUUUCUUUCCCCGAAUUUCCUUACCUUCCGAUUUAUCUGCAACAUGAUUCUGCAUGCAUGCAUGCAUUCUCGGGUGAAGUAAAAAUUGUCUGACCUGCUAAUUUCUCUUCUCAACAACACGACACGUUGAUUGCAAAAUAAGAUGACUGCUUUCAUUUGUAGGAUUUGACGUUUACAUCUACUUUCGUGGGAGAUUUCGUUGUUUAGAACUUUUAUUUUUGGUCGAAUGUUCUUUUAAGUCUCCGUUUUAGGGUUCAUUAACCCUGUAAUUCCUCAAUUUGUCUAUUUCGAUUCCUUUGCAUUAUAUGAUUCUAUCAUAUGGCAAACUACCAAAUCUGUAUAUUCUAACAUGCAGCUAGCAGGUGUUAAGGCCUUCUAUACUUCCAUUCUGAUUCGAGGACAGUUUUCAUAUUUCAAGUACCGUCUUGUCGAGUUUGGAGUUACAAAUAUGAGGAAAUCAAAGAGCCCGAAGCGAACCUUCUCUUGUCCUUUGGGAACUUACAUAGUUAUUGUUUGAAUGGCUGUUAUUCAUAGGAUCUUGAUGUAAAAUUUGAUAAGAACUUUCAAAAACAAGCUCGAAGCAAAUUGUUAGCAUGAAAUGAAAGUAGAAGAGAAAAAGGGGGGAAAACCCAUGAACAAAACCACAUCAGCUCAAUCGGUUCAGAAUGUUCAUCCAAUUAUCCAGUCUAUUUACGCGUUCCAACUUCAAAUCAAUUCGGCUGAUGGGGCUGUGAAUGAUGUUCCAUAAGUAGUCAAACACAAAGCUACUGCCCUUUGGAUUAAUUGCCUAGACACCUAUUAAGCAGCUAAGUAAAUAAAAUGUAGAGCUGAUACAUUGACUUUACUCGCGACUUUUCUCGUGUAAUGUUCGACCAAUAUUCUGAAAUUAAAUUAUUUCAUAUUAAGUAAGUUUAACAAGUAUUUCAACACGACCUGCAUUACAUAUGCGUUAGUACUUAUAGAUUCAAAUGUGGCUUAACAAGCUACUUGGCCUUGUCUUGAGCUCUGGAAAAAUUGAGUCAAAGUUCAAGGGGACAACAAGCAAAUCAAACCAUGAAUACCUUGCAAGUAGCUUUCAACUACUAAAAUUCCACCAUUGUAGUUUAGUACAGGGUACAGGAAUAUCUGAGAGUGGCCUCCAAGAAAUUGCUUCGAUUGAAACUUGAAUGUGUGAAUGGUGACCGCAAUUUGGUGGAGUAUCGUCUUAUUAUAAACGAAUUAGAUGACCCUUAGAAGUUUUUUGUUCAAAGAAAAUGAGUAAAUUUUGGGAAGGGCUCUUUUCACCCUUCCAAAUAUUUUGUCCACGUUUUAUCAUUAGUCUUCAAUUGCAGCCAAUGCAAGAGAAAAACAGGUUUCGGGUGUGAAAAUAUAUACGGUUGGGUCUCUUCAGCUUUUAGAUUCAUGCUUAAAUAAAUCAAGUUUGAGAUUAUACAAUAAAAGUGAUUGCAAAAUGCGGACAUAUGAAUUUUCUGAUGUAGCACCAGAACAGAUAAGAUGAUUUUACACUACUGAACACCUUUAUUUUGUAUUCAAAAUUCAACCAAAUGAGAAACUACUGUCUUCUUGUAAACCUUUUCACCGAAACUCUUGGCUGCAAUUGACAGAUUUUUUUGCUGAUUCCAUGGCAUUCACUUUUUCUAGUUGCAAAAUUUUAGCCUGAAGUGGACAUCUAACUGGUAAUCUCGUUGACAAAUCUCAUUUUAUGCUUAACCUGCACAAAUAAAACCACCUGCACGUACGGUCUUCCUACAAGCGAUUUGUGCUUGCAAAGGACAAAUUCCCCACAUGAGAAGAGGCUGCUUCAUAUCCAGAAUCCUUUGAAGAGUAUUAACAACACAGAGCACAUGAUAAACGCCACUAGCUUCAGAAUACAUUUUCAUAAUAACAUAGCUCAUUCCUGCCCGCAUCUCCCUCGUGUGGUGUUUGGGGACUUUCUUCAAGUUCCAUGAAAUGCAGCUUGAAUCUACAUGAUGAGGAUAGGACUGACUCAUUAUCAAUAAAUAAAGAAAUGCGAGAUUGCAGCAUCACAAUUUACCCCAUGAAAGAUAAGGUACAAAUGCGUAAACAUCAUUUACACAAAUCACUGUUCAACCACGGUGAACAGAGACUUCAUUAGCUAGCAGAUGAAAAAGAAAAAAAUAGGCUUAAAAGAAGUAAACAAAUAGCAACAACACUUUCCCCGUUUGUGUUCGGGAACAAAAUUGAUGUUAAAAAAAUUAUGCUGAUAAGGUGAAAUGCCUAAACUACAGAACAUAAAGACGUACUUGUUACUUGAUCAUUGGCAAUAUCCAGUCAACAAAAUCAGCAAUUUGGGAUAGAUUGUGAGGAGAUCAGUUUCAACUUCACUAAUUCAAUACUGCAAACAUGAGGACUGAGCUUAUCAAAUCAGAAACCUAUAUGACAACAUUCAAAGGAUACAAACAACUCUGCAUCAGGGUAACAUACACAAAAAUCACCAGCUACUCAUUUAGUUAACAAAGAGAUAGAACCUAACAAGCAUACAAAUAACAGAUUCAAUUUAAAAAUCUACAUUUACUAUCAUUCAGGUACAUGCUGUUGAGACCAGAUCAAGUGUUCUGGAUCUUCAUAAGCAUCAAAACUUCCUCAGAACAUUCCACUUGGCCCACGAGCCUCUUCAAGUUUGGCACCUCAGCUGGUGCUGAUGCUUUCUUUGCAAAAUUGGUCUCAGGUAUGGAAUUUGAAGUUCCUCAGCCAAGUGAGCCACACCUAACUCAGUCAUGUGAUAAUAUAAUUCCAUGACAACAAUAUGAUCAAAUGGGAUGUAAACUAAUUAGCAAAUUCUUCAGCUUCUCGCCCCAGCUUGUUUCACAGAUGGGCAAAAAAUUGUCCUGUUAGGCAAAAGGUCAUCAAUACAGCUGAUGGAAUUUAAGUCCCAUGUAAGCCUUGAUCAUUACAUAGAGCAACCAAACCUGUCAUAGAAGCAGCACUAGUUUACCUUGCUUGAUAAUAUUUCAAGACAACAUUUUGACUACUGGUAAUUUUAAGAAAGGCGUACAUCAUAUAUGACAGACUAGCCAAAACUACUUUAACAUUUCGAAAUCACCAACCAAAAAUACACUAAUUCUCGUUCAAGAAAAAGACCCUACAUAAACUCCAUCCACACUAGAGACUCAGACAAACCUUUGAUCGAGAAUUUGCAUAAAACAACUCGAUACUCCACUCCAGACCCCAGUACUUGAUCGAGAAUUUGCCAAGCGGCGAGAGCUCCAUGCAUCCACCUGAGAGAAUCUGGAGGGGGAAAAGUACUGCUGCUCUUCAAGAACGAACUGGUCUCUCUACUUGGUUUUAGGUAUGAAAGUGUACAUGGCUGUGUCUCUUCUGCUUUUAGAUUCAUGCUUAAAUAAAUCAAGUUUGAGAUAAUACGGCCAAAGCAAUUACAAAAUGCCUACAUAUGAAUUUUCCGACCUAUCCAGCCUAGAGAGAUGAUUUUACACUAAUGAACGCCCAUAUUUUGUGUUCUAAAUUCUUCCAAAUGAGAAACUGCUGUCUUCUUGAAAACCUUUCCAUUGAAUCUCUUGGCUGCAAUUGACAGAUCAUUUGCUGAUUCCUCGGCAUUUGCUUUUACAAGAAAAAAGUCUCUCCCGGUCACAAAACUGUAGCUUGAAGUGGACAUCUAAAUGGUAAUCUUGAUAACAAAUCUCAUUUUUUGCUUGACUUCACAUACAGAACCACUUGCACAUGCAGUCUUCCUCCAAGCAAUUAGUGAUGGGUCCUUGGUUAAAGAAUAGCACGAUUUCAAAGCUUGUAAAGGACUAAUGCACCACAUGAGAAGAGGUCACCUUUAUCAAGAAUCCUUCAAAGAGUAUUAACAACAUGGAGCAAAUGAUAAACGCCAAUUGCAAAUAACUCUGGAAUGCCUUUCCAUACUGACAUAGCUCAUUCUUGCCCAUAUCUCCAACUCGUGGUGUUUGGGGAGUUUCUCCAGGUUUCAUCAAAUGCAGCUUUAAUCUGCAUAAGGAAGAUAACACUGACUAAUUAUAAUUAAAUGAAGAUAUCCAAGAUCAUAGCAUUAGAAUUUACCCCAUGAUAGAUAAGGUAAAAAUGCGUAAACAUUGAUACCAAUCGGAGUUAGACCACAAUGAACAGAGACUUCAUUAGCUAGCCGAUGAAAAAGAAACCAACAAACUUAAAAGAAGUAACAUUUAGCAACACUUUCCCUGUUUGUAUUUACGAACAGAAUUGAAGCUAAAAAAAUUAUGCUGAAAAGGUGAAGUGCCUAAACUACUGAACAGAAAGACGCAUUUGCCACUGGGUUAUUUUGCAAGUUCCAAUUAGCAAACUCAGCAAUGCGGGAUAGUUUGCGAGGAGGUCAAUUUCAACUUUACAAAUCCAAUGCCGCAUACAUCAGAACUGAGCUCAUCAAAUCAGAAAACUAUAUGACAACAUUCAAAGGAUGUCAUCACACCAAUAAACUAAUAGAAAUGGAGGAGCCUAGCAGUGCAUACCUCCCUUUCAGAGCCUCAUCAAUUCCGAAGUGAUAUCAUUAGAAUGCAACGGCGUCGAACAACUGUGCAUCAGGGUAACAUACAAAAAAUCAAUAGCCUAGUAAUUGAUUAAAGGAGAGCUAUAAUCUAAUGAGCAUAAAGAAAGCAUAUUUAAUUGAAAAAAAUACAUUUACUAUCCUUUAGGGAUGUGAUGUUGAGAUCAGAUCAAGUAUUUGAAUAUUCAGAAGCAUCAAAACUUCCUUGGGACACUCCAGUCAGCCCCAAAGUGUCUUUAAGUUUGGCAUGCAAGAUGGUCCUCAGCUGUUACUGAUGAUUCCUCUGCAAAAUCCCUUUUCUUUAUUUUGAUCGAUCUCAAGUAUGCAAUUUGAAGUUCCUCGGCCCACUUAGCCACACCCAAAUCAGUCACGUGAUAAAGCAAUUCCAUGACAACAAUAGGAUCAAACGGGAUACAAACUAAUUAGCAAAUUCUUGAGCUCCUCAUCCCAGCUUGUUUCACAGAUAGGCAAAAAAUUGUCCUUUAAUGCAAAAGGCCAUCGAUACAGUUGAUUGAAUUGAAGUCCCAAAGUAAGCCUAGAUCGUUAUAUAGACCAACCAAACCUGUCAUAGAAGCAGCACCAAUUUGCCUUGCUUAAUAAUCUUUCAAAACAAUAGUUUGCCUACUGGUAAUGUUAAGGUGGUCAACAUUCAUACACGACAAACUAGCCAAAACUACUUUUAACAUUUUUUUUGUCACCAACCAAAAACACUCAAACCGUGAAUUUAAUUUUAGCUCAGUUCACCAUAUAUACUGGGAAGUGAUGCUCUUCUUAGAGGGUUAAUGAGGGCCAUCAAGGGAACAAUAAGAAACUUGACAGGGUUUUCGUUCAUCACAGAAAAUCAGAAGGCGUUCGUCCUAAACAGGACAUCUGCCAUUAGUCAAAUUUGACAUACAAAAGAACUAAAGGAACUCAAAAUGGCCAAGGAUUUUGAAAAGAAAAUAUGAACUUUGGACACUGGGAAAUUUCGAGUUUAGUAUACAAUAAUACAAUAAUGAGUAGCAGAAGUUCAUUGGCCUCUAGAUGAAAAUUUCAAAUCCUGGGUUUGCUAAUAGGGGAACUGUAAAUCACUAGGUAAUUCUUGUUUACCUUUGUUGAUAUUUUCAUUAUUGCCUCGCAAGCUGCUAUCUGUUUGCAGUCUACAGAAGCUGCCAAUGGAAGGAUAAAUGAAAAACAUUGCUAUAAUGUAAUCAACAACAAUUAUACAAAGGAAAAUUUAGAGUUUCCAAAAACAAUCAAAUAGAUAUCCAGUGUGAAGCAUAUCAUUCUAAAAAAAUACAGCUUCGAGAAAAGUAUCACUAUUUGUUCACGCUGGCCAUUCAAAGGAUGGAGUAUCUUACUAUGCCUUCUAUUGACAUCAGGGUCUGCAUUUUGAUCUUGGCUAAAGCAUCAUGUCAGCUUCUACGACCAACUGCCCCACUCCUUUCAAUUAUGUAAGAAUAGCAAUUUAGGAAAGUACAGAACCCCAUUGCAGAAAACCUUCUUGUCAAAAGAAGAUAGUGAUGAAAUGUAGGUCAUGAAUCUCAGACGAAAAAUGAUUGUUCACUGCUUAUUUACCUCUAUUCAGGAAACAUCACUCCAUCAAUCAAAAGACAGAUCUUGUUCAUAAUUUCUAAAGAUGCGAGUUCCAAAUAAGUUCGGUGUUGCUUCCAAUGAGUCACAACCAGAAAUAUCCAAAUCAAUUAAAUUCAACUUUUCAAGUCCCUGAAGCUGUGUAAGUUUCUUGCAGUCUCGAACUCUUAGAGAUCGUAACUUCACACAUCUCGUCAAAUCUGGCAAAGUCUCCAUUGAUUUACAUCCUGUAAAAUCCAACUCUUCUAAGAACUCCACACGGCCAAGACCUAUUAUUUCGACUAGAUUGUCGCACCCAACAGCCACUAAUUUCUUCAAACACCGUGAUAUUGGACCAAAAAAACUUUUAAUGGAAUUGCAGUCAUAUAAAAAUAUGACCUCCAAGGACUCCAAAGCUAUAUUUGAUCCAAUAAUUAAAACUAGGCUAUUGCAAUGCUCAACACGUAAUCGUUUCAGAUGAAUCAAUCCUGAAAGGCCCAAUGUUUUAAUGGAACUGCACUUUUUAAUUGAAAGCUCUUCCAAGUGCAUGAAUCCGCUGAGCCGAAGUAAUGUUAGGUUAUCCCACUCCUCAAAACAGAGUUUCAAUGGUAUUGAGGAAAGCUCGUGGAUGUCUUCGAGUAUAUGGCAUACCUCAAGAUGGAGUUUUCUUAGGUGGAUGAGGCUAAAAAGCUGUGGCAGUGUAAGGCUCUGACAAGUGACCGACAGAUUUGUUAAGCCCGAAGGAAGCCUUGGCAGCAACCGGAGCUCCUUACAGCCGUUUAGUUUGAGGCGUCGGAGAGAAGAAGGAAGCUCUGGCAGCAACCAGAGCUCCUCACAGCUCCCUAGGUCAAGGCGUUGGAGAGAAGAAAGAUUCCGGACGCUUUCUGGCAGGUCAAAUAUCGGUGUUGCAUAGAGAUUGAGAAUCUCAAGGGAAGGCAAGUCACCGAUUUCACUUGGAAUUGCCCCUUUCAAACUAGUGCACCAGAUCAUUUCUAGAGUCCGCAGAUUUUUCAACCUUCCAAUAGCACUGGGAAGCUUUUCGAUCUCAGAAUUACUCAAGUCCAGAUGUUGCAAAUUCUGUAAAUCCCCAAUUGAGCUAGGGAUUUCUCUUAGUGAAUAACAUUCGCAGGCAGUCAGUUUCUCCAACUUCCUCAGAGAACCAAUGGACAUAGGAAUCUCUGUAAUACCAGAAAGAUUUAAUAUAAGUUCUUCUAAAUCUUUUAAUUCGCGCACCUCUUCUGGUAGCUUUUUGAGACUUCUACAGUGAUUCAAAUCUAAGGAAACGAGGCUCGUGAGUUUGCCAAUAGAAGGGUGGAGAUCCUCUAGGUUGUAACAUCCGAACAAGAUGAGAAUCUUCAACUGUGUAAAAGCCGAGAGAUCAGGAGUACAUCUUAAAUUUUCGCAAUUCGUAAGGUCGAGAACUUUAAGCCGCUUUGACGCCUAAUACGAAAGAGAAUAAACUGUUAAGGAAGGAGUUGAUUGGCUAAACAAAAACAAAACCCUAAAAUCGCAGAGAUAAUGUUCUUCUUCUCCUAAUCUUACCAUGAACAAACUCCAUCCUUCCCAAUCCUCUGUGAUCUGUUCCCAUGAUGAUAACCACAACACCGAUAAAUUCGGUAGAUGCAAAUUGAUCGGUAGAAAAAACAAAUCGCGAGGACGGACCUGAAGCCAUCUCACUGAAAAGAGUUCCAUGGAGUCUUUGCUUGAAGCUGCCCCGAGAAAGUUGUGGAAACAGGGGCGUCUCUGCAAGUUUUUUAACUUUUUAGUUUUCGCUUUUUUAAAUCUUGGAUUUGCACGAUUGAUACCUUUUUAUCCUUCCCCUGUACCUUUUGACGACCUUUCGAAAAUUAAACAAAUGACGUGAAGAUAAAGAAAAAGAUAGUUAUUGCUUUAAAACAACUAAGACAAAUGCACCUCAAUGUUUUAUCCCUUGCUUUUUUCUUUAUCAAAUUUUGUAGCACGUAUAUUUUGACUUUCAUUUAAGAUGAAAUACGAGAAACCAUUUUACAACGUAUAAAUAUUUACUUGUAAAUUUUCAUAAGACUUCUCCAUCAUUUCUCUAAAGAACGUGUCAAAGAGUGCCAGUGGGCCACUUGUAAGUAGCUAAGGAAGCACCCGGUUUCCAUUUCAUUAGUUAAAUGUAACAAUGUGGAAGAGGAAAAAAGGGGGAAUUUUUAAUUAUAUUCCGAUAUAUAUAAAGAAGAUUACAUGGUGGAAAAUCAAAAGAAAUCAAAAAUGAUAUGCAUAAUCAAAAUGGAUAUAAAAAAUCAAGAGAAAUAUCCUAAAUAUCUCUAAAAGAUAUCUAAAUAUCUUUAACAUCAUUAACUAUUUGUGUGAAGUGUUCACUCAUUCUUUGAAAAUUGAAACUUUUUUAUUUUUGGUAAAAUAUGUUUAAAAAGUGACACGGUGACAUUGGUUAGCAGUUUUGACAGGGAUUGAAAAAAUAAGUCGAUUUCAUAACUAAAACAUGAACCGGUUAACUAAAAAGUGACGUAGUGACAUUGUUUAAUCAUCAUAUGUCCGUUUCCAUAAGAACGGAAUCGUUCCUUUUUCCAUCUUAUAAAUAAAAAAACAUAUUGUUUAACUUUCCUACUAAAACAUAUCAUUUAAUUAGUUGAAGAUGGUGAAAAAUAAAUUCCCUUAUGGCUUUAAUUGACUUUAAUAAGAAUACCUACAUUUUCCCCCAAAAGUUUUUUUUUUUUGGUCGGUUUGACACAUUUGUCGUUGUCUGCUUCAAUAUUAACCAGUGAAAUGCAAUGGGUAUAAGUUCUAUUAAGUCUAUUUGUCAAAGAAGUCGCUAAAUUGUUGUAAUCACCAUCCCAUGCUAUCUUUCAUAAUUUUCGCUUGUACAUCGAUCUAUACUGUGUAUUACAUAAAAAAAUCUACUGUAUGAAAAGGGAAUUUCAAACAUCAAACUCUCCUCAAAAGUUUUCACACAAUUCGUAUAUAUUUCACCAAAAUGAACUAAAGAAUUAGGAUAUAACAAAAUAGACAUAAUCAUAUUUGAAAUAGUCAAGAAAAUUGGAAAUUAAUCCCAUUAUUAUUUCAAUUUCCAAAGUUAAAUCAAAAUCUGUCGAAUUGUACAAUCAUUUAAUUUUUUUUCCGACACUAUUUAUCCACUUUCAGCAUUUUUGUCCAUUCAAAACAGAAUUGACUUUUCUUUUUCAUUUUUCCAAACACAAGUAUGGUGUGCUCUUUUUGCUAAUGUUAAGAAGUUAUUGGAUCAACAAAAGACUGUGACAUUAAAUCAUAGGAAUGAACUAUUUCAAAUUAUAUCAAGAAUAUAAAGCUGCUUUAUUUGCCCAACAUCUCUUAGUCAAUUUCUAGGGUUAAUUCCUCUCCAUUGAUCAGCCGUGACCCUAUGACGCUUAUCAGAUGGACAAUAUAUAAUAAAAUGACAUGAACAUUGAUAAUUUAAGUAAAAGAUAAAAGAAUCUUAUUGUUUUGAAUUAAUUAUCAGUUAUUGUAAUUGGCACAUACUAUCUUCUUUUUUAACCGAGAAAUCUUCAUUUAUUUGAUUUACAAUGUUUUUACUUCAUCUACAUUCGUUCUUGUAGUCCUUCAGAUUAUCAAUAUUUUCAACUAGAUAUGACAAUGGCAUGCUUUUAGUAAAUGAGUUUUAUAGAGCAAAAUUGUAGUUAAAAGAUCUUAAAUUGAUUGUCAAGCGAAUUUUUACAUAUGUAAUUUAUAUUAAUGAGAUCGAAUCAAAUGGUAUAACUUUUUCAUCCUUUAAAUACUUAUAAUCCAUUUAGCUGUCACAAAUAAUCUAAGAUGGACAUACAUGGAUGUUUACAUAGAUCUUUUUUCCUAAUAAGUAAGAGCAUCUAUUCAUCCUCGAUGAAAUAUUAGAAUAGAUCAGAUUAAAUAUAUUGAAAUAAGAGGGAAAGAAAAAGAAAGGAGUGCCAUAUUUUACCCAUUCAUUAAUUCUUAGUACUUUUGGGACUCCCUCGUAGUCGUCAUCCCAUGGUCCGCUAUGUUUCUCAGGCGAUUGUCCUUGGCAAAAAAUACUCCUUCCAAGAUCUCUCAAUUGAUCAUGCAUCUCAAAUUGACCAUAAUUUCCAAUCUUAAUCUCUCAAUUGAUCAUGCAUCUCAAAUUGACCAUAAUUUCCAAUCUUAAUUAAGCACCUCAACUUCAGCUCUUCAAUACCUUGACUUGGAUAAAGCCCACAGUCCUCCCACAUGUACAUGGCGUAUUUGGCGUAUUCACUCCUUUCGCCAAUAAAGAAACAAACAAUAUCGAGAAAAAUCUGCUUAUGUCCAUCUUCUAAUGCAUCAUAACUUAUUUGCAAUAUUUUUUGGACGUCUCUAUGCAGUUGGCUUUUUAACUGCUUUCGCACAUCUUCCCAUACUUUUCGAUUCGGUUUUUUAUACAAGUAUGAACCUACGACCUUAAGUGCCAAGGGAAGCCCACCCAUGGUGGAUACAAUAUCACGAGAUAGACCCUCAAAGUCCUUCGAAGAAUGGUCCAUAUAAAAUGCAUGUCUAUUAAACAAAAGCAAAGCAUGCUCUUGAUCCAAUUCAUUCAAAUCAUACUUGUGUACAUUGAAUUCAGAUUGAUCAAGAAUGGCUUUAUAUCUGGUUGUAACAAUAAUAAUACUUCCCGCCAUAAACCAAUUAUGUUCUCUAGCCAAAGCAUUUAAUUGAUCCUCGUGAUCUAUAUCAUCCAGAAGAAUGAGAACAUUUUUUCCUUUGAAACUAGAUUUGAUCAAACUAAUUCCAUCAUCAACAUUCCCAAAUUUAGGUUCAAUUUUCGGAAUGUCCUCAAUUAGUUGCUUUUGUAAACAAACAAUAUUGUUGUGGCAAGCUGUUUCUCGAAUAUUUGCAAGGAAGCUACGAUGCACAAAGUCCUUUAACAGCUGGUUAUAGAUUACCUUGGCAAGAGUUGUUUUUCCAAUCCCACCCAUGCCAUAGAUUCCAAUCAUUCGAGCAUUAGUGGUAGGAGCAUCUACCCAUUUCAUGAUUCUGUUCACAUGAUCAUCUAUUCCAACUAAGUGCUUAGUAACAUCAAGCUGAAAAUCUUGUCGCAACUUGCUCAGAACAUUUUCAAUUACUUUUUUCACUAAUUCUCCUUCAUACCUGUCCAACAAAAAAACUCAUUGAUAAUUUCGUGAUUAUACUUAAUCUCAUCAAAAGGCACCGAUAGACGUGAAGAAUGGAUGGGACCAAUUAACAUGCAAGAUGUUUUGGUUUUACAAAUAACAAUGGGGGAUGAUGGCCAGCAGUCAUUUCAUUUUUUCUUCUCUCUUUUGCUAGAUGGAUCUUGUUGAAAGAAAAUAAGGAGGUGCACUUGGCUCGUUAAGAGUCUUUAGUAAGUGUAAUGUUUGUUACAAGGCUUAUUAUUGGUGCUAGUUAAAUGGUAGGAGGCCAAUUUUGUUUUAAUUAAAGAAGUUUAGAAUAAAAGUAGGUUACUCCACUCUAAGGCCAGGGCUUCUCACAUGCUAAAAUUGAGGACUUAUAAUUGAUUUACAAAUCGCUACCAAUGGGGUCUACUGACUGUGGAAAUCAAACCUAGACAUGGUAAAUGUGAAGUGUCCGGUUCUUUUCACUUGAGCCAACUUCCAUUCGCAUGAGGAGGUCUAUUUUAUCUGGUGGUGAUAAAGCUUUGAAAUACUGAGCAUUCAAGUCCUCUCUAAGCGUAUUGUUUGGUGAUUGACACGAUUGGUCGGAGGGGUUGUCAUUUCUUUGAUUUUUGCUUUGUUGGAGACAAUUGUAUUUCAUCUAUUUCGCAUGAACAAGAAAAUUUACUGGAUAAUUACUAAAAUAAUCCUAAAUUUAUUAUAAUUGUGCCAAUUCAGUCUUAAAUUUUUUUCAUGGCCAAUUUAGUCCUAAACAUUUUGAAAAUAUGUUGAUGUAAUCUAUCUAGCCAAUUUUGAUUAGAAAUCACAAAUGUAAACACCAACCGUCUUACAUGGCACAAUCAGUAUUGACGUGAAUAAUUUUUAUAAUUUUUUAUAAUUUUUUCUGAAUUUUGUUGGAUUUGUUUAUAUUUUUUUUUUCCUUUCUCUUCUUUUGUUUCCCUCCUUCCUCUACGAUCGCCGGCCAUAGAUGACAGCCGCCUCACCGUGAGGGCUGACCUCGCCAGAAUCUGGUCCUUCUAGUGGUCCUAUAGAGAAUCGCAAGGAGGGAGAGACUGAGAGUUUUUCCAACAAGAGAGGGCCAUCGUUGGGUCGGAUGAGGAGGUUCACAAGCAGCCAGAACGUGCUGGCAAACUUCAACUGGACGACGCAGGUGGCGUCGGUGGACGCAGGAGAGCAGAGGAACUGUUACUUUGGCAACAAAGACAGACGACGAGCAAGAUGAUGACGACGGCGACGAAGUGGUGAUUCCAUUUUCGGCCCCCAUUUUGGUAGGUGGAGUGGAGUCGAAGGCGAAGAAGGAAUUGAAUCUGUGGAAGAGAAGGACAAUGGCUCACCCUCAGCCACCUUGCUUGCGACAUCCCCAAUUAUUCUGCAAAUGUAAUCGUGUUCUCGAAUGAUUGUGCUCAUGGAUUCCCAAUUUCUGACGUUUUUCCUUCUUUUUUUUUUUUUUUUUUGGGGGAUUUCAGUUUGGGUUGGCCUCACCUCUUCAAAAGGACCAGAUUCCAGCGAGGUCACCCUUGUCAGAUGCGGCGAGGGCAAGCCUCACCAACCCUCGUUUGUGGCCUGUCACCCUUCAUCAAGGAGGCUGCAGCCAGAGUGGAAGAAGAAAAAAAAAUAAAAACUAAAAAUUUCGGAAAAAUAAUAAAAAAUUAUUUAAGUUAACAAUUUUCAGCUGAAAUUGACCGAAUGACUAUAUUGGCAAAUUUUCAGAGGGUCUAGGAUUAAUUUGACUGAAUAAAAAUGUUUAGGACUGUAUUGAUAUAAUUACAAUAGAUUUAAGAUUUUUUUGGUAAUUUUCCAAACACUUACUUAUCAAAAAAGAAAAGUUAAGGUGGAAGCAAAGUACCCGUUAGCAACUUUCUCGGACUCCCAUCCAUGUAAGUAACUCACUUCUUUGAGUGCUUGCUGCCCUUUCUGGAUAUCCUCCUCAUCAAAAUACUUCUUACGUGAAUGGAAGGCCUUCCCAAAACUUCCUUUUAGAUGCCGCACAUCCGAUGGAUCCACUUUAUAAAAGAUGGGCAAAACUAUGUGUGAUGUGCUCUUUGCGCGAUCCAUGAUAUGAAUAAGCUCGCGAAGGCACCAUUUGCUUGAAGCAUAAUUGUUGGAGAUGAUGAGGAUCGAAAUCUUAGACCGAGCGAUGGCAUCAAGAAUCCGUGGACCGAAUUCCUCGCCAAUUGGAAUGCUCUUAUCAUCCCUGAACACGAAAACCGGUACAAUCCCCGCCUUGUCUAGACUCUGGUAGAGGUGAUCGGCGAAUCCCUUACGGGUAUCUGACCCUCUAAAGCUCAAGAACACAUCAUAAUGAUCAUUACCUUCUCCCGUGGGUGUUGGAGAUAUGAAUGAAGGUGUGGGUGCUCUCUUCUUCUUCUUGAGAAGAUUGAAUGCAAGCACACUGAAAAGAAUCGUCGUGGUAAGCACCGCGGAAGAACGCCCCAUUAUGAAAGGGUGCAUCCUUUUGUUUGUUACGGUGUGGCUCUGCCCUUUUGUCUAUGGCAAUCUGAGGGGGAAAGUUGGGAAGAAAGAUGCUCUUCUGCUGCAUAAAAGGAUUAAUAACUAGUCUCUAUCAAGUAUGAACAAGUAUGAACAUGAAAUCUUUUACCAAGCAAGAAAAAAUAAACAUGAAAUCUUUAAUUAAUUAGUAUUUGAUUGACUACGAGCAGUUGCAUGCGUUUAGUCAUUGCGUUAUCUUCUUUUGCACAUCAUUCUUUAGUCAAGUCAAUCUUGUUGGCUUUGGUCCCCUCACGUAUAACGUGUACAUUAAUUUCUUAAUUGGGCUAUAAAACACUAGAAUCUAUGUACAAGUAUAUUGCAUUCAUUCAAAAUUACACAUAGUGGUUCAGUUGUUACUUGCUUAUUGAAAAUAAGAUUUUGAAAACUCAUUUUUUUGUCAAAGAAUUUCAUAAAUCAUUUAAAAGCUGAUAACUGAAUUGAGACAAAAUUGGCAAUGUGGGGGAGGACGUGAAGAAAGGACCUAGCUAGUAAUUAUGAAUGCGAUUUUAAAUUUAAUUUUGCCAUAGAUUUCUCCUCCUGCACAGCACAAAGCCUCCCUUCUCCUUGUUUAUCUGCUCCUCUCGCCGACACAUUCUCUCUUCCCCUUCUGUCCUUUCGUUUUUUCCUUUCUUUUCCUUUCUUUCUCCUUUCUUUUCCUUUCUUUCUUCUCUUCUUUUCCUUUUUGACUCUAAUGUAUUUUCUUCUUCUUUUUCUCAUCAUUUCAAACUCCAAUUCACCUAAGAUUACUACCUUUCCACCAAAUCACUUUUCACUUUUGACCGCAUUUUACUGUUCACUUUGACUGUAUGUUCCCACAUGUAAUUGAUCGGAAGUGACCGAGUGAGUGUCAGGGAUAGUGAAUGAAAAGCUCUUAUUCUAUAAAAUUAUAUUAGAAAAUUAAAAUUUCAGCAUGUUACAGCAGAUGCGGGAACAAUUUAUCAAGGAGAUAUUUCUAUCAAAUAGAUUGGAGAAUAGAAGAAUAUGUCUAUAGAUUUAUAACAGUUCAACUUAUAUAAAAUUUACAUCCACUCUCUCAAACUAACAACCAUCAGUAUGGCAUUUUUUUAACCGAAAGAAUCAAAUGCAACUGAAACAUAUCGUGAACGCACGAGAGAUCGAGGCAACUUAGAGAUUUGAAGCUUUCUGAAUUUCCGCCAAGUCCAUUGGCAUCCUCUAAAUCCUUUUUAUAUAAAACUAACCGUUGUGAGAAUAAUUUUACCCGUAAAACAUCCUUUCAUAGGUUUUCUUUGGAGGGUGCCCUUUUUACUUGGAGGUCAUAAAUACGAAAAUUAUGUCUCAUAAAUACGAAAAUUAUGUCUGGUAAAAUUCCACAAAAAUAAUAUUUUUAUUCAGUUAAUAGUAAAUUUAUUUUGUCUAUUUUCACUAAAAUAUGUAAAUUUAUCAUAACUUUCCUUUGUACUUGGUAAAGUUUUGACAUCCAUGUCUUAGUAAUUUUCCUUACUCAUCGUAACUUUUCUCAUGAUAAUUUGAUCAUGUUUGCAUCUAACUUUCCUUUAAUUUUCGGAAGUGAUGAUAAAAAAAUCGAUUUUGCAAUAUAGAUUUGACGGAUCACCUUUUUUGCCCUUUUUAACCAACGGUCCACAUCGAAUGUAGGACUCAUCCCUUAAAAGAGAGUUUUCACUUAUGAAAUUUCCAACAUGAUUAGCACGUUUUAGCCAUAAGAAAGUAGUUUAUUUUUUUCUGAACAGUAUAGUAGUGUGUUUUUCCAAAAUUUUGCAAAUCGUUCCUUUGAAAUAUAUAUAAAGGUAAAAAUGUAACUAAGAAACUAUAUUAAUUUAUCAAUACUUUCUUUUGCUGAUGCACAGCAACAGAUAAAAGAAAUUUGAGAUACUUCUGAACAGUAUUUUUGAUGUUUCAGGCUUUAAGUAAGUUUGGUUCCGACCAAAAAAAAAAAAGCUGUAAUUUUGUACAAUUGGAGUGCAUAUUAGGCAAUGGACCCAAAAUCGAGUCUAGAAGGGUAAUUUCAUCAUUUUAAUCGAGCGGGCUUUUUGUGCCGAGGGAAUUUCACAUGUAUUAUUCUGUUGCCCUAGAGGAUGUUAGGCGAUGAGUAAUAACCGAAUGUAUUUUUGUCCUAUCAAUUGUAACAGACCGGAGAAUGAAGGUCGGACUUACCUCGAGGAGAAGAUAUUCAGAGAUGAAAUAACUGUGAUGGGUUUGAGAAGAAGUCGGCUUGAAGCAGUCCAAGUCCCAAAAGUCAGUGCAGUCCCGAGAACCACCUUCACGCCUCAACCUGGACCGGCUUGGUUUGGAAAGAUGGUAAGGUAAAUUUGCAGAUCAUCUCAGGUCAGAACGUCACGAGAAAGGACGAGUGGUGGCUACGAAGAAAUCACCAACAACAGACGGCGAACUUACUAUCUCUCGAUAAAAUCCCAGCUCUUCUCCGGUAUAUCUGGAGAUCCCAGAAACGACCCACGUGUUCCGAGCGAAGACCGCCCCACCAAACCCAGGAACCCUAAUCGCCUCGGUGGAGUCCACGAUCAGAAAUUAUAGCAAGCGGAACGCUAAAAAGUUCGAAACUCGACACGAUUCGAGUUGAUUUUACCUGCUGAUUGGUGCCCGCCAAAAAAACAGUCCUUUGAAGCCGGUGGUUCGGAAGGAGCGACUGCAGGUGCUCUUCGCGACGGCGUCGGGUGUACUGCUUGGUGGAUUCGCGAGAAAGAAGAUCGCUGCUUCCUCCUCCGAUUCAAGCCGAAGCUCUCGCUCUGAUCGUAGAGGCUUCGAUGUGCUUCAGAUCUGGAAUUAGAGAGAACUUGGUACUUGGUAGUCGGAUAACGCGGUUCUGUGUUGACUUUCUGCUGGAACACGAUCACGUGCCAUGGGUGGGAUGCGCUGUGUCUUGGACGCCAGAGCCCAGUUGGCUAAUUUUCAAAAGUGUAUCCGCGGCCCAUAUCCCUAAACGGAGUUGGAAACAUGACGUGGGUAUAAACAAAUGGACUUGUGUUUAUUCCAUGGUAGCUCCACGUGCUAACGAUUUCUUCUAAAUCCAACGUAUUUUAAAAUGACAUGAUAUCACCGAGUUAUUCUCUUAAACCUUAGAAAUUUUAAAUAAUUGAUCGAUAUGUAGAGCAAUAACUUGUUACGGGAUACUGCAGAAGGAGCAUGAAUACUCCCUUGAUGCUAUCUUUUGCGGCAUUUUUGUUUUUUCUUCUUGAGAUGAUUGAAUAUAAGGAUAAAAAGAAGAAUUGACGCAAUGAGCACCGCAAAGGAAUGAUGUGAAACGAAAUAGUGCAUCCCUUUUGUUUCUCUUGCUUUGGUUUUGCCCUUUCUCCAUGGAAAUGUUGGGAAAAUAUUAGAUAACGUGAAUAAAGAGAAAGAAUUGUUGGAAAUAUAUUAAAAACGAUGAAAAAAUAUACGAUAUAUUGUUUGAGGCAUUCAAGCACUAUCCUUGAGAUCAAUUUCUCCCUUCAGAGCAUGAAACUCGGUACGAUGGGCUCUAGUGGCUAUCUUCACGAGAUAAAACUCUACAUGGAAUAACAGAAGGAAUGGGAACAUGUUAUGUGCAUAGCCUAGCCAAACAAGGAAAGACAUGUGAAUUUUGUGAAUUCGAUGUAUAUUGAAAGAUUGUGGUUUUAUGGUUAAUCUUGUAUUCAAACAAAAGAGAGAGUUGUUAGAAAACCGCUACAAAUUAAUUAAUAAUUAAUAAAAUGAUGACCAUUAUAGAUGAUAUUUUGAUCACAUCAAAAAAUUAAAGAGAAAGCCUCUAACUCUCCUUUGCACUUCAAAAAGUUUUGAGAUCUUUGUCUUGAUAAAUUUCCUUACUCAUCCUAACUUUUCUUAAUCGAACGAUAAUUUGAUCACGUCUAACUUUCCUUUAAUGUUUAAAAGUGAUGCAAGAAAAUCGAUUUUGCAAAACAGACUUGAAAUGUCAUGUUUUUUCCCUUUCUAUCUAAUGGUCCAUAUUGAAUAUGGGACCAAUCCCAUAAAAAAAGAGAGUUUUGACUUAUGAAAUUUCCAUCCCCAUUGAGAUGUUUUGCCCAUAAUAAAGUAGUGUUGAAGACGCUAUUUUUCUAAAGUUUGGAAAUCAUUCCACUAUGAUAUUUAUAUUUAAUAUAUAGAAAGGUAAAAACGUAAAUUAAGGAACGGUAUUACUUUCUCAAUGUUGUCUUUUAUUGACUGACGCAAAGCAAUAGAUACGUCUGUAACUCUAGUAUGAUAUGCAAGUCUUCCGUUUCCAAAGUAACCUUCACACAUAAUCCCAUCUGCCGAGGUUAACGAUGAUUCAAGCCCCUUUCAGACAAUUGGAAUUAACCUUCCAAUAGCACUAGGAAGCUUUUCAAUUGUAGAACCACUAAUGUCCAGAUGUUGCAAAUUUUGUAAAUCCCCAAUUGAGGUAGGGAUUUCCCUGAGUGACUCAUAAUAGCUGGCACUCAAUUUCUCCAGCUUCCUUAGAGAACCAAUAAACACAAGAAUCUCAGUACUAUCGGCAAAAUCUAAUAUAAGUUCUUCUAAUUUGACAGAUUCGCCUCCUUUCAGUUUUAACACACAUACCCAUCCGCUCUUGGUCCGGUCCAUUGCCAUAUUCUUCUUCCGCGAUCCCAACUCUCUUGUGGAUCCUGAGAUUGCGAUGCUCUCCCCAAUUUCAACUUGGUAAUCUAGCCGAACACUGAGAUGCAUCUUCUCUUGUCCCAGCUUUGAUAUGAUCUUCUUCGCUUUCUUCUCCUCUUCUCUGCAAUAAACACACUAUGUUAUAGCUUCUACCGAUAGCCUCCUUCCUUGUCUAGACAACUUAAACAGCAAUUUUCACACGAACCACCAUUCAUUCUUUGCCAUUUAACACCACAUUCAAAGAGAAACCUCAAAUCAAGAUGAUAUAAGAUAAUUAAUGACGCUACCUUUUUUAGCAAGAAGAACUCGAAAGAAGAAACAGAAAAACUCUUUUUUCUACACCUAUUCUCAUUCAAGAAAUAGACCCCACAUAAACUCUAUCCACACUAGAGAAUCAGACAAACCUUUGAUCGAGAAUUGCAUAAAACAACUCAAUACUUCACUCUGGACCCUAAUGCUCGAUCAGAUUGACAUAAGUGUACUACGACAAAUCCAAUGAGAGAGAGAGAGAGAGAGAGAGAGAGAGAGAGAGAGAGAGAGAGAGAGAGAGAGAGAUGGUUUUAGUGGUGGAAACGCCACGAACAACCAUAAAGGAGCGACUCCGAGCGGCAGGAGCUCCAUGCGUCCACCUAAGAGAAUCUUGAAGGGGAAAAGUAAUGCUGCUCUUCAUGAAUGAACUGGUGGUCUCUGUACUUGGUUUUAGGUAUGAAAAUGUACAUGGCUGUGACUCCUCCGUUUUUAGAUUCAUGCUUAAAUAAAUCAAGUUUGAGAUUAUAUGACCAAAGUUGAUUGCAAAAUGCCUACAUAUGAAUUUACAGAUACAACUAGACCAGAGAGAUGAUGUUAAACUAAUGAAUGCCCUUAUUUUGUGUUCAAAAUUCUUCCAAAUGAGAUACUACAAUCUUCUUGGAAACCUUUUCAUUGAAACUCUUGGCUGCAAUUGACAGAUUAUUUGCUGAUUCCACAGCAUUUUCUUUUUCCACGAAAAAAGUCUCUCCCGGUCACAAAACUGUAGCUUGAAGUGGAAAUCUAAAUGGUAAUCUUGUUAACAAAUCACAUAUUAUACUUGACUUCACAUACAGAACUACCUGCACAUGGGGUCUUCCUCCUAGAGAUUUGCCAUGUGCUUUUGCUAAAGAAUAGCACAAUUUCAAUGCUCGCAAAGGACUAAUUCACCACAGGAGAAGAAGUCACGUUAUAUUAAGAAUCCUUUGAAGAGUAAUAACAACACGGAACAAAUGAUAAACGCCAACAGCAAAGAACUUCAUUAUGCCUUUCCAUACUGACAUAGCUCAUUCUUGCCCGUAUCUCCAACCCAUGGUGUUUGGGGACUUUCUCAGAGUUCCAUCAAAUGCAACUUUAAUCUGCACAAGGAAGAUAGCAAUGACUAAUUAUCAAUAAAUGAAGAUAUCCAAGAUUGUAGCAUCAUAAUUUACCCCAUGAGAUAUAAGGUACAAAUGCGUAAACAUUGACACCAAUCAGAGUUGGACCACAAUGAAUAGAGACUUCAUUAGCUAGCCAAUGAAAAAGAAACCAACAGGCUUAAAAGAAGUAAGCAAUUAGCAACACUUUCCCUAUUUGUGUUUAGGAACAGAAUUGAAGUUAAAAAAAUUAUGCUGAAAAGGUGAAUUGACCUAAACUACACGAUAGAAAGAUGUAUUAGCAAUACGGGAUAGUUUGCAAGGAGGUUAAUUUCAACUUCACAAAUUCAGUGUUGUACACAUGAGAACUGAGCUUAUCAAAUCAGAAACCUAUACGAUCACAUACAAAUGAUAUCAUCACACAAAUAAACUGAUAGAAAUGGAGGACCCUAGCAGUGCAUACCUCCCUCUGCAGAGUCUCAUCAAUUCUAAAGUGAUAUCAUUAGAAUGCAACCACAUCAAACAACUCUGCAUUAGGGUAACGUUAAAAAAAAUCAGUAGCUUAGCAUUUGAUUAAAAGAGAGCUAGAACCGAAUGAGCAUACAUAAUGCAUAUUUAACUGAAAAAAAAAAUACAUUUACAAUCACUCAUGGACGUGACAUUGAGAUCAAGUCAAGUGUUUGAAAAUUCAGAAGUAUCAAAACUUCCUUGGGACACUCCAGUUAGCCCUAGAGCAUCUUGAGGGUUGGCACGCAAGAUGGUCCUCAGCAACAGCUGAUGCUUCAUCUACAAAAUCCCUUCUCUUUAUUUUGAUCUGCUCAGUAUGAAAUUUGAAAUUCCUCAACCGAGUUAGCCACACCCAAUCAGUCAUGUUAUUAAGCAAUCCCAUGACACCAAUAGGAUCAAACGGGAUGCAAACUAAUUAGCAAAUUCUUGAGCUCCUCGUCCCAGCUUGUUUCACAGAUGAGCAAAAAAUUGUCUAUUAAUGCAAAAGGUCAUCGAUACAGUUAAUUGAAUUUAAGUCCCAAAGUAAUCCUAGAUCAUUACAUAGACCAACCAAACUUGUCAUAGAAGCAGCACCCAUUUACCUUGCUUGAUAAUCUUUCAAAACGACAGUUUGACUACCGGUAAUGUUAAGGUGGUCCACAUUCAUACAUGACAGACUAGUCAAAACUACUUUUAACAAUUAUUUUUUUUUAUCACUGAACAAAAACACUUUAACCUUAUAUUUAAUUUUAGCUCAUUUCAUCAUACUUACUGGGAAUUGAUGCUCUUCUAGAAGGUUCAAGAGGAAUAUCAAGGGAACAUUAAGAAACUUGACAGGGUUUUCGUUCAUCAUGAAAAACUGGAAGGCGUUUGUCCCAAACAGGACAUCUGCCAUUAGUCAAGCUUGACACAAAGGAACUCAAAAUGGCCAAGGAUUUUUAGAAAGAAAUUAUUAACUUUUGGACAUCGGGAAAUUCUAGGCGUAGUUGACAAUAUUGAGUAACAGAAGAUCAUUGGCCUCUAGGUGAAAACUUCAAAUCCCAGUUCACCGAGAGGGGGGAACUGUAAAUCACCAAGGAAUUCUUGUUUACGUAUGUUUGAUGUUUUCAUCCUUGCCUCACAAGCCGCUCAUCUAUUUGCAGUCUAAAAAAGCUGCCAAUGGAGGGAUAAAUGAAAAACAUUGCAAUAACAUAACCAAUAGCAAUAUAUGCAGGCAAAUCCAGAAUUUCCGAAAUCAAUUAACUAGAUACACCAUGUGGAGCAAAUCAUUCUCAAAAAAUAGAGCUUCAAGAAAAGUAUUAGUCUAUUUGCUCAUUCCGGCCGUUUGAAGGAUGAAGAGUCUUACUAGAUAACCAAAUGUCUUCUAUUGACAUUUUGAGUCUACAUUUUGAUCUUGGCUGAAGCAUCAUGUCAGCUUCUAUGACCAACUCCCCCACUCCUUCGAUUAUGUAAGUCUAGCAAUUUAGGAAAGUACAGAACCCUGUCAUGGAAAACUUCUUGUCAAAAGAAGAUGGCGAUGAAAAGUAGGUCAUGAAUCUCAAAAGAAAAAUUAUUGUCGCUGUUUUACCUCUGUUGAGGAAGCAUCACUUCAUGAGUCAAAAGACAGCUCUUGUUCAUAAUUAUCAAAAGAGGCCCGUUCUUUCCAAUGAGUCGCAACCAUCAGUUCUCAAGUUAAUUAAAUCCAACUUUUCAAAUCCCCAAAGCUGAGUAAGUUUCUUGCAAUUUUUAACAGAAAAAUAUUGUAACCUCUGACAUCCAUUCAAAUCUGGCAAUGUCUCCUUUGAUUUGCAUCCCAUAAAAUCCAACGGUUCCAAGAACUUUGCCCUGUCAGGGCCUUGAAUUUUGACUAGGUUAUUGCAAUCCUCAACCUGUAAUUUUUUCAGAUGAUUUAAACAUGAAAGGUCCAAUCUCUCGAUGAAACUGCAAUCUCUCAUAUACAAGUCUUCCAAGUACUCAAAUCGGUCGAGCUUAAGCAAUAUUAGCUUAUCACACUCCACAAUACCGAGUUCCAAGAGUCUUGAGGAAAGCUCAGGGAUGUCUUCAAGUAGAUGGCAAUGGUCAAGCCAGAGUUCUUUUAGGUGGAUUAGGCUAGAAAGUUGUGGCAACAUGGGACUCUGACAACAGACUACUAGAUUUGUUAAGCCCGAAGGAAGCUCUGGCAGCGAGCAGAGCUUGUCACAGCCAUUUAGCUUAAGGGAUUGGAGAGAAGAAAGAUUUUGGACGCUUUCUAGUAGGUCAAAUAUCGGUGUGUAAGAAAGAUGGAGAUACUCGAGGGAAGGCAAGUCACCGAUUUCAUUUGGAAUUGCCAGAAUACAGCAACGUGAGAGCUGUAGCGUCCGCAGAUUUUUCAACCUUCCAAUAGCACUAGGAAGCUUUUUGAUCGCAGAAUAAGUCAAGCCAAGAUGUUGCAAAUUCUGUAAAUCCCCAAUUGAGCUAGGGAUUUCUCUCAGUGAAUAACACCCGUAGGCAGUCAGUUUCUUCAGCUUCCUCAGAGAACAAUAGCACUGGGAAGCUUUCCGAUCUCAGAAUAAAUCAAGUCAAGAUGUUGCAAAUUCUGUAAAUCCCCAAUUGAGCUAGGGAUUUCUCUCAGUGAAUAACACCCGUAGGCAGUCAGUUCCUUCAACUUUCUCAGAGAACCAAUAGACGUAGGAAUCUCCAUUACCAGAUUCAUAUAAUAAAAGUUCUUCAAAAUUUUUUAAUUCGCCCACCUCCUGUGGUAGCUCCUUGAGACACCUAUAGUGACUCAAAUUUAAGGAAACGAGGCUCGUGAGUUUGCCAAUAGAAGGGUGGAGAUGCUCCAACUCCCACCAUCCGCUUAAUUUGAGAAUCUUCAACUGUGUGAAAGCCGCCAAAUUAGGAGUACUUAAAUUAUCGCAAUAUUCAAGCAUCAGAAUUUAGAGCUGCUUUGACACCCGAUACAAAAGGAGAAUAAGCCAUCAAAGGAGGAGUUGAUCAGUUGAAAAAAAAAUAACAAACCCUAAAAUCGCAAAGAGAAUGUCUCCUUUUUCCCAAUCAUGAAUGAACUCCAUCAUUUCCAAUGUAUGAAGCCGCUGCCCCAUAACUUCAGCACCGAUAAUUUCUUUUUUUUUUCUUUUUUUUUGAGCAAGCAGCACCGAUAAUUUCGGUAGAUGCAAAUUGAUGGUCGGAAGAUACAAAUUGCUUCCAAAGACUUCCCACUCAAGCCAUCUCACUUUAAGGAGUUCGUCGUUGGAAAUUCCGCUUGCAGCUGCCCUCAAAAUGUCGUCGAAGCAGGAGGGGCGUCUCUGCGAGUUUUUUAAAUUUUUAGUUUUUGCUUUUUGAAAUCUUGGACUUGCACGAUCUGAAACCUUCCCAUCCUUUCCGUAUAAAAAUAUGGACACGUGAACUCACAUUUGAUUUCUAUUUUUGCCGACCUUUCGAAAAUUGAACAAAUGAUGUGAAAAUAAAAAUAAUAAAAAUAGUUAUUACUUUAAAACAACUAAGGCAAAUGCACCUUAAUGUUUUAUCUUUUUCCCUUCUUCUUUUUUUAAUUUUGCAGCACGUGUAGUUGGACUUUUAUUUAAGACAAAAUACAUGAAACCAUAUGACAAAAUACAAUUGAUUACUUGUAAAUUUUCAUGUGUAUAAUUUCUCAAAAGAAUUUGUUAAAGAAUGCCCGUGGGCCACCUGUAAGUAGCUAUGGAAGCACUUGAUUUUGAUUUCAUUAGUUAAAUGUAAUAAUGCGGAAGAGAAAAAAAAAGAGGGGAAUUUUCAAUAUAUUUUGAUAUAUAAAAAAGAUUACGUGGCUAGAACCAUUUAAGGAAAUCAAAAGAAAUCAAAGUAGAUAUGUGUAAUCAUAAUAGAUAUAAAAAAAUCAAAGGAAAUAUCUUAAAUAUCUUUAGAAGAUAUCUAAAAAAAUCUUGAAUCAUUUCUUUGAAAACUAAAACGUUAUGUUUAAAAAGUGACAGAGUGACAUUGGUGAGCAAUUUUAACAGGGAUUGAAAAAAAAAAAAAAAAAGUUGCUCUCAGAGUAACUAAAAAAAUGAAUCGAUUAACUAAAAAGUGACAUGAUGAUAUUGUUUAAUCGUCAUAUCCGAUUCCAUAAGAAUGGAAUUGUUUCUUUUUGCAUAUUAUAAAUCAAAACGUACUGUUUAACUUUCCUACUUAAACAGAUCAUUUACCUUUUUAUGGUCGGUACUUAAACAGAUCAUUUAAUCAGUUGAAGAUGGUGCAAAAAAAAAUUCCCUUUUAUGGCUUUGAUUGACUUUCAUAAUAAUACCUAUAAUUUUCCCCCAAAAGUUCAAUUGGUUAGGAAUUCAGUAAUGCACUUUUAUGGUUUGACACUCUCCCAUUUUCAGUUCCGCUGAGUCGCGUUCUCCGGUAAUGACUCGCUUGUGUUCUUCCAAUUCGUCGUUCGCAUCUUUUCCAUCCGUUGGUCGCUGCAUCAUUUGCUAUUUUUGGUUCUCUUCUUUGCUGCUACAUUGGUCGAAGGAGCAAUCUGUCGCUUUGAUUGCGUUGCCUGCUGUGGAUUUUGAGCUUAGGUUCGUUGUCGAUCGAUGUGCAGAAGUGUUCAUUGGGUAAAUGAGGGGGGGAGAGAGGAGAGGGGAUGACUUGAUUUGGCCCGAAAUGGAGUUACUGGGGGAUGUUUCGGAGACGGCGGGAUGAGGUUGAAGUGUUUUUGCUCUCGUCGGAGUGACUUUUUGAGUCCGCGGUGCGAGAAUAGCGGCGGCUACUUCGUUUGAGUCCGUUGAUUUUGCUCUACUUCCCUGUUGUUGAGCACUUUAUGUUGUUGAGCACUUUAUCGUGACUGAGCUUAGCUUGUGUGUUGGAUGAUUCUUUAGCUGGCAGCCUGGCACUUCUUAGAGUCUCGUUUUACAUAUUAUGUAGAGGAAAGCAGCAAAAAGUUGCAGUUUUAAGGAAUCGUGUGAGACAUGUUGUGCUCGAACUCUGUCAAUUAUCAUUCUUGUCAUCUGGUGCAGUGUUUCCUCAGCAUGAGGUAAUUUGGUGUUUUUCCAUGGUACUUGCUGUAGGUUGGCUAGUUUUAACCAUGUAAUGGCAUGAGUAUGACCACUUCAAUCGUACUUUAAGGGCACGUUUGUUUGGACUUAAGUAAAAGGUUUCCCGCCAGAAUUUAAGAUAUUAUUCAAAUUUCAGAAAAUUAUGAAAACGUUAUAGGUGAAUGUACGUGUCAACAUAUGAGUACAGUGAAAGUUUCAUGACUUUCGUAUUUAUAAAAAGUUAAAAGUGUGUGAGCUGCAAUAUAUAGAUUAAGCAAAAAGAAAAACAUAGAAGUCAUUCCUGACAUGCCCGAAGCUUGGACAGGUUUGAUAGCUUUUUCUUCUAGUUCUGCCUAGGUUCCUCAAAGCCUGCUUGAACUUCCCCACCCUGGUUCAAUCGCAGAGGACAUCCAAUCCAAUUGCUAAAUUGGGUUCUUUGUUUUUCUGUCUCUUUAACUUGGUUGAAUUCUGCCUCUUUGGUCUUGGUGCAUAGAAAUGAGCCUUCAGAUGAAGUUUCUUUGUUUGGAGAAUUGAUAGCAACUUUUUUUGGUGAAUGGUUAUGAGAGUACUUGGAGUGUGUGAUUUUUGGUUCUGGCUGCUCUGUCAUUCUUAUGGAUGAUAAACAGGACUCUGUAUGAUGCUUGUUAUCUCAAAACCAAUGUUUUUAUUCUUUGUGGGACAGUUCUGCUUCCAUGGGAUGGAAUGAUAAAAUCAUCAAGCAGCCGGAAGAGGAAACUCAUGAAUCAUGGACCCUAACUCUACACUCUCUGUCUGAUUUAUCCCAUAUUUCGCCAAUUGUAUUCUUGUACCUCAUUAAAGAAUGUUAUGCUUCUGGUAUAAGAAUGCCUUCCCCUUCAAAAGUCUCUUGCCACGUUUAUAUUCCAUUUUCCCUUAGUGGUACUUCACAUCAUAUGCAGUAUAUGCGAGCAAAUGACUUUUCUAGUGUUCCUAUAUGUAUCAGAUGAUCGACUUGCCUGCAUCUUCUGGUUUUACGUCAACUUUUUCAUUAACUUCUCUUCCAAAGAGGAGGCUCUUCUUUAGAUGCUAGUUUUAUUCUAAGAACAAACUGAAGUUUUGAGCCAUGUAAGACAUUUGUCCUCAAAUGUCAUCAAUUAGAGGACACACGUGCAGUACAUUGUGCAUCUCAGUAUUUAUGACUACCGUCACACUGCACAUAGCAUUACACUUUUUGAUGAGGAAUAAUUGGUCAUUUACUGGAUAUUGCUAUCCUUUAGUCUUUUCAUAGAUGCUUGGAAUCCACUUGGUUUAUGGCUAUCUGGACUUCUUUUCUUAGAGAUAUUGCCUUAUGUUCUAAUGCUUAGGUACCUUGAAGGCAACUAGGAAGUUCGGGGCACUUCAACACCAAGUCCAUCAAGUAUUAAAUAAUGGGCCCCGACCCGGACCCGCUACGUUUGUCAUACACUGUCUCUAUGCACUACCCAUAUUUGACAUUUACUGUGAGGGAUUCAGUCACUUGAUAAUAUCUUCUCUCUGUCGUUUUCUGAAAGCUAACCUUGCGGACUCCAUGCAAGCAAAGGACUUAGCUGUGCAUUUGUUUGUUGAUAUGGUUCAGGGAUAUGUAUAUCAUGAUGAGAGGAUACUUGUGAAGGUAGUAGAAGUUUAUGAUGUGAGACUGACAAACAUUGAGUAUGUCAUAUUCCAACUUAAAGCUACAAACAUUAACUUUAGACAAGUCACUGCAUUAACAUUUCUUGAGCAAUAUGUUUUCAAGUUGAUAAAUUCCCAGUCCUAUAUGACAGCAGUCAUUCUAUUGGAGCAUUUUUCUAUUCACCGAUUUGGGAAAUCCUUCCUUCUUGCUAUGAUAGAAAAGAAAGAAUUUAGGGCUGCAGAGAAGUGGGCCACAUUUAUGGGCAAGCCAAUGUUAUGUGUACUUGUCCAGGUAUAUAUAGACAGAAAAAUGCUGAAGUAUGCUUACGUGACAAUAAAGAAAAACAAUCUCCGGCAAGAAUUUGCUGAUGUAUAUCAUUAAUGUAAAGAAAGGUACUUCUUUGCUGUUAAAAUUUUUUGGAAGUGACAUUUGCUUUAGAUUUAUUUAUUAUGUUGCUGAUAGUGCAUGGAAAUCCAAAUUUCUUACUGGAGCCAUUGUAUCGAGAACAGCAAGACUAAUUUAUUCUUUUGUAGUUCAAUGAAGCAGCUAGCAGAAAAAGGGUGCUGGGAUGUUGCUGAGUCAAAGGCAAAGGGUGAUCUACAGCUCAUUGAAUACCUGGUAUUAGUCUAAAAUGCUUUGUUCCAACUGUGGCAUCUUUCUUUAGAUGAACUUGAAGUUGUGUGAUUUUAAGUUGCAACUUUAGUAGAUUUGUAUCAAUCUUUUGAGGUUUGCAGUUUGGCUUCUAUAGGGGUUCCUCAAAUAGUUUUGUCAGUCCUGUCUUUCUUAGCAACGGGUAUUGGGAGAACUGUUUCAGUAAUCGCACAUUUUAUCUCCUGCUAUUGGACUUUGGUGCAAUGUCUAAUGGUUCUUGGUCCUUUCAUAGAGAAAUGUGAUUAAUUUUUUAGUCAUAAUAUGUCUUCUGAUGUAACUAUAGCAUUUGAGCUGUGUACAUAAAUGACAUCUUGUGGCUUGAGCAAGAAAUUCCUGUGGUGCCACCUCCUCCUUUGUGAUGAACAUUUGUCCUAUUACUGUUGUUUUUUCCUCCUUGCCUUUGCCUUUUCCCUGAAGGUGAUGUUUAAGUUUUUGAAUUAACAUAUUACCAGUCUGUAGCUGUCAUAAGACAUAAAGAAGGGAGACUUACAUGCUUUUGUUUAUUCUAUUAAGAUUUUACUCUUCCACUUUAAAGGUCUAUUUGGCAAUGGAAGCUGGUUAUCCAGAAAAAGUUGAUGAAUUGUGUGAUCGAUACUCUCUUCAAGGUUUUCCAAAAGCCAAAGGUGUGCCAACAUCUAUUUUGUUUGCCAAAAUAUUAGGAUAAACAUAUUGCUGUGAUUUCUUUUCUCUGACCUGUAAGUUUAGAAAAUUAUGUUGUUGCACUAUUUUUGCUGAAACAGUUUUUUGUCAGUCACUGCUGUGAUUGGAACCUCUAUUGUGCUACUAGAAGCCAACUAGAUGCCUCAAGUAGGUUACUGGGAACCUUAGAUAAGGUUUCUUCUUGCUUUGUUUGCAUAAAGUACCUGGACUAUGCAUAAGAUUCUAUAGGCACAGUUAACGAGGUGUUGGCAUGCUUGUCUAUUGAGUUAAGUAUGGGGCAAUUGCAUUGAUCAAUGUAGAUGGCUAUCUUUGUUCGAAUAUACCUUCUAAUGUGAAUAUCUUUAUCAAUACAUUGCUUGCAUUUUGUCAGAGAAUGUGGCAAACUGAUUGGGAUUCUUAUGGCCAGUAUGUUGUUAUUCGGUGAACCGAAUAGAUGUUUUGCUUGCGUUCUCUUGUUCCUAUAACUUGUAAAUCUUGGUUUGAAUUGUAUCUGGGGAAGUGCUGAAGUCAUUAUGUCUCGAAAAUUGCUGAAUCAUUUGAUAUCUUGAACCCGACAGUUGCGUCUGCAAUUAGGUCUCUAGUUCUCCAUGAUUGAGGAAAAGAACAGUUCUGCUUGUGCCUGAUGAUCUAGAACCAAUUGCUUGCCAUAUUAUGUGGACCUUGAAAGGUUUUUAGUAGACCUUCGUAUACGUUGGGUAUUAAACUUCUCUGAUAAACAUGUAUUCUGUUGCACUAUCAUCAGUAUGGUGUAAGUAUGCUAUGCCUUGAUAUUUAGUCCUUGGUGAUCUCAUGUUGUGGAGUACAGCAGUAGGAUUUUCUCAGUAAUGUUGCAUUUUCUUUUUCAAAUAUACUAAUUUGUAACCAUUGGCUUGUUUAGAAUUGGAUGCAACUUUUCUGCAUCGUAAGCACUAUAUGUGCCACAAAGAACUGGGCAUUGAAGAUGUUUUUUGGGUUGAUCGAGUGGAUAGUUUGCAUACAGCAACAUACUGUAUUGAAGAAUCUAAAGUUGUUGGUGUGGACUGUGAAUGGAAACCUAAUUAUGUAAGGGGCAGCAAGCCUAACAAGGUAAUUGCUAAGUCCUGUUUGUCCUCAUCUUCAUAUGCAUAAUAUCUUGAAGGUUUUAUAUACUCGCUGAAAAUUGUCUUUGUGCCUUUUUGUUCCAAACAAAUUCAUUGUUGCCAGAAAAGAAAUUAAAUGGUUUAAUGAUCAAGAGUUAUUAUCAAGCUUUUGGUGAUUGCCACUAUCUUUCUUACGUUUCAACAGCCAUGUAAUCAACUAUGAAGCAUGAUAUUCAGCAAUGGCAUCCUGAGAACAAAACUUUUAAGAUGAUUUCAGAUGUGCUGUACUUGUUAUAUAGUGCGCUUCCUUUUAAAAAAAUUGAUGAGGGAUAUGCUUGGCCAGACGUAGGACCUGUUUGAAGGCUCCAUUUGGAAGAAUCAUGUAAAAGUCUAAAGAGUAUCUACAUGCCUUUUGAUAUUUGUUAACCACUAUCAGAAUGGAUUAAAUCAGACAAGGCAGAUGUAGAUGGUAUAGGACUGCAGUGAGGAGAUGGCAAUACAAGAAGACAAUGGUUUUGUCUCCACUUCUCACCAUCUUAUGUGUGGUUGCCAUUGGCAUGGCUAGUCUCACCAAUCAAUGUCCCUACUGCUGUCGGCUUAGCUCUCUUAUCGUGUGUUAUUUGGUUCUAAGCAGUGACUUGGUCUCUUCAGCCAAAUUACAGCAGCUGCUUGCUCUGCUGACGUGAUUUAGAGGUUUUGGUUGAGCAAGUUGUGGCUGCAAUUUGGUGGAGAAGACCAAGGCACCGUCAAGUCUUGGGUUGGCAACUUCGUGUCAAUUGUCAUGACUUUUUGUCGCCUUUGUGAUUGGCUCAUUCCACUAUGACCUCUCUGUCAGCACAAAUAUCUUAAAAGGUCAUCCAUUAAUGUCAGAAAUUAAUUAAGUCUGAUGUUUAUUUUGAUUUUCAGGUGUCCAUCAUGCAGAUUGCUUCCAGCAGAAGUGUUUUCAUCAUUGAUCUAAUAAAGUUGUCAGGGGAUGUGCCAUAUAUUCUGGAUAACUGCCUGAGUCGUAUUUUACAGUCUUCAAGUAUUCUAAAUCUUGGCAUGAGAAAUUAUUUAGCGUAAUUGUAUUCUGUCCUUCGCUUCUUGGUCCAAGCGUCAGCCUUAAUCUGGUAUCACCAAUAUGCGUCUACUAAUCUAGGGAAAAGAAAAUCAUUGUACUGACAUAAGAAUUUGGAAUUUCUGGUACCAGACGUACAUCGGGGCAUCAAAAAGCAAGAGUUUGGACAAGGAAUAAUUAUUUGUGCAUGUUUGGUACCGAUAUGACUAAGGGUGAUUGGCAUUGAAUGUUUCAGUAUGUUUGUUUUGCUGAAGUGAAUAGCUUUCCACAGAAUUUCCUGAUGUUCCUGCCCUAUGCAGGCUAUAAUUUUCAAUGUGAUAUGAAGCAACUCGCCAGCUCCUAUGAAACUCUGGGGUGUUUUAAGCAUUUUGAAAUGCUGUUGGACAUUCAGAAUGUAUUUAAAGAAUCCAGUGGUGGUCUCUUGGGGCUUGCUGAGGUAAAGUGGACUUGCAUUGUAUGACUAGUAUUGCUGCCUUGCUUACUAACAGUGGUGAAAAGCGGGGAACAUGAUUUCUUCUUGCUCAGAACUCAUGUUGGAAUCUGUGAUGCAUGCCUUUGAGGUCGCUUUUUGCCCUGAUGAGUAAUUACUUUUACCAUUAUCUCUUGCCUCUAACUAGGAAAUACUUGGUGCUGGUUUGAACAAGACAAGAAGGAAUAGCAACUGGGAGCAACGACCUUUGAAUCAAAAUUAGGUUAUUUUACAUGUUCUUUUUCCGUUUUUUUUUAUAUAUUGCCUCAGAAAGGAAAUUGCCGGAAAGAUCACACAAUUUAAUAGCAGAACUCAAAUGGUUGCAGUAGCAUACUAUAAUGUGUGGAAUGCAUCUGGAAGAACGAUAUCAGUACACAGAACUUCAUGGAGACUUCCAAUUAUAUCUUAAUGCUCCAAACAUUCGAGAGCCUAGGGUCAGUAGACAUGAUAAUCAUUUGCUUAAGCGAAUUCUCGAGAUCUUUAGUGCAACAAAAAUUCUCGUGGUGUCUAUUUAAAACAAUGUUUAUGCUGAUAUUUUUUAAAAGAAGUUUUCCUUUUUUUUAUUUUUAUUUUUAUUUUUAUUUUUAACAAACACCAUUUGCUAUUUCAACUCCAAGAAAGAGAGAGAAAAAUAAAGUAUAUUAAGGAGCAAACACAGCAAAGAAAAGAAAAGGAGAAAAGUUAACUGUUGGUGUUUCCUGAAAUAUGAUUAGAGCAGUAGUCCUUUGAUGUAACUGUAACGAUCGCAAUGUUUGCAGCUGGAAUAUGCCGCUCUUGAUGCUGCUGUUCUUGUGCACAUAUUUCAUCAUAUACGGGACCAAUCUCAGCAGGGUACUGCAGAUGGUAAUGACAAAAUCGAAUGGAAGUCUUCUAUAGUAAGUGGACAGCACCUAUUAGUUUUUCUUAAUUCUCCUAUAAGAAAAGCUGAAGUGAAAUGACAUUCUUCUUAAGUUUUGAGCCAGCUUAUUUGACCAUUUAAAAUUAUUGCAGAUUUCACACUUGGAUAAUGCCAAGACAACUAAAAAGAAUGUUCGGAAUAGAAGAAAGUGCAGAGUGGAGACUAACUAGCUGGACAAUCAAUUCAUGAACUGUCGGAGCUAUUUGCUGCAGGGAGUUUUUUCUUAUGUAAAUAGCUUUUGCAUAUAAGGACAUCAUUACUUAGUGAUCCAAUUAACAAUUCUGAUGUGCAUAUGGAAAGGAUUCAUUGCGAAUGAGUACUUCGGUUCCGUCUUCUUGUGCUGGGUCGCUUUUUCUCAAGAGAAUUUAGGUGCCUCAGAAAGCUCGUUGGUCAAAACCUGACCACGGCCACACUCUAUGCUUUUGAGUUCUGGUUUCCCAACACGAAGUUACUAUUGAAUUUCCUUGAUAUGCCGUGAGUGUAUAAAUCUGAUGGAUAUACUCGACAGGAGCCAAAUUGUCUUGUUGAGCCAUUCACCCAAAUGAGCAGCCAUCUAUGCAGAUAUUGUAAUGUAAUGCUCUACCUUGCUCGCUAUAAUUUGCAUUCGUCGUGCCUUUUGUUCAAGCUAAGCGAUUUCUGGGGGAACAAAGCGUGCUGUAUCUGGCAAUAAGAACCAAAAAAAGGGGCGAACGAAACCAAGAAUAACCGCAAUUUAGGUGUGUGCAUGAUUGCGUUUAUAUCCUUUUGGAUUGGUGGAGAUAUUGGUGGAGAUCUUGUGAUAUAACGAUUGAUUUAUUGUUGCGGAUCUUUCUUUGAUUUUUGAAUGAUUGAACUUCCGACUGAUGAACCCCGUCAAUGUAGCUGAUUUGGGACGAAUUUUUCUCGCCACCGAAGCCAAAUCUGAAUCCGAAUCCGGCAUCACGGGUUAGUAUCAAAGAUCUAGAAGCCUUAGUCGCAUGUAACCUCUAACUUCACUUAACAAAAGAAAAGCAUCAUCGUAAUUUCGAAAGAAAAGGGGGAAAAAAGUGAUAUCCAAUGUUAAAAAUAGGUCCGAAUCCUGGUCGCCUAUCUCUCUUACAUGGAAGUUUCCAUCCCCAACAGAAAGAACCACUCUCUGUUUGCUGUCAUCUCCAUAUCAUAACAUUAGAAAGAUCCCUCCUCUCUCUCUCUCUCUCUCUCUCUCUCUGUGAAAAAAGAAUCCUUCCCAUCCGAGAAAGGGGAGAGGCCGAGGCCGGGAGAGAGAGAGAGAGAAAGGGGAGAUACUGAGGACACAGAUGGACCCGUGGUCACCGAGCUACCGAUCCCAUGGAGUUGGCCGGAGUCUAGAGAUCAUGACGAUUCAAACUCGUAACCAAAACCAGAUGUACGUAGCCAAAUCCCGGCCUCGCAUGCUCGAACACGCUUAACCCCCGCACAGACUAGACAACGUGAAGGAGUCGGCGAUAAAAGCAUCGUGGUGGAAUGAUCCGGAGAAGAAGAGGAAGAGGAGGGUGGCCAGAUACAAGCUUUAUUCGGUCGAACGCAAGUUCAAGGCUUCUUUCAAACAAGGGUUCCGAUGGUUGAAGCGCAAAUGCUCGACCUUCGCACGUCGAUUCUAAUUAGCAGGAAUAACGGAAUACCGUGUCCAUCGUCAUCAAGAGAGAAAAAGGGUGAGAAAGAGGAAACAGAGAGAUUUGCUGUGCUCUUUGGGUCUUCAUCUUUAUAUGUAUCUAAUGGUAAUCAAAUAUUUAGAAGGGUGCCACAAUGUUCAAUCUUUCCGAUAUUAUGUUCAUCUGACUCGUUGUUUCAUUCAUCGAUCUCUAGCAUUCAAAACACAGGCAAAUGAGACGACUCUUACGUGACAGUAAUAUAUAUUUAUAUUUGCCGAUUUUUCUUUUUCAUUUUUGAAUUUUCUCACCUUCUAAUACAUUUGUAACAAGAUUCUGCAUCCAUGCCCAUGCAAAGUAGAAUUGUCUGAUUUGUUCAAUUAUCCUCUUUUCUAUAAGCUCUUUUCCUAAUAAAUGUGAUGCUGAUUGCAAAACCAGAUGAAUACUUGUAUUUGUAGGAUUGACAUUACCAUCUAUUUUGUGGUCGAUUUUGUUGGGUACAAUUUUGUUUUGGCCAAAUGUUGUUUACCCCUUGUUUCUGGGGUUCUUUAACCCCCUAAUUUCCUCAAUUUGUCUAGUUCGAUUGCUCUUUGUUGUACGAUUCAUCAUAUGUCAACAUAUAUUCCUGAAAUAGAUAUUCUAAAAUGACAUGCGCCGUGCUAAACAAAAAGGCUUUCGAUGGUUCUAUUUUGGUUUGAGGACAAUUUUCAUAUUUCGAAUGCUAUCCUGUUGAGACCGAAGUUACAAAAAUGUGGAAAACUGAAAGGCCCAAAGGGAACCCUCUUUAAUUCUAUCAAAACUUGCGUAGUUAUUGUUCAAAUGGUCGUAAUUUAUAGGAUCUUGAUGUAAAAUGUUAUAGAACUUCAAAAAACAAGGUCAAAGCAAAUCUUUGGCAUGAAAUCGAAGGAGGAGAGUAUGAAAACCCAUGAGCAGAACCGAACCGGUUCACCAGGUUUAACACCUUCAUCUAGUUAUCUAGUCGAUUCACAGUUUUCAAAUUUUAAAUCAAUUCAACCGAUAAGGUUGUGACUAAUAUUCUAAAAGUAGUCAAAACACAUAGCCAUUGCCCUUUGGAAUAAUGGCUUAGACACUGGUUAAGCAACUUAGUAAAUAAAGUGUAGACUCAAUACAUCAACUUGUGAUUUUUCUUGUGAAAUGUUCAAUCAAUAUUCUGAAAAUUUAAUUAUUUCACAUUAAGUAUGUUUAACAAGUAUUUCGACACGACCCACACUAUAUUUGUGUUAGUAAUUAAAGAUUCGAACUUGGCUUAAAAAGCUACUUGCCCUUACAAGCUACUUGGCCUUUGUAUUGAGCUCUGGAAAAAUUGAGUAUAAGUUCAAGUAGACAAGCAGCGAAAUAGACAGAGUACCUUGCCAGUAGCUUUCAGCCUUUCAACAACUAAAAUUCCACCAUUGCCAUCUAGUACAAGGGUACAGGAAUAUCAAAGAGUAACCUCAAAGAAAUUGCUUCGAUUGGGGCUUCAAUGCGUGACUGGUAACACAAUUUGGUGUAGUAGAGUCUGAUUAUUAACCAAUAAGAUGACCCUUUUAAAGUUUUUUGUUCAAACCAAAUGAGUAAACUUUGGUAAUGGCCCUUUUCACCCUUCCAAAAAUUUCCCAUAUUUUUCAAUAGUCUUCAAUCGUAGCCUACGCCAGAGAAAAAUAGGUUUCAGAUAUGAAAAUGUACGUCAAUGUGGCUCUUCCGCUUUUAGAUUCAUGCUUAAAUAAAUCAAGUUUCAGAUUAUAAGAUCAAAACAAUUGCAAAAUACCUACAUAUGAUUUUUCAACGUAACCAGACUAGAAAGAUGAUUUUACACUGACGAGCGCCUUAUUUUGUGUUCAAGAUUAUUGAGAAAACUACUGUCUUCUUGGAAACAUUAUCAUUGGAACUCUUUCCUGCAAUUGACAAAUUAUUUGCUAAUUCCAUGGCAUUCGCUUUUUCCACAAAAAGAAUCUCUCCGCCACAAAAUUUUAUAGCUUGAAGUGGACAUCUAACCAGUAAUCUCGUUAGCAAAUCUCAUUUGAUGCUUAACCUGCAAAUGCUUUCUUCCAGCAAGCAAUUUGUGAUUCGGCCUUUGCUAAAGAAUAGCACGAUGUCAAAGCUCGCCAAGGCCUAAUGCACCAUAUGAGAAGAGGUCGCUUCACAUCUAGAAUCCUUUGAAGAGUACUAACAACACAAACGCCAACAGUAAAUAACUUCGGGAUGACUUUCCAUAAUGACAAAGAUCAUUCCUGCUCGCAUCUCCAUCCCAUGGUGUUUGGGGACUUUCUCUGAGUUUCCUGAAUUGCAGCUUGAAUCUACACCAGAGGAAUAGCACUGACUAUAAUCAUCAGUAAUGAGAAAAAACCAAGAUACGUAGCAUCACAAUUUACCCCAUCAAAGAUAAGGUACAAAUGCAUAAACAUCAUUUCCACCAGUUGGACCACAAUAAACAGACGCUUCAUUCGCAGGCCGAUGAAAUAGAAAACAACAGACUUGGAGAAGUAAGCAAUUAGCAAUACUUCCCUUGUUUGUAUUUAGGAACAAAAUUGAUGCUAACAGAAUGACGCUGAAAAGGUGUGAGUGCCUAAACCACAUGACAGAAGGAUGUAUUUGUUACUUGGGUAUUUCGUAAUAUCCCCUUACCAAAAUCAGCAAUACUGAAUAGUUUGCAAGGAGGUCAAUUUCAACUUUACAAAUCCAAUACCGCAUACAUGAGAGUUGAGCCUAUCAAAUCAAAAACCUAUAUGAGAACAUUUACAAGAUAUUAUCACACUAAUAAACUGAUAGAAAUGGAGGAGGUUGUCAUCAUGCAUACUUGCGUACUAAUUUCAGGUGAAAUUCCACAACUCAUAUAGUCUAAGCACACAAGUUAGUCUUUCAUCGUACAACUAGCAGUGCAUACCUCUCCCUUCAGAGCCUCAGCGAGUUCAGGGGUGAUAUAUUUAGAAUGCAAUUGUAUCAAACAACUUUGCAUCAGGGUAACAUACAAAAAGUCAGCAGCUACAUGUUUGAUUAAUGAAGAGAUAGAACCUAAUGAGCAUACAGAAACCUUAUUUUAUAUAUAUAUAUAUAUAUAUAUAUAUAUUUACAAUCGUUCAGGUAUGUACUGUUGAGACAUGAUCAAGUGAUCGAAUAUUCACAAGCAUCAAAACUUCCUCAGGACACUCCGGUUGGCCCCAGAGCAUCUUCAAGGUCGGCACAAGAGAUGGUCCUCGGCUGUUGUUGAUGCUUCCUCUGCAAAAUCCCCUUUCUUCAUUUUGAUUGGUCUCAGGUAUGGAAUUUGAAGUUCCUCAGCCAAGUUAGAACUAGUAAUCAUGUUAACAAAUCUCAUUUUAUACUUGACUUCACAUAAAGAACCACCUGCACAUGCAAUCUUCCUAAAAGUGAUUUGUGAUUCAGUCUUUGCCAAAAAACAGGACGAUGCCAAAGCUUGCAAAGGACUAAAACACCACAUGAGAAGAGUUCGCUUGGUAUCAAGAAUCCUUUGGAGAGUAUUAACAACACGGAGCACAUGAUAAACGCCAUUAGCAAGGAACUUCGGAAUGCCUUUCCAUAAUGACAGCUCAUUCCUGCAAUGUUUUGGAACUUUCUCCGAGUUUCAUGAAAUGCAGCUUCAAUCUACACAAGGAAGAUAGCACUGACUAUAUCAAUAAAUGAAGAUAUCUGAGAUCCAAGCAUCACAAUUUACCCCAUGAGAGAUAAAGUACAAUUGUGUAAACAUCAGUGACACCAAUUGCAGUUAGACGACAACGAACAGAGACUUCAUUAGCUGGCCGAUGAAAAAGAAACCAACAGGCUCAAAAGAAGUAAGCAAUUAGCAACACUUUCCCUGUUUGUGUUUAAAAACAGAACUGAAGUUAAUAAAAUUAUGCUGAAAAGGUGAAGUGCCUAAACUAUAGAACAGAAAGAUGUAUUUGCUACUAGGUUAUUUUGCCGGAUCCAAUUAGCAAAAUCAGCAAUACAGGAUAAUUUGCGAGGAACAAAUCCAAUGCCGCAUACAUGAGAGCUGAGCCUAUCAAAUCAGAAACCUAUCUGAGAACAUUUAGAGGAUAUUAUCACACUAAUAAACUGACAGAAGUGAGAAGAUUGUCAUCAUGCAUACUUGUGUCCUAAUUUCAAGUGAAAUUCCACAGCUCAUAGAGAAUAAGCACACAAUUUAGUCUUUCAUGGUACGACUAGCAGUGCAUACCUCCCCUUUCAAAGCCUCGUCGAGUUCAGGAGUGAUAUCAUUAGAAUGCGACCGUAUCAAGCAACUCUACAUCAGGGUAACAUAUAAAAGGUCAGAAGCUAUGUUUGAUUAAUGGAGAGGUAGAACCUAAUGAGCAUACAGAAAGCCUAUUUAAUUUAAAAAAGUACAUUUACAAUUGUUCAGGUAUGUGUUGUUGACACAAGAUCACAUGUUUGAACAUUCAUACACAUCAAAACUUCUUUCGAACACUUCAGUUGGCCCUAGAACAUCUUCAAGGUUGGCACACAAGAUGGUCCUCAGCUGUUGCUGAUGCUUCCUCCACAAAAUCCCUUUUCUUCAUUUUGAUUGGUCUCAAGUAUGGAAUUUGAAGUUCCUCAGCCAAGUUAGCCACACCAAAAUCAGUCGUGAUAAAACAAUUCCAUGGCAGCAAUAUGAUCAAACGUGAUGCAAACCAAUUAGCCAAUUCUUGAGCCCCUCGUCCCAGCUUGUUUCACAGAUGGGAAAAUUUUUUCUAAUUAUGCAAAAGGUCAUCAACACGGAUGACUGAAUUAAAGUCCCAAAGUAAGCCUUGAUCAUUACAUAGACCAAUCAAACCUGUCAUAGAAGCAGCACCAGUUUACCUUGCUUGAUAAUAUUUCAAAACAACAGUUUGACUACUGGUAAUGUUAAGGUGGUCUACAUUCAUAUAUGACAGACUAGCCAAAACAACUUUUAACAUUUUCUUUGUCACCAAACAGAAACACUUGAACCUUGAAUUUUAUUUUGGCUCAGUUGAUCAUAUUCCGAGGAGAAGCGCUCUUCUUAGAAGGUUAAUGAGGGACAUCAAUGGAACGAUAAGAAAUUUGGCGGGGGUUUCAUUCAUUACGGAAAAUCCAAAGGCGAACAGGAUAUCUCCCAUUAGUCAAAUUUGACAUACAAAAGAACUUUCAAAGAAAAUAUGAACAUUGGAAGUUGGGAAACUCUGGGUGUAGUAUACAAUAAUGAGUAGUAGAAGUUCAUCAGCCUCUAAAUGAAAAUUUCAAAUCCCGAGUUUACCGAUAAGGGAACUGUUAAUUACAAGGUAAUUCUUGUUUACCUUUAUUGAUAUUUUCAUUCUUGCCUCGCAAGCUCCUAUAUGUUUGCAAUCUACAAAAGCUGGCAAUGGAAGAAUAAACGAAAAACAUUGCUAUAAUGUAAUUAACAGCAAUUAUACAAAGGCAAAUCUGGAGUUUCCAAAAUCAAUCAAAUAGAUACCCAGUGUAGAGCAAAUCAUUCUAAAAACUUCUCUUUGUGCUCACAUUGGCGAUUCAAGGAUGAAGAAUCUUACUAUGCCUUCUAUUGACAUUUGGAGCUACAUUUUGAUCUUGGCUGAAGCAUCAUGUCAGCUUCUGACCGACUCCCCCAAUCCUUCAAUCGUGUAAGACUAGCAAUUUAGAAAAUUCCACAACCCUGCCAUGGAAAACCUUAUUGUCAAAAGAAAAUGAUGAAAAGUAGGUCAUGAAUCUGAUAAGAAAAAUGAUUGUUCACUGCUUAUUUACCUUAUAUAGGAAAUGAUCACUCCAUGAGUCAAAAUCCAGGUCUUCAUCAUAAUUUCUUAAGAUGCGCGUUCCAGAUAAUUUCGGUAAUGCUUCCAAUGAGUCACAACCAGAAAUAUCCAAAUCAAUUAAAUCCAACUUUUCAAGUCCCCAAAGCUGAGUAAGUUUCUUGCAGUCUCGAACUCCUAGAGAUUGUAACUUCUCACAUCCCGUCAAAUUUGGCAAAGCCUCCAUUGAACUGCAUCCUGUGAGAUCCAACAAUUCUAAGAACUUCGCACCGUCAAGACCUUGAAUUUCAACCAUAUUGUCGCAGUAGACAACCUCUAAUUUCUUCAAACACCGUGAUUCUGGACAGAGAAGCCUUUUAAUGGAAGCACACUCAUAUAUAAAUAUGACCUGUAAGGACUCCAAAUUAUCAUAGCCCUGAAUUUCUACUAGGUUAUUGCAACCCUUAGCAUGCAAUCCUUUCAGACGAACCAAUCCUGAAAGGUCCAAUCUUUCAAUGGAACCGCACUCUCUUAUUGAAAACCCUUCCAAAUACGUGCAUCCAUCAAGAUUGAGCAAUAUCAGCUUAUCACACUCCUCAACACAGAGUUUCGAGAGUCUUGAGGAAAGCUCGGGGAUGGAUUCAAGUAGAGGACAUGCCUUAAGAUGGAGUUCUUUUAGGUGGAUUAGGCUAGAAAGCUGUGGCAACCUUCUGGGACUCUGACAAGAGAUCGACAGCUUAGUUAAGCCCAAAGAAAGCUCUGGCAACGACUGGAGCUCCUUACAGUCCACUAGUUCAAGGCGUCGGAGAGAAGAAAGAUUCCGGACACUUUCUGGCAGGUUAGAUAUCGGUGUCCAAGCGAGAUUGAGAUACUCGAGGGAAGACAAGUCACCGAUUUCACUUGGAAGUUUUUUUAUCACAGAAGCACUCAAGUCAAGACGUUGCAAAUUCUGUAAAUCCCCAAUUGAGCUAGGGAUUUCUCUCAGUGACUUACAGUAGAAAGCACUCAGUUUCUUCAGCUCCCUCAGAGAAGCAAUAGACGGAGGAAUCUCUGUAAUACCAGAAGAAUCUAAUAAAAGUUCUUCUAAAGCUUUUAAUUCGCCCACCUCCUCUGGUAGCUCCUUGAGACCUUUACAGAAUUUCAAGUCCAAGAAACAAGGGCCGUGAGUUUGCCAAUAGACGGUGGAGAUGCUCCAGUCUGCCACAUUGGACCAAUUUGAGAAUCUUCAACUGUGUGAAAGCCGAGAAAUCUGGAGUACAUCUUAAACUAGGACACCCAUAAAGGGCGAGAACUUUUAGCCGCUUUGACGCGUGAUGCAAAAAGAGAAUAAGCCAUCAAAGAAGAGGAGUUGAUCGGCUAAAUAAAAACAAAAUUCUAAAAUCGCAGAGAGGAUGUCUUUUUUCCCCAAUCUUACCAUGAAUGAAUUCCAUCCUUUCCAAUCCUCUGUGAUCUUGCUGUUACAUAACUCCAGCACCGAUAAUUCCGGCAGAUGCAAAUUGGUUGUCGAAAGAGACGCAUGGCUUUCAAGAACAUCCCACCGAAGCCAUCUGACUUCAGAAAGGGAUUGCUUGAUGCCUCCGCUUGAAGUUGCCCCCAAAAAGUCGUGGAACCAGGGACAUCUCUGCAAGUUUUUGAACUUUUUAUUUUUUGCUUUUUUUAAAUCUUGGAUUUGCACGAUUUGAUACCUUUUUAUCCUUCCCCAAUACAAAUAUGGAAACAUAAACUUACAUUUAAUUCUUUUUUUUUUUGACGACCUUUCGAAAAAUUAAACAAAUGACACUAAGAUAAAGAAAAAAAUAGUUAUUGCUUUAAAACAACUAAGGUGAAUGCACCUCAAUGUUUUGUCUCUUGCUUCUUCUUUUUUUCAAAUUUUGUAGCACGUACACUUUGACUUUUAUUUAAAAUACAUGAAACCAUUUUACAACGUCCAAAUGUUUAAUUGUAAAUUUUCAUAUGACUUCUCUAUAAUUUCUCUAAAGAAUAUGUCAAAAAUUGCCAAUGGGCCACUUGUAAGUAGCUAAGGAAGCACCCGGUUUUCAUUUCAUUAGUUAAAUGUACUAAUGCGGAAGAGAAAAAAAAAUGAAUUUUUUAAUAUAUUUCAAUAUAUAAAAAAGAUUAUAUGGAAGGAAAUCAAAAGAAAUCAACUCUGAUAUGCAUAAUCAAAAUAGAUAAAGAAAAUCAAAAUAAAUAUACUAAUUAUCUCUAGAAGAUAUCUAAAUAUCUUUAACUUCAUUAACUAUUUAUGUGAAAUAUUUACUCAUUUCUUUGAAAAUUGAAACGUUUUUUUUUUUUUUGGAAAGUAUGUUUAAAGAGUGACGUGGUGACAUUGAUUAGCAAUUUUGACAGGGAUUGGAAAAAAGAAAAAAGUCACUUUCAAAGUAACUGAAAAAUGAACCGAUUAACCAAAAAGUGACGUGGUGACAUUAUUUAAUCAUCAUAUGUCCGUUUCCAUAAGAAUGGCAUCGUUUCUUUUUCAUCUUAUAAAUCAAAAAACAUACUGUUAACUUUCGUGCUGAAAUAGAUCCUUUGAUUAGUUGAAGAUGGUGAAAAAAAAUCCCUGAUGGCUUUGAUUGACUUUUAUAAUAAUGCCUAUAUUUUCCCCCAAAAGUUCAAUUGGUUAGAAAUUCACUUUUAUGGUGUGACAUGUCUGUUAUUAUCUCUGCUUUAAAUAUUACCAGUGAAAUGCAAUAGGUAUAAGUUAAUCUUUAUUCGUCAGAAAAGUUGCUAAAUUGUUGUAAUCACCAUCCCACAGUAUCUUUUAUAAUUUUCGCUAGUACUAUACUGUAUAUUACAUCAAAAAAUCUACUGUAUGGAACGGGGAUUUUAAACCUCAAACUUCCCUCAAAAGUUUCCACACAAUUCGCAUAUAUUUCACCAAAAUAAACUAAAGAAAUAGGAUAUAACAAAAUAGACAUAAUCAUAUUUGAAAUAGUCAAGACAAUUGGAAAUUAGUCCCAUAAGUAUUUCAAUUUCUAAAGUUAAAUAAAAAUCUCUCAAAUCGUACAAUCCUUUAAUAUUUUUCUGACACUAUUUAUCAUCUUUCAACAUUUUCGUCCAUUCAAAACAGAAUUGACUUUUCUUUUUCAUUUUUCCAAACACCUGUAUCGUGUGCUCUUUUUGCUAAUGUAAAGAAGUGAUUGGAUCAACAAAAGAGUGAUAUUAAAUCAUAGGAACGAACUAUUUCAAAUUAUAUCAAGAAACUAAAGCUGCUUUGUUUGCCCAACAUCUCUUGGUCAAUUUCUUGGUUUAAUUCAUCGCCAUUGAUCAGCCAUGAGCCUAUGAGGCUUUCCAAACGGACAAAAUAUAACAAAAGGACAUGAACAUUGAUAAUUUAAGUAAAAGAUAAAACAUAGUUGAAAAAAUUGGCCUCGUGAUGAAAAUCAGAUAUAAGAAUACAAGGUUAUGGAUAUAAUAAUGAGCAUGACAUUUUCCCCGAUUUAUCAAGUUUUCUUCUUCUUCUUUUAUUUUUAAAAUGGUCAAGUUAGUCUAGCGAAUUCUAGCACAAAAGAGGCAUUGUCCCGAAAUAUAUAAAUAAUAUAAUACAACUUAUAGCAGAUAGUAAUGUUUGUUAUAAGGAAAUCCACUCUUUAUUAUACACCUAACCUAAUCCAUGAAAUGAGCAAGGUGAAUGGGAUAAAACCCUAAAAAAAUGUAAGAUUUUCCUAUGUAUAUUCUUGAGGGGAUUUUUGCUAUCUAUUAAGAGGAAAUAAGAAUGAAAAGAGAUAGAUAUAACUUAGGAAGCGCUGACACUCUUCAGGAACCUUAGUGUAAUGUCAAACACUCCGAUACGUGUCCAACACUCUCCAACACUCUCUAAUACUUGGUCAAUUCUCCUGACACUCAAGUCCAAAAUUUUGACAUGCGAGUUCGGAAUUCUGACACAUGAUUCUAAUAUGCACAUGAUCAAUUUUAAAAUUUUUCAAUAAGAGGAAUCAAAAUAUAAAUAUGUAAAAAAAUAAAAAAAUAAUAAAAUUAAUAUAGACAAGAAAAACCUAAUAUUCUCUUCUCUUUUGACUCUCACUUCACGUGAGAUACAAUUCACCCCCAAGUUUUGACACACUAAUCCAGAAUAUGCAUUGCUUGUUUUUUUCCUCUUAAGUUUUAUAAAUUAUUGAAACGGAGUUGAAUUUGUCAAAUUAAAACAAUGAUAUCAAUAAAUGGUGGAUUAAUGUUUUUAGUGUAAAUGCAUUAUAAGCUCUUUUUAUAUUUAUUUAUUCGUGAAUUUGAAUAAAAUUUUAAUUAAAAUGAUCAUUUAUAUAUAAAAAUAUACAUUUCAUAAAUAACAUGUUCAAACAUGUUGAAAUUCUAUAUUUUUUUACAAACGUGUGGACGUGUCGUGUCGUGUCACGUUGCAUGUCGCGUGUCGGUGUCAGUAAUACUUAGAAUAUAACUAAUAGAGGGAGCGGUAUCUUCAAAAUCAAAAUGGAGAAAAAAAUAUCAAACAUUCAAUUCCUAAAUCAAAAGAGCACCACAAUACAUUCGGCCAUACUAGAGAGCAAACAUAUGUGAUAAUUGUGAAAUUUUUUUCCAAUCAUAUUGUUUGAAUUAAUUAUCGGUUAUUAUACUAUCAUUUUUUUCAACUAGGAAAUCUUCAUUUAUUUGAUCUAUGAUGUUUAUACUUCAUCUUCAUUCAUAAUUGUAGUCCUUCUAAUUAUCAAUAUUUUCAACUAGGUACAACAAUUACAUGCUUUAAGUAAAAUCUUAAAUUGAUUGUCAAAACAAAUUUUUACGUAAGUAAUUUAUAUAAAUGCAAUUGAAUCAAUGAUAUAACUUUUUCAUCCUUGAGAUGCUUAUAAAUUAUUUAGUGUCACAAUUAAUCUAUGAUGGGCAUAAAUGGAUGUUUAAAAAGAUUUUUUUUUUCCCUAGAAAGUAAAGAGCAUCUUUUCAUGCUGGAUGAAAUAUUAGAAUAGAUGACCUUAAAUUUAUUAAAAUAAGGGGGAGAGAAGGAAAAAAGUGCCAUAUUUUACCUCAAGAUGUCUUAGCACUCUUGGGACUCUUGGGACUCCCUCAUAAUCGUUGUCCCGUGGUGUACUGCAUUUCUUAAGCAGUUGUUCUUGGUGAAAAAUGCUCCUUCCAAGAUCUCUCAGUUGAUCAUGCACAAUAAACUCACCAUAAUCUCCGAUUUUAAUUAAGCACCUCAACUUCAACUCAUUAAUUCCUAGAUUUGGAAAAAACUCACAGUCCUCCCACAUGUACAUGGCAUAUUGUAUAAAACAUUCAUGGUUUAGUUCAUCAAGAAAUAAACAAACAAUAUCGAGAAAAAUCUGCUUAUGUCCAUCUUCUAAUGCAUCAUAGCUUAUUUGCAAUUUCUCUUGGACUCCUUUAUGUAGUUGCUUUUUUAAUUGCCUCCGCACAUCUUCCCAUACUUUUGGAUCCAUUUUUCCAUACAAGGAAGAACCUACAACCUUAAGAGCCAAGGGAAGCCCACCCAUGGUGGAUACAAUAUCACUAGAUAUACCCUCAAAGUCCCUUGGAGAAUGGUCCUUACGAAAUGCAUGUCUGUUAAACAAAAGCAAAGCACUCACCUCAUCCAAUUCAUUCAAUUCAUACUUGUAGUCUACCUUGAAUUCAGAUUGAUCAAGAAUAGCUUCAUUUCUAGUUGUAACAAUGAUCAAACUUCCUGCCAUAAACCAAUCACGUUCCCUAGCCAACGCAUCAAGUUGAUUCUUACCAUCUACAUCGUCCAGAAGAAUGAGAACUUUUUUUCCUUUGAAUUUAUAUUUGAUGAUAUUAAUUCCAUCAUCAGUUCUAGACACGUGACUUUUGCUUAGUAGUAUAUCCGAUAUUAAUUGACUUUGUAAAUCUGCAAUCCCCUUGCACCUAGUAGUUUCUCCAAUGUUUGGAAGGAAGCUAGCACACACAAAUGUAUUCGAGAGUUGAUUGUAGAUGCACUUGGCAAGAGUUGUCUUGCCUAUCCCGCCCAUGCCAUAAAUUCCAAUCAUUCGAGCAUUGAUGGAAGGACUGUCUAUCCAGUUCAUAAUUUCCUUCAUAUGAGCAUCAAGUCCAACUAGUUGCUUAGGCACAUCCAGCUGAAAAUAUUCCUGUAACUUGUUUAUAAUAGUUUCGACCACACGUUCUACUAAUUCUCCCUCAUGCCUGUCAAACAACAAAAACAACGAGAGAUUAUGAACCUUGACAUAGUUUGUGAAGUUUUCAAUCCUUACCAACUAAGCUCACCCUUGUUGGCUAUAGGAGGUCAAUUUUAUCUGGUGGUGAUCAAGUUUUGGAAGACUGGGCAUUGGAGUCCUUUGUAGGCCUAUUGUUUAGUGAUUGAUACUAUUGGCUAGAGGUACGGUCUUUUUUUUUUUCUUUUUUUUUGGCUCUCUAGCAGAGGACAACGUAAAAUUCUUGGGCACUGUGGGAAGCUUUGGUUUUAGUUGUCGUUAAUUUAGUUUUCAAGGUCAUCUUGGGGAGUAAUGGUGUUUGUUGUCUUCGAGGCAUUAUGGUUGUUUAUUGGGCCAUUUUGGGGAUCUUUUCUGAGCUUGCAUUGAAUUAAUUCAUUUGCAUUUCAUUGGUUCUGCGAGAAGAAGAAAACUUAUCAAAAAAAGAAAAGUUAUAUGAAGUACCCGUUGGCAAAUUUCUCAGAUUCCCAUCCAUGUAAGAAACUGACUUCAUUAAGUGCCCGCGGCCCUUCCAGGAUAUCCUCCUCAUUAAGAUACUUCUGACUUGAACGGAAGGCGUCCCCAAAACUCUCAUUUAGAUACCGCACAUCCGAUGGCUUCACUUCGUAAAAAAUUGGCAACACUAUGUGUGACAUGCUAUUCUUACAAUCUAUCAUAUGAAUGAGCUCACGGAGGCACCAUUUACUCGUAGCAUAAUUUUUGGAGAUGAUGGGGAUCGAAAUUUUAGACCGUGAGAUGGCACUGAGAAUCUGUGAACCAAAUUCCUCACCAAUUGGGAUGCUGUUAUCGUCCCUGAACACGGAAAUAGGUACAGUCCCUGCAUUGACCAAUCUAUGGUAGAGGUGAUCGGCAAAUUUCUUUCGAGUAUCUGAGCCACUAAAGCUCAAGAAUACGUCGUAUUGAUGACCACCUUGUGUUGUGGGCACCAGAGAGAUGAACGAAGAAGUGGAUGCUCCCUCAGUGCUCUCUUCCUCUGCUCUCUUUCGCUUUCUCUGACUCUCCCCUCUGUCCAUGGUGAUCUGAGAGGGGAAGUUGAAAUGAAAGAUGCUUUUUCUGCUGCUUCAAAGGAUUGAUGAACAACAAAAGACACUUUUAGGAUGCUUUUCUGCAAAUGCUUGUUGGCUUGGUCCACUCCAAAUAACGUGGACGUUAAUUUCUCCCCAAGGCAAUGCUGAAGGAGUUUCGAAUUCUUGAGAAAGACAUUUUGAUGACACGGCCCUCAGUUAAGUAAGCUGACGUCGUUUCACUGUGGAAGAUUAGGUGGCCCUAAAAAGGCCCCCGAAAAGCCCACAUCAUUUACUUGUUUAGAAACACAUAGUUGAAACACAUAUAGAUAUUAAAACACAUAUGAAAACAGACUGAAGUGUAAAAAAUUGAACAACUACAUAACUUCAUGCACGUUAUGAUAUUCUAAGACUGAUUCUUUCGAUUCGCACCUAAGAUACUGAAACUAUGUUGGAAACGCUAUGGAAGCAUCUUCCCUUAAACAAAACCUCACAUGAUGCCUAAUCCUUAUCAUAAUCUUCAACCUUACUCUUAUUAAUUUUGGCCUAAUAAUAAACAACCCUGACUAUGUCCCCCACCUCAUCAUCACAAUCCCUUCUCUAUCUAAUCCCAUUUCCAUUGGCCAAACUAAUGUAGUGUCACGUAAUUGUUGCCCAAUAACCUCAUCCUCUAGAUGUGUGCACUUUUCUACUCGCGAUUUUAAUUUUGCAGGGUUCAAGUUUAAGGCAUCGCUCAUAUGUAAAAUUAACUAAAGCUGAAAUAUUAAUCGCGGAAAAAUUUUCGAUUGCCCAGUUGCUUAAAUUAUGAAGGAAGUCGAUGAAAAUGAUUCUAAAUGAAAGACAACUACUUCCUUUUGGGCCCACGUUUUCUUUUUCCCUUUCUAGAAGUGCAUAGAAAUUAGGAAAUGUAAAAGUUGCACUUUUCUUCCAAAAUUGACCUUGCUUCCUUUUUUAAGGAUGAAUAAAUGAAGGAUGAUCAAGUCUAUCAAUGAAAUUAAGUUCCAUUUACAUCAUUUCCACCCAACAUGUAUACGAACAUAUUUCAAGGAAUUUUAACCUUCCCUCUCAUGGUCUGCCUGUUUUUUCAUUCUUCAUUUUGAAAUUUUGAAAUUUAUGGCUUUAGUAUGCUCAAAAUUGGGCCUUUUGUGGGAUAAAAAUUUAUGGCUCUGAAAUAAGAUUAAUAUUAAUACAAAAGGCUGCGUCCCACUUGUAGUUCGAAUACUGCGGGAAGCAAUUUUGCUCUUUGCUUUAGAUGUAAUGCAAUAUGUUGCAUCCUUUUGCAUGUAUACAAAUUAGCAUAUCAAACGGUGUCGUGUUGACAUUUCAUAUGGUGAAACAUUUGAUAUUCGCAUUUGUUGUGUCAUGUCAUCUGACCCGCUUUAUUAAAAGAGGCGUGUUCAUAUCGUGGCAGUUCAACACGUUUACUAAACACUUCUUGUUCAGCUUUUGUCAUAUUCAUGUUAUAUCCUACUUCGACAUGACACGACAAAAAUCCCCAGCUAUAUCUUUAAACACAUGACCGCUCACAAAACCAAUGGAAAAUAAAUAAAAAGAAUGUCCAAAGUCUCUGAAUUUUUGUGGUAUUUAAGGACCGCUCGACGAAACUUAUACUUGAUUUUUUUCCGAAAAAAAAAAAAAAAGAAUUGCUAAAGUGAACAAGUCUCUCGGCCUUUGUUCUCGGAUCAGGGUACUCUCCCUCCUGCUUAACUUCAAUCAAUCUUAGACCUCUUUGUUCUCUCUACUUGUGUUUUGGUUCAAAUUCGGUGAUUUCAUAUUUUCAUCUUAUUUAAAAUUGCUAUAUUCUUAAUGAAGUUGUAAAUGUGAGGUAGACACCAAUUUAAUUUUAUUUAAAUUAUCGAUUGAUAUAUUGUCUACAAAAUAGAGCUAUAAUUUCUUAAAUGACACCCAAUGAGCAUGACAGAUUAAAAUCAAGUUACUAAUGAUAUAUGAAAUACUUGUACACUGUCAUUUCUUUUAUUAAAAUUUUGUUGGCAUAUUAUUCACCUCUUGAAAAAUCAGUAGACCAAUGAAAAAAGAAGUAUGCGAAAUAUUUUUAAAAAAAAAAAGAAGAAGAUAAUUUCGGAGAAAGCAUAAAAAAGAAGGGAAUGAAGUGUCAAAUGAAAUCUCCUUUAACUGAAGACUUACUCUUAGGAUGAUUGGUUUCAAGAUGAUUAGGUUCUAAGCUAAGAAUUAGGAAUUUAUACAAUAAUAAUCGGUUCUCCAUUUUUGUAUCCGAGAACCAAACUAGCUGACCCCAAACUGGCUGACUUUUAUUUUUCUGAUUUAUUUUUCUAUAAAUUGAUCUAGGACCUUCAAACACAGAGAAACCUCACAACGCAUUAAAAUAUAUAUAUAUGGAUUCAAGCAAAAUAUGGAAAUUUUGCGCGCAAUAGAUUCUGGCGCACUUGCAGAUCUACUCAUUCUAGUUCAACAAAAGAUUAAUACUGAAUUGCAAUGCAACUAACAAUCUGACAACAAGGCCAUCAUGGCAUUAGCCACAUCUAAAGUUGAAAACAAAGGAUUUCUUUUUUCACCGAAGUCAAAUCUAAGCGGGGGGACAUACCUCGUCAACAGGCAGCAGCGACUCCAAAGAAAGAAUAAAAGACCCUCCUCAGCUAUUCAGCAGCCACCCCACAUCGCCAAUAGACAAAAAGGGCCCAAAACACACUAGUUCAGCCCAUCAUUAUUCCAAUAACAAAGCAGCGGAUCAAUAGAAACGACACGCUAAUUAGACAUGAAAAAGCAAUUACCUCCCGCGACCUGAGACGCAAAGAGAGAUGCGACAUCAGAGAGAGGAGACCCUAAACAAGCCUAGGUGAGAACUUUCGAGAGGGAAAAGAUCAAAGAAAGCAAAUGAGGACGAUGGUUUUGAAUUGUUCUGCAAAAGAGAGGCCAAACAUGAGAGAGAGAGAGAACAUUUGGACCAGAGUAUAGAUUGACNNNNNNNNNNNNNNNNNNNNNNNNNNNNNNNNNNNNNNNNNNNNNNNNNNNNNNNNNNNNNNNNNNNNNNNNNNNNNNNNNNNNNNNNNNNNNNNNNNNNACCAUUUUGUUAAACAGAUAAAUGUAACUCUUGCUAAUUUUUCAUUAUGAUAUUAUCAAAGACGUUCUUCCUCCUGUAAAUGCUACAUUCUCUCCCACCAUGAACAUGCAUUAAUCAUAUUGUCAAAUCUAUGGUAGGUCUGUAACUUUCUAUGCUAUAUAUAUAUGUAAAAGUCACAUAUUUGCUGUAAGCAAUUAAAUUACAUGAAAACCACACUUUGUGACGAGUUUCUCUAAUUCAAUCCGCUAAGACAGUCCACCUAAAAAUUGUCCACAUAUUAAAUAUGUGUAAGUACAUCGAAACCAGCAGCUUUGCUCAAUUUCAAGUUUUCCAUUGUAACCAACACGCGAAGGAAAAAAAAAAAAACAGUACAAUUAUGCAUAAUUUCUGGAAAACAUUUGAAUUUUCUGUCAUUUCUAGAAAUUACGAAAAUUACCAAUAUAAUGGAAAAUAGCUUUAUGGACAUUCAAAAAUUCUCCAGUUGAUAUGAUGUGUUCAGAUAAUUUUUUGUUGUUGACAAUUCUAAUCCGCAGCCUUUGAAAGGUUUUGUGCGAUUAUCGAAGAGAAUAGACCAACACAAUCAAUAUUUGAAAAAAAAUCUAGUUUUUAACUGUUUCCAAGGAAAAAAAAAGAAUUACUUUUCCAAAAACGGAGUAUUUUGGAUGUUUCAGGCUUUAUUGCGUCUAGAAGGGUAUUUUCGUAAUCUUAAGACAGGCCUUUUGUCCCAAGGGAGUUCAGUCAACCAUAUAAGUUUUGCAAACAAUAUGGGGAUGAGGGCCAGCACGUGAUUCCACCCAAUUCAAUCAGUCUAACCAUUCAUAACCAAUUAGUUUAAAUGAGAAGAUUGUAGUAACAAAAAUUAGCAAUAUAUAUGUGAUGAUGAUUUUACGAAAGUCGAGGGAAUUUCACAUGUAUUAUUAUACAUGCAUUAUUAUGUAUGCCUUAAAAGGAUGUUAGAAGUUAUGGGAUGAGUAAUAAAUAAUCACGCGUAUUUUAUUCUUUGUGCUAUCAAUUGGAAUAGACCAGAGAAUGAAGGUUGUGCUUACCUCCAGGAGCGAUUCAGAGAUGAAAUAGCUGUAACGGGUUUCAGUGUUUGAGAAGAAGUCGCCUUGAAGUAGAUCGAGUUGGGUCCGAGUCCCGAAAGGCCGCGCAAUCCCGAGGAUCACCUUCACGCCUCGACCUAGACCGGCUUGGUUUGGAAAGACACGAAGGCAAAUUUGCAGAUCAUCUCAGGUCAGAACGUCGCGAGAAAGGACGAGUAGUGGCUACGAAAUCACCAACUACAUACGGGGAACUUGCUAUCUUUCGAUACAAUCCAGAAACGACCUCGUGUUCCGCCGAAGACCCCCCAAAUCCAGGAACCCUAAUCACCUCAGCGGAGUCCGUUAUCAGAAAUUAUAGCAAGCGGAACACUAAAAAGUUCGAAACUCGACACGAUUCGAGUUGAUUUUACCUGCUGAUUGGUGCCCGCCGAAAAACCAGUCCUUUGAAGCCGGUGGUUCAGAAGGAGCGACUGCAGGUGCUCUUCGCGACGGCCUCGGGUGUACUGCUUGGGUGGAUUCGCGAAAAAGAAGAUCGCUGCUUCCUCCGCCGAUUCAAGCCGAAGUUCUCGCUCUGGUCGUAGAGGCUUCGAUGUGCUUCAGACCUGGAAGUAGAGAGAACUUAUACGCGGGGGUCGGACAACGCGGUUCCGUGUUGACUCUCUCUGGUGGAAGAUGGUCACGUGCCAUGGUUAGGUGGAGGCACGUGUCUUGGACGCCCAAGCCAAAGUUGGCUAAAUUGCAAAAGAGUGUCGGUGGCCCACCGUGGAACAACGGAGAAUCAAAUAGCUGCUGAUUGGCAGGCGAAGGGCGAGGGCUCGCUGCCCUGACGCACGGCAAGCAGGAGCCGAGAGCCCUCGUGAUCAGGCUGCCAGUUAUCACUAGCCAUACCAUAUAAGACGUUCAUUAUUCAAAUCAAUAAUUUUCAAUCAAAAUUAUUCAAAUAGACUAUAUUAGAAAAUUAUUAAUAAGUUGAAAAUUAAACAAGUUGAAUUAAAAAAAUUAUGAUUGAAUUGGUACGAAUAUAAUAAAUUUAGAACUUUUUUGAUAAUUUUUCCUCAUUAAAUCUUAUGGAAACCACACUAAAUGAUAAGUUUCUCUAAUCCAAUCCACAAAUGUCUUCCUAGAAAUUUCUUGUCAAUUAAAUUAUUUUAGAAUGAAAGGUCACCUUCCUCCCAUGAAGUUCACGACGGGUUCUAGAAUUUUCCUCCCAUGUCUCUUUUUGAUUUUAACCUUUUUGGCCAAGACCCCAAAAUAAUUCCUUCUUCGAAAUUGCCAAGACCUCUUUUGAUUCUUACCUUUUUGACCAAGAGCUCAAAACAAUUCCUUCCUCGAAAUUGCCAAGACAACUAACCUUUUUGACUAAGAGCUCAAAACAAUUCCUUCCUCGAAAUUGCCAAGAUGACCCCUUUGUAGACUUUCCUUGUUAGUUUUUUUUGUUAUUUGAUCCAUUGGCCAAGCAAAUCAUAGUGAAAAUUAAAUUUUUGAAGAUGAGCAGUACUUUUGCUUUAUCCUCACCUUUUGACAAUGGCUCCGCUUGGCCACUCAAUUCAAAUUGAAGAUGGGCGAUACUUUUUGCUUUAUCCUCGCCUUUUGCUUUUCCUGCCCCAUUAAUUGAAAGAGUACAUACUUUUAUGUUGAAGUCAAGGUGUUCACAAUCAAAAUUAGUUUUCACACGAUGCUAUUUCAAAAGAGCCCCACAAUCAUCUACUUUAAUUGGCAACUUCCGCAAGGUGUUCACAUUGGAAAUUACUUCCCCUCUUACCUCAAAAGAUGAGCCAAAUGUGCUUGGGAUACACACAAUCCCACCGUGGAUUUAAUCGUCCCUGUUGAAAAAAUUUACUACUUUAAUCGAUUAACUCUCAACUUUUGUUAGUUCUCUAUGUAAUGGGAUCGCAUGACUGCAUAAAUCAAAGUGAAGAUGGACAACAUUUUGCUUUCCCUUCCCAUUGAAAUGAAAGCCUCUCACUGCUGGAGGCAUUGAAAUGGUAAAAAAUUUACAUUUUAACUCAUAUUUAGUGACUCGAAUUAAAAAUAGAGGCAUCUUGUUGUAAUGACACUUGACUAGAUCUAGCGUCGCAUUUGAGUCAUUCUGACAUGCAUCGAGCUAUACGCGACAUCGGAUCUUGAUUAGAUCUAAUGUUGAGCCCAACACUGCAGUGGGCCAUCAUCGAGGAUUCAUAUCUCAAGAACAAAUAUGUUGUUGCAUCAAUCAAGCGCAACGCCAAAUUGAGUCAAUAGGAUAUUUCUCCAUACAUAACAUGCUCAUGUCAAUAUUUGCAUUUUGCAAAAGAAAUCUUUAUCAAGAAAGACUUUUUCGGAGAUUCUAUAUCAAUUUUUCUAUGAACCGAGUUAAUUAUCUUUUAAAAAAUUCUCUGGUGAGGGAAAGCAAGUCUAAGUGUUCCGCCAUCUUGCUUGCUUAGUUGCAAAGAAAGUGAUAAGGCAAAAGUCGACCGCGGGGGGGGGGGGGGGGACAAAGGGAAGUUAAAGUCUUCCACAAUCUUGCUUACUUAGCUGCAAAGAAAGGGAUAAGAUAAAAGUCGGCAAAACCUAAGGGGAAGAUUCUAGUGAUUACAAGCAAGUCAAGUCUUCUACCAUCUUGCUUGCUUGGUUGCAUCAGGAGAGGAGAGGCCAUUAUUUAUCUUGAAAAUAUUGUAUAAACUUAAUAAAUAAAUGAUGCGGCAGAAAAUUAUAAGAUAAUAAUUGUACCAAAAUUUGCAUUUUACGAUUGGGUUUCUUAUGGGGUUUGCACUGUUUCUCUUAAGUGUUUCUCUUAAGUAUUUUAAUAAAAUCUAGAUGUUCAACAAUGCUUCGUAAAUAUGUUAUAUAUCAAACUCUUCAAUUUGCAUAUUGUUCUGAUAGCAUACACGGUAAUGUUAUUCUUCUAUAAUUAUACUAUUUUCCUUUAAAAUGACAAGAGUAUGCAAUGGGUGUGAUCCUGAUGUUAAUUUAUCAUCAAGUGUUUGAGGAAAGUUGAAAUUUACAUUUGAAAGCUAUAUGUUACUUGAAAAUAUAAAUCAACAUAGCCAAAAGUAGUUACUUCAUUAAGUUGGUCAAAUUAUCAUCUUUAUUUAAAUUCAUAAAAUUAAUUUUCUUCUCUCUUGCUUGCUUUGCUUAUGCUGAUCGUGAAUUUUUUUUUUUUUAUGAGAUUUACAUUACAUCCAACAUUUUUUUAGUCCAAAUACAAUUCAGCAAAUAUAUCAGAUUUACAGAGUAAUUGCUCCAUAUCAUGAGAAUGCUAUUAAAAGGAGUAACAUGUAAAACUAGUGAGAUUUGUGCCUUUUGCUAGGAACAUACUUGUCGUUUUUUUGGCUUAAUAGAUAAUGGACAGUUAUGAUGAUAUGAAAAAUCUGAUUUUUGCUGGCUCUUAUUAGUCAUAAACCCUGGGAAUGAAAGGUAUUUAGGCACUCUCCAUGGCUUCAUUCGUUUCGCAUAAAAUGUUGUGGUUCUAGAAAAUAUUUUCCAGAAAGCCAUUUUUUAAGAAAAUAACAAUAUUUCCGAGUGUUCGCUUGAAACAUAAGAAUGAAUUGAAAAAUAUUUUUCGCCAUUCAGUGUGGAAAAUUCAAUUUGAUUUCUUUUUGUGCACUCAUUUUAAUAAUUUUUUUAUUUUUUUAAAAAAUCUAAAUUUUGAUUAUUUUAUUUUUAAAAUUUCUUUCUGCUUUUUUCCUUUUACUUUUACUUUUCUAUUUUUACCUUUUAUAUUUUUUAUAUUUUUUUCCUUCUUCUUUGGUCAAUCACCAACCACGGGAUGUGCCCGAAAAGAAGGAAAAAAAAGGGAAAAAAUGAAAAAUGAAAAAUGAUUAAAAAAUUUCAAAUUUUUUAAAAAAGAAGAAAAGAAAGAAGAAGAGGUUUGCAAGGGUGUGAGAUAAGAUAGAGUAAGUGAGGAAAAUGUUUUCCCCUAUUUUAGAAAAAACAUUGCUAUUAAUGCAAAAUAUUUUUCUCAACUAGUUCAUUUUCUAUUAAAUGAACCUUGAAAUAUCCGAAAAAAUUUUCUUGGAAAUUAUUUUCCGCGAAACGAAUGAAGCCCAAGUGUCUUCCAGAGCAAUAGUAGGAUAAAUGGAACACCAUUGGAUCUUUGACUCUUCCCUCUUUAUUCGAUACUAAUUCAUAUCCUCACCAUGAUUUGGACUAUACAAUGUCAUUGUUGUUCUUGUGUCCAUGUUGGGUACAUUCCUCUGGAGUUGAUUCUUGUAAAAACUAAUUUCACCCUACGGCAAUUAUUUCUAAAUUUCAUGCAAACAAGUUGGAUCUAUUUGACUUCCAAAAGUUGGCUAGUAAUGAACAUAGACUUCAAAGGUGCCGUAUAUGUCAGUGGAAUGAGUAAGUCACAAGUUCCACCGUUUCACGUUCUCUAGGUUAUUUUCACCAACUCUAUUAAUGUGCUUGGUGUAGUCUAUUCCCAAUUACAUCUCCAAUUCACUAGUAGACAAUGAAGAUGAAUACCUAGCAGGCCGUGCGGUGUUCUUCGAAGCAAAGACCAUAGAGGUUUGUGGGCACUACUUAAUGAGGCUGCAUUCUUUCUCUGUGGAUGGAUUGUAUUAUAUCGACUGACAUAUGCCACAUGCAUAUUUGAGAGUCAACUCAUCGUUAUCGCCAAUAUGUGCUCCAGUUGGAGCUCCCGACUCAGUCCCAAAGAUUUGUAAUAUGGAACAAGAAGCAUUGUGAGCCCCUCCAACUUGAACCUUGAAGCCCAAGGCAAUGGCUAUCAAAAAAAAGAGCGAGACAAGGAAUUUUGCCUUUAUGGCCAAUGCUAUUUCAUUGAAAAAGGUAUCACCCUUCUUGUUCACGAAUUCAAUUGACAUUAGGUGUUAAAAUGGAAUGACUCAAUUGCUUGACCGUUAAUCUAAAUCUUCGGGUCUCAGUCUCAAUAAAUUCUUCUUUUUUCAUGUAAUUUGCAAGCUCAUUCUCUCAUUCCAAGGUACAAGACAUGUAUCAAUGGAACAAAUCCACCAUGGUGUAAAACAAGAGCUUGAAUUAUCAUAUCAGAAAAGCAGAAUGUGAUUGUUUCAAGCAUGUUUUUGCUAUUAGUCAAAUUUCCCCUAAAAAAAAUACUAAAUCUGGACAGAAUAAGAAAGCUUCUGGGCGAAGUAAGCAUUAUACUUGUAAAUUAGCACAAGAAUGAAAGCAGCGAAAUGGAAGAUGAAAUCCCAAAACUACCCAUAUGGAAUCUGCAAAUCUAUAUAAAGCUACAACACACCAUUUUGAUUUGAACAAAUUCUCCAUAAUCUUUGCAACUCAAAGCCACCUAAGGAUUGGCAAGGAUCAAUCUCAUGAUCAACAACGACCAAAUUUGAAAGGAAAACAGACCGGAUCUUAUCAAAUUGAUCAUGAUUUUUCUUUGGUAUUGGUCAUUUUCCUCAAUAAUAGUAAUCUCCCAGUGAAAUAUCAUCUCGUAACUUUUUGAACAUGACGUAAUUUCCUUUCUGUAGUCGUAAGCUCUGUAGGUCUUAUAGUUUGUAAUAUUCCAUUAAAAAUUGUAAUCUACCUAAAUUUAUAGUAAAUUUCUUUUCUUAUUAUUAGUAAAUUGUCUAAUGGAUCUUAACUUUCAUUCGGCGUACAUAAUCAUCCUCACUAAUAGUAAUUUAUUUGUAAAAUAUCCUUUUGUAAUUUUUCUUAUGGAGGAUGUAAUUUUUGUUUGGACGUCAUAAAUCCUUGGAGUUUGUGCUUUGUAAAAUUUCAUAAAAUAGUAAUUUAUUUGGUUAAUGGUAAAUUUCUUUUUUUUCAUGUUUAGUGAAAUAUCUAAGUUGAUAGUAACUUUCUCUACACUUUGUAAUGUUUUGAGACUUAGGGCGCGUUUGGCAAUGAUUCUGUUCCCGAUAGCUGAUUCUGACUAGAAAUGAUUAUUUUUUAUUCUGUUCCCAGGAACUGAUUCUGAGUAAAAAAGCGCAUUUGGUAACUGUUUAAAAUUUUUAAUUCUGGAAUAGAAUUGCGUUUGGUACCGUAUUAAUUGAUUCUAUUUCAAAUUAAUUUCUUUUGAUUUUUAAAUAAAUUUUAAAUAAUUUCUUUACUUUUUUCUUUUCUUUUUUCCUCUUUUUUCUUUUUUUUUUCUUUUUUUUCCCUUUUUUUUCUAUUCUUCUUCUUCUUCAUUUGGCCGGCGACGCUCACCGGAGCGUCGCCGACCCUCGGCGAGGUCGGCCUUCAUCGGCCGAGCCUCACCGGCAGCUGAGCGAGGCUCGCCCAGCCCCGCCGAGGCUGGGCCUCGCCAGAUCUGGCGAGGCCGAGCCUCGCCGGUGGCCAGGCUAGCCUCGCCCAACCUCGGCGAGGCCAGCUUGGCCACCGGCAGGGCUGGGCGAGCCUCGCCAGUGGCCAGGCGAGCCUCACCGGCAGCUGGGCGAGGCUCACCCAGCCAUUGGCGAGGCUCGCCCUGGCCUGAUGCGGGGAGGCCGGGACUCGCCUUGGUGUGGGCCAGGUUUGCCUGAGUCAUUAUGAGGACCAGCAAAUCAUAUCAGGCAAGAAGCAUCCUUGUCAUUGAGUGACAACAAGCGACUAAUGCCGUCACUUUCAUUUACUGUAUGAGCUUGUUACAUCUCACUUGGAAAUAUCGGAAAACANNNNNNNNNNNNNNNNNNNNNNNNNNNNNNNNNNNNNNNNNNNNNNNNNNNNNNNNNNNNNNNNNNNNNNNNNNNNNNNNNNNNNNNNNNNNNNNNNNNNNNNNNNNNNNNNNNNNNNNNNNNNNNNNNNNNNNNNNNNNNNNNNNNNNNNNNNNNNNNNNNNNNNNNNNNNNNNNNNNNNNNNNNNNNNNNNNNNNNNNNNNNNNNNNNNNNNNNNNNNNNNNNNNNNNNNNNNNNNNNNNNNNNNNNNNNNNNNNNNNNNNNNNNNNNNNNNNNNNNNNNNNNNNNNNNNNNNNNNNNNNNNNNNNNNNNNNNNNNNNNNNNNNNNNNNNNNNNNNNNNNNNNNNNNNNNNNNNNNNNNNNNNNNNNNNNNNNNNNNNNNNNNNNNNNNNNNNNNNNNNNNNNNNNNNNNNNNNNNNNNNNNNNNNNNNNNNNNNNNNNNNNNNNNNNNNNNNNNNNNNNNNNNNNNNNNNNNNNNNNNNNNNNNNNNNNNNNNNNNNNNNNNNNNNNNNNNNNNNNNNNNNNNNNNNNNNNNNNNNNNNNNNNNNNNNNNNNNNNNNNNNNNNNNNNNNNNNNNNNNNNNNNNNNNNNNNNNNNNNNNNNNNNNNNNNNNNNNNNNNNNNNNNNNNNNNNNNNNNNNNNNNNNNNNNNNNNNNNNNNNNNNNNNNNNNNNNNNNNNNNNNNNNNNNNNNNNNNNNNNNNNNNNNNNNNNNNNNNNNNNNNNNNNNNNNNNNNNNNNNNNNNNNNNNNNNNNNNNNNNNNNNNNNNNNNNNNNNNNNNNNNNNNNNNNNNNNNNNNNNNNNNNNNNNNNNNNNNNNNNNNNNNNNNNNNNNNNNNNNNNNNNNNNNNNNNNNNNNNNNNNNNNNNNNNNNNNNNNNNNNNNNNNNNNNNNNNNNNNNNNNNNNNNNNNNNNNNNNNNNNNNNNNNNNNNNNNNNNNNNNNNNNNNNNNNNNNNNNNNNNNNNNNNNNNNNNNNNNNNNNNNNNNNNNNNNNNNNNNNNNNNNNNNNNNNNNNNNNNNNNNNNNNNNNNNNNNNNNNNNNNNNNNNNNNNNNNNNNNNNNNNNNNNNNNNNNNNNNNNNNNNNNNNNNNNNNNNNNNNNNNNNNNNNNNNNNNNNNNNNNNNNNNNNNNNNNNNNNNNNNNNNNNNNNNNNNNNNNNNNNNNNNNNNNNNNNNNNNNNNNNNNNNNNNNNNNNNNNNNNNNNNNNNNNNNNNNNNNNNNNNNNNNNNNNNNNNNNNNNNNNNNNNNNNNNNNNNNNNNNNNNNNNNNNNNNNNNNNNNNNNNNNNNNNNNNNNNNNNNNNNNNNNNNNNNNNNNNNNNNNNNNNNNNNNNNNNNNNNNNNNNNNNNNNNNNNNNNNNNNNNNNNNNNNNNNNNNNNNNNNNNNNNNNNNNNNNNNNNNNNNNNNNNNNNNNNNNNNNNNNNNNNNNNNNNNNNNNNNNNNNNNNNNNNNNNNNNNNNNNNNNNNNNNNNNNNNNNNNNNNNNNNNNNNNNNNNNNNNNNNNNNNNNNNNNNNNNNNNNNNNNNNNNNNNNNNNNNNNNNNNNNNNNNNNNNNNNNNNNNNNNNNNNNNNNNNNNNNNNNNNNNNNNNNNNNNNNNNNNNNNNNNNNNNNNNNNNNNNNNNNNNNNNNNNNNNNNNNNNNNNNNNNNNNNNNNNNNNNNNNNNNNNNNNNNNNNNNNNNNNNNNNNNNNNNNNNNNNNNNNNNNNNNNNNNNNNNNNNNNNNNNNNNNNNNNNNNNNNNNNNNNNNNNNNNNNNNNNNNNNNNNNNNNNNNNNNNNNNNNNNNNNNNNNNNNNNNNNNNNNNNNNNNNNNNNNNNNNNNNNNNNNNNNNNNNNNNNNNNNNNNNNNNNNNNNNNNNNNNNNNNNNNNNNNNNNNNNNNNNNNNNNNNNNNNNNNNNNNNNNNNNNNNNNNNNNNNNNNNNNNNNNNNNNNNNNNNNNNNNNNNNNNNNNNNNNNNNNNNNNNNNNNNNNNNNNNNNNNNNNNNNNNNNNNNNNNNNNNNNNNNNNNNNNNNNNNNNNNNNNNNNNNNNNNNNNNNNNNNNNNNNNNNNNNNNNNNNNNNNNNNNNNNNNNNNNNNNNNNNNNNNNNNNNNNNNNNNNNNNNNNNNNNNNNNNNNNNNNNNNNNNNNNNNNNNNNNNNNNNNNNNNNNNNNNNNNNNNNNNNNNNNNNNNNNNNNNNNNNNNNNNNNNNNNNNNNNNNNNNNNNNNNNNNNNNNNNNNNNNNNNNNNNNNNNNNNNNNNNNNNNNNNNNNNNNNNNNNNNNNNNNNNNNNNNNNNNNNNNNNNNNNNNNNNNNNNNNNNNNNNNNNNNNNNNNNNNNNNNNNNNNNNNNNNNNNNNNNNNNNNNNNNNNNNNNNNNNNNNNNNNNNNNNNNNNNNNNNNNNNNNNNNNNNNNNNNNNNNNNNNNNNNNNNNNNNNNNNNNNNNNNNNNNNNNNNNNNNNNNNNNNNNNNNNNNNNNNNNNNNNNNNNNNNNNNNNNNNNNNNNNNNNNNNNNNNNNNNNNNNNNNNNNNNNNNNNNNNNNNNNNNNNNNNNNNNNNNNNNNNNNNNNNNNNNNNNNNNNNNNNNNNNNNNNNNNNNNNNNNNNNNNNNNNNNNNNNNNNNNNNNNNNNNNNNNNNNNNNNNNNNNNNNNNNNNNNNNNNNNNNNNNNNNNNNNNNNNNNNNNNNNNNNNNNNNNNNNNNNNNNNNNNNNNNNNNNNNNNNNNNNNNNNNNNNNNNNNNNNNNNNNNNNNNNNNNNNNNNNNNNNNNNNNNNNNNNNNNNNNNNNNNNNNNNNNNNNNNNNNNNNNNNNNNNNNNNNNNNNNNNNNNNNNNNNNNNNNNNNNNNNNNNNNNNNNNNNNNNNNNNNNNNNNNNNNNNNNNNNNNNNNNNNNNNNNNNNNNNNNNNNNNNNNNNNNNNCACGUUGAAUGUGGACCGGUCCCGUAAAGGGGGGCCUCCACUUAUGGAAUUUCCAUCGUGAUUAGGACGUUUGAGCACAACAAGAUAGUGUUUCUUUUCGCCAAACACUAAAAUAGCGUAGAAACCUAUUUUCCCAAAUUAUUGAAGUUCGUUCUACUAAAAUAUAUAUAGAGGUAAAAAGGUACAAAAUGUAAAUUAAGAUAAGUAUUACUUUAUUAAUUUUUCCUUUUGCUGAUACACAGCAACAGAUAAAAAGAAAAUAUGAGAUGACUUCUCAUGGUCUUAUGGAUGCAAAGAGGCCUUUCACCCACGUUACCUUCUACCGAAUUCAAGAAUGACUUAAGCCCAGGAAAGAGGCUCUUUUGGAGAGAAGGAGAAGGCACGGCGGCGGGGGCGAAGAUGGAUAUUCAACAAACUUUGGUCGCGAAAACGGAAUUGGCUCCAAUCUCUCCCAUUCGCCAGCAGUCCCGCCAUAGCUGGCAAGGUUUUUCGAACAAGAGCAACUCAGGGGCACGCACGCACUCUUGAGAAGGUUGAAAUUCCAUUCCUGACUCGUGCAUGAUCGAUCGCUUGAAUCACUCCGCAGGUGAGAUUCCAUGGAGGAUCGGGGCUUGGAGGAGGUGGAGAAACCUCGGUUGUGCUCUCGAGUUCGGCUUCGACGAGCAAUCCGCCAGCAAGUGCUUGGACCGUCUCCUUUCCCUCUAUGGUACCUCGAAUCGUCAUUACCUCGUCGCCCAUUUUUUAUGCUGAUUAGCGUUUGCAGAGGUUGCGUUGGUCCUUCUCGUAGUCUGCUUUAGGUUUGAAUAGAUCGAAGCUGGUUCAGCGAAGUAGUCUUGCUGACGAGCGAAACGUCUAGUGCUGUUCCAGCUUGAUGUGUUUAGGUUGCUUUGGAUGGUGGCUUUUCUUGGUUAUUAGCGGAAUUGCAUGGUAUCUGGUCAUUAGGGAAUGACGUAAUUGGUUGUGUUGCGGGGAUGAUUUGUGAAUUGAUCGAUUGUGCAUUCCUAAAUAAGGAGAUUUAUUGCAGUUACGUCGUCAUUUUGACGAUGGCCAUGCAAUAGUCUACCUUUUGGAUUUGAAUGGACUAGAGGAACUGGUUAAUCCCGUCCUUAGUUCUCUGUGGGUUUUGCAGAGUAGUCUUCUUGACUAGCGAAAUGUCUAAUUUGUUUCUGAACUAACCGCAAAUUACAUAUUGUGUAGAUUGUAUUUAUUCGAUCACUUUUUUUUUUAUCAUGGAACUUGCAAAAUCAUCUCUCUUUUUUUUUGGUUUUCUUAGGGUGACGAAGGUCGAGAGUUUAUCACUGUGGACCACUGUGGCAAUGAUUUUCUAGCAGAACUUGCUGAAACUAUGCGAGACAUUGAGGAUUGGAAUGAUUUGCAAGUUGCGGAAUCAGAAACUUGUGGAGUUUUGACUGAUAUGUUUGGCCAAGAUACCCCUAAUGACGGUGAAUGCAAUGUUGUGACAAUGUUAAUAUUAUAUAGGAUUCUCCACAACCUAAAAAAAAAAUCAAACAUUUCUUGAGGUGGAUUCCUCUGCUGAAAGUGAAGACGAAGAUGAUAUAUUAUAUUUGGCAGUACCCUGAGCAAUUCGUCCACUCAACUUCUGGCCAGACGAUCUCUAGAAUCCAUCGUAUGCUUCUGAAAACUGUGAAGUUGUCUCACUCCUUUCUGCCCCCAACAGUUUGAAGGGAUUAAGAAAAAGAAAGAAAAGCAUGGUGGCUUGGCAUGUUUUUUCCCAUGCUCAAAACUAAUUUGGUUGAUAGUUGUUAAGUUUGUGGCUUAAGUUUUUGAUUCAUGGACCUGGAUUUGAUUAGUCCUUCUCAGAGAACUCUUGGGAAACGCUUUCCACUCGUCUCAUUCGUUUUUGACUGACUCUUGCAAUUGGGAUUUUGGUUAGUGAGAAAUUGAUUUUUUUCUUAUUGUAAUUCUCUCUGGGUCACUGUUAAACUACUCCGGUUGAUGUAGAUGAAACUGCCCGUCCCCUUAAAUUAGUGUGUCACUGUUCUUUGCUCUUAAAAUUAUGUGUUUCCUUGAUCAUUUCCAGUUCGCUUGCAAUUCUGCUCAGCAAGAAACCUUACGCAGUGUACCUGUAUAAAAGCAUUUAGCAAAUUGCUUAUGAGGGCUCUCAUCCAAUCAAAUGCAUACUAGACACUCCUAACUUGCCAGUUACUUCCACAGUCUGUAAGAUCUAGAAUGACUUAUAUAAGUACAGUUUGGUCAGUAAAAAUGGUUCAUUCUUGUUUUGGAUAUAAAACAAUAGCUAUAUUUCUCAAAUAAUUUGAGAGUGUGGUACAUCAGUGUUGAACUUAGCAUCCAGCGUCUUUGAUAGGUGUGUUUUGCAAAAUGGAUGCUCGGGAUUUCUUGGUGCACAAUUUUCAUUUUCCAUCACCACAUGUCAAAACUAUUUAUGGUGCUGAAGAGGUUUAUUUGUGUUGAAGCACUGUAAGAGCACUGUCACUCGUGGUUUGAUAUCAUCAGUUUCAAAUAAACGACAUCGCUCUCGGAUUUCGACAUGCAAACGAGGAAGUCUGAGUUAUGAAGAAUUGCAACCCUUGGAUGACAUAGAAUUGGCAAAUUUUGUAAUAUUCGGAAACAAGGCAUUUCGACCAAUGUAGCAUCAGGCUUGCAAAGCUUCUGUAGCCAAGGAGGAUUGCUCCAUUCUCAUGCCCACUGGAGGUGGUAAAAUUUUAUGUUACCAGGUCAGCGAAAGUUAACAUUAUUUCAUUUGCAUAUUGAUUGAAUGUAGAAGUAUGCAUGGAGACAAUGUUUAGAGCACAAGCCCUGUGCACUUUGGUGAAUGGUUCCACCAAUUAUAUACUAGACGGGUAGACCUAUUUAUCGAAAUUUAAGCUAUAAAAUGAUCUUGCAAUCUGCUUUGUUAGAACUGUUGAGAAGUUUGUGCUGAAAUACAGGAUAUUCUUGUUCUGCCUUUGCCCAUCUCUGUCCAUUCCGUAAUUUCUAGAACUUGAGGUUUGUGCUAUGCUUCUAGGACCUUCUAAUUACUUACUGGAAAAUUUAUCUUGUUUUUGCAUGUAAGUGUUGUCAUCAGUCAUAUUUCAGGUCCAAUUCAAAAGGGUUAUUAAGUCAAAGAGGAAUAAGUAUUCAAAAUACUUGCACCAAAUACGGACCGUAUAUGUCUAUAAAUCCUAUGUAGGUAUGUGCUAUGUCAUCAUCUCAACUAAAGGUGAUCAUUUCCAUAAUUGGUUUGAAAUGGAUGUCCUUUCAUAUAAGAUGGAUCUUGGAAGCAUGCAAAAUAUCGGGUCCCCUGACACACAAAGGAAGAUAUUAACCUGAAUUUGUUAAGUUGAAUUAUCCUGAAAUGUUUUCUGUUCAGUCUUGAAUUAGUUCGUAUAUGUUUCUAGCUGAAGUAAUUAUAAGACAAAUAGUGAUGACUAGUGCUUUCUGAUCAGCUGAAGGUGAACAAAAGAGUUAUUCCCCCAUCCCUUCAUUUGCUCUUCUGGUGUUUUUACCCUUCAUUUCAGCUGUCAGCAACUCUUAAACCAGGUGUCACAGUUGUUAUAUCUCCCUUGCUAUCUCUCAUCCAGGAUCAAAUAAUUACCCGAACCCUCAAGUACAGAAUACCAUCAACUUUCUUGAACUCUCAGCAAACCACUGCCCAGGCAGCAGCUGUCCUCCAAGAACUAAGGCAAGGUUUAGCUCUCUCUCUCUCUCUCUCUCUCUCUCUCUCUCUCUGUGUGUUCCUACUGAAGUAUAUCCUACCAUACAAUCUUUAUCCCGCCAUAAAAUUUUUUGCUCCAUAUGUUGCAAAGGAUGUACAUUUUUAUGUAGUUAUUGAAAAGAUGCAUGCCUAAGAUGUUUCCCUUAAAAAAAAUGUAGCAUCUUGGCCUUCCGAGAGAAGUAUAUCAUACUAUCCAAUCUUUGUCCUGCCAUAAAAUGUUGGGCUAUGCUCCAUAUGUUGCAACGGGAUUUCCAUCGGACUUCUAAAACUUUUUUUUCUUUUUGGCUGAGUGUUGGGAUUGUCAAGUCAUUAAUCUUCACUGCUUUACCUGCCUUUUCAGGAAAGAUAAACCAUCGCGCAAGCUGUUGUAUGUGACUCCUGAAAUGAUUGUGGGAAACUCAUCAUUUCUCGAGAUAUUGAAAGGCUUGCAUAGAAAGGGACUAUUUCNNNNNNNNNNNNNNNNNNNNNNNNNNNNNNNNNNNNNNNNNNNNNNNNNNNNNNNNNNNNNNNNNNNNNNNNNNNNNNNNNNNNNNNNNNNNNNNNNNNNACAUUGUAACUUUUUCUGAAAGUUUCUUUUGGACUUUUUGAUAUGCGGCCAUCACGCAUUGCAGGCACAACUAAUUGGUUUUGUUGUUGAUGAGGCACAUGGUGUGACGUAUGCUCUUUGGCAUCCUUGUAUCUGAAGCAAAGAUCAUGCUAGAGUUACAUUAAAAGGAAUAAGUAUUUAUGAUGUUCGCACUGCAAAAGUACUGUCCUUGUUCGAGAUAGAGAAAAGCAAGUUAACUUUUAUAUAUGCUGACUCAAACUCUUUUUUUUGAACAUUUUUACUUCUGUGUUUCUGGCCUAAUUACAUUGUCAAUGUCACGCUGAACCUUCUUAAACCCCUAAAACCCAGACCUUCUGUGGAGUUCUAGUAUAACAGAAUGCAAUAUUGAAAUAACUUAUUAUGGAAAUGGUCUAGUUGCUACUUUUGUGAAAAAUCAGUGGCACAUCAUUUAUCAUAGUAAGCACAAUGCAGACAACUAAAUUUAGCUCCAUGGAAAUUACUUUCGGAAGUAAUUGAAAGUGUCCAUGUUUGGCACAAUAGUCAGGUCUUUUACGCUGGUUCUUGUCUCCCUACUUAUUCUUUUAACUUUUAUACCAUGUAUUAACAACUUGAGAUAUAAGGCAAAAGUUCACGCAUGUGAUCAUUGAUUGUGUUUCUUAUAAGGUCUUUAUUGGACUAGCUCUGCCAGUGCAAUUUUGUGAAAGGAACGUAUUGAUGUUUUGAGCUUUUCUCAAAUAUGUGAAUGCUUGUAAACGAGUAAAGUUUAUUGAUCAUUACUUUCUUGAUUGUCAUUAUUGCAGUCAAUGGGGACAUGAUUUUCGUCCAGAUUAUAGGGGACUAGGAUGUCUCAAGCAAAACUUUCCAUAAGUCCCAGUGAUUGCCUUAACUGCAACUGCCACUCAGCCAGUUCGUGAGAUACAAAACUUGCACAUUAUCCUCCAAAUAAUGUUGAAGAAAUCAUUUGGGUCUGAUUGAAAUGUACAUCCAUUGCAGGAUAUCCUAAAAGCUCUCAGGAUCCCCCAUGAUCUUGUUCUCUAGACAAGCUUUGACAGACCAAACCUAAAAUAUGAGGUGAUAUUUAAGACCAUGGAACCACUGAAGCAACUUGAAGAGCUGCUAAAGAAACAUUUUGCUAAUUUGUGUGGCAUAGUGGAUCGCCUCUCAAAGGGUGAAUGUGUUGAUAUUGCAAAAUACUUGAAUGAUAAGUGCGGUAUAAAGACGGUGUACCAUCAUGCUGGAUUAGCAGCCCAUCAAAGAGUAGCUGUUCGAAAGAAAUGGCAUACUGGAGAGGUCCUGGUUGUAUGUGCAACCAUUGCUUUUGGAAUGGGAAUAGACAAACCUGAUGUUGUAAGUUGAAAUGGACUCUAAGCCUUUGCCUAUUUUUAGUUUUAGAGUCAAGCUGACAUGCUGGCAAAUACUCAACUAAUUUACAUUUUUUUUUUUUUUAAGUUUUAGUUUCACUGAUUGGUUUAUUAGUGUGCUUGAAAGUAAACUUUGCUGGUUCCAUGGUCCAGUGGCCUGGUAAAUUGUCAUUCUUGGUUAUUGAUUGCAACUAGCGAAUUAUGUGUUUUUUAUCAAGUCAGAUUCUUUCUCCCGUGCAUGGCACUUCGUUGUGCUGAAAUUAAGUUAAACUAGGAUAAAGUUAUUUUCUUUACUGUAAAAGUGGCAAAUGAUUCUGAUCUAAUUUGUCCUCCUGAUAUAAUUUUUAUAUCAUAUUUCAACUUUGAUGGGUCAGUAAGUAUGUGUGUGUGUGUAUUAUUUUAUUUUUUUAUGGCAUGUGGUCAGCGUUUUGUCAUCCACAACGCAAUGUCCAAGUCAAUCGAAAGCUAUUACCAAGAAUCAGGGAGGGCAGCAAGAGAUAAUCUACCAGCAGUGUCCAUUGCUCUAUAUGCCAAAAAGGAUUUCAGCCAGGUUGUGUGCAUGUUAAGGUGUGGUCAAGGGUGUAAAACCGAAAUCUUUAAAAGUGCAAUGGCUCAAGCUAGGAAAAUGCAGCAAUAUUGUGAAUUCAAGGAAAUCCAAUUUGUGUUCUCAACUUCAAUCUGAUGAUCUCACCUAAGUGAUGCUUCUUUUAUGCGUUUACACUUUCCACUUUGUUCUAUUGAUUGCUGUUAGUGUUCGUCUGGCAUUACCCCGUCUGGAUGCUGGAUCAUUAGAUGGGUCUGUUGGCAACAUACUCACAUAAUAAUGGACCCUUUGGGCUAAACUCAUAUUCCGCACACCUAAAUGGAGCAAAGUCUAUUGAUAAAUGGGUGUUUCCUCUCUAAUUUGUGAAGUUUUAGGAUGAGUGUCAGAGGCAAACCUUAUUUGUGUGCUUGGCGAGUCUUUGAAUCAGAAAGACUGUAAAUAUGGUUCUAAUCCUUGUGACAAUUGUCUCAAAGCCUCUUCAUAAAGGUAAACCUUUUAGGUGUCAACUCUCUUGAGGGCGAAAGGAGGUACCAACAUGUGCAUGAUCUUGAGCUGCAUAGUUCUUCUGGUUCCAUCAUCCGCAAUUAUUGAAAGACCACAUGGUAUGGAGGGGCAAAGGUCCUUAACUAUGGACACGGAAUUCUUCAGUUGUGAUGAUCUUGUCAUCUCAUGUUUGUCUUUUCCUUUCAUCUGCUGACAUGUUCCUUGUCUAGAACUAAUUAUUUUCGUGAGGAGAACAAAAUGUGGGUCGACAUAUAAACCAGAGAGGCAUAUGGGAACACACCCUCCAGUCUUGACUGCAGAAGAAAAAGUUUCUUGUUUCAGUUCAACAAAAAUUAACAAUGAAAUAAAAUUAUACAAGCGCAUGUUGCAAUUCUUCUUUCCCGUUUUCAAUUAGUGAUGAAUGCAUAUCAUGACUGCAUCUAAAGUUAGUUUACUUGCAGAUUCAAUUUUUCAAGUAGUAUAUCUUAAGAUACAAUCGAUUGGAUGAAAACCUUUAUUAGGGUACGAUCAUCAGUUAAUCCAACUAUUGAACAUUGCCGGCUUUCUGGCCAGCAAGCAUUGCAUCGAUGGACUGGAUUAUUCAAGUCAUUAGUGGACUGGGAUCUUAGAUCCCCAUUAUGCAAUAGUUUUUGAGAGAGCACAUGGCAAUGCAUCUAUAAUUCGAUACCAAGAGAUUUAACAUGGUUUUAUUAUUCCUGGGUCAGGGACAGCGUUAGAUUCAUUUUGACUUGGACGUGUCAACUGCCCAAUAAUGUUCUCACAGGGCACUUAUCAGUUGUUUCUUUGUUGUAUUUGCUUAACAACUCACGGUGAUGAUUGCGUGUGUGUGUGUGUGUGUGAAUUGCAGCCAACUUUUUGCACUCAGAAGAGUAGUUGGAAUCCGCACGGUUUUGAUGACGACACAGCAUCGCACAAGGCGAGGGAAAUUGACAGUAUUGGCCCAGAAGAAGAUAAUUCAUUUAUUGCCUUCGGAAGUGAGGACAAAAUUGUUCCUCUGAAUGUUAGUGCGUUCAUGAGUCAUUUGAAAAGGAUUGUUUUGGAAAUAUAUUGGACUGGGGGGAUUCUCUUCGGCCUAGGAAAGGAAGAAGAAAAUUUGGGGUAUACCCAUGGUCCUCUGAAGACCACAGAGGAGAGCCCGUACCGUAGUAAAUCUCCAGGUAAGGGCAAAUAAAUUCUGGAAGCUUGUCAGAGGGUAGUAACUGCAGCUCAGAUUGCAUGGGAUUUUAAAGGAAGAACAGCUGUUACAUGGGUCGAAAUAGAUAAAUGAGAAAUAAACAAAUAAUCCUAUAGAUUCCAUAUAUCAAUCGGCAGAAAUCUCCUAUUUUAUAGAAGUGGCAGCUAGUUAAUUAUCGUCGAGCUUGGUUGGCUCUAUGAUAACAUAAGUAUCAAAAUUACAAGUUUGAGUUGUGUCAUAACCGAAAGCGAUUGAUUUGUGCCCUUCAGUCCAACUAAAUAAUGAAUUACCAACAUACUGUUUAGUUGCGGUGAUGGAUUUGCUAUCGUCGAAACUUACAUUAUAGGCAAUACUUGAUGAUGAUGACUUAAAUCAAACAUUCUGUAAUUAAUAGGAAAAUUGUAUGGUUACAAUCAGGGAUAAACGAUGCGAAUUGACUAUCUCUAUCCUUUAAUAUUUAUAAAAGGAUUGGAAGGUGAUUGUCCUUGUUGAGGAAUUUGAGAUGGUCCCCUUAUUGUUUUAAAGAUGACCCUAGUGGCUAUAACACCAGCUAGUUUUUUGGUUACGACUCUAAGCCGUGGACCAUGCCACAUCCUUCUAUGCGAUACAUGCGCAUGAUUGUACAUCAUAAGAGUGAUCGAAUUGGAUAAAGUGAUUUAAGUCCCCCAAAAGAAAGGAAAAAUGCAAGUUAAUGGUGACUUUGAUGCGAUGAGAAACACUAGUUCGAAUUAGACUGCCUGAUGUGGGGUAUUCCUCGUUUGUACAUUUUCCUUGGCUUACACCAUAUCUAUUUAAGUAUUCUUUAUCCCAAAUCUUACAAGGAUUGUACUCAAAUAGUCAUAUUGUUGACUAUAUAUCGUCAUUGCAUGUAUGGAAAUUUCAAAGAACCAUCAAAAUUGGAACCUCUAAAAGAUUUGAUUAUUGACUGUCGAGGAAGAUUUGUACGGUGACUCCAUUUCAAAAUUGGGACUGCAACAAAGUCAUUUGGAAUGUGCAUUCGAAUUUCAAAAAAAAGGGACAUGGUAUUAGCAGAUAACCUAAUGAUCUUAAGUCGAUUUCGAUUAAAUGCUGAGUAUCACGUUGUCUUGUUCUCACAUUUGACUACCAAGACCGAAAUUGGCUUUGUUUUUGGUCAACGGAGGGGGUCUACGUUUCAUGCAUGUUAUGACCACAAAAAAAAAAUGGCAGUAUUUGACCCUCAACCCAAGACUAUUCUGUAGCAUCGCGUAAGAGGUAAAAUAGGUAAAGAAAAUGAAAAAAAGGAAACACGUGAAUUAUGCUUGAUGUCUUUGAGUAUUGUAAUUCAUUUUUUUUGGAGACGCACACUAAAGCCAAACGAUUUGUCUUUUCCGUUUCUUUCCCCGCAAGAGAAAAUAUCGUUUAAGAGAAAUUGACGUUAAUAAUCAAUAAACUUUGAUUCGACAUGUGAUAAUAAUUUAUUCAAUGUAAUCCUUAAAUUAUUCUUUAAACUUGUCAUAGACUUAUUUCUUAAUUCAUAUUUGAUGUGAUGAGCUAUUAUAUAAAUUGGCUAUAUUCCAAAAAAUUGGUCAUACAUGGUUUUAGGGUGGUAAAAACUAAAAUAAUAUGUGUAAAUGGAUUCGCUCACCUCUAUGACUCUCUUUUUCAUCUCUCGCCCUCAUUCAAUCUUAUGCUCACUUUACGCUUUCAUCUCAGUUUUAGCAUGAAUUUUCCUAAAUUAGAUUAAAUAUGAAAGUGUUCUAGUCAUGUGGUUAGAUUUGGUAUUAAUUGGCUUGAUUACGAGUUACUAAAUUUGUAUUGCGUUGAAAUGUGUCAAAAUGAGUUGAACUAUUUUCAACUUAAUCCACUCAUUUGAUGAGUUUACUUUUUUUUAUUAAAUAAGGAAGAAAGUCAUCACAUUUCCCUAAUUUAUUGCCAAAUGUGCAAUCUAGUCACUUAAUUUAUUUUUGUCACUCUAUCAAAUCGAAAUGUAUCUUCUAGAAAAAAAAUUCACGACAAGAUAAAUAAGUUAUAUGACUCAAUUUUUUCUAAAGUCGAAAUACCAUUCUGUGUAACUUGUUCUAUAAAACAUUAUUAGUUACAACAUGAUAUGCCAACAAAUUUUUUAGCCCAAAAGAACAUACUCUCUCCUAAAUUGCAACCUACCAAGUAUGCAAAGUAAAAAUAAUAACCGAAAAAUUAAUCCCAUUAGAUUUGGGAAGCAGGAACCUUUCCCCUGACCCUUUCUGACAGGACAACAAAAAGACACCAACCAGCAAAAAGGAAAUAGCAACUUUUUCUCCAAUUUAAACUGGCUUAACUCACAAGACUGACACGUGGCGGUCGGACACGGCACCCUGACUCUCUGAAAAAAAACAAAUAGAGAGAAAUAAAAAAAUAAAAAUAAAAAUCCUUUUUUAAUAGCAAGAUCGCUGUCUCUUCCUCCUCAGAUUUUAAUGCUCAAAAACCAGUCAGUCUCUCUCUCUCUCUCUCUCUCUCUCUUCUUCCUUCUUCCUUUGGACACAAAUUCCAUUUUCAUUUUCAUUUUUUUCCACCAUUUUUAAACUCUCGAACUCCUCGCAUUCUCUCUCCUUUCCUCCUCUUCUUCCUCCUCCUCAUCUUCUUCGUCUCGCCAGAUCUCUCUCUGUAAUUGGGGUCAAGUCCGCCGGGCAAUCCCGGCGUUUGCCCGUUCGCCGGCCAUCUCGCCGGCAAUGCCGGCUCAGAUCUACUGUCGUUAGCUUGAUGCGCGACUCCGUGUGCUCUUUCUAAUCCUCACACCAACAUUCUGCGGACGGUAAGUGUGAAUCUUGGGUUCGCGCGAAAAAUUUGUGAUUUUGUUGGUGUGCGCUACUGUUCUGUUUAUGUGUGAAUCUCCACUUCAGUUUAGAGUCUGGACUUAGCAGGGCGAGGUAGUGAGGUCGUGUUCUACAAGCAAAGGGGGGGUUCAGGAGUUUGGGAAAUGCUGUGUAAAUGAAUCGUGUUUCAUUUGAGUUAUGUGGGAAUGCUUGGUGUUGGUUCGGAUAAUGCACCGAAAGUGGUUGUUGGGUCGAUUCUUGGCAAACGGGGAAUUAGAAUUACCCGAGUUGUGAGUCGUGAAAUGCUUGCGGAUAGGGAUGGAGGGUUAUUGAAAUUUGGAUAAUAUGAACUGGGUCUCCAUUUUUCAUGCGUUCUCGCGUAGUUUUGUCUGGGAAAUAGUUGAAUGCACCUGCCGAAGUUGCAAAUUUACUCUGGAUGUGGUUGUUCUGGGUCUUCCUAUCUGCUCUUUAUGUAUGUACUUUUGUUUCUGUUCUUUCUAGAUACCUGUAAUUGAGAGAUGGAGGUGGAGAAAAGACGGACAAAGGGAGGCUUCCGACAAUUUUUCGACUGGAAUGGCAAGUCCAGGAAGAAGCUGUUCUCAAACAGUCCUGAUAUACCUGGUGCUGGUACGGCCCACAUUAUCUUUUUAUCAAUUUUGUUAGUCACGGCCGCGCAUUGCUAGCAUAUGAAAGUUUUCUGGUGGAGAUGGCCAUAUAGUGCUAUUAACGUGCUUUGUUUCUUGUUAUAGAAGUAGUUAAGCAAGGAACAGAUGAUGCAGAGAUCUUGGCGAAGUCAAGAGCCUCGUUUAGAAGUCAAAGUCAAUGAUAUUCUCGUGCCAGGAAGUUUCACUGUUUCUCAUUUGAGUAAUCAAAUUCCCAACUAAGUAUAUUACCGGAAACCAGGGUUAAAUCAAGUAUAGCUAUUUCCCAUUUUAAACUAUAAUUGUCACUAAACCUUGAAAUGAUACAGCUUUUCUUUUCAAACUCGUAAAAGUGUUUUCAUAAGUGAAAACAAGAUAAAGAUAUGUGCAUUUUCACAUGGCGAUCAGAUAUCAAAGGGAAAUUAUGCAAGCAAAUUACUGGACCUUAAUCUUGAAGAAGUACAGGAUAUUUCUGCAAUUGAAUGAGUGCACUUCCUGGUCAAUUCUACAAAAUAUUUCUCACCAUUUUGUGUGAUAUGCUUCUGAAUCUCCUUCCAUUUAUCUAAGGAAGGACAAAAAAAUUGAAGAACUGGAGGAUAACCAGCAGCAGCAGCUAUAUCAAAUAAUCAGUACCUGCAGGAAUUCCCAUGACACACAAUAUCAAUCCAGUAAAUGGAAGAACUCAAUAAGACUCUUGAGGUACAACACGGUGCUCAGCUAUAUCAAAUAAUCAGUACCUGCAGGAAUUCCCAUGACAGACAAUGUCAAUCCAACAAAUGGAAGAACUCAGUAAGAUUCUUGAGGUACAACACAGUGCUCAGCUAUAUCAAAUAAUCAGUACCUGCAGGAAUUCCCAUGACACACAAUGUCAAUCCAGCAAAUGGAAGAACUCAGUAAGACUCCUGAGGUACAACACGGUGCUCAUUACGGCAUUGGUAAAACCAAUUAAUGGUGACAAGUUUCUUUAGAACAUUUAAAGCCCACUGCACGAGAACAACAAAUUAAUUGAUAAAUACAGUUUAUCUCUCGAGAUGGUAUUCAUAAAAGAAAUUGCACAGGGAACAUUCAAAAAAAUAUAGAGGAAACUCUUCCUCAGUUCAGCCAACUCAAUCAGAGUACUACUACCCACGAUGCUUUCCAUACUUAGUGAAAAAGCAUAAUGAAUCUCAUUUAAAGUGGUUACACCUCAACGAGAUACAACAAAUUCGCAACUCUUAAACUAAAUUCAAAGUAUUAACUCCAGGACUUAAACCUUGUAUUUUGCAGCCAAAAUAUUCUUCGCAAUUACAAAUCUAAAAUCUGCUUAAGUUUUGGUCUGUAGAACUCCCCCCAUUGAAGUUACCAAUUUCUCAAUCUCAGCCUGCAGAUUCCAGGAAAUGGUGAAACAUUUAAAAAAUCAAGGGGUCACAUAGAAGGAUACAUAGAUAAGGAUAAGUGACGCGCCACACUAAAUUGGAGAGACGAGUAACAACAAAGAUUACAAGCUAAAAAAUCAUUCAAGGCCUAACUUAUCUAGGAACAGGCAUAUCUUCUUAUCCAUCUCAAACCCACAUGUAAGGACUUCGACACGAUCCAUCGCAAGACAAACAAGUAUACCCUUUUUGAGGUAGAGGUCUCCGUUGUUCUUUCGCACACAAAACCACACACUGCGGACCUGCAAGUAACCGAAUUAUCCCCCAUAGAAUCGACAUUUUUUUCCCAGGCAGAAGAACUCCUCUCGACUUGCUUGACCAGCACGUUGACCCCAAUGCUUCCGCUUUCGUUUCUCAACUACAAGUCCUGGUUUAGCAUUUAGCAGCCUCGAGUAAAAAAACCAGAAGAUAAAACUAGGACGAGAACAAGAUCUUCACCGACUAGCUUCCACCCUUUCGCCUGAAGAUCCUCGAACUUCCCCUCCGAAACGACGAGCCCAUACCUCUCGAUACGUAAAAAACAACCUCAAACCCGUUUCUCAAAAAUGAACCCAAAAGCCGUAACGCCGCCCAAUCCCAACGUACUCACGUGAUCGGGGAGAAGAAACGGCGUGAAAAUCGCGGGGCCCACCCCUGGAAGCAACAGCUCCCUUCAGCUUGAGCGCGUCCAACGGCUCGGGAGGCACCAAGUUCCUCGGCAUCAGCACGUUCAUCAUUUCCUUUCUUCCUUCUUGGAAGAGGCUGAAGGAGGAGCGACUUGGGGAAAACUGACGGGAGUGAGCUUUUUCCGAAUUCUUCCCCAAAUUGGGAUUGAUUAGGGUAUGAGAAAGCGCGGGGAAGGGGUUUUUUCUUGGGUUCUUUUCGGAUUUUCCUUUUAAUUCCCCUUUUUUGCUCUUAAUUUUGCUCUUAAUUUUGUGGAUAAUUUCUCAAAAGCCCUCUAACUUUUGCACCGUUACAUGACUGCUCUCCAACUUUGAAAAAGUUUACAUGCCCUGCGUGGCCGCCGGCCUAGAAGGGCCACGAAAAGAAAAUAAAAGAAAAUAAUUCAAAAUGAUUCGGCCGAGAGAAGCGACGAGCAAUUGAAGCGAGCGUGACCAAGCCUUCUAGAAUAGGUGAGCUGUCGUGUGAGAGAGAGAGAGGCCUAACAGAAAAAGAUUCGGCUGAGAGGAGCGCGGCUGAUUUGGCAGAGAGAAGGGGGGAUGCUCGACGACGGGGACUGAUGAAAAAAAGGUAUCGUUCGGCCGUGGGGUACGGACAUCCGCGGUCAAACGCUUGUCUCUGGGAACUCCAUUGCUUGGCUUUAUUUAAAACGGAGCCGAAACGAUAGCAGGGUCUCGUUUCCCUGGUCCACGAUCACGCUCGUUUUGAAUUAGCUGUCCCUUUUGUUGUGUUUGAGCGUCACUUGCUAUUCUCUUUUGAGUCUGGACACGAGCUAGAGUUUAGUCCGUGCUCAUCACACGCUCGAUAUGAUGCCUUAGUGUUGUUCUAAAGAUGAGACCGGGGUUUUCUUUUCUUCUGUGAAAGCAUGUCGAGGAUCCAUUUAAAUAUUUUUUCAUCGAAUUGAAAUGUCUUUGAUUUGAUGUGGGAUGAAUGAGGCGCUAAUCGUUUCCUCGNNNNNNNNNNNNNNNNNNNNNNNNNNNNNNNNNNNNNNNNNNNNNNNNNNNNNNNNNNNNNNNNNNNNNNNNNNNNNNNNNNNNNNNNNNNNNNNNNNNNGUCGGAACUCCGACUACAAGCACUAUGACUGUAUUACUUUCAGUUAGACACCUGAAACUCAUUCUACGAAAUGUUCCAAGAAAUAUGUAAGAAAUAGCUGCUGUUUCUGUUCGAAUCUGAAGGUGCUGGUCAUUAACUUGAUUUCCAUGAAUAAUGAGAUCGCUAUGUUGUAUUUUGUUUGAUAUAUGUUGUGUCUCCUUCAUUGAAUGGGAUGAGUGGACGGUGUAGUGUGAUGGAAGAUGUUGGAAAGUGAGCUCGUUUUAUUUCGGUGGUGGUCCAUGCUGGUCGGAACGGAUGACCGGCGGGGUGCCGUCAUGUAAGCUCUGCCUGGGUGUAUGAGUUCGAAAAAAUGAGAGAGAAGAAGUUGCAUAGAAUGAAAGCUUCAGAGGAAGAAGAUGACCAUAAGAAAAGGAUGAAACAGGGGAAAAGACAAAAAGAGAAAAGAAAAAAUAAUAUUGGAAAUAUCUAAAAUUGGUUUCCUUUCGGACGCCGGUCGGAUCCAAGUUGUCGGAUUGGGUUAAUGGUCUGGAUUGGAUUACCGGCUCGUUUUCCAAAAUAUUAUAAUAUCAAAUAUUAAAAAAAAAUUAAAUUUUAAAUUAAAGAAAAAGAAUAUUAAUAAUGAUAUUAAAAAUUAUAAUAAUAUAAAAUGCUAAAAAUCGAAACCUAAUCAAGUAUUGUUUUCUGCACUUGAGCUUAGGCUCAAGUUGACUCAAUCCUCACAUAACUAGGAGUUAGCAGGCCUAGAAAUAAAACUUGGCAGCAAAAUUAUGUAAGCUGAUCAUCUAGUAGUUACUUCAUGCGAAGAAUAAAAAAUGCUAAGCAUACACCACGGCUAUACAAAGAUAAAAAGGCAAAGAAAGAAGCUAUGGCAUACCAUUUUGAGUAUAGCAAAUUCCUACAUAAUCUUCACAGCUCAAAGCCAAGAGUCAGGUAGAAUCGUAAGCAUAGAAUACGACUCUAAUCGAAAUGCAUCCAUUUGUCUCAUACACUAUGGGGAUGGUGAGAAGAGAUAUAUUUUACAUCCCAGAGGGGCUAUAAUUGGAGAUACCAUUGUUUCUGGUACAUAAGUUCCUAUAAAAAUGGGAAAUGCCCUACCUUUGAGUGCGGUUUGAACUAUUGAUUUACGUAAUUAGAAGUCACCAAUUAAGUUUACGACGAAACCUAGAAAUCGAUCACUGAUCCAAUUUGAGUACCUCUACAGGAUAGACCUCUACAUGACAACUAGAUGAGAAGGGAAAAUGGACCAGAUCUACAUGGCAAUAUGACUGCCAAACUAAUAAACACUAUAUUAAAAUGAGGCAUGUAAUUAUCAUCCCUUCCAAUCCCAUUCAACAAAAUAAGGAAUCUCUACAACACAAUUUAAGCACUAAAAAGGCUGAAAAAAAAAUUAUUGUUGGUCCAAGCCAAUAUUUUCACAGUUUUAUAAUAUGCAAGAAUAGUCCAAUUUCUCUAGGAAUAGGAAGCUGUGUAGAGAAGACCCCAGAAUCGGGCAAAAGGUAAUAGUGUGAUGUCAAUAAUCAAUCCAAUCAAUGCUUUUCCUUGUCACAUAAAUGUCCAGAGCGAGAUAUGCGUAUGAAUCAUGAAACUCUAUAACAAAGGGCCAGAUCACCGAAUUGUUCUUCCAACUAAACUAGUCCAACCAAUUUAUGGUGGCUUCCCUCCAAACUUUGGUAACCAAAGCAAGAAAACUAUGACUACCUAGACAGUCUAUAUAUUCAUUCGCAGUCAACCCAUUUCCGACUUCCUUCCAACAUCACCAACAAAUUCAAAAGACCAAGCAUUCGGUAAAUGACUUACAUAUUUGUCAGCACUUAUUAGCUGAAAAGGAAUGUCUUCAGGUACGGAUUGACAGUCUCAUAACGCAAUAGCUUAAUUUCUCGAGUGAAGUAAUUCCAUCAAAGCGAAAGAAGAUUAGAUACCGUUAUCAUUUCGAUCAAUCAAAACAUAUUUUCUCAACAAAAUCGAAUGAUUAUUCCUUAAAUUUGAGGAGGUUUCAGUGUUAUGUUAGGGAGGGAGGGAGAGAGAGAUGAACUAACCUUUGUUGUAGUAACUAGAAGAGAAGAGCGAAGUAGCGCGAGGAGAAGCUCUAAAUACAAGAAAUUGUGAAAAAAGUACUUUUUCUGCAACAUAAAUACAGUCUUAGUUAAUAGUAAAUUCCUUUUAUGUAUAUUUAGUAAAAUAUUAAAAUGAUCAUAACAUUCUUUAUAUUUUGUAAAGAUUUGCAGCCAAUGUGUCAAUAGUUUUCUUUACUUGUGAUGACUUUUCUCAAGCAAAACAAAUUUGACGAAUUAUGCUUUCGCCCUCUUUAUCCAGCUAUCCACAUUGAAUGUAAGACCGAUAUCAUAAAAGAGAGCUUUGACUUGUGAAGUUUCCAUGACAAUCAUAAUGUUUUGUGCACAAUAGAGUAAUAGUAAGGCAUUGUUGGAAACGCUAUUUUGCCAUUUUUUUUUUUAAAUCGUUCAAUUGAAAUAUGAAUAUUCAUAUAUAUAUAUAUAUGUAUAUAAAGGUAAAAUCGUAAAUUAAAGAAAAGGUAUUACUUUGCGGAUAAACAGCAACGGAAAAGAAAUUUGAGAUACGCACCGUAAAUCUAAAACUUUUAGUACGACAUGGAGGUCUCGUGUUUGCAAGGCGAGCCUUCGCACCGAACUUUUUUCUGGUGUCAAAUGAAACCAGAAAAAAGUCGUAGAGCGGGCCGAAAAUAGAACUUAAACAAACUUCAGGGGCGAAAACGGAAUUGUCAAAAAAAGAACUGAAAAAUAUGGCUCCAAAUCUCUCUCAUUCUCCGGCGUACAAAAUUGGAAAACGAAAAACAUCAAUCCCGCCAUCGCUGGGAAGGUUCUGGAACAAGAGCACUUUGAGCUCGCUUGAAUAUCCGAUUCGAGACUAGAGAUCGAUUUGAUUCUGACUCGGGCAUCAUCAAUCGAUCGAAUCGCUCGAAUAGGUUGAGAUUCCAUGGAGGGAGCGGGGCUCAGAAGUAGAGAAAGCUCGGCUGCUGAGCUCGGCUCUCGAGUUCGGAUUCGACGAGCAAUCCGCCAACAAGUGCUUGGACCAUCUCGUUUCGUGCUCUACAGUGACUCGAAUCGUUAUUUCGUCGCGCGUUCUUAUGCUAAUUAGCAUUUGCGGAGAUUACGGAGGUGGCUCUCGUCCCCACGAUGAUGAUGACGAUGGCUGUGGAAUCGUCUUGCUUUAGGUUUGAAUGCAUUGGAGCGGGUUUAGCGAAGUAGCAGUCCUACUGACGAGCGAAAUCUCCGGCACUGGUCCAGCUUGAUGUGCUUAGGUUACUUCGGAUGGACGGCGGUUUUUUCUUGAUUAUUGGCCCAAACUACGUGAUGUCUGGUCAUCAGGGAAUGAAUGACUUUAAUCGCUUGUGUUGCGGGGAUAGUUUGUGCAUUUGAUUGAACGUGCAUUCCUAGUUAAGGAGAUUCUUUGCGGUUAGUCUCGAUUCUGAUGAUGGCUAUGGAAUAACGGUCUACUUUGGAUUUGAAUGGGACCAGAGUUUAGGUCAUUGAGCGUUAGUCUCAUCCCCUGUUUCUUUGUGGGUUUGGCGGAGUAGUCCUAUUAACAAGUGAACUGUCUAGCUUAUAUCACUGCAAAUUACUUAUGGUAUCUUGCAGUAAUAGCAAUAUCGUGUCUCUUUGAACUAAGUGCAAAUUACAUAUUGGAAAUUGUAUAUAUUUGAUCUCUUGUUUGCCAUGGAUCUUGCAAAAUCAUCUCUUUCUUCUUUUGCUUUUCUCAAGGUGAUGAAGGUCGAGAGUUGAUCACCGUGGAGCACUGUGGCAAUGACACCCUAGCAGAACUUGUUGAAACCAUGCAAGAUUCUUAGGAUUGGGAUGAUUUGCAAGCUGUGGAAUCAGAAGCUCGUGGAGUUUCGACCAAUAUGUUUGGCCAAGAUAUUUGUAAUGAUGGUGAAUGCAAUGUUAUACACGAUGUCAAUAUUAUAGAAGAUUCUCCACAACGUGUGAAAAAUCAAACUUUCAUUGAGGUGAGGAUUCCUCUACUGACGGUGAAGACAAAGAUGAUGUAUUGGGCAGUAAAACGGGAAGGAAAUCCUCAUGUAUAUUCCUGGCCAAAGCAGUACUCUAAGCAAUACAUCCACUCAAAUUCUGGGUAGACAAUCUUUAGAAUCCAUGGUAUGCUUCUCCGUAUGCUUCUCCCAUGGACAUAGACAAUAUUGCCAAACCACUUAAAUCAGUGUGUGACUGUACUUUUCUCUUAUAAUUUAUUCUCUGCUUGAUCAUUUCCAAUUUGCUUGUGAUUCAGCACACAUCAAAGGACCUACACAAUGGUCAUGUCCAAAAGCAUUUGGUAAAUUGCUUAUGGAGUCUCUCAUCCAAUCAACUGUCCAAUAGACAGUCAUAACUUUUGCCACUCACUUCCACACUUUUCAAGAUCCUAAAUGACAUAUUAGAACUCUUUGGUUAAUAAAGAAGUUAAUUGCAGUUUUGGAUGAUGUACAAAUACAUAAAUUUCUCAAAUGCCAUGAGAGUACAGCAGAUCAUCAAAGUGUGGAACUUAGCAAUCCAGUGCCUUUGAUAGGAAUGUUUUGUGUAAAUGAAGGCUUGUAAUUUCUUUGAGCACAUUUUUCAUUUUCCAUGACAAUCCAUGUCAGAAACUAUUACGGUACGGAAGAGGCUUAUUUCUGUUGGACUAUAAGAGCACUGUCACUCAAGGCUCAAUAUCAUUAGUUUCAAAUAAAAUACAUUGCUCUCCAAUUUCGACAUCCAAACAAGGGACUUUGAGUUAUGCGGAAUUCCAAGCCUUGGAUGACUUAGAAUUGGCAAAUGUUGUCAUAUUCAAAAACAAGGCAUUUCGACCAAUGCAGCAUCAGGCUUAUAAAGCUUUUGUAGCCAAGCAAGUUUGCUUUAUUCUCAUGUCCACUGGAGGUGGUAAAAGUUUAUGUUACCAGGUUAGUGAAUGUUAACAUUGUCACAACUGGGUGAUGAUUGUAUGUAGAAGUGUGUGGACACAAUGUUAGAGCACAAGCCCUGUGCACUUUGCUCAGUGGUUCUACCAAUUAAAUGUUUAAGGGUAGACUUGUAUGUCAACAUUUAAGCUUUAACAUGAUCUUCUGAUCUACUUUGUUUAGCAUUUUUAAGAAGAUUGCGAACUUAAGGAAGGAAAUGUUUUUCAAAUGAAAAUUAAGCUAUAGGAAGUGAUUCAGGUACAUAAGCAUGGGUUCCAACGUAUGGCAUCGGACAAAAGUAGAAAAGAAGGAGAUACAGUACAAUCUCGUUCUGCCUUUGCACUUCUCUAUCUGGUCUGUAAUUUUUAGGAUUUGAAGUUUGUGCUACACUUCUAGGACCUUCUAAUCGCUUACAGGAAAAUUCAUCUUGUUUAUGUAUGUUAAGUGUUGCUGUCAGUCAUAAUUCAGGUCCAAUCAAAAGGGUUAUAAGUCAAAGAGAAUCNNNNNNNNNNNNNNNNNNNNNNNNNNNNNNNNNNNNNNNNNNNNNNNNNNNNNNNNNNNNNNNNNNNNNNNNNNNNNNNNNNNNNNNNNNNNNNNNNNNNGAUAACUGAAUUAAGGAGAAGAUAUAAUCUGGAUUUAUUUAGUUGAAUUCAUAGAAGUGUUUUCUGUUUAGUCUUGAAGUAGUUGAUAUAUGUACUGAAAGUAGUUAUAAAACAAGUAGUGACAACUAGUCCUUCCUGAUCAGCUGAAGGUGAAAGGAAUAAUAAUUCUGUUGUCCCUUCCUUUCUUCAUUUGCUCUUCUGAUGUUUUUACCCUUCGUUUCAGCUGCCAGGAACUCUAAAACCAAGUGUCACAGUUGUUAUAUCUCCCUUGCUAUCUCUCAUCUUGGAUCAAAUAGUUACUGUAACCCUCAAGUACGGCAUACAAUCUACUUUCUUGAACUCUCAACAGACUGCUGCCCAAUUGGCAGUUGUCCUCAGAGAACUAAGGCAAGGUUUAGCUCUAUUGGACUUCUAAAACUUUUAUGCUGAGUGUUGUGACUGUCGAAUUAUUAACCUCCACUUCUGCUUUGCCUGCCCUUUGAGAACAGAUAAACAUCGUGCAAGCUAUUGCAUGUGACUCCUGAACGGAUUGGGGGAAAAAUAUCAUUUCUCGAGAUAUUGAAAUGCUUGCACAGAAAGGUAUUGUUUUUGAUGCACUGUAACUUUUUUCCAAAAAGGUUCUUUAUAAUUUUUUAUAUUCGAUGAUAUUUUAUUGCAGGCACAACUAGCUGGUUUUGUUGUUGAUGAGGGACAUUGCAUGAGGUAUGCGUAAUCUUUGGCAUGCCUUGUACAUGAAGAAAAAUCAUGCUAGAGUUACUUCAAAAAGAAUAAUCAUUUGUGAUGUUGCCACUGCAAAACUAUUGUCCUUAUUCCAGAUAAAUAUAAGCAACUUUCCUUUUAUAUAAGCUAACUUAAACUCUUUUUCCAAACUUUUUUGCAUUUUCUGUGUUUCUAGCCUUAUAAAUUGUCAAUGUUGCCCUAGACCUUUUGAAGCCCCUGUGAAGUUCUAAUAUAACACAAUGGAAUGUUCCUUGUUUGAGCUUUGGAAAAGAUCUAGGUUCUGUCGUUUGGGAAAAUUUAGUGGCACAUCAUCAUUAUAUUGAGUAAGAGGACUCAACUUAAAUAAGCUGCAAUGGAAAUGACUUCCUAAAGUAAUUGGAAGUGGCAUAAGCUUGGACAAGGAUGCCAUCUACUGUCUAUGUUUGGCAUGAUACUCCAUCUCUUCAGCUGGUUCCUGUGUAUCUAUUUAUUCUACUAAUGGUUACACUCACGUGAUCAUUGAUUGUGUUCCUUACAAGGUAUUAACUGGAUUUGCUUGGCCAGUUUAAUCUCAUGAAAGGAAGAUGCCAUCUGCUAUCUAUGUUUGGCAUGAUACUCAGUCUUUUAAGCUCGUUCUUGUGUAUCUAUUUAUUCUAUUAAUGGUUAUACUAUAUACUGACAACGUGAGAAAGGCAAGGGUCCACCACAUGAUCAUUGAUUGUGUUUCUUAAAAGGUAUUCACUGGAUUUGCUCUGCCAAUUUAAUCUCAUGAAAGGAACGUGUUGCUAAUUUGAGCUUUUAUUGUACAUUUGCCUGAUUGACGACAAGAGCUCAUUAGUUGUCACUUUCGUGGUUGUCAUGAAAGGAACGUACUGCUGGUUUGAGCUUUUAUAUAUGCUAACUUAAGCUCUUUUUCCAAACUUCUCUGCAUUUUCUGUGUUUCUAGCCAAUUUAAUUGUCCAUGUUACUCUAGACCUUCUGAAGCCCAGAACCCUAUGAAGUUUCUAUAUAACAGAAUGCAGUGUUCCUUGUUCGAUGGAAAGAUUUAGGCUCCGUCGUUUGGGAACACUUAGUGGCACAUCUUUCAUUAUAUUGAGUAAAGAGUGCACAACUUAAAUAAGCUCCAGUGGAAAUUAUUUCCCAGAGUAAUUGGAAUCGGCAUAAGCUUGGAUAAGGAUCCAAUCUCCUAUCUAUGUUUGGCAUGAUACUCUUAAGCUGGUUCUUGUGUCCCCGUUUAUUCUAUUAAUGCUUAUACUUUAUGGUAACAACUUGAGAAAGGCAAAGGUUCAACCAUGUGAUCAUUGAUUGUGUUUCUUACAAGGUCUUAACUGGAUUUGCUCUGCCAGUUGAUCUCGUGAAAGGAACAUGCUGCUGGUUUGAGCUUCUCUUGUACAUUUGACUGAUUAACGAGUAAAACUCAAUGAUUGUCACUUUUGUGGUUGUCAUUAUUAGUCAAGGGGGACACGAUUUUCAUCUAGAUUAUAGGGUACUAGGAUGUCUCAAGCAGAACUUUCUGUAUGUCCCAGUGAUGGCCUUAACUGCAACCGCCACUCUGUCAGUUCAUGAGUACUAAACUCACAUAUUAACCUCCUGAUUAUGUUGAAAUAAUCUGUUAAUUCUGACUGAAUUAUACAUCCAUCGCAGGAUAUCCUAAAAGCUCUUGGGGUACCCCAUGUUCUGAUAUAUUAGAUCUAGUCUGUCAAAGCUUGGGGACCUAAGGUUUGACAGACUAGAUCUAAAAUACGAGGUCAUAGCUAAGACCUAGGAACCACUGAAGCAGCUUGGAGGGCUGCUAAAAAAUUGUUUUGCUAAUUUUUGUGGCAUAGUAUAUUACUUUUCGUUAAUGUCGCAAAAUACUUGAAUGAGAAGCGCCAUAUAAAAAUGGUGUACUAUCAUGCUGGAUUAGUAGCUCGUCACUGUUCAAAAGAAAUGGCAUACUAGAGAGGUCCAGAUUGUAUGUGCUACCAUUGCCUUUGGGAUGGGAAUAGACAAAUUGUAAUUCGAAACGGACUCUGGCCUUUGCCUAUUUCUUACGUUUUAGAAGUCAAUAAAUGUGGUAAAAAGACCCAGAGAAGCAGAGAAGAGGAGGGUGGCCAGAUACAAGCUUUAUUUGGUCGAGGGCAAGUUCAAGGCUUCUUUCAAACAAGGGUUCCGGUGGUUGAAGCGCAAAUUGCUCGAGCUUUAUGCGUCGAUUUUUAAUAUGUAGAAAUCACAGAAUAUCAUGCUGAUUGUCAUCAAGAGAGAAAAGGAUGAAAUUGGUCGGGAGGAAACAAAGAGGUUUGUUUUGUUUAUUGGCUAAUCAUCUUAAUAUGUAUCUAAUGGUAAUUAAGUAUUCGGAGGAGUGCCACAAUGUUUGAUCUUUCCAGUAUAAUGUUUGUUCAAAUCCUUGUUUCUUUCAUUGAUCUCUAGCAUUCGAAACAUAGGGAAAUGAGACGACUUGUAUGUGAUAUUCACAUAUAUUUAUAUUUAUCAAAAGUUAUUUUUCCCCGAAUUUCCUUACCUUCCAAUUUAUCUGCAACACGAUUCUGCAUGCAUGCAUGCUUUCUCGUGCGAAGUAAAAAUUGUCGGAUAUGCUAAUUUCUCUUCUCAGCGACACGAUGUUGAUUGCAAAAUAAGAUGACUGCUUUCAUUUGUAGGAUUUGACGUUUACACGAAAGUAGAUUUCGUUGUUAAGAACCUUUUUUUUUUUUUAUCAAAUGUUCUUUUAAGUCUCUGUUUUGGGGUUCAUUAACGCUGUAAUUCCUCAAUUUGUCUAUUUCGAUUCCUUUGCAUCAUAUGAUUUUAUCAUAUGGCAAACUACCAAAUCUAUACAUUCUAACAUGCAGCUAGCAGGUGUUAAGGCCUUCUAUACUUCCAUUCUGAUUCAAGGAUUCAUAUUUCAAGUACUGUCUUGUCGAGUUUGGAGUUACAAAUGUGAGGAAAUCAAAGAGCUCGAAGCGAACCUUCUCUUGUCCUUUGGGAACUUACGUAGUUAUUGUUUGAAUGGCUGUUAUUCAUAGGAUAUUGAUGUAAAAUGUGAUAAGAACUUUCAAAAACAAGCACGAAGCAAAUUGUUAGCAUGAAAUGAAAGUAGAAGAGAAAAAGGGGGGGAACCCAUGAACAAAACCACAUCAGCUCAAUCGGUUCAGAAUGUUCAUCCAAUUAUCCGGUCUAUUUACGCGUUCCAACUUCAAACCAAUUCGGCUGAUGGGGCUGUGAACGAUGUUCCAUAAGUAGUCAAACACAAAGCUAUUGCCCUUUGGAUUAAUUUGCCUAGACACUGAUUAAGCAGCUAAGUAAAUAAAGUGUAGAGCUGAUACAUUGACUUUACUCGCGACUUUUCUCGUGUAAUGUUCAACCAAUAUUCUGAAAUUAAAUUAUUUCAUAUUAAGGAUUUUUAACAAGUAUUUCAACACGACCCGCAUUGCAUAUGUGUUAAUACUUAUAGAUUCAAAUGCAGCUUAACAAGCUACUUGGCCUUGUCUUGAGCUCUGGAAAAAUUGGGUCAAAGUUCAAGGGGAUAACAAGCAAAUCAAACCAUGAAUACCUUGCAAGUAGCUUUCAACUACUAAAAUUCCACUACUGUAGAUCAAACCAUGUACAGGGUACAGGAAUAUCUAAGAGUGGCCUCCAAGAAAUUGCUUCGAUUGAAACUUGAAUGUGUGAACAGUGACUGCAAUUUGGUGGGGUGUCGUCUCAUUAUAAACCAAUUAGAUGACCCUUAGAAGUUUUUUGUUCAAAGACAAUGAGUAAAUUUUGGAAAGGGCUCUUUUCACCCUUGCAAAAAUUUUGUCCACGUUUUAUCAUUAGUCUUCAACUGCAGCCAAUGCAAAAGAAAAAUAGGUUUCAGGUGUGAAAAUAUAUACGGUUGGGUCUCUUCAGCUUUUAGAUUCAUGCUUAAAUAAAUCAAGUUUGAGAUUAUACAAUAAAAAAGUGAUUGCAAAAUGCGGACAUAUGAAUUUUCUGAUAUAACACCAGACCAGAGAGAUGAUUUUACACUACUGAACACCUUUCUUUUGUGUUCAAAAUUCAACCAAAUGAAAAACUACUGUCUUCUUGUAAACCUUUUCACUGAAACUCUUGGCUGCAAUUGACAGAUUUUUGCUGAUUCCAUGGCAUUCGAUUUUUCUAGUUGCAAAAUUGUAGCCUGAAGUGGACAUCUAACUGGUAAUCUCCUUGACAAAUCUCAUUUUAUGCUUAACUUGCACAAAUAAAAUCACCUGCAUGUGCAGUCUUCCUGCAAGCGAUAUGUGCUUGCAAAGGACAAAUAAUCGACAUGAGAAGAGGUUGCUUCAUAUCCAGAAUCCUUUGAAGAGUAUUGACAACAAGGAGCACAUGAUAAACGCCACUAGGUUUAGAUACAUUUUCAUAAUGACAUAGCUCAUUCCUGCCUACAUCUCCAUCGUGUAGUCUUUAGGGACUUUCCUCCAAGUUCCAUGAAACGCAACUUGAAUCUACAUGAUGAGCAUAGGACUGACUCAUUAUCAAUAAAUAAAGAAAUGCGAGAUUGAGCAUCACAAUUUACCCCAUGAAAGAUAAGGUACAAAUGCGAAAACACCAUUUACACCAAUCAUUGUUCAACCACAGUGAACAGAGACUUCAUCAGCUAGCAGAUGAAAAAGAAAAAAAAUAGGCUUAAAAGAAGUAAACAAUUAGCAACAACACUUUCCUCAUUUGUGUUCAGGAACAAAAUUGAUGUUAAUAAAAUUAUGCUGAAAAGGUGAAAUGCGUAAACUACAGAACAAAAAGACGUACUUGUUACUUGAUCAUUGGCAAUAUUGAAUCAACAAAAAUCAGUAAUUCGGGAUAGAUUGUGAGGAGGUCAGUUUCAACUUCACUAAUUCAAUACUGCAAACAUGAGAGCUGAGCUUAUCAAAUCAGAAACCUAUAUGACAACAUUCAAAGGAUAAACAGAUAGAAAUGGAGGAGCUUAGUGCAUACCUACCUCUGCAUAGCCUCAUAAGUUCAGGAGUGAUAUCCCUAGAAUGCAACCACACCAAACAACUCUGCAUCAGGAUAACAUACACAAAAAUCACCAGCUACUCGUUUGAUUAACAAAGAGAUAGAACCUAGCGAGCAUACAAACAACAGUUCAAUUUAAAAAACUACAUUUACUAUAUUUAGGUACAUGCUGUUGAGACCAGAUCAAGUGCUUUGGAUCUUCACAAGCAUCAAAACUUCCUCAGAACAUUCUACUUGGCCCAUGAGCCUCUUCAAGUUUGGCACCUCAGCUGUUGCUGAUGCUUUCUCUGCAAAAUUGGUCUUGGGUUUGGAAUUUGAAGUUCCUCAGCCGAGUGAGCCACACCUAAUUCAAUCAUGUGAUAAAAUAAUUCCAUGACAACAAUAUGAUCAAAUGGGAUGUAAACUAAUCAGCAAAUUCUUGAGCUCCUUGCCCCAGCUUGUUUCACAGCUGGGCAAAAAAUUGUCUAGUUAUGCGAAAGGUCAUCAAUACAACUGAUUGAAUUUAAGUCCCAAAGUAAGCCUUGAUCAUUACAUAGACCAACCAAACCUGUAAUAGAAGUAGCACUAGUUUACCUUGCUUGAUAAUAUUUCAAGACAACAUUUUGACUACUGGUAAUUUUAAGAAAGGCGUACAUUCAUAUAUGAUAGACUAGCCAAAACUACUUUAACAUUUCUUAAUCACCAACCAAAAAUACACCGAUUCUCGUUCAAGAAAAAGACCCUAUAUAAACUCCAUGCACACUAGAGACUUAGGCAAACCUUUGAUCGAGAAUUUGCAUAAAACAACUCAAUACUCCACUCCAGACCCCAGUACUUGAUCGAGAAUUUGCCAAGCGGUGCAAGCUCCAUGCGUCCACUUGAGAGAAUCUGGAAGGGGAAAAGUGAUGCUGCUCUUCAAGAACGAACUGGUCUCUCUACUUGGUUUAAGGUAUGAAAAUGUACAUGGCUAUGUCUCUUCUGCUUUUAGAUUCGUGCUUAAAUAAGUCAAGUUUGAGAUAAUACGACCAAAGCGAUUGCAAAAUGCCUACAUAUGAAUUUUCCGAUGUAACCAGCCUAGAAAGAUGAUUUUACACUAAUGAACGCCUGUAUUUUCUGCUCUAAGUUCUUCCAAACGAGAAACUACUGUCUUCUUGAAAGCCUUUUCAUUGAAACUCUUGGCUGCAAUUGAUGGAUUAUUUGCUGAUUCCACGGCAUUUGCUUUUCUCUCCCCCAGUCUCAAAACUGUAGCUUGAAGUGGACAUCUAAAUGGUAUUCUUGUUAACAAAUCUCAUUUUUUGCUUGACUUCACAUAUAGAACCACUUGCACAUGUGGUCUUCCUCCAAGCGAUUAGUGAUGGGGCCUUGGUUAAAGAAUAGCAAGAUUUCAAAGCUUGCAAAGGACUAAUACACCACAUGAGAAGAGGUCGCCUUUAUCAAGAAUCCUUCGAAGAGUAUUAAACAACAUGGAGCAAAUGAUAAACGCCAAUUGCAAAUAACUUUGGAAUGCCUUUCCAUACUGGCAUAGCUCAUUCUUGCCCAUAUCUCCAACCCGUGGUGUUUGGGGAGUUUCUUCGAGUUUCAUCAAAUGUAGCUUUAAUCUGCAUAAGGAAGAUAGCACUGACUAAUUAUAAUUAAAUGAAGAUAUCCAAGAUCAUAGCAUUAGAAUUUACCCCAUGACAGAUAAGGUAAAAAUGUGUAAACAUUGACACCAAUUGGAGUUGCACCACAAUGAACAGAGACUUCAUUAGCUGGCCAAUGACAAAGAAACCAACAGACUUAAAAGAAGUAAACAUUUAGCAACACUUUCCCUGUUUGUGCUUAGGAACAGAAUUGAAACUAAAAAAAUUACGCUGAAAAGGUGAAGUGCCUAAACUACAGAACAAAAAAAGAUGCAUUUGCUACUGGGUUAUUUUGCAAGUACCAAUUAGCAAAAUCAGCAAUGCGGGAUCGUUUGCGAGGAGGUCAAUUUCAACUUUACAUAUUGAAUGUUGCAUACAUCAGAACUGAGCUUAUCAAAUCAGAAACCUAUAUGACAACAUUCAAAGGAUAUCAUCACACGAAUAAACUAAUAGAGAGAGGAGCCUAGCAGUGCAUACCUCCCUCUGCAGAGCCUCAUCAAUUCCGAAGUGAUAUCAUUAGAAUGCAACCGCGUCGAACAACUGUGCAUCAGGGUAACAUACAAAAAAUCAGUAGCUUAGUAUUUGAUUAAAGGAGAGCUAGAACCUAAUGAGCAUACAUAAAACAUAUUUAAUUGAAAAAAAAAAUACAUUUACAAUCGUUUAGGGAUGUGAUGUUGAUAUCAGAUCAAGUAUUUGAAUAUUCAGAAGCAUCAAAACUUCAUUGGGACACUCCAGUCAGCCCCAGAGUGUCUUUAAGUUUGGCAUGCAAGAUGGUCCUCAGCUGUUGCAGAUGCUUCCUCUGCAAAAUCCCUCUUCUUUAUUUUGAUCGGUCUCAAGUAUGGAAUUUGAAGUUCCUCAGCCGACUUAGCCACGCCCAAAUCAAUCAUGUGAUAAAGCAAUUCCAUGACAACAAUAGGAUCAAAUGGGAUACAAACUAAUUAGCAAAUUCUCGAGCUCCUCAUCCUAGUUUGUUUCACAGACAGGCAAAAAAUUGUCCUUUAAUGCAAAAGGUCAUUGAUAGAGUUGAUUGAAUUGAAGUCCCAAAGCAAGCCUAGAUCGUCAUAUAGACCAACCAAACCUGUCAUAGAAGCGGCACCAAUUUACCUUGGUUAAUAAUCUUUCAAAUCAAUAGUUUGCCCGCUGGUAAUGUUAAGGUGGUCAACAUUCAUACAUGACAAACUAGCCAAAACUACUUUAACAUUUUUUGUCACCAACCAGAAACACUUGAACCUUGAAUUUUAUUUUAGCUCAGUUCACCAUAUAUACUGGGAAGUGAUGCUCUUCUUAGAGGGUUAGUGAGGGCCAUCAAGGGAACAAUAAGAAACUUGACAGGGUUUUCAUUCAUCAAAGAAAAUCAGAAGGUGUUCGUCCUAAACAGGACAUCUGCCAUUAGUCAAAUUUGACAUGCAAAAGAACGAAAGGGACUUAAAUUGGCCAAGGAUUUUGAAAAGAAAAUAUGAACUUUGGAUGCUCAAAAAUUCCGGGCAUAGUAUACAAUAAUACAAAAAUGAGUAGUAGAAGUUCAUUGGCCUCUAGAUGAAAAUUUCAAAUCCUGGGUUUGCCGAUAGAGGAACUGUAAAUCACUAGGUAAUUCUUGUUUGCCUUUCUUGGUAUUUUCAUUUUUUCCUGGCAAGUUGCUAUCUGUUUGCAGUCUACAUAAGCUGCCAAUGGAAGGAUACAUGAAAAACAUUGCUAUAACGUGAUCAACAACAAUUACACAAAGGCAAAUCCAGAGUUUGCAAAAUCAAUCAGAUAGAUAUCUAAUGUGAAGCAAAUCAUUCUAAAAAAAUAGAGCUUCGAGAAGAGUAUUACUCUAUUUGCUCACGCUGGCCGUUCAAGGAUGAAGAAUCUUACUAUGCCUUCUAUUGACAUUUGGGUCUACAUUUUGAUCUUGGCUGAACCAUCAUGUGAGCUUCUAUGACCAACUCCUCCACUCCUUCAAUAGUGCAAGACCAGCAAUUUAGGAAAGUACAGAAUCCUAUCAUGGAAAACCUUUUUGUCAAAAGAAGAUAGUGAUGAAAAGGAGGUCAUGAAUAUCAGAGGAAGAAUGAUUGUUCACUGCUCAUUUACCUCUGUUGAAGAAACAUGACUAAUCUCACUGUUGUAAUAUGGGUAUAAGAUUCCUCACAUCAUUAACACUGCAUGAUAAUAUUUCCAUAGAGAACUCAAAACAGUUCAUAAUUUCUAAUGAUGCGCGUUCGACAUAAUUUCGGUAUUGCUUCCAAUGAGUCACAACUAGAAAUAUCCAAGUAAAUUAAAUUCCACAUUUCAAGUCCUUGAAGCUGAGUAAGUUUCUUGCAGUCUCGAACUCUUAGAGAUUGUAAUUUCUCACAUCCUGUCAAAUUUGGCAAAGUCUCCAUUGAUUUGCAUCCCGUAAAAUCCAACUUUUCUAAGAACUUUGCACUGUCAAGACCUUCAAUUUUGACUAGAUUGCCGCUCCCAACAGCCUUUAAUUCCUUCAAACAAGGUAAUUCUAGACAGUGAAGCCUUUCAAUGGAAUUGCAGUCCUCUAAAGAUAUCAACUCCAAGGAACUGCACUUUUUUAUUGAAAGCUCUUCAAAGUGCACGAGUCCAUUGAGCGAAAGUGAUGUUAGCUUAUCCCACUCCUCAAAACAGAGUUUUAGUGGUAUUGAGGAAAGCUUGUGGAUGUCUUCAAGUAAAUGGCGUACCUCAAGAUGGAGUUUUUCUAGGUGGAUGAGGGCCUUGACCGCACAUAUUUUAAGCCCGCAGGAAGCUCUGGCAGCAACCGAAGCUCGUCACAGCCCGAUCGGUCAAGGAUUAGGAGAGACGAAGGAAGCUUUGGCAGCGAUCGGAGCUCCUUACAGUCCUCUAGAUCAAGGUUGUAGAGAGAAGAAGGAAGCUCUGGCAGCGACCGGAGCUCCUUACAGCCCUUUAGAAAAAGCUCUUCGAGAGAUGAAGGAAGCUCUGGCAGCGAUCGGAGCUCCUCACAGCCCCAUAGUUCAAGGCGUCGGAGAGAAGAAGGAAGCUCUGGCAGUGAUCGGAGCUCCUUACAGCCCCCUAGGUUAAGGAUUUGGAAAGACAAAGGAAGCUCUGGUAGCAACCGAAGCUCCCUACAACCCUUUAGGUCAAGGUAUUGGAGAGAAGAAGGAAGCUCUAGCAGCGACCGAAGCUCGCUACAGCUCAAUAGGUCAAGGUGCUGGAGAGAAGAAGGAAGCUCUGGUAGCGACUGGAGCUCCUUACAACUGCAUAGGUCAAGGCUUUGGAGAGAAUAAGGAAGCUCUGGUAGUGACCGGAGCUCUAUACAGCCCUCUAGGUCAAGGUGUUGGAGAGAAGAAGGAAGCUUUGGCAGUGACCGGGGCUUAUCACGGCUCCCUAGAUAAAGGUGUUGGAGAGAAACGCUUUCUGGUUGGUUAAAUAUCGAUGUUCCACUGAGAUUGAAAAUUUCCCCUUCCAGAUGACGGUAUCCAUUGAGAAAUUGAGCCCGCAGAUUUUUCAACCUUUCAAUAGCACCGGGAUGUUUUUUUAUCCCAGAAUAACGCAAGCUAAGAUGUUGCAAAUUAUGUAAAUCCCCAAUUGAGCUGGGGAUUUCUCUCAGUAAGUAACACCUUAAGGCGCUCAGUUUCUUCAGCUUCCUCAAAGAACAGCUUCCUCAAAGAACCAAUAGAGAUAGGAAUCUCUGUAAUACUAGAUUCAUCUAAAAAAAGUUCUUCUAAAUUUUUUAAUUCGCCCACCUCCUUUGGUAGUUCCUUGAGUCUUCUACAGUAAUACAAGUGCAAGGAAACAAGGCUCGUGAGUUUGCCAAUAGAAGGGUGGAGAUGCUCCAGUUUCCCACAUCUCCUCAAAUUGAGAAUCUUCAAAUGUGUGAAAGUUGAGAGAUCAGGAGUACGUCUUAAAUUAUGACAAUGUUCAAGCAUGAGAACUUUAAGCCGCUUUGACGCCUAAUAGAAAAGGAGAAUAAGCUGUCAAAGAAUGGGUCGAUCGACUAAACAAAAACAAAACCCUAAAUUCGUUCUUUUCUCAAUCUUACCAUGAAUGACCUCCAUCCUUGCCAAUGCUCUCGAAUCUCGCUCCAAUAUAAAUGCAGUAUUGAUAAAUUCGAUAGAUGCGUUGAAGGGGACAGGUUGCUUUGCACAACCCUCCACUUAAGCCAUCUCACUUUCUGUUCGUCGUCGGAGGUUCCGCUUGAAGCUGCCCGCAAAUUGUCACAGAAAUGGAAACGAGAGAGGGGUCUCCACCAAAUUUUGCGGAACCGGGAGGGGGACAUGGAGGGGAACCAGGCGGGGCGUCCCUGCGAGUUUUUUUUUAACUUUUUAGUUUUUUUUUCUUUUCUUAAAUCUUGGAUUUUGCACGAUCUAUAACCUUUCUCUCCUUCCAUGUACAAAUAUGGCUCAUAUUUUUUUUUUGACAACCUUUUCGAAAAUUAAACAAAUGAUGUGAAAAAUAAAGAAAAAAUGGUUAUUGCUCUUAAACAACUAAGAUAAAGGCAACUCAAUGUUUUAUCUUUUCCUUUUAUCUUUCAAAUUUUGUAGCGCAUGCACUUUGACUUUUAUUUAUUACGAAAUAUAUGAAACCAUUUUACAACAUACUAAUGUUUACUUGUAAAUUUUCAUGACUUUUGUAUAAUUUUUCAAAAGAGUUUGUUGAAGAGUGCCGGUGGGCCACCUGUAAGUAGCUAUGGAAACACCCGGUUUUCAUUUCAUUAUUUAAAUGUAAUAAUGCCGAAGAGAAAAAAUGGGAAAUUUUCAAUAUAUUUCCAUAUAUAGAAAAGAUUAUACGGAGAGCCUAUCUAUAAACUUUAUUACAAGAUUGUCUAAGAAAAAAAAAUCAAAUUAGAUAUGCAUAAUCAAAAUAAAUAUAGAAAAUUAGAAAAAUAUCAUAAAUAUCUCUAGAAGAUAUCCACAUAUCUUUAACAUCAUUUACUAUUGUUCUGAAGUGUUUAAUCAUUUCUUUGAAAACUUAUACAUUUUUUUUUUGUUAAGUAUGUUUAAAAAGUGACGUGGUGACAUUGGACAAUAGUGUAUUAAAUAUAUCAUGAGGCGGCCCAAAUGGAUAAUAUAUAAUAAUAAAAUGACACGAACAUUGAUAAUUUAACUAUUGCUCUGAUACCACAAAAAGGGGAUGUCACGCCCCGACCCUCAGGCACGCACACAUCCCUUACUUUUGGUCGAUUUAAAAAAAUGCGAUAUCCCAGGACUAUGUAUCGCCGACCCUUUCAUUUAUAUAUGCACAUGCGGAAGCAGUUAUAAUUCCCCAGACAAUAAAGCAAUGGGAUAGAAAAGCAGGCCAUACAUUUUUUCAUACUGAAAAUUCCCAACUACAACUUUUUUACAUGCAAACAAGGUCUGACAAGACAGGAUAGGAUUUCGGUCCUCAUCCGGGUCGUACUCGAGGUCCUCCUCCACGUACUCCUCUUCGGGUUCCUCAUCAAGGACCUCCUCAUCAGAUUCAUGCUCCUUAGGCUCCUCAUCCAGGUCCUGAAAUGGUUAUUCAAUAACCACUGAGACCACGUCUCAGCAAGUUCUACUCCCUAAGACCCGAUUAGUAAACUAAUA
Molecule: long non-coding RNA, 285112 nt
Filed under: Eucalyptus grandis
Lineage: Eukaryota; Viridiplantae; Streptophyta; Magnoliopsida; Myrtales; Myrtaceae
Description: long non-coding RNA (EGRA_LNC000718)
Source: RNAcentral